RNAcentral lists this long non-coding RNA (227478 nucleotides) under Setaria italica (foxtail millet). RNAcentral's name for it is "long non-coding RNA (SITA_LNC005092)". Lineage: Eukaryota; Viridiplantae; Streptophyta; Magnoliopsida; Poales; Poaceae. The record is from RNAcentral.
AGUGAUCAGCUAAUGAUAAUCUCAUAAAAAAUAGUCAAAACAUAUUAGAGAUAGAAACCAAUAUAAUCAACGCUCAUCAAUCCGACAAUGAAUGAAUAUGUUCAUGCACAGGCAACUAGGUAGGUGACCAACCUGUCCAUUGGAAUUGGUGGCUCACACCAUUAAGUGGCAUCAACUAAUAAUAGCUAAGAUGAUUGAUAGGAUAGUCGUCUGAAUAUUUCCAUUUUUGGUCCAUAUGCCACUAUACAUUAGUGGAAUAAAUCAGUAUCUCUUUUUUUUAAAUAAAAAGAAAUACCGAAUUAACAUAUUUUCUUAUAUGAUGUAGAUAGAUUGGUGCCGUGCGGUUUUGAUAGUUCAUCCCUGGAGUCAAUAAGCAUUGCUUUUAUACAGAUGCAAAAAAAAGAGAGAAAAAGAUCGGAGUCAGCUUUCAACCUUUACAAGAUUGCAGCUAGUCUGUAUGUGUGUGUACGUAGUACAAUAUCAGUAGGAGAGAGCAGACUUGACCAAGGCGUGAACCUGUAGAGAAACACGUGCCAAUACGAUUUCUGAGAUGAUGUUGAAUUGGUUGAUCAACGUAGCGUCCUGUGGGAAUUGACCUUGGGAGCUCGGAUUUUAUGGAUGGGAAAACACGUGCCUGCACGACUGAAUUAUUCCGCCUCCUGCCUAUAGUCAAGUUUAUUUGAUGUGCAGCUGUUAGGAACUUAGGGUUGUAAUAAAACGUUGGUUCUAAUUGUUUCUAAGAAUAGCCUGGCCUGUAAAUUCCAGUCUCAUCUAUUUUUGGCUCUAUCGUAUGAACCAGUUUUUGAAGGGCACGUAGAAAUUUGAUGAGGUUUAGUUUGGUCUUGAAGCAAUUUCACUAGCUUUCCUUGUCUCAUGAUGAACAGCGCAAUUUCAAUUUUUUUUGUAAAAAAGAUGGCAGUUUCUCUUUCUUCUACCCCCUCUCCUUCGUUUUUUCGCUAGUCAUCUGUCAACAGGGUUUAGGAUGAGGAGUAAGUGGCAUUAAUAACGUAUCGGGUGCAAACCAUCUACCCGUGCAACCUUGGAAACUCUAAAUUAAGGCCACAAGAUGCUAAUCCAAUGGAUAGGGUUAGAGAUGGGGUUAUUUUGCAAUUUAGCGCCCGCCGGCCAACAGGUUUUUUGCAAAUCCCUCCUGCCCCUUAAAUCCGUUCCCCCCUGCCCCUUCCAUCGCGAUAAGCUGCCGCCGCCCCUUCCAUCGCAGUUCGCGGCCGCUCGUGGCCCUCCGUAACAUCCAAAAUCUCCAACUUUCCAUUUAACUAAAAUUUGCUAGAAACAAUUUUGCUUGUUUAAGGCAUAUAAGGUCAUUUUGCAUUUUUAGUCAUAAAAAAACAUUUUUUCAAAUAAAUUAAUGAAAUAAAGGAUUUUAAUUGAGCAUUCAUGCCGCUGCAUAGUUUUCAUCUUGUUUGCUCGAUUUCAUGUUUGUGUUUUGCUUUUGGGUGGCCGAUCUUCUUUUCUGUCUUUUCAGCUAGUUGUGUUUCAGUUUCAGAGUUCUGUCAGUAGUUAUCUAUUCUUUGGUUCUUCAGUUUCAGUUCUAUAGCUUUCCUAGUUUUCUGUCGCCAGGUGUUCCUAUCGAGCUUCUUCAGCCUUAGUUGCUGUUGGCAGUAGCAACAGGCGCCAGUUUUCUUUUCAGUCCAGCGCUGGUGCCUUUCAGUGUUCAGUUCGCCAGUUCAGUUUCUGUUUUCGGUUCAGAAAAAGCAGCAGCUUGUGGCCAUGCUCGCUAGCGCUGGGCAAUAGCAGCAGUUGUGGCCUGGUUUCUUUUCUUUCAGCCAGCGAGCAGCCCAGUGUUUCCUUGCUGCGCCGGCCCAAAACUCCUUUCUUUUUCAGCCCAGCGCAGCACCUGCUACUCCCUCUGGCCCAGUUCCGUUUAUCCCUGUGCCGGCCCAACAAGCAGCGGCCCAGCUGCCCUUUCCACGCGCGGCAGCUCUCCCCCUGACCGCUGGGGCCCGCGUGUCAUCUUCCUCACCGCGCCUUCCUUUCCUCUCCCGCACGCAGCGCCGCUCGCCCCUUCUCCGCACCGGACUCGAGUCCGAGCCGCACCCGUGCCGCGCCUCCUCGCCCCGCGUCCGACUUGGCCUCGGGCCCGCACGCCUAGGCCGCCUAAAAACCGCCGCCACCGUUUUCCGCUCCCCCACCAAACCCUCGCCUUUUUUUUUUCGCAUCUACAGAGCGCCCGCCUCCCGAGCUCGAGCUAGCGCCGCCGCCGUCGAUCUCCCUCGCUGUCGCCUUCCCGUCGCCCAGAAGCUCGCCGGAGCAUCGCGCGUCGGUGAGUACCCCGGCCGAGCUAUCUCCGCGCGUCUUCUCACCGUCUUCCGCCCGCACGGCCGCGCCGAGAGGAGCUCGUCGCCGUCACGCUCUGCGCCGCCACCUCCGCCGCGUUUCGCCCGGCGCCGACCGCCUAAGCGUGUUCCCCGCGCUUCCCUCUUCCUCCCAGUGCAACCCGCUUGCGGAACCGGGCCCUGGAGCGCCGUCUCGGCCAACUCCGGCCUGGCCGCCGCCGCUCGCCGGCGAGGCCGCUGCCGCGCGCCGCCGUCCCGCGGCCGCAGUCGCCGCCAGCCGUCCGUUGCCGCCCGGAUCCGGCCGCAUCCGGUCGAUACCGGUCAACCGCGCCGCUCUGCGUUACUCUUGCAUUUAAGCCCCUGCGUUUUCCGCAAAGUGCGCUGCCAUCCGCAGCAAUUCAAAAGUGUUUCAAAAAGAGGUCCCGUUUUCGUCUGAUUUAAACCCCGAGCUUUCACAGUAUAGCACCCGCAGUCCUGUGUUACAUUUUUGCGCAUUAAACCUUCAGUUUAUAUGCGUAAUUAUGUUUAGGUUCUUGGUUACUUGCUGUUUAGCCUCUGGAAGUUUGAUUUUCUCGCAGUUAGACUUCUGCAUUUUGUUUUAAGCAUAGUUUUUGCAUCUUAGUUUCGUUUUUAGCGUUCUUUAUAUCCGCGUGUUCGUUUUAAUGCGUAGAAUAGUUUUUCAAGCUUGUUUUCUCUGUUUAUUAUGAUUGGUGUACUGUUUUCUUAUGUUAUAAUUUGUUUGCUUGCAUGUGCUCGUGUGACGCGUGUAGACGGUCAGCAGUUCGAGGGAUUUGAAAAUCAAGCUUUCGAGGAGUACGAACAGCAUGAGCAAGGUCAAGAAGGCAAGUCGUGUCCUUGAUCACCUCUUUAAGUCCUAUUCACCUUUACUUUCAUGUUCUGUACAGCAUUGCCAUGCGCAAUAUAGUUUAAAUUUGAUGGGUCCCAAUUAAGGAUGUCCUAGAUUUCUUUACCUUUGCCUUGAUCAACUGGGUUAAAUUUAUAUUGGGUAGCUCAUACUUAGUGCUCAAACAUAGUUAUGGUGGUUUAAUCUGAAACAUUAUUAAUUUGGUAUUAUUUAUGUUAUACCUUCCAUUAAUACAAGUCCAUAAUGUUUAAUCGGAACAUGGAGCGACCACCAGAAAAACAGUACUACCACAAGACUAAAUGGCUCUAAUCUUGGCUGAAUAAUUAGAAAUCUUAGUUUGGGGUAGUCUUACUCGUGAUGAGGCAAUAGGGGGGACUGAGUCGUUGCAUUAGCGGCCUGUGAUAGGUUGUGCAUGCCGAACACCGAAAAUCUUAGCGGGUUACCACUGACUAAUGAAUCUUUGUAAAGGCCUCAUAGCGUCCCUAUGCAAUCACACCUCGAAAGUGUGAUAUGGUGCUUUGCAAACACCGUAUGGUUGGGUCCAAAGUUCUUUUGAACUUUUAUGCGACUUGUGGGUAAAGAUGUACAACCUUUGCAGAGUGUAAAACUGAUCGAUCAGCCGUGCUCACGGUUAAGAGCAGCCUGGACCCUCACAUGAUAAUAUUAUCGAAAGAUGGAUUUAAAUUGUUGUUGUUUCAUUCAUGAUUAUGUUAUUACUUUAUUUAUAUUCCUGUUUAAUUUCAGGUGGUAUAAACUUACACUUAGUUAAUUGCUAAUAAAAUUUGACCAACUAAAUUAAAAGUUGAUGUUGAUUAAGCCUUAGCCAUAUCUUGAUUGGCCUUACACUAAACUGUUCCCCACGACUUGUUGAGUAUGGUUGUACUCACCUUUGCAAAACCGCUGUUCAGACCAAGUGAAUCCCGAGGAGUUCCUACAAGAUUUUGAGGAGUAUUAGGCAUGCGUUUCUUCAGUUAGCUGCCUGUGGAGUUAUCAAUACUUUUGGAGUUCCGCUACGUAAUAAUUAGACUUUGUAGUUUAUUUGAGACUUUCGGUCAUGUAAUAAUGGUUAAUACUUUCUUUAUUUCGUUAUGGCAUUGUCUUUGUUAUUCACUUAUGUCGUACAUGUGUGUAACUUGAUCCUAGCACACAUGUAUUCAAUGCACUUGGUUUUGUCCUUAAAACCAGGUGUGACAUCCUCCGCCGGCCUGGUGAUGGCGCCGCCACCCCUUCACCUCUCGCCGCCCCUUCACCCCUUCCCGGAUGAAGUCGAUCGCUGAUCGUGCCUGCUUCGCCGUCGUCUACCGCCGCUCGUCUUUCUGAGACGGCUCCGUCGCCCGUGGGUCGUGUUCCCAUCCCCGGCCAUCGGCAGCGCCGUCACCACGGCCUUCUGCCUCAUCUCAGGCACAACUUCAUCCGGGAAGAGGCGAAGGGGCAGCGAGAGGCGAAGGGGUGAGAGGCGAGAGACGAAGGGGUGGCGGCGCCCUCACCAGGCCGGCGGAGGGCCACGGGCGGCGGAAGGGGCGGCGGCGGCUUAUCGCGAUGGAAGGGGUAGACGGGAAACGGAUUCAAGGGGCAUGAGGGAUUCGCAAAAAACCUGCUGGCCGGCGGGCGCUGAAUUGCAAAAUGACCCCUCUUUAAGCCUAUCCAUUGGAUUAGCAUAUUGUGGUCAUGAUUUAGAGUUUUUAAGGUUGCACGGAGUAAAUAUUUUGCACCAGAUACGUUAUUCUUGUGCUGCACCCAGUGGGUUGAGGAUGUUCGACUAUCUGAAGCAUAACUAAAAAAGAAGCACAACCCAAAAUGGGAGAGCGUUUUUUUUUUUCCUUGCUGAAGAACCCAAAUAAUAAGGGUAUGCGUGGACUGCACCUGCACCCAAGUGGCCACAGACCGAGUCCCCUACAGACCGAGUCCCCUAAAAAAAAGAUGAUGCUUUGGCUCCAGCGUCGCUGUUGCGCCAAAUUACAGUGCUUUUGACGCCACUAACUGAGUCAUAUGCCAAGGUUUGCUUGAAAUGCACUCCACCGAAGCAUCUCCAAAAAGAUGAUGAAUUUACAAGGUUGUCAUACACACUUGGGUAGCCCAACAUGGCCCACUGGCCCAUGAAUGCAUCGUUGCAGGGACCAGGCCCAUGAAUGCAUCGUCAAUCAUCCAUUCGCCUUCCCAUCGUUCCGACUUCCGCGCGUGCAGUCUAUCGCCACCUGCCCGGUGUCUCUGCGACUCCGCCUCUGUUCUGUGCCGACGCCAUGCGUCCCAGACCACAAGGCAGGCGUCCGCUGCGGCGCUCCUGCUGCUGCAACCUGCAAAACGCCAAUAGGUAAGCCUCUGAUCCCAUUGCACGUCUCGCGAUGAUUAGAUUAGAUUGAUAAGGGGGCUUUAGCCCUGUCACCUCGGAUGCUAAUUAGGAGGAUUAAAUAUGAGCUAAUUAUAAAACUAAUAGCAGAACCCGUAGGCUAAAUCGCGAGACGAAUCUAUUAAACCUAAUUAAUCCAUCAUUAGUUAAUGGUUACUGUAGCACCACAUUAUCAAAUCAUGGACUAAUUAGGCUUAAUAGAUUCAUCUCGCGAUUUAACCUAGAUGCAAUUAGUUUUGCAAUUAGUUUAUAUUUAAUACUUCUAAUUAGUGUCAAACAUCCGAUUAGCCCUUGACUCCCAAACCCCCCUAAAUCAAUCAAUUGACAGUUGUGACAACUAUAUGCAGCUACGAGCUAAGCGCACCCCCUCUAAUUCGCUUUAGCUUCGCCACUGGCAAUAAGCCACAACAGAGAUUAAAGGUAGAGUCCACAGUUCCAUAAACCGUUCAAACAAUGUCAUGUGUCAUUUCAUAAAAUACUGCAGCUGUUCAACUAUUACUUUUUUUACUGUAGAUAAUAGUCUAAAAUCGUGAAGCACCUGCUUAUACGCUACUGGAUGGGAACACUGUCCGGGCCAAUGUUAUAUCGAUGCUCAAUUAUAUGCCGCUCAACACUAUCCGACAGAUCCAGAGUUUGGUGGACCAAUGUAGGCCUGGUUUGGUUUACGCCGCUUUUUUUUAGCAUUCGUCAUAUCAAUGUUUAGAUACUAAUUAGAAGUAUUAAAUGUAGACUAUUUACAAAACCCACUACAUAAGCGGAGGCUAAACGGCGAGACGAAUCUAUUAAACCUAAUUAGUCCAUAAUUUGACAAUGUGUUGGUACAGUAAAUAUUUGCUAAUGAUGGAUUAAUUAGGCUUAAUUAGGCUUAAGAUUCGUCUCGCCGUUUAGCCUCCACUUAUGUAAUGGGUUUUGUAAAUAGUCUAUGUUUAAUACUUCUAAUUAGUAUCUAAACAUUCGAUGUGACACAUGCUAAAAAUAAGCAAACGGAACCAAACAGCCCCUAUAUCAAUGCUCAAUUAUUGCGCGGUAGGUACAUGUCGUGGUUCCCAUUACUCGAUACCUUGCCUGCAUAGAGCUUGCUUUCGCGUACACCGCCUGCUCAUCGCCUCCAUUUGUGUCUUGCUUGACAGAGGGAGGAGUCUUCUGUCUUGCAAUAACACGGGACACUUCAAGUUCUGCGAUCAAAUUCUAGUCUCGUUCAAGUUUAGCGUCUCCCUUGGGUGAGCACAAUUUUACUAGUAUGAUGCCCAUUAAUGUUCUCCUCUGGCAAUCUUAGAAUCUUUACUGCGAUUGUGUGACAUCUCUGAAUUCAUGGUUUCCUCAUCCUGCGCGCAGCAACCUCGUACUUGAAGCACACAUCGGUCUGAGGUUCGUUGAGGUUGUGACGAUGGAGGCCGCCGUCAGUGCCGCGCGGUGGGUGCUGGGCAAGGCCCUGGCGCCCGUCACUGACGGCUUGCUGGAGGCGUGGGCGGCCAGCGCCGGGCUUGGCGACAACAUCGACGCCCUCAAGAUGGAGCUCCUCUUCGCGCAGGCCAUGCUGGACAAUGCCCGCGGCAGGGAGCUUCACAGCCCCGCGCUAGCGCAGAUGCUGCACAAGCUGCGGCAGCUGGCCCAGGGUGCCGAUGACGUGCUCGACGAGCUCGACUACUUCCGCAUCCAGGACGCGCUCGACGGCACCUACCACGCCGCUGACACGCCUGCAGACGGGUGCGCAAAGAGUCUUGCUCUCAACACUCUCUACACUGCCAGAGCUCUUGCCGGUAAACUCAAGCUCACCUCCGGCUCGAAGUUGCCAAAACUGAAGUUUGAUAGGGUGGAAAUCUCUAUAAAGAUGAGGGCUAUCAUAGAGCAGCUCAAGCCCAUAUGCGCGAAGGUAUCCACCAUUCUGAAUCUAGAGCCAUUAGGCUCCAUCGCAAUGAACAGACCCAUAACCAGUUCAGAAAUCAUAGAGCCUAAAUUGUAUGGGAGGGACAGCCAGAAAAAGAGAAUUGUGGAUGCCAUUGCCUAUGGUGAAUAUGCUGCCUACAAAUUUACUGUACUUCCAAUUGUUGGGCCGGGAGGUAUAGGGAAGACAACUUUCACACAGCAUGUAUAUCAAGAAGUGAACAGCCAUUUCCAGGUCUCAGUUUGGACAUGCGUCUCUCUUAAUUUCAAUGCAAAUAAGUUGUUGCAAGAUAUUGUGGACAAGAUUCCAGAAGUUAAUGGUGAAAGCAAAACUGAUAGCGUCGAAGAGCGAAUAGGGCAAAGAAUAAAAUCUAAGCGGUUCUUGCUUGUCUUGGAUGAUAUGUGGACAUAUCAUGAGGAUGAGUGGAAAAAACUGUUAGCUCCAUUUAGAAAAGGGGAGGAGAAAGGUAAUAUGGUUAUGGUCACAACUAGAAUCCCAGAGGUAGCAAAAAUGGUUAAGACAGUCGACAGUUGGUUAGAACUGGAGCGUUUGGAAGGUGAAGAUUUCCUGCGUUUCUUUGAAGCAUGUGUUUUUGGUGAAGAACAGUCAUUUAAAGAUCAUGAUGCAUUGCUUGGCGUUGGAAAACAAAUACUGGACAAGUUGAAGGGUUUCCCGUUGGCAGCAAAAACUGUUGGGAGGUUACUAAGAAACCAACUUAAUUUGGACCAUUGGAGAAGAGUACUGGAUAGUAAAGAAUGGGAACUUCAAACCAGUGAUAAUGACAUUAUGCCAGCACUAAAGCUGAGUUAUGACUAUCUCCCUUUCCACCUUCAACAGUGUUUUUCUUAUUGUGCAUUGUUUCCCGAAGAUUAUGAAUUUCAUAGCAAAGAGUUGAUUCGCUUGUGGAUAGGACUAGAUAUUCUGCACUCACAUGAGAAAAACAAAAAAGCUGGAGAAGUUGGAGAGAGCUACCUAGAUGCAUUGGUUAGUUAUGGAUUUUUUAAGGAAAGCAAAAGAGGAUAUGGCUCACCAUGUUAUGUUAUCCAUGAUCUACUACACGACUUAGCAGUGAAGGUUUCAUCAGAUGAAUGUCUUAGCAUAUAUGGUUCAAACAUGGGGUCCAUCCAAAUCCCCCCUUCCGUACGUCACAUAUCUAUUGUUAUUGAGGACACAAUUUUGGAGGAUAGAAUCCGUUUUGAAGAAUGUAAAACAGGUCUGAGUGCACUGGAUAAAAGAUUGAAUGCUGAGAACCUACAUACAUUGAUGUUAUUUGGAAAGUACCAUGUAAGCUUUGCCAAGGAAUUUCGUGAUUUGUUUAGGGAAGCAAGAGGCCUUCGUGUUGUAUUUUUGUCGAAAGCAUCACCAUCCUAUGAUGUCGAUAAUUUGCUAUGCAACUUCUCUAAGCUUGUCCAUCUUCGCUAUAUACGGAUUGCAAACUCUGUGUUCUCAGUAAGACUACCUAGUAGUACUGCAAGAUUAUAUCACUUGAGGAUCCUUGAUGUAUCAGGAUGCAAUAUUGACUCGAGAUUCCUGAGGGAGAUGAGAAACCUUACAAAAUUACAACACUUUCUUACUCUUGAUGGCAGCGUUCUCUCUAGAAUUUUUGAGGUAGGGAAACUAAAACUUCUACAGGAGUUAAGAAUAUUUGAAGUCAACAAGGAAAAUUCUGGUUUCGAACUAAAGGAGUUAGGGCAACUGCAAGAGCUCCAUGGAUCACUUAGCAUUUAUAACCUUGAAAAGGUUCAAGCAAAGGAAGAAGCAGAGCAAGCAAAACUAAUACAAAAAUCCGAUUUAAAACAGUUGACAUUAAGUUGGGAUAGUGAGCGGUCCGAUGACAGUAAGAAUCCUAAGAGGGAAGAGCUUGUCCUUGAAAGUCUGAAACCACAUAGCAAUCUUCAGGAGCUAUGCAUUAGAGGACAUGGAGGAGCUAAAUGUCCUACAUGGCUAGGCACCAACCUUAAUGUUCAGAAUUUAGAAUCUCUUUGUCUUGAUGAUAUAGGUUGGAAAAACCUUCCACCUAUAGGAGGGCUGUGGAUGGUCAGUGGCCAUGCUGAAAACUGCCACGGCCAAAGUUUCAAGAAUUUAAAGAGGCUAGAAUUAGUCAAGAUACCAACGCUGGAAAAAUGGGUUGGAAAUGACCCUUGUAAAGUCUUCUCUCACUUGGAAGAGCUGGUCAUAAGAGAUUGCUCUGUACUCAUGGAGUUGCCAUUUUCACGUUCUACUUGUGAACACCGAGAUAAAGAGGUGAACCGGAAUUGGUUUCCCAAGCUAAGGAAGCUAGAAAUUGUUAACUGCCCAAACUUAUUGUCCUUGCCUCCUUUACCUUGGACUCGUGCUCCAUGCUCCCUCAAAAUAGGAGGACUGGGUCUAUGUUUUAAGUAUCUAUUUUACAAAAAAGAUGAAUCUGGAUGUGACUUGGUAGUCGAUGGCUUGGGUGGUGCAUGGCUGAAGGUGUUGGACUUUGACAACCUAACGGAACUAAAAUCUUUGGAGGCCCAGAGAUGCCCUCCUCUGCCUCCGGAUCACCUCCAAAUGCUUUCAUCCCUGAAGACCCUCAAUAUCAUGAAUCCGAAUAGUGGCCUUUGGCCAGUUGCCGGCCAUCAGUUUCCAGUGGAAAAUCUGGUGAUCACAGAGUGUGGUGCUAGUGGAAAGGAAUUUACACAGCUGCUCUCUCAUUUUCCAAAGCUUUCUACUUUGCGUAUAAGCGGUUGCCAGAAGAUAACAAGGGCGGGUGUCAUGGGGAAGCAAGCAACGAUAAAAUCCGGGCCAUCGCCAUCAGCUUCAGCUAAAAUGGAGGGCGUGCAAAUUGGUCAGAACCAGCUAAUACAUGCAAGAGGAGACAGGGAAAUAGCAGUGGAAACAGAGGAUGAAGAAGUACUGCUCUUGCCUCCCAACCUACAGAGACUGGUAAUGAUCGGGUGCCCAAAUCUGAUUCUCAUCAAUCUUCCCUCCGAUUUGCACUCCCUCCAAUCUUUGGAUAUUGAGGCGUGCCCCAAGUUCCUCUCCUCCUAUUCAUCGUCGUCCACUUCGUGUUUCGCCUUCCCAUCCUCCUUGCAAUUUCUCCAUCUUCAUGGUUUGGAGGGCAUGGAGGCAGCAGCAGUGCCUCUCUCAAACCUUGUCUCUCUCACAAGGCUACGGAUAGGGAAGUGUGCGGACUUAAGAAGCGAGGGCUUGGGAACUCUCCUCACCCAAGGUCAACUCACAGAACUAAAGGUCUACAGGAGCCCCAGAUUCCUCGUUGACUGUUCCAAGCCAUCAUGGACGCGUGAAGAAGAGCCUCUUCCCUGUUCCUCCAAGCUGCAGGAGUUGACUAGUGACGACAUUGCAGGCGUCCUCACUGACUCCUUCUGCAGCCUCGUCUCUUCCUCUCUUGCCACCUUAAAUCUUGAAUCUAACCACGAUGUGGAACGCUUCACAAUGGAGCAAGUGGAGGCGCUUCUUCUCCUCACCUCCCUCCACGACCUUGAGUUCAGUUGGUGCGGCAAGAUGCAGUACCUUCCUGAUGGGCUACAUAAACUUGACAAACUCAAGGCAUUAUCCAUCGAAGGCUGUAAAGCUCUCCGGUCGCUGCCCAAGGACGGCCUCCCCAGUUCGCUGCAGCAUCUAUGUAUCGGCAACUGUCCUGCCAUCAGGUCACUGCCAAAGGUAGACACACUCGCCAGUUCUCUGCUCUCAUUAAGGGUCAAUGCCAGCAACAGCAAGGAGCUAAUAAGACAGUGCCGCAAGUUAAAAGGAACAAUUCCAAGAGUCUACACCUGACUCAUCCAGGGUAAGAGAUGCUUUUGCUUGUUUGUUUGUACUACUUGUGCCCAGUUCCUGUCCACAACCUUUCCUUACGUUUGCAUAAUCUCGUCUGCACCAAAGCACGGAGUAUAUUGCAACUCUGUUACGUUCGCUGCGGUUCCUGUUCCCAUCUGAAUAACCCGGAUCACUUGUUUGAACACGUUUUGUGCAGGUCUCAUGUUAUACGAAUCGAGCAUCUUUCUUGUCUUGUCAGAUUUCAUCUGCAAAUAUAACUUUUCGAGUCACACUAGAAGUCUAUCCACCGAAGAUCAAGUUCAACACCAGCUUCUCGAGUUUGUAUGUAUCUGCAUAAGGUUAUUACUUAUUAUUUUAUUAGUAACAUUCCUCUGUGUUUCUUUUAACUUUUCGCAGUGUUUCCACUAACCAAUUUAAUUAUGACAUUACCAUCUCAACAGGAUGCCCUCUGGAAUGUUAAUGUGAAGACCUCCACAGUUGACCUGCCUGGUGCAUAUACGCAGACUUACUCAACUGUUGUGGUUACCUUCUGUAGCUAUGUCGUAAGCUGCCAUGAUGCAAUCGACCUUGUAGAUUCACUGAACACCCAAGCUGAAUUUGUCUGCACGCCUCCAUCUCUUGAGCUCACUGCUCACCCAACCUAUAAAUGAUAGCUCUGCUGAUUGAACGGCAUUCAUCAAAACACAAAGGUACUAUGCAUUUUGUAUUUAACAGUUCAAAUGAAGCCGCACCAAUUUCUAACUGCCAAGCUUGUUGCUUCCUUGCAGAUACCUCAUAGAAUCCUGCUGAAAAAUACAGUGGUUUGUUUCAGAUACUCGUGCAGCAUAAAGUUGACGUGAUACGGCUAUUAUGUGUACCCAUUACCAUCAUAGAUGUGGUACGGGAAAACAAGUAAUCUAGAGUCACAGCUUCGUUUGCGUGUUUUAAUUAGGGGUGGUAAAGAGCUCUCUAAUUUAACCUAGCAAAUUUAAGGAUCGGACUCAAUACGUACCAUGCAAAAUACUAUAUGAUUUUGUGCUAAAUACUAUUCUCUCCAUCCCAAAUUAUCGAUAAUCUAGUUUGCUUUCUUUGUGGUGGCAUUGAUCAUUGUACAGGUUCUUGAAGAGGGCUAGGCGAGUAAAAUGAGGGAAAAGCAGCUCAAUCGAAAAAAAAAAGUAGACUCGCCCCCUAACUAAAAAAGUCACUAUCAUUGAAUUCCUAAGCAAUUGCAAACCAACAUAUGCGAUUCAUUCCUGUAUUGAUUAUAGCGAACAACAAACUCUUCGCCUUUAAGUAUACAAUGACCACACUGAUUAUCUCAAGGGGAAAUUCCUUUUGAUCGCCAUUUUGAGGUAUUCAUCGUUGGCAGCGAAUUACGGGCCACCUCGCUUGAUGGGCUUUACUCUUGUGCAUUUUUGGACCUCUUAUUUUUUUUGGACAUCUUGUUUAAUAGUCAGCCAUUAUAUUAUACUUUUUUUUUGAAUAAAGGCAUGCGUUUUAUUAUUUAUUUUAUUCAAACUCGCGGGACUACAUAGCAUCUCGCAGUUUGUCUUAUAUGCUGCGUUUCUUUGAAGCAUUACGGUCCACUUCACAUUAUUAUAGGUUUGUUCCUGCCUGGUAAUGAGUAGCUACUCUCACGUAUUUUGAUAAAAAAUGGCAAACAAUUAUGUGUGCAGUAUUCCGCAAUAUUUUUAUGUUAACAGUUUCUCUGGUUGGUAAAAAAAAGACUGCGAGCUUAAAGUUUCGUCAUUUGUCAUUCACAGCUGGUCAAAUGCCGCGUGGUAUAAGACUACAAGAUAUGCUAAACGGAAAAAAAAAAUCACGCACCGAUCAGUCGAUUACGGCAAGCAGUGUGGGCGGCAGGGCUUGCUUUGCAGUGCAGCUGCCCUUGCUUGCUCCUUAAUCUUCGCUCUCAGUUUCAUUUUGACAGGACGCCACCGGCUUCGGAAACACCACACCGUAAUCUCCUUGCUCUGGUCAAGGACAUCAUCUCGUUUUCAGCCAUCCAACAUGUACUUUGUUCGAUUAUCUCGGAUAAACAAUCUGAGAGAUUCGCUUGUGUCUUGGAUGCCAAGAAUGAGCAUGGCGUGAACCAGCUAGAGCACACAGUCAUGCAUGCUAGCCGCCAUGCGAGCGUUCAAAGACAUCGAUGACCGCCUACUCGCACCUCAAAUUCAGGGAACCGGACUUGAAAUCCGCCUAUAUAUACACAAUGAUAAUCACGUCGAACUCGCAAUCCAUCCCAUCAAAAGAAUUGCUUUCAACAACCAAAUCAUGGCUAGAACAAGGAUGUCUUCCCUCUGGUCCAUCUUGUUGCUCCUAGCCCUGUCUGCUGCACUGUGCACACGCAGCGCCGCAGCCACCAACGACGACGACGGGAGCUACGGCACGGACCUAGACGCCGGCCGCCGCGCGCGCUCCGCGGCCACGGUCGCCGAGAUCCUGUCGGUGCACAACGAGGCGCGGCGGGAGGUCGGCGUGCCGCCGCUGGUCUGGAGCCCGCAGAUCGCCGGGUACGCCAAGGGCUUCGCGCAGUCGCGGCGCGGCGACUGCGCGCCCCGGCGGUCGCCGCUGUUCUACUUCGGCGAGAACGUCGUCGUUGGGAAGGGCCGGCACUGGAACGCGACGGCGCUGGCGGCGCCGUGGGUGGCGGAGGGGCAGUGGUACGACUACGGGAGCAACUCGUGCGCCGCACCACCGGGCGCCGGGUGCCUGCGGUACACGCAGGUGGUGUGGCGCAACACCACGCAGGUCGGGUGCGCCAGGAUCGUGUGCGGCUCCAACGACACCCUCCUCGUCUGCGACUACUUCCCGCCGGGCAACUACGGCACCGGCAGGCCCUACUGAUCGUCGCCGGCCAGCUGAUCAUGUUGCUCGGUCCGUGCAAAAUAUAGUUGGUUUCCAUGCAUAUGGUCGAGUCAUCGAGUUAUGUUUUACUGUGGAUUAUUGUGUGUCUAUUCGUUGUGUGUUGUGAUUCUUAAGCAUCACCGAGACACCAACGUCCCAUGGACGUACGGUAUGCUGAAAUAAAACUGAGAUUCCAUUGAUUUGCUGCAGGGUCGUAGCUCCAAAUUGGAGGUACCGGAACAAAAUUCAGAAGAACCCUGCUGGUGGUAUUUGCACAAUAACUAAUCGCAGAUGGAAUGCAAAUCAUGGAAAUUCUGAAACGAGAAAUUAAGAACAAAGUGUGAAAGACUACUUAAAUUACAGAACCUCCAACAAAUCUGGCUGAGAACAUUAACUCAUUGCCAGACGAAAUUUCAUGACAAAGCCAUAUGAGAAGCAUGCUCCAUAUCGUUUCAGAAGAUGAUCAAAUGGAUGAUAGAAACACCAAUCUGAUUAUCUGAACUGUCUCACAUAUUUGCUUUCUACAAGAUGAAUACAUGGAUCUGAAUAUUUGUUAGAUCAAAUAGCUGUAGAAUCGGCGAGGAAGCUAGGUCCGAGAAGCUAGUUGGACAAACGGCGAGCUCGAUCUGGUGGGCGGCGGGGUCGACCUGGUGGGCAGGAAUCGGGAGGAGAACGAGGCGGCGGGGAGCUGCAAAGCCGGCUAAUUGGAUUCGGUACAAUAGCAACUUCAAAAGAUCUUUAAAAUUACGGUAAUGCUAUGGUUCGGUCGUCCGUAGGCAUCGUACGCUUACCACAAGAAAUAUCUGACGCUUCCUAUCUAGUCAGUCUACCUUAUCUAUUUCCACUGUUCCUUUUCUUCCCCAUCCUAAUCCCGUGACUUUUCUUCUUCAACCUCCUAGUCCCUGGCUUCCUCCUCCCUUUCACGCUCGCGCCCCGUGCCGCACGGCCAUGGCUGCCUCCCUGGCCGGCGGCGGCGCGCUCCCCCACCCCGACAGCCUCGUCCCCCACCCGCUCCCCCACCCUGGCGUCCUCCUCACCCACCCCGGCGGCACCCCUUCCCCGCACUGCAGCGGAAGCCAUCCAUCUCGUUUUGCCUCUCUGUUUGUGCAGGCCUGAACUCAAGAACCUAGACCCCCUUCCUCAUGCUCGACAAGGUCUCAGUCUCCAAGCCCGCCGGGUUCCCCAACCAUUCCCACAGAGGAUUCGAGACCAUCACAUACAUGCUCGAGGUGCGUGUCCUCUACUCAAGCAAACCUUGUGUUACCUGCCUCUGUUCUUCUACCCCCCACGAGCUGUUCGCUCAAAUGUCUCCUUCUGUGUUGGAUUGAAAUUGUAGGGAGCCUGCACCCACCAGGACUUUGCAGGCCACAAGGGCACCAUCAGGGUAGGGGAUGUCCAGGUCAGCCCAUCUGCUCUCUAAUUGUACUCAUGAUCACCAUGCUCAUGCAGCAGUUUUAUUUCCUAUCCUGAUAUUAUUCCCUGAACUGAAUUCUUCCUUCAGUGGAUGACUGCCGGCCGGGGCAUCAUGCACUCGGAGAUACCAGCGGGGGACGGGGGUGCAUAAGGGCCUGCAGCUCUGGAUCGAGCUCCAGAGCAAGGACAUCAGCCGCGCCUUGAAGGACGGCGUAGAGGUCCGGAUCAUCGCCGGCGAGGCCUUCGGCGUGCGCUCCCUGGUCUACACGCGCACCCUGACCAUGUACAUGGACUUCACCAUGCGCCCGGGCUCCCAGAUCCACCAGCCUAUCCCGGAGGGCUGGAAUGCCUUCAUCUACAUCGCCGACGGCGAGGGCGUCUUCGGCCGGGAGAAGUCGGCACCCGUGUCGGUGCACCUACUGACGGCUCCAUGUUGCGAUAGGUACCUCUUGGUGUUGCAGUAGAGAUUUUUGGAUGUUGCAACAGUUGGCUUUUGAUGUUUCAUCUGUUUGCAACAGUCCAACUUGCUAGCAAUUGGGUGUUGCACCAACUUGUUCACGAUGUUGCAUAUGGUUGUUUUCUUUGUUUCGGCCUCCUUUUCUUUUGUUGUUGCAAUGUUGUAAGAGAUGCUUUUUUGUUGUUGCAAUGUUGUAAGAGAUGCUUUUUUUUUGUUGUUGCAGUACUUGAUUUGGCCGAGAUCACAAAAUUAUUUCUAUUCGAGAUGUUGCAACUUGUGUUUUUUAUUGUUGUAAUGUGUUUAUUUUGAAUGUUGCACGAAACAAUUUGAGAUGUUUCAUGCACGUAAAGGUGUUGCAAAUUUAUCUUCUGAUGAAUGUUGCAUGAAACAUGAUGAAAUGUUGCACAUGGGGAUUUUUUAUCCUUGAGAUGGAUGGCGUGCAUGAGUUCCAAAACUAUUUUUAGUGCAUGUUUUCAUGUUGCAAAUGUUGAUUUUUGAUGUUUCGAUAGUUAUUUUUCAAUGUUGCGACGGAGCGUCCGAUAAAAAAAACUAUCGGACGUCUGGGUGCUAGCACAUCCGAAUCAUCCCAAAACUUUAUUUAGGAAAAAAUAAAAAAAAACUUAUCUCUAAUAGCUCCCCAAUUCUUCCCGUAAAAAUACGUGGAUGCUAAAAAUACCGGAUCCGGUCUUUCCCCAAUCUCCCGAACUGCUCCACGUGUUCCGCAUCGACAGCUACUCAUGGUCCACGACGAUCCCUGACGGUGAGAGCAUCAGCUCACCGUUCACCUCCACGUACUACUACCCGAACGGCACGGACGCCGCCAGGCCAGACUCUGGCUCCAUCUUCUUCUACCUCCGACUCGAUGACCACGAGGCGCGCGUGCGGGCGCAGUACAGGCCCAGCCUGCUAGGUCCCUCCAGCGACGCCGCGUACGAGUUCCCCGCCGAGACGGCCAUCUUCACGGGCCCUGACGACGACGACAACGACUACGGCCGCAUGCACUACUAUGAAGACUACUUCUAUGAGGAUGGGAACGAGAUUGACAAGGAGGUGGGGCCGCCGGAGGAGCUCGGGCGUGGCUACGCCGACUUCAUCAGCAAGGAGACAUCAGCAGUCUGGUGUGGCUUCGCGGCGCUGGGUGUCAGCAUCACGCCGUCGCACCGGCACCGGUGCAAUACAAGUGGGCCGUGCGCUCGAUCCGACGCCGCUCGGGGCCCGCCGAGCCCACGCCUCCGGACUGCAUCGCGGGGAACGGCACCUCCGCCUCCGCCGUAGCGUCAUCACUCUACGCCAUGAAGGGAAAGAAGGGUGUCAACCAGGACGCCAUGGUCGGAGGUGACACCCGCAACCACCGUUUCCCCUUGCGCAGCAAAGAUGCCGAUCGUGCGUGUGCGGGUGAGCCCAAGGAGGAAGAACGAGCCGGGGGUGAUUUUAUGAGAGGAAAGAAGUACAGGUUAUGGCUAGUUUUGAAGCAUCGGGAGUUUAUUAUUGGGGAUCUGCUAUGGGAUGACAUGAUCUUGGGAGAAAAAAUUUUUAGUAGAGCCAUAAUUUUGGGGGAGAUUUUUUUAGACUCUUGGAGUUACUCAUUGGGUUGCUUUUGAAAGUUGUUUAGAUUUAAUAAGCUCAUUCAUCAAAUAAUUUGGUUUGGUUUGGAUUGCUCUUAAGAGGAAAUAGUUUGGGAGUGGUUUAGAGUGGGUUGCAUUAGUUUGAUUCACAAAACAAUUUAAGGAUCGGAUUCUUGAUGUAGGCUUACGUAUAAGUUCAACUAUACUUUUUUGCAUGAAGUAGCUAAUUAUUAAACUAAAUCAUCUCCAACAAAUUUCAAUCAAUUUCUCUCCAACAAAUUUCAAUCAAUUUCGUUAAAAUUUUAAAGUGUGAAAAAGGGAGGUUUUAGUUCGAGGGUCCGACUCUUGACAUGGGACCCAUAUAUAUGUCUAGCUACACUAUUUUGCACAAAGUAGCGGACACUUAAACUGAGUCAUCUCCAACGAAUUUGAUCAAUUUCACUAAAAUUUUAAAGUGUGAACGUGAAGUUUUAAUUUUAGGGUCCGGCUCUUGACGUGGGAUCCACAUGUAUGUUUAGCCAUACUAUUUUACACAAAGUAGUGGGCCGUGAAAUUGAGUCAUCUCCAACAAAUUUUGAUGAAUUUCGCUAAAUUUUUAAGGUGUGAACGUGAGGUUUUAAUUCUAGGGUCUAAUUCUUAAUGCGGGCCUAAAUGUAUGUUUAGCCAUACUAUUUAGUACAAAGUAGUGGGUACUCAAACUCUGUCAUUUUCAACAAAUUUCGAUCAAUUUCGCUAAAAUUUUAAGGUGUGAACACUACGUUUUAGUUUUAGAGUCCAGCUCUUGACGUAGGACCCACAUCUGACUCACAUUUAUUUCAAAUAUAUACAAGUUUUUUUAUAUGAGCUCAUAGGUUUAUAUAGUAAACCCGUGGGUUCUAUCAACCAGUAGAGUGGAUUGACUUGGGUUUAGAUAAUAUAAAUAUGGGGUGAGUUAGGUUGAAAAAAUAAAUUAACUUGAUAUGCCUACCCCAGGGGCGAUUGGGGUCGAUGGGAGUAACGAACCUGUCGCUCCUGUUCGAUUGGGUUCGGUCCGGUUCGAUCCGUCUGUUAAUUUCACAAGCGGAUCGACCCGCUCCUUUGCAGGCCUAUCGUCUUCGCUAUCAUUCCCGUGCAGCAGCGACUUCCCGGGUUUCAGUUCUCUCCAACGGAUGUGUAAAUCUUCUUCUUAGUACUCAAGUAGCUCAUUACAUGCAACAAGGCUAGUUAGUUAUCGAAGAAGCUAUUAGCAUAUCCGCUUGCAGAUGCUUUGUGUCUAAGCCUCGAGCACGUGGGCUCCGUGGAUACAGAAAUAUCAGACGAGAAGUAGUUCGUCCUGCUGCCUUCUAUUCCCAACGGGUUGCAUGCUGCAACUCCGAUCACAAGUUCCCAACUGGUAUCCUCAAUUUCCUCCCAAGCGGUCGUUUACUUUUGGUAUCUCUACCCAGGCUCCUUAAGUACCAAGAUGUGUGUUCACGUCAGGCUACUAACUAUCCUAAGACUACAAAUAUGAAAAUGUAGCCGCUUCCUAUGUUUGUUUGAAGAUCCCCUCCCUUAGAGCCCCCACGUCACCUCCCUUGGAGCCCCCACGUCGCCCACCACCGCGGCCGACACGGGCGGCGCCAUAGCAGCCGCCAACCCCCCUACCCCUCGAGCCCACCUCACCACUGCCGGAGGGGGUCGCUGGAAGCCCGUGCGGCCCCGAAGGACGGUGGCGGCGGGGUAGACUGCCCGGUGCGGGCCUAGGGCGCCGAGGCGGGACGACGCAAGGUCAUGGCCGGGUGGCGUACUGGAGCGGCGGCAGCCCUGAUCCGGCCCUGCCGUGGGUGGAUCCGGCUUCCCCGACCCCAGAUCCGCUGCUCCUGUCCCAUUCGGCAGGCGACGUGCGGAGCGGAGGGCGGCAGCGCGACGGCGGCGGCGCACCGGGUGGUGGACAACGGGCGUGACGACGACAACUGGUGCGGGAAGUGAGGCCGUGUGCGGCGGCACCGGCCCUGGUCACGGGUGAGGACCACGCGCGGCGGCAACCUCGGCAUGAGUGAGGAAACCACGCGCGGUGACGACCGGCAGUGGUGGAGCCCCGCACGGGCAUGGGGCCCGCUGGCACCCCUGUGCCACGGCGGCAGCGAGCGUGGCGCAAGGCCAUGGGGUCGCGUGGCCGCGAGGAGAUGACGAGGAAUGCGUAUGUGUGGGAGGCUGAGAGUGCGCGUGGGCUGUGCACGUCGUCAGGAUGGCCGCGUGGUCCUCGGCGUGGUGUUGGACGACUGCCAGGCGCGAGGCUGAGGAGUUCGUGGCGGCGGAUCUGGUGGCAGCGGCGGACAUGAGGAACAAAAUGGAGGCAUGGCCAUGAGUACCACGCGACGCUGUGCGGGUGCCUUGCCGCCGGCCAUGACGCGGGUGCGUAACGAUACCAUGACGCAGGCGCGUCGACCCGGCGGCGGAGGAGGCGCCACCUAGGAGAACGGCGGGCGGAGGGGGCACUAGCGUGGAGGAUGGUGGUGCGGAGGUGGCGUCGGCACGGAUGAGGCGAUGCACGCAGGGCGCGCACAGAGGAUAGCGGCGCGGAGGGCGGCGCAGGGUGCGGCACGAGGAGGAUGACUGCCGGCGAGGAGGUACGAUGGUGUGAGGAGGUGCGGCGACGCCGCCGCUCCGGAUAAGCUAUCGUGAUUGUGGUAGGGAAUGCCGAGCUGUGAGUGUGCAGGAGUUGGGAGGCUCCGGAUAAAAGCCCUCACUGGCAUUAUUAGCCUGGCGAAGUCGACCUCACGAGGCGAAGUCGACCUGUGGCGGCGGCUUGACUGAUCGACGGAGAUCUUGUGGAGCGGGGCAACAUUGCUCACCACUCUGACAGCGAUAAAAGAAACGGAUCCGUGAUGAGAAGUAUGGUGGCAGGCGUGGCGAGACCCCCACGCAUGGUGUUUCUCUGAGGCGACGAGAACGAGGUGGAGUCCAGCGAUGGAUAAGGUGAGGUCCCCGCGCGUUGUGUUAUCAUGGUGGCGACUGCGAGACAGCCUACGAGAGGUCCGGAUUCGGUGGUAUCACUCUGUCAGAUGGAGUGUGGAGUUGCAGCGGUAUUACAGCGGAGGGUCCCGCAUGGCGGUGACCUUAUCGAUGUGGUGUAGUCUGUUUCUAUCAGUUCCCUAUCGACGUAGGGCCACGCCCGGAGGUUUCGGCGAAUACACGAGCGUAGAUGUUGGUGGGUCCCGCCGUGGCGAGUGGAGUGGUGAGGCCGCAUUGAUGUCCCAAUCCAACAGGUCGGGCGUGGCAGUUCUGAGUUGAGUGGCUACCCGCGUUGAUGUCCCAAUCCAACCGGGCGAGUCUUUUUUGUUUUUCUCUUCUUUUCCUUUUGUAUUUUUCCAGCAUGGAACUCCUUCAUUUUUAAUAUAAUAAUCGGCAGCUCUCCUGCUCAGUUAGUUUAAAAAAAAACAAAUAUGAAAAUGGCACUGGGGAAGACUAACCAGGCAGAGAAUCUGAGUGCUAUACAUACAUACAUACAUAUAUAUAUAUACAUAUAUAUAUAUAUAUACAUAUACAUAUAUAUAUAUAAGGAUAUAUGAGAAGAGGCAAUGCUAUUUGUUUGUAUAUAAGGAAAAGCCAUACUUCACCUAACAGAGGUUCAUGGGUGCACUGCUCAAAUUACCACUUCACUAACAAUCCACAUGAUUGUACCCAGUAGAACAAGAUCCACAGCAUUCAAGCACUUUAUUUGAACGGCAGUCAUAUACACCCACCCAUGUUUUGAAAAAUGUCAGAAAUACCAUUAAUUGAGACGGGGUGAGAUGGUUAUGAGUCACUAAACUUAUGCGCUAAGUAAUUUUUUGGAUGCACAUACAGCAACUUAUUCGAGGCCUGUUAUGAUUGUACUCCAUCACAGAACGCUGACAUGCCACUUGGCAACGUAUAUUUAUAUGUAUACCAUAAAAUGAUGUGAACUUGGUAAUUAUAUUACCGCGCAUGUGGUAGUUUCAAUCUAUAACAGACAGCAAUAGUUAUCUGACAUGAGGAAUACGUAACUUGAAAAUUUAUGAGAUAAACACUAGUAGAUUAAUCCAUGCUCUUAAACAGAUAAGUAGUUUUGGGAACAGAGAGUAGCUCAGUUGGUAAGGUUCCUUAUGACGGAACCUGCUCAUCUGAAUUCGAGUACUCGACUUAGCAAAGGUGCACUGUGUCCGCCGAUAGCGAGGCGUCAGUAGUGAUUUAGUCAAUCUCGAAGAUUUGCCGACUCAGUCUUUCGAAUGUGCUUAUAGAGGUAAGGUUGCGUGCGUGCAUUCGUUGGGGCAAAUAUGUGUGUGUAUGUGAGCGCCUGCGUAUGUAAUGUGUGAUUGAAAAAAAAGACAAGUAGUUUUAAUAGACGAAAGUCUAGGAAUUUCGUAAUAAAUUUGGGACCUACGCCAUAUAAAAAUAUUUGUUACCUAUGCUUUCCUCUUUGUUUUUCAUAUUCUUCGCAUCCUAGCCGUUGUGAAAUUGGACUAAUUCGGUGGAGUGAAUUUGGUUCGAUUCGUAUCAGUGUGAAUGGGGUUCAGAGAAUUGAAAUUGAAGCACUCUAUCUUCCCAUCCAAGUUACUUUAGUUCCUUCCCAUUGAAGUUGGCGCACAGUCGAAACUUGUGUAUACACAUAUGAUGUUCUCUACCCUGCCUCAUUCUUGAGCCAGUCAACAUUUGUUCUGGAGUCCAUCGAGAUCGAACGACUUCUAGCAUAUCGAGGGAGUACAUUAUGCAUCGAUAAGAAGCAGAGUAGUGCCGGAAGUGGUGGAGCUCCACUUCAUUGAGCUAUGUGUACCGGAGAGAAAGAAAGCUCCACACGUGCUUCCUCGCAUCGCUUGGCUGGGAAGGCGGAGGGCGCGGGCUCGUGACACCUGUGUAAAUAGUCUACCAAAAUCCGAUGUAAUAUUCCUAAAAAUUAGAAAUAUCAAAUUGAGUGAAUUUUCAAAAAUUUAAAACUUUUUGUAUGCAUUGUAUGCUCAUUUAAAAAUGGAGGUCAACUUCUAAUCCCUCCUAAAAAUUCCCUAAAUAUAUCUCAAAAUCAUUUUGAAACUUAUGUGCUAGUUUGAUUUGGAUUUUAUUGGGUUUUAUUUGGCUUUCCAAUUUGAGUGUGUUUGAAUUUUGAAUCUGAUUCAAAAUUCAAACUAAAUCUAAAACUAAAAAUAUAAAAACAAAACCUAAACUAACCCAACUAGCACACUAGGCCGACCCGCAACCAAACCGGCCUAGCUUGCUCUAACUCUCCCUCUCUUCCGCACCGGCCCACCUGGCCACCCCAGUCGACCCGCUAGGCUGCCGCAGCCUCGCUCCCUCUCUUCUUCCACCACCAGGUGGGGCCCGCACGUCAGCUGCCCUAUUCCCCUUUCUUCUUCCUCCAGUGAUACGCCUCACGCGCACGGCGCGCGCCCCCGAUGGGACGGGCUCGCCGGCUGCGUCCGCGUCGGCGCGCACUACCAUACUCGUGACCCCUCCCCCGCUCCUCCGCUUUUGCACUGGAGGCCGUGGAUGGCCGCCACAUCGAGCUGCCGCGCCAUCGUGGUCACCCACUCGCCGGUGCUACGCCCCCGAAACCUUAACCCUAGCCGCCUUGCCGUGCCUAUAAAAGGAGGCCAAGCCCCGGCCCUCUCCAUCCACCCGGGGUUCUCCCCAGCCGCCGUUGCCAAUUUGAGAAAAGAGAAGGGGAGGAGGAGGAGAGAAGAGAGGGGGAUGAGAUGGGAGGAGAAGAAGGAAGGAGGAGAAAGAGGCCGCGCCUGAGGAGAAGCCAGAGCGCUGCGCCUGGAGGAGCUGCCGUCGCCGUCAUCCGCACCAAGGAGAUCCGCAAGUCACCACCUCUUCGUCAAGCCGACGUCCAUCUUCUUCGUUGACCAACAGUGAGCUCCACCACCUCCCUCUCCCUCACUCUUUCCUGGCCUUCGCUGCCGGCUCCCUUGAGCACGAGCACGACUGGCCGCCGACGUCACAUGCUUGGCCCCUCCAUGGCCUUGUCAUGCCGUGGGAUCGCGCGUGCCUUGGACGUCGGGUGUUUCUACGACCCGGCCACACUGCUGGCAUGUCCCCGGGGCUAGACCCUGCCAUGCCGCCCACGCUGGCGCUCGACAUCGUUGCGCUGCGCCGCCACCUCGCAAUACCAACCCGUGUGCGCCCGCAGCCUCGCCGUACCCAAAGCCUUUGGCCGGGCCACAACCCCGCGCCGUGCCACGCCGCGUCGCCAUCCCGCGUGGCCUAGGCUGCGCCUUGACCAAGGCCGGACCUUUGGCCCGACCGGCGCGCCGUGCCGCUGCUCCACACUGCACCGUGCCGCGCGUAGUUGUCGCGCUGCACUUUGCCAUGCUGCGACGUCACGGCAUGCCGUGACGUCGUGGGUGCGCGAUAUUCCUUGCACUUUAAAAAAAAUCAAUGCAAUGCUAAAUAGAACUCCUAGCUUAUGUUUCAUCUAGCAUGUCUUGCCCUUCUUCUAUUCCAUUUCGCAAAUAAACUAAAAAUUGGACAUAUUGGUUUACACUAAUACAACUGAACAUUUUAUUUGUGUCUGAAUUUGUUUUGGCUUAGAACAUUUCUUCAAUCACCAAAUUUGUCAAUCUUGUGUAUUAUUGAUCAUAACCGGAGAGAAUUGGGCUUUAGUCCCGGUUGGUAGGGUGCAAAUAUCCCGAAAAUCCAUCCGGGAUAAACCAACCGGGAUAAAAGGGGGGUCUUUUAUCCCGGGUCACUCAACCGGGACAAAAGACCCCCUUUUAUCCCGGUUGGUAAUACCAACUGGGAUAAAACGGGUCACCACGGCCGGCGCUGCAAAAAGAAAAUCCCGAGCUCCCAUGAGGCCCCCCACACGCGCACGUCACAAGUCACAAGUCAUGCGAUUUUUCACGCGAAAUAUGUAGCUUCCUUGCGCGUAGCUUCCUUGACAUCCCACCUACACACCACAUCUGAGUAUGUAGGGGAUGCUAUCCUUUUGUAUUAACUCGUGGAGGACCUUUUUAUCCCGGUUGGAAACACCAACCGGGAUAAAAGGGGGGUCUUUUAUCCCGGUUCGUGUUUCAAACCGGGAUAAAAGGCAUCUCAGAGUCUUUUUUUCCCACUAGCCUUUGCAACCGGGAUAAAAGGUCCCGGUUGGUGAGCCCCCCACCAGUGACCGAGUUUUAGUCCCGGUUGGUGAACCUUUUAUCCCGAGCCAACUUUAAAUCGGGACAAAAGGGGGCGCAUGGAAAGCCAAUUCUCUACUAGUGCGGAGAGAAAGGUAAGUCCUCUAAUUUUAUCACACAGAAAAGCAUUAAGCUUCACCAUAACUUUAAUUUGUUCCUUUGUUCUUGCGUUCUGCAAGAAUCAUAUUAUAGUGAACUAGUUUUUUUUUAACUGCAAUAUAUCUACUAGCCUAUUCAUAGAAACUGCAAAACGCAUAUUUAUGAUAAAUUAAGUAUCCAUAUAAUGACAUAAUUCUCUCUAUCACUCUUAUGUUCAUGUGAAACUAAUUGCCAGGUACGUUAUAAAUGCAGGAGAUAGUACUGAAGAGUUACCUACCGUACGUAGAAAGACCAAUUACAGUUCUCUCUAUAUAAGUCGACAAGAAUAUAGUAUGAUCUGCAGACUUGACAACCAUGUCUUCCUUAACCUACCUCACCGUCCUCUCACUGCUAGCUCUGGCGGCCUCGCCGCCCUCGGGCGCCUCCGCCGACGUCGCGGCCCCAUCCCCACGCCGCGCUCCUCGCGGCCCGGCCAUCGCCGCGCAGUUCCUGUCCUUGAUCAACGCCGUGCGCGCCGACGCCGGGGUGCCGCCGCUGUCGUGGAACGCGACGGCGGCGCAGCGGGCCAAGCUGCACGCGAGCUGGCUCCGCGACUCGGCGGGGUGCGACCUGGACCAGAAGGAACGGGCCCCCGUACGCGUGGAGAUGGGGACGGCCAUGACCUGGUACCGUGGCUACGACGGCCGCCCGACGCCCGCCGACGCGGUGGCGUUGUGGCUGACCGAGCGGCCGUGGUACGACCGCGCCGCCGACACGUGCGCGGCCGGACAAGAGUGCGGGAACUACAGGCUGGUGGUGAAGCCCGAGUGGCGCCAGCUCGGGUGCGCCCUGGUGGCGUGCCCGUCCGGCGGCGCCGUGGCGGCGUGCGCGUACCGCAGGGGGCUGGGGACAAAGUGAUGUGACAUGACGAACUUCUUCCAGCUUCUUGUACGCAUUUCCAAACUUUGAAAGAUACUGUUACCACCCAUUUCCGAAUAUUCUAAAAAUAUAAAUAAAUCGGCACCAUUGGUGUGCAAGGGUAACUAAUAGAUCGUCAUAAGAUGACUAUAUCAUGACCAUAUGUUCCCAGAAAAAGGAAAAGCAGACGACCGAAUCAUUUUUAUAUGUUUCAUUCAAUAUUCAUGCAAAUCGUCGUAAAGCAAGAAAAUACCCGCCCGCAACAGUUUAACAUGUUUUCGGCAACGUUUUGCAAAUAAUCAUACUCUUCAUUCUCCAAGCAAGAGCCCAUCGCAACAUUCAUGGAAGUCACCAGCAACAACAGGAAGCAUUGUCUGCAAGAUGUACAUUUCAAACUACAAAAAUAUAUCAUGAAAAUUCCAUAUCAUGUUGUCACAUUUGAAGCUAUAAAUCCAACACUCAUAUUCUAUUUUUCUUACUUUUUCACAAAAACCAAUCAUUAAAAAAAAUCUCAUUCAUAUUUUUUUGAGAGUAAAAAAACUUAGAAAGGCCACAUGACACAUAGCCCAUUUGGCCCAAUCGCCGCCCCCACACCUCCGCCGUCUUCGAGCUUGAAAAUUCUAAAGCCACCGUCGCCGGGCGGCCUCCCCUCCCCCCACCCUUCCCUUCCCUCCUCCGAGAUGUCCUCGCCGCAAUCCCUCCUCCUCCUCCUCCCCUCCUGUCUACCACCCCCACCUCCCCUCGCCCGCUUCGCCCCGCGCCCGCUCUCCUCCCCUUCCCUCACCGCCCUCCAAUUCCCCCGCCUAGCCGCCAAGCUUUCCCCGCCGGCCCUCGCCGCAUCGUCCCCUCCACCCGGCGGCUUCCGCGGCAGUGGUGACGCCGGCGGCAGCGAUGGGGGAGGCGGAGGUGACGGCAGGGGAGGAAUGGACCCUCCCGACCCCGGCGACGGGUGGUGGCGGCGGUGGCUCCAGGCCCUCCACCCGGAGUUCCUCCUCCUGUUCCUGCUCCUCCAGUCCGGCGCCGCGUCCGCACUCGCUGAGGCCCUCGGCGCCACCGGGGAUGGCGCGGGGGGCGUGUGGGAGGUGAGAGGCGGCGCGCGCACGCGGCUCGUGCCGGACCCGACCUGGACCUCCUAUCUCAUCGCGGGGGACGACGGGUCGAAGCGGGAGGAAGGGGAUGGCAAGGGCGGAGGCUCCCGUGUGGACGUGGCCGCGCUGCGGAGGCAGCUGGAGCGGUCGUGGCGGCGCUGCGCCGAUGUUGCUGUCCAGCUGCUGCUCCCCGACGGCUACCCGCACAGCGUCAGCAGCGACUACCUGAACUACUCGCUGUGGCGCGCCGUGCAGGGCGUGGCCAGCCAGAUCAGCGGGGUGCUUUCCACUCAGGUACCGGUUCUCGUCCGAGCAUCUGUGGCAAUUAUCUGAAGCUGAUAGGUGAAGUGUAGCGUUUUUAUUCCCUGAAUUGUAUUGUUCAGGCUCUUCUCUAUGCGGUUGGGUUAGGGAAAGGAGCGAUACCCACUGCAGCUGCGGUGAAUUGGGUGCUGAAAGAUGGGCUCGGAUACUUGAGCAAAAUCAUGUUGUCCAAAUUCGGCCGGCAUUUCGAUGUUAACCCCAAAGGCUGGAGGCUGUUUGCUGAUCUUCUGGAGAACACGGCUUAUGGGCUCGAAAUUCUGACUCCAGUGUUCCCUCACCUGUUUGUUCCGAUUGGGGCGGCUGCUGGAGCUGGUCGCUCGGCAGCUGCUUUGAUACAGGUUAGACUUAGUUUGGUAGAGUAAACUACUGCUCGCCUUUUUUGUUAGGAGUAAACUGCUGCUUUAAUUUAUCAUCUUUCAACAUUGACAGAUUAUGUAUCAUGCUGCUGUUAUUUAUCUUAUGUGAAUAGGAUGAUGCAAUGCAAUGGUUUUAAUACAGGAAGUUUUCUUGUCUGCAGGCUGCCACCAGAAGUUGUUUCUAUGCUGGAUUUGCAGUCCAAAGGAACUUUGCUGAGGUGUGCUUAUCCUCGUAUGUUUCGUUUAUUAUUAAUUAAGCAGACCCUGAUAACUUGUUUUCUAUUCAUUGUGCAUCAGUCUAUUAAAUCAAAUUAUAGUUUGUAUGUUCAUUUAUCUACUUAGUCAAUGUGAAAUUGUACCUCAACAUCAAAUGUUCACCUUAUAGGCAAAAUUUAUCUCCCAUAGAUCUUCCUGCGCCCAUCCAGUACAUUGAUACAUGUCAUAGCACCAUCCCCUCCCCUCCCUCUAGAACCAUGUUGAGCAGCAUAUGAUGGUUGAGAAUAACUAGCUAGAUAGCUAGAAUUAGCAUGGCCAAUUUUCUCAUUUACCGGCAUGUUUGCUGAAUUCUCACUGAUUUGGCAAUAACUAUUACUAUAAUAAGGAGCCUAAUUGCGAGCAUUGACCUUAUAAUCUAUGGGAUUGCACAGAACACUUAUGUCACAAUCAUUAUCAUUAGCCUUUCUAAGUCAACACCACAAUAAUCGGCUCUAACUGAGACCAUGUGCGAAUAAGAUUUNNNNNNNNNNNNNNNNNNNNNNNNNNNNNNNNNNNNNNNNNNNNNNNNNNNNNNNNNNNNNNNNNNNNNNNNNNNNNNNNNNNNNNNNNNNNNNNNNNNNNNNNNNNNNNNNNNNNNNNNNNNNNNNNNNNNNNNNNNNNNNNNNNNNNNNNNNNNNNNNNNNNNNNNNNNNNNNNNNNNNNNNNNNNNNNNNNNNNNNNNNNNNNNNNNNNNNNNNNNNNNNNNNNNNNNNNNNNNNNNNNNNNNNNNNNNNNNNNNNNNNNNNNNNNNNNNNNNNNNNNNNNNNNNNNNNNNNNNNNNNNNNNNNNNNNNNNNNNNNNNNNNNNNNNNNNNNNNNNNNNNNNNNNNNNNNNNNNNNNNNNNNNNNNNNNNNNNNNNNNNNNNNNNNNNNNNNNNNNNNNNNNNNNNNNNNNNNNNNNNNNNNNNNNNNNNNNNNNNNNNNNNNNNNNNNNNNNNNNNNNNNNNNNNNNNNNNNNNNNNNNNNNNNNNNNNNNNNNNNNNNNNNNNNNNNNNNNNNNNNNNNNNNNNNNNNNNNNNNNNNNNNNNNNNNNNNNNNNNNNNNNNNNNNNNNNNNNNNNNNNNNNNNNNNNNNNNNNNNNNNNNNNNNNNNNNNNNNNNNNNNNNNNNNNNNNNNNNNNNNNNNNNNNNNNNNNNNNNNNNNNNNNNNNNNNNNNNNNNNNNNNNNNNNNNNNNNNNNNNNNNNNNNNNNNNNNNNNNNNNNNNNNNNNNNNNNNNNNNNNNNNNNNNNNNNNNNGCAUACCGCCCCCCCAUAGUCCCCCCCCCCCCCCCCGAAAAAAAAAAAAAAAAAACAUUUCCUACAACCCACUAGUCUGAAUCCCUUCCACUUUUGUUCGUACUAGGAAAAUAAAGAAUCACACUAUCAUAUGAACACUUCCGAUAUUAAAUUCAGUAAGUACAUUGUAUGCCUAUUCAUUACAUUUUCAUCUCAGUGACUAAAAUGACAUGAAUAUUCAGGUUAUUGCAAAGGGUGAAGCACAAGGAAUGGUUAGCAAGUUCGUUGGCAUAGGGCUUGGCAUUGUGUUGGCUAAUCACAUUCAUUCAUCUGUACCAUUAGCUCUUAUUUCAUUUGCUGGAGUUACUGCUGUCCACAUGUAUUGCAACCUUAAGUCUUAUCAAUCAAUUCAGCUGAGAACACUGAAUCCGUACCGUGCAAGUAAUUUGAUUUCUUCACUGUUAUUUAUCUCAAUUCUUCCCUUAUUUUUAUUGACCCUAUAUGGCCACAACUUGUGUAGGGAUGAUAUUAUGUAAUCAAAUUGGCUACUUUUUCAUCUUAAUUUCUUUACUAAGCUAGAUAUGGAAUAUAAAAAGUUCAACAGAUGUAAAAACUGACGGUUUAUUUCUGAUAAAUGGUUGAGUGAAAUGGUAAACAUGGAAGGUACAUUCGGUAUAUUUCUUCAGUCAAAAAUGUGUCUAUUUUAUUCAAUGGAUAACAUUAAACGCUGGAAGCAUAUAUUUAGUACUGUAGUGAUAUUUUGCUAAAAUAAUACUCUCUUUCUCAUACUCCUGAAUUUCUUUUUUUUUUCUAUAUGGGACAAACUUACAACAAUAGUUAUUUCCUAUCCUUGUAUCAGUUCUGUUCCCUGACAUUUAGCAUUUGUUCUCUAGAAUGAUAAUGUUACAGGAUGUGAUUAAACUUUUUUGUCCUUUUUGUGAAGGCUUGGUGUUUAGUGAAUAUCUAUUAAGUGGACAAAUUCCAUCAGUCAAAGAGGUUAAUGAUGAGGAACCUCUCUUCUUCAAUCUGUCACUUGGUGCUUCACGUAAAGUAAGUCAAGGUUACUUUCAGUAUUGUAUAACUGACCAAUUUUUUCUCCCGACAUUAUAUUCUCAACUGUUAAGCCUUAAAGCUCCUCUUUUCAAUAUUGCCUGAUCAUGUGGCACAUAUAGUUGUGUUUCGUAAUGUCCAAAUUAUAAUUGUGUCCUGUUAGAUCCAACUAGCUUCUGGUUAGGAAUGCUCGAGUAAUAUCAUCAUACAUAUUCAUUUUUUCUCCUUUGUUUUAUUUCAUUUUCUUAUUUUCUGCGGUUUCUUGGAUUUUGCAACAGGAAUGCAAGAUUUUGUCAGCAGAAGCAAAAGAUGCUGCAGAUCAAAUUUGUCAGCGGUUACAAUUGGGUUCUAAACUAAGUGAAAUUAUUGAGAGUAAAGAAGAUGCAUGUGCAUUGUUUGAUCUCUACAAAAAUGAGCAGUACCUGCUUACGAAUUACAAGGGCAAAUUUUGUGUAAGUUCAUCUUGAAGCAAGUAUUCCUAAAUGUCAGUUUUGUUGUGCAUUCAGCUAAUAAUAUUUUACCUGCUUACAGAUUGUACUUAAAGAGGGAUCUUCUCCUGAAGACAUGCUCAAAUCUUUGUUCCAUGUUAGCUAUCUGUAUUGGUUGGAAAGAUUUAUGGGCUUUAGACCAAGCAAUAUUGUCUCAGAGUGUAGGCCAGGUGGAAGGCUUGAAGUAUCCCUGGAUUAUGCUCAGAGAGAAUUCAGCCAUGUCAAACAUGAUGGUUCUGUCGGCGGCUGGGUGAUGGAUGGUCUAAUUGCGAGGCCCUUACCCGUAAGAAUACAAGUAGGAGAUGUUACUCCUUAGGACUUGGCUCAAUUAGCUGUCCUCGUAGAUCAGUCCCUUGGAGAUGUACAGUGCUCUCAUUAUCUGAUCAGUUUUCGGAGAGUUAUAUUUUGUCUAACUGGCAGUGUGGUUUGACACCUUAUCCUUCAGGCUUCUAAACUAACAGUCUUCAAACAUCCUGGUGCUCAAAUAACCUCAGAGUUACCCUCGUCAUAGGAUGGAGCUGGCAACAUCUCUAGUAUAGUUUUUGUUGAGAAUUGAAUUCUUUUUAGUUGGUUUUGACUGUUGAAGCCUGUACUAGUGCUCACAAGAUUAAGAGCACUCGGGCAACUAUAAAGAUUAAAGACAUGAUGAGAGAUUAUCAGUAGGCCACCUUGUGUGCUUGAGAUCAACUUUACUGAUAAUACUUGUCUGGUUAGUUUAUUGGAAUAAAAUCCGCAUUCCAUAAUGUUAGUGCAAUAUGUCUGAGAAUGUAAACUAGUUAAUUUGCCAAGUAUCAAUUUACUCGGGCAACUACCUGCUUGAAUCAUAGUCUGGCAGCUAUUCAUAGCUUGUGCAGGAACAAGUAUUGUACCCUCUGCAACAUGUAGAAAGCCAGUGUGAGCUUUCUUAAUGUGAUGGUGUACAGGUGAAGUUUGCUUCUCCCAGUUUGCUUAGUGAGUUCUUUCUGUUGUAUUCACUGUGUCAAUGCUUUAUAAAUUGGAGUUAGAUGUCUUCUGGUUUGCAGAACCUAGUGGCAAAGCAGAUAUGAAUCGUAUUGAGAGUAUGUUCUGAUUCUUAUCAGUUUUAUUUCUAAGGAAACAAAUGCUGCAUAAUUUACAGUAUUACUAUUAUCCAGCAAAGAGCAAACUUUACAACCCUCUUACAUACUGAACCCAGAUAGCAAUACAGCAAUACUUCUUGAUAAGUAUGAUACAGACCCAGACCAGUUUCGUACGUAGUACAUGUACAUGCACUCUGUACAUACUGAACCCAGAUAGCGAUACAGCUAUACUUCUUGAUAAGUAUGAUACAGACCCAGACCAGUUUCGUAGGUAGUACAUGUACCUGCAUUGACCACUUUGCUGAAGGACCCCUGCAAGGAGAAUUGCCAUAGACUAAGCCAAAGCAUCCGAAGAACUCAGCCUCCAACUGAACCCAGUGACAUGCCUGAACAUUAAGAACCUAUGGAGGUGUGCGGUUGAGUUCUCCCAUCAUCACCACAACCAUGGAAAUCCAAGCUGAGAUAACACUCAGCUUCGCCGCUGCUGCCUUAGUCUCCGCAUCGGUCGAGAACAACGAGGCCAUGGCCAGCAGAUAUCCGACGGCCAGAUUAACCCAUAGAAGGAUGUGUCCGCCUUGCUCCAUGGCGAGAGGCAGGGUGGUUAUGUUCAGAAGGCAAGUCGUGAUCAGGCAGAGUGAAAGGAUAACGUGGUUACUGGUGCCAGAAGAUCUCUGGCUCUGAACUGAACUUGCCAUUUCCUCGUUGCUCUGUGCCUCUUCCUUGGUUGUUGUUUCAACUUUGAACCAGCUACCAAGAGGAACUUUGUGACAGAUAUAUGUGUUUGGGAUUGGAAUGGGGAUGGUGCAAGGAUUGUUCUUAGAAGACUGAAAACAGAGGUAAAAAAAUACUGUUAAAAACAGUUUAAUACAGUUGUGUAUGAAUUUUAUUUUGAAGACAGUGGAUAUUACAUUACUACCUUUGGGUUGGAAUACUUGAGUGCUAGCUAUCCGGUGCAGACCCUCUUCAGGACCCACUUUCCUUGGCCUAUUGAGAAGCACAUGAACAUGUUGGAUUAUAUUAGUUAUGAUUAUGAAAGCAUGAAACAAAACUUAAAGCGACAAACCCUCUUUUUUUUUUCUUUGUAACAGGGGAAUUUCACCGCGACUCUGCACACGACACUACAAAUUCCUCUGAAAUCUUUCUGCUGAUAAUAAGGUGAGAAGAAGCUGACCGAAAACACGCAGAAGCGACAGGUUAUGGCGAUCGGAAGAACUGGCAGCACUCUGUCUCAUUGCCACAAGAUGCAACAAAGAGCGCAGGAGUUAUCAGUGAAAUCCAGCUCCGGUUCUUGGAAUGAUCGGAGGAACACGCAGAAGAAGCACGGGCUGAGCGAUUCAAUCGGCCGGUGCAGCAAGGAACUGGCAAGGAAGGCUGUAGUACUCUGCUUUUGCUCUGGGUUACAGUUUCAUCGUGGAUUCAGUUGGGGGAGGCAUGUGCACCUUAUAUGAAUUUUACCGAGGAUGAGUCAGCAUAAUCAUCUGAAGAUAGGUGUCGUAAGCGCUGGCAUCAUCUAACCCCUCAACACUAUGACGACACUCUGAAUCGUAGGCCGGCCAUCCACAUAGCUCACGCUUGACCUGGAGGAAGUCAUAACUGAACGAGGAAGUUCAUUGCGACGUGUGCCAAGGUCCUGUUCGGCUGGACUUAUAAGCCGGCUGAAAAGCUGAAAAAUGGCUAAUUUGUUGUAAGAGAAAAAUAUUGAUAAGCCGGCUGAUAAGCUGAAGCGAACAGGAACAAACUUACAGUAGCUUAUGAACUGACACGACAAUUUGACUUUGUUUCGAGGUCCAGCUAAAGCUGACGUGGAUCCAAGACCUCUUAACCAAACCUUUGCUUGUACUGUGGAUAGUAUGGCAUCAGACUGUCUCCUAUGCUCCGGCCACAUCGUACCUUAAUUAUUUGUCCAAUCCAAAUAUCCAAUUCAGAUCCAGCGCAGCAUGAGGUGAACUAAAGCUAUGGAAUAGGUACGUACGCCAGUAGACAAAUUGUUGUACUGGAGCAACAAUCCUUGGCCUCGAAGGCAGCUAUAGUUAAAACGACAUAAUACUAGAUGGGAUCAUGGGACGCCACACAUCGUCGCUGGUUCAUUUUGUGAUUAUACUAGGAAAACAUAAAGGAAAAAAAUCCUAUUUUCACCCUACCAUCGCAAAAGUUUAAUUUUUCAACCCAUAAUUACAAAACCGGAUAGUGAGAGUCAUCCAACUAUCAAAAUUGGAUAAAUUUGAUCCUUUGGGUGGUUUCAAUGGUGGUUUUGCAUUUUUUGGAAACUUAAAAAGUUUAGAUUUGAUAAAAAAUUUCGAAAAAACAUCAAAUUGAUGCCAAAAGUUUUUUUUUUUGAAAAUGUAACCUAUCUUUUGGUGCUCUAUUUGGUGUUAUUUGAAUCUUAUUUGUUCAUGUUACUUGUAUUUUAUUACGAGCAAUAAGACAAUAGGAAAAGCAACAAAUGAGAUGUAAACAACUUUAAAUAAAAUACCAAAAAUAGCCUACAUUUUUUUAAAAAGGUACCAAAUUCAUAAUUUUUCUAAUUUGAAAUGAAUUAUUUAUAAUUUUUUUUAUUAAAUCAAACUUUUUAAAUUUCUAGAAAAUGUAAAACCAUUCUUGAAACAACCCAAAGGUCAAAUUUGUCCGAUUUUAAGAGUUGGAUGCUCUUGCUACCCGAUUUUGUAGUUGCGAGUUGGAAAUCAGAUUUUUGUGACAGUUAUAUUAUAAAAAUAUGACUUUUUUCAAACGCAAUCCUGCGAAUUAGUAGGACAUGUGCUUAUGAAGAACGAGGUGGGACGUGAGGGGGGACCCAUUGCAUUCAACCAAAUAAUCUGGUUAGCUUUUUGAAGUUUGCAUCGAGUGAUGCAAUAUCUUGUUUCCUCAAAGCCAACAUCGGAAUCACAAUUUCCUUUAUUUAUGCAAAUAAAAUGAUCCCCACAACAAUGUUGUUUCUUCCCGCUAUAUGUCCUUUAAUCUUUUGCUGAUUUCCUUGUUUAUUUAUCAUAGUUAUAUGGUGCACGAACAAUGGUUAUGUCACUAUAUACUUGCAUGGUCCUAGUUUUUUAAAAGACUGAGGGCCCUUUUGCAACAUAGCAAAAUUUUUCUUAUAUGGCCCGCCCCCAAUUUUCCUUGAAAUUCAUGUCGAACGGUCCAAUCAACGAGUACUUUGAACGAGUUCAAACAUGCACUACGGUGUUGGAAAAAUGGCUCAUCGAUAGGCCCAUUUAAUGGAAUCCUAAAGUUAGUAAAAGUGCCGUGGCAUUCAAUAGUCCCAUACUGUUAGUGUAAGUUGGUGAAAGCCAACUUAAAUAGGAGAGCUUUCUCACUUCUUUGAAUACGUAACUAAAAGAGAGAAUGGGGCUUGGGUUACACAACCGUGCACGCGUAUUCAUGUUCCUUUUCACGUAACCAACCGCAUGACUUGUGACUUGCAACGCAACGAGCAGCCAAGCCAAGUUGGUGUAACCUUUUUGCCGCUUGCAUGUGAUAUUUUGACAACGGUCAUUAGAGGUGAUAAUCACGCAGUCAAUGCCUUAAUCCCGAAUUAACUGAGCGGUUACUACUAACGGUCAUUAGAGGUGAUAAUCACGCAGUCAAUGCCUUAAUCCCGAAUUAACUGAGCGGUUACUACUGCCAAGUAGUGGGGCGAUUUUGUAGCGGAAACAGUCAGCGGAGGGCUGCCGUCUUCUCUAUAAGAAGUCUUGGAGACAUCCAGGAACACACGCACGAGAGAGACCCACGAAUUCCUUCUCUUCUCCCUUUUUACUCUGGUGAAGUGUGCUGUGGUGCUGAGCUGCUGGAUCUCGCUGGCUCUUCUCCUUGGCGUGCACCGAGGAGGAGGGUGAGCGGUAUCUCCGAGCUGUGUUGCCGUCAGGAAGCCUUCACGAGAGGCGGCAAUAAGGUUUCUGGGCAGCACAACUACGUAACCGCUCGAAUCGAUCAACUACGUUCUGCGCUACCUCAUCGACGAUCUGCACUGCAUCGAGUAACCCUGCAUCCGAGUCUACACAAGGAUGGAGCGCUUAAUCUGUAAGUUCAAAGAUCGGAUCUGUUAUAGUUUGGGUUACAUCAUGUGCGGGAAAGUUACGUGCUUAGAAGUUUUGAUUACAUUUGAUUUGCUUAUGUUGUUUUUAUACACCGUUUAUAUUAGUAUGUUGCGUGUUACACAUGUCGGUUUAAUCCUAAAUUUGGUUACCUAGUAGUAGCAAUGAAUUACAUAAUAUGCCUCAUGUACGGUAGAUUUAAACGCAUAUCUUCAACAUACAGUUAUUUUUUUUUUGAAAAAUCAGAUGUGAUCUUUUCUUUAAUUCACGGGCAUUUUCUUUAUUCCAUCUAAAUCGUCUAUCUUACCGUUCGUACCUGUUUGGCACAAACAUAAUUUCGCUCCUUGGUCUAACGGAUAGUCUAUGCCUCUUUUUACUAGUUGUGGGUUUUGUGUUCGGCUGUUUGCAUAUCAGAAAGGUACUGCUCCCAUGACAAAUAAAUAACAUUUACUAAAGUCAACUAUUUUAAAUUUAUACAUAUUAUUCUUUUGUUUGUUGUGUGUGUUCGAACCUAAUUAAUAUAUCCGUAUGAAUGUAGUUCUACAACAGUAUAUAUUUACAUGUAUUAUAAAUAUAUUAACAAAAAAAACUAAUGUUAAACUUAUGGUUUGGAGACUAUCAUUGAGUCUGGACUUUGGAGGAAGAACACCAUUGGUUUGAGAGAUCAGGUCCAAACUCCAAAGAUGAGCAUAAAAAAAAAACUCCGAAGUCCAAACUUCCCCUGCCCUGCUCUCCCACCUACUGGGACUACGAUGUGGGGCCUACUUCGGCGGAGAAUGAGCCCAUCGGGGUUCUCGCCGUCGUCUACGGCGGAGGAGGUCACCGCCGGCAUCGACGGUUCCGGCCUCGUCGCCAUCGUCACCGGUAACCUUCUGCUCCCUCCCUCUCCUCGCAUGCCUUCGCAACCAAGUGCACUCAGUCUCUCUCAAUAGCCGUACCUGCUCUCCGAUUCCGUGGCACUUGAUUUGUCCCUCCCCUGAUUAUUGACUAAUUAAUCAAUUACCACUCCUAGUCGCUUCUUGCCUUUAGCUCACUGUAUUAGUACUAGCACUCUGAGGAAAAUAUAUCAGGAGUUCAGGACAGGUCCGGAGUUCAUUUUCUGUAUGCAAUUUUUUCAGGAUUUAGUUGUUCUCCAGUUCUUACUCUGCUAUUGAAUUUGUGCUACUUACAGGUGCGUCCAGUGGGAUUGGAGCUGAAACAUGCCGAGUUCUUGCGCUGCGUGGCGUGCAUGUCGUGAUGGGGGUGAGGAAUCUGUCCACCGGCUCGCAGGUGAGGGAGAAGAUUGUGGAACAAGUCCCCAAGGCCAAGAUUGAGAUGCUUGAGCUUGACCUUAGCUCAAUGUCAUCAGUGAGAAGAUUAGUCGAGAAGUUUAAUGUGCUGGACCUCCCACUGAACAUUCUUAUGUGAGUAUAGGUGCAUAACUAAAACAUCAGAAGUAACCGCUAUUAAUUACGCUGUAUUCUGAUGGUCAAUCCAUUGCAGGAAAUCUUAAUGUCGCUGUGGAAUGUCACAACAUUAAUGAUAUGUUGUGAUCUAAGGGCCAGUUUGUAGGGAAGAUUGCUCUGUGAAAUUUAGGAUCAUGUUCAAUCUUUAACUAAAUCCUAGAGAUUUGGAUCCCAAUUCUACAUGCACAACUAGCACUAAGAAACUGUUUAUUUAACUAACUCUUUUACACAUAUGUUACAAAACAUAUUGUAUUCAACACUUUUUGGUACUAUACAAAAUGGAUGAUUCAAUUCCUCUCUGUUUCAAGUAAUAAUGCAGGGAUUGCAUUUGUUCCUUUCAAGCUUUCAGAGGAUGGCAUUGAGCUGCAUUUUGCAACGAAUCACCUUGUUAUGGCACCAUUGUGGUGCUACUCUCUUAUAUAGCUUUUGUAUGAAAUCAAAGAGUAAAAUAUUGUACCCAGAUUUUUUUUCUCAAGGAGAAAAGCAAAUUACUACAGUUUCAGUUAUUUGAAGGAACAAAUUAAAAUAUAUGCAACAUUAAAAAAUGACAUUUGUAUGUACUGGUUAGAUUUAUUGGACGUAGUAACCCAUGAUUCUUAGUUAAUGCAAAAUUUCAGACAUCAUAAAGUAACUGUCCUGUUCUGCAGGACAUUUUCUACUGACUGAUCUUUUGCUUGGGAAGAACAAUGUUACGGCUAAAGAGAGUGGCAUAGAAGGAAGGGUUGUGAUAGUUGCUUCUGACAGCUACAAGCAUCCAUAUCGAGAAGGAAUUCGUUUUGAUAAGAUCAAUGAUAAGUCUGGGAGCUGUUUCCACUUAUACUACAAUCAUUCUUUCAUUUUCCAUGUUCAUCACUUUUAACAUGUUAUAUGAUUCAUUCGAACUUGAAUUUAUUCCAAAACUUCAUCACGGGAAAUAAAUAAGUCUUUUGCUUUGAUACAUCACAGGGAAUUUCAAUUUUGUCUUUGUUGACAGCUAUAACAGCAUAUUAGCUUAUGGCCAGUCCAAGCUUGCCAACAUAUUGCAUUCUCUUUUUUUGUUUUUUCCUUCAAACGAUUAAGCUGGACAUGCUUCCGGUGUUUCUGUUAUGGGCUUGUUUUUAUUGGUGUGUGUGUGUGUGUGGGGGGGGGGGGGGGGGGGUGGAGUGGAGGAGGUGACUGGCAGAGGCAGUUGAGAGGUGGCAGACAGCAAGACAGGAAGAGAGAAGGAUUUAGGGUUUCCCUUUUUUUUCUUGAACACGUAGGAGAGCUGCGUAUAUUUGUAUUAAGAGAGAAUAGAUGGUCCAAUUACAAAAAUCAUCCCCACACCUUGGACUAGAGUGAGGGAUGAGGGUUUUUUAGACAAGACUCUUACAUAGAUGAAAAACAGCUAAGACCUGACCAAGAUAAAACACUUCCAACACUACAACAGCACCCUUCCUAGGUCCAGGGCAGCAAGCCCCUUGGCCCCAGCUAUUUGCCAUAGGUGGGACUCAUCUUUGAAGGCCUGAAGGGCUCCUGGAGACUAGGAGCAGACCCGUUGAAGACACAAGCAUUUCGGUGUUUCCAGAGGGUCCAUGCUCCAAGAAUGACUAGAGAAUUAAAUCCAUUUCUGUGUUGCUCCCUGGAGACUAGGGUUUCCACUUUUUACUGCUUAUAAAUGCUAACAUGAGACCACAAUCAUAUUUAUAGUCAACCUUUUCAAUAUGAAGAUUCUAGACUCUUCCCUAAUUAUAGGGAUAUGAUAGGCUUCCAUAUUUAGAGAUAAGCUUCCUAUAUUACUGACCCGUCUAACUUGGCGUUGAAGUAAGGUAACUACCAGCAAGACCGGGUUACUGACUCUUUGUCCUGUUUGAUAAUAGUUGUCAUAAACUCUUUUGUGUGGAAACACCAAAAUGGGACAGAUUUGAGAUAGCACCAUCUUUUAAUAGCUUUACAUACUUGAUUGACAUUAACUAUUUCUAUGGUACAGGAACAAGAUGCAAAGGUAGUUAUCAACUCCCUUCAUCCUGGAGCUGUUGUCACCAACAUUGCACGCUACUGGGGUUUCUUAAAUGGUGGGGAUAUAUCAGACUAAAUGGUCCCCUUAACUGAUUUGCAUGGUUAACUCACUCAAUAAUUAUGAAUAUUCACUUGAUGUAUUAUAUCUGGUCAGUAUUUGUACUCUGGAUAAGCUAUUAGAGGUAUUUGCUCUUAUAGUUUGGUGCAAAUGUAAAAGCUCUACUUGUAACCUAGUGAAAAGGCGUACCCUUAUUAUAUUGAGAAUGCCCUGUUUCUUUCAAUUACAUUAAGUAUUUCAAGAACUUUCUUUUAUUAUGUGCACAUAUACCGACAUGAUGAUAUUUUGCUUUGGAAUAAUUAAAAUUAAUGUCGAAAAAAGUUUUGUCAAGGCAAAUUGUCAUAUUUUCUCUGUGGGAUCAACUUAUUUUACUGUGCACAUCCAUUGUUUCAGAGUUAAUUUGUACUCUUACCUGGAAGCUAAACUGCUACCUUUCUCCCUUGUUAUCUUUAUUUCAGGUCUUCUUUCCUCACUCGGUAAAUUUGUACUUAAAGGUGUUGAACAAGUAAGUCUGUGAUCAUGUUCUAUUCCUUUAUAAACAAAUGCAGAUGCGUUGAAUUGGGUGCAAUUUGCUAGGCACAAACAUUGGCAUUCGUAACAUUUAUAUAACCAACCUAAAGUUGAGAAUGUACGUUCUCCUGUCUACAUAUUAUAGUUUGGAUUAUAUGGUCCUGGCUCCAGCCUUAAGUGUACAUUGUCUGCCAGUUUCAACUUUUAGUUUAAGUGGCGCACAGACCUGGAUGUGUGAUGACUUUAUCAUAAGAAGUAUUAGAAAUUGUUUGAUACAAAAGUUGCAUAUGCUUUUCAUGUUUACAGAACUAAUGGUGCUGCAAACCAUGAGUUAUUUAACAGUCAUAAUCUGAGCUAGCAGUAAUGAAUCUCUCAUGGAUCUCUGCUUGCAUUUAGCAGUAUCACUAACUUCAGUAUUUAGAUGAAUUAACUUACACUACCGCUAUAAUGCUUGAUGUUGAUACACCAUAUCUAUGUCAACAAAAAAGAAGAAGAAGAAGAAAAAACUUGUGCUCCUGUUUCGGUGCCUGAUUGCAAUCUCUUGAACAAUCUUAUAAAUCCAUGGAAGCACUAUUUAAUCCUUUUGCAAGGUGCCGCCACAGUGUGUUAUCUGGCAUUGCAUCCUCAGGUUGCGGGAGUCACGGGCAAUUACUUUGUGGAUUGCAGUAUGGUUCAAUUAAAAUCUCAUGCCAUCGACAAGGAGCUGGCCAAAAGACUCUGGGAUUUUAGUAUGAGCCUACUCCGCUGAUACAAAUUCGUAUAAGACAUGUGUAGUAUUAUUUCCAAAAAGAAAACCAUGUAGAGGAACUGUAAUGUCUUCACAUGUUUGUACAAAAAGUGUAUAGCACAAAACCUAGAUUCCAAAUGAAUGAGUACAUGGUUACAUGGGAUACAAUGUUACCCAGGUAUACAAUAGGUGGUAUAAAAAUUAUUGGAAGAGAGUUGGAACUAAAUGGUGUUUAUGCCACCUAUAUAGAAUUUGAAUAAAGCGAUUGGAUUUAUUUCAUUGCUAAUUUCGAAUUCUUGCAACUCUUAACCUAUUUACGACGUUAUGAAUAAAAUGUUUUUUUAUAUAUUACUUUUCUGUCUUUCAAAGUUAUGGUUAGUUAGGAAUGCCUUAUUCAUGGUUGUUGCAUCAACUACUGAAUUUAUAUGUAAGCAUUGUGCUGCCUCAGGAUGUAUUUGCUUUCAAAGUUCUUGAGUGAGUAAAAUCUUAUUCUUACUGUCAGUGGCCACUAGUAUAUGCUAUAGAACAAUUGACAAAAUUAUUCUAGUCAAUAAGCUUGGCUAAAAUAUCAAGAUGUUUCAAUGGAAACAGGAAAGGAACACACAUGAUUACUACGAUGUAUGUAUAAGGGUUUUGUAGAGAGGCGAUGGAAAUAAUAAGUAGUAGUACUACACUACACUUUUUUCUCCGGGUGAGCUGGGGCAAUUUAAUCGUCAGCUACUCAUUAAUAUAAGUCUGUUUGACAUUUCAGCCUCAAAGGAAAAUUAUUUUGGUACCUAAAAGGACACGAUUCUAAUUCAAAAUAUCCAUGGGUUAUUUUGAAAGACCGGCCAAACUAAAAGAUUUAUUGUCUACAUUUACUAGAACAGUAACAGAUUGCCGAUGAAACAGAGCAAGGUUAUACAGGAAUACAGGAUACACGAUGAUCCAUGUGCGCAAUAGGUGGUACAACAAAUAGUUGGUAUAGAGGCAAAAUAACAUAGGUCAUGCCAAUUACAUUUGGGAAUUUAGAAUGUACCAGCCCCUUUUAAGCUUCGUGGUAAAGCAUGUCAUCAUGAGCAUCAUUAAGCAUUAAUCUUGAUUAAGUUAUGCUUAAAAACUUGUAAAUUAUAGGGUUAAGCUCGGUUCUCUUUGCACGGGCAGACGGUCCGCCACUCGACUCCAGAUGGUCCACCGUACACAUAAGCACAUCUGACUUUAGUCAACCAGAAUAGUUCAAAACCCUGUUUCGUCUUCCAGCGCGGACAGUCCGUGACUCCACAGAACUCACCUCCUCAAAACUAGGAGCCUGUUCGCUUCAGCUUAUAAGCCAGCUGAAAAGCUGAAACGGCUGAUUUGUUGUGAGAGAAAAAUACUGUUUGGUGGCUGAUAAGCCGGCUGAAUAAGCUGAAGCGAACAGGCCGUAGAAUAGUUCAACUGAGCUGGUGCGUGUCGAGGUCGCAGAACUCGCGCGCCACGUACACCCCAUGGCCCCACAUGACAGCCCGAGCUGAGCCUCUCUCAGCUGGCCCACUCUCAUUUCUCCCAAAACAUCCUCUCUCUCCCACCCCAAGCCAAGGAGGAGCCCCUGUAGCUCCCUCCGUUGGAUACCUUCAACCUCGCCAGAGGACUACCGAAGCUCGAUGCCGGCGAGUAGCACCACCCCAACUUCAUCUUCUUCCUUGGACUAGCAAGAAGCUUCCCCAAGCCUUCUUCCUCCAUCUCCUUCAUCUCCUCCAAGUUCAAGGUCAAGGACGAGCUCAAGCUUCCCCAACGCCGCCCUACGCCAACCUGCGGCCCCUCACUGGAGUAUUGCUCGUCACCCGUGAGCUAUCUCCAUCCCCGAUCCAUCCCCACUGCUUAGGGAUUCAAGUUCUUGAACCUCUUUAAAGCCAAAUCAUAGAGCUUCCAAACCUUGAUGCAUGUCGAAUCCACCUUUUGGGAUGGACUCUAGGCACUCCCAAGAAACAUAAAAACAAACCCCAUCCAAAAUCGUGGCCGGAGUCGCCGCUGUCGAGCUCGCCGGUGUGGCACACCGUCUCCCACCCGUGAAACCACCAGAGCCUAUGCAAAAACAUGUCCCUAGGUACUUUUGUACGGUGGACGGUCCGCCCCUCAACCACGGACAGUCUGCUAUUCAAAAACUAACUCACCAAAGCCUCUGCACAAAACUUGAGUCGGCUAAAUUUUGUACUGCGGACAGUCCGCCAAUCUGAGGGAGACGGUCCGCCCCUCACGAUUCCAGCACCUAUACUUUUGCACUAGUAACACCUACUUAUACAUGCUAUAACCAAACCUUUAUAUGAUUAUCUAACAAUGCUAAAACAAGCUUAAUCAUGUCAUACUCGUACCAUUGCAAUUAUUCAUGGCAUAUUUACUUAUCAAGCAUCAUUGCACUCAUGUAGAGGUCGAAUCGUUGGAGCAAGAGGAGGGUGAGCUCGAGCCGGAGCCUGUCGUCAACGAAGCUUCCUUUGUGAAUCAAGGCAAGCACCUAAGUAUCUCUUAACCUAUUUUGGAUCAAUGAUGUAUAUGUGUUUUGCAUGCACGUGAGUUAAUAACUAUGUAUGCUUAGCUCCUACUUGAUGCAUUAUCCAUCUUUGAUCUAGACAACUCCUUCUAGGCGAGUAUGCUUGUGUAGGUGUCACGAAUUUGAAUUGCUUAUCCAUGCUUAGCUUCGGUAGAAGUCGAGAAGUGGCAAGGUCACCACCACUCGCGAGUUAUAGGAUACUUGUUAAAUAAUACUUGGUUAGCUAUGAAUGGAUUAAAAUUGAGCAACUAUGAAUGAUGAAUUGAACUUGAGCAAGAAUGGUAGGGUCAUGUUGAGAUUGGAGCUCACUUGACUUAGUCUUGUUUAAGUGGUUAAGGCCCGGUCGUCAUCACUGUGAUACUUGAGCACUAAUGCAUAUAAACCACAUGCUUAAUAUGGGAAUGGCAAGUCAAGUUGCAUAAGUCGCACCUUGCCUUGACCGGAUUCGGUGCAGGAUGAGAUGAGGUGUGAUCGUCCGUGUCCGGUGCAUCUAUCCAUUCCAACUGUUCGUUUAUAGCUGAGUGUGGGUAUGUGAAUGGUCGGGGGCAUGAAUCAACACUUAUCCUCGGCCGGGGUUAUGGUCGUUGGUCUUGUGUCUCGUGUGAGAAAAUUUGUACACCCCUGCAGGGUUACGAUCUAUUGCAAUAGUCGCGCUCCCAGUCAAAGAGCACGCUCAUGUACUUGGACUUUAACAUAGAGUUACCGAAUGUAGUUCAUGGAAGAUUGAGCUCAUGUCAUGAUCACAUUUACGUAUCGCAAUUACUUGAUGCUUGACUUAGAGAUCAUAGAAUCACAUGUCUUUACGUAUUAUAACUUGAUGAAAUGUAGAUGUUUUUUUAUACAAAUUUAUUUACCAAUACCAUUCCUUGCUACUUAACCAAAUGCAUUCUCCUUGAGAGUUGGGAAACUAUAUACCCAUAUUUGGAUAAGAACUGUUGAGUACCUUUUGUAUUCAUGAUGCGCCAUUAAGUUGUUGCAGGUGAUCCACAGCCGAAGGUCGUCUUUGGGUACUUCUUCCCCGCGGGCGGAGGUGCGGGUAAGAAGUGAUGGCCAUGGCUAUAGGAAGGGUAUUAUCAUCAUAUAUAGUGUUAACCUUCUUAUUGUGUUGUAUCGUAUGAGCGUGAGGAUAGAACUUUCCGUUGCAAACUCUAUGAACUUGUUACUGUAAUGUGAUGGACUAUGUAUGGAUUGCUAUAUCGUAAUGAUGUUUAUAUUGUUUGUGCUUGUGAGGUGGGUAUAAAUCCUGGGCAAUGCUCAUGACACCAUCUUAAGGAGGACUAGAAUUGUUCUUAUUUAGUUGAGUUGAUCAAAGGUUGAUGACUUGAUUAAAUGGCGUAACUCGGAGGUUCCUCACAGAGAAAUCCAUUGGAUGUAUCCGAUUGGCAGUUCGAAGUUUUGAUGCAAAUGCAGAGGUACUUGCGGCCCCCACCCCCACCCCCAAAUUGAGAUCAGGAGAGCUGCAUUGGCACCAUUCAUUACGGUAGGACGGAGAUGAUGGUAAACUUAACCCCUGGAAAAAGAAAAAACCACAUAGAUCGAUAUAUACUAUAGCAUACACUAUAUCUCACUAUCGAGGUAUCCGACGGGUAAAUGAACAAUGUGCAAGAGUAUAACGAUACUAAGGUGGUACCAUAUGAAUAAAUUAACAUGCAUCAAACGUUGACACAAUCAAACUUUAAAAUUAAUGAAUAUUGUGAGAAGAUAAGCCAUCACUAAAACUGUGCUGGCGGGCACUAGCCCGGCGGUCCCGAUCAUCUUUGUGCCGGCGGGUGCUAAUUUUGCCCGACAACACACUAAUUUUGAUGUGCCAGUACAAAUCAUUUUUGGCGUAGUGAAUUAUUCAUUUUUAAAAUUCCAUUCUUCAGACAUCGUCUUAAUUUUAUAAUUGAGAUAAUCUCUUUCUUGUUUUAGUGGUAGCAAAAUAUCAGUUGUUGACCAAUCAUUAUACUAAUUCAUAGGCAAGAAGGUUCUUUCAAAUACUAAUGAGAUAGUUAAAAAGAGCUAAUGAGAUGAGUAUUUUUAUAUUCAUAGGCAAUUAGUGCAUCAUAGGUAAAGCUCGGGCUUUUCUUCCGUUCUCUAAUUCAUUCUACAUAGGGCUUUGCAGGCCCAUAAUCAGUCUGAACUAACAUGGAAACUAGUUCUUACGAUUCUGCACCAUCAGGACGUCAGGCAGAUGAGUUCAUGGAAAAAGAGAGAUAUGGUAACAGCAACCCUGGCUAUCCCUACUAGAAGGUUCACAAUAACAGGUGUACAUGGUGCAACUAGCCUUCCGAGACCUCUCAUUCCCAUAAAAUUCUCUGUAUGUCAAUGGAAGAAAAUUAUUCUAGCAACCAUGAAACAGCAAAAUGCUACAAUACAAUGAGCAAAUAGGCAUUCAGGCACGACUCCUUGGAUAUGUAUAUAUAAUAUAUAGUAAAGUAUUGUCGACUGACAGAGGAGCAUUGGCUACGGUAGUAUGAAUUAUUAUGGCACCAACUCCAAAGGAAGAACAUUUACUAUAUCAUUGAAUAUUAAUAUAUUUCAUUUUCUGGUCCAAAGAAAAAACAUUUACUGUUUAUCUGGUUAAAUAGUUGUUUCGUUUUGGACUUGAUGAAGAGCACUGUAUAUCUAUUUGGAUGUAUGGCACCAGGAAGUCUGAUGUAUGUCCCAGAGGGUUGAUCUUGCGGAUGUUGGACAUUUCUACAAAGUUAACCGGCAAAAUUAGUCUUAAAUUUAAUAACCAAAGUUGUACAUCAAUACUGGAGGAUGGAGCAUAUCCUCCUUGACAUUCUUGUGCUGACAGUUACGAUCAGUGUAAAGACGUUGUUGUCUGGUUUUGUGCAGGAAAUGUUUGUGAGGGUAUUUCCUGGGUUGAUUUGACUUAAUUAUAUAUAGUCUCUAAAAUAUGGUCAUAAUGAGUUUGACUUAAUGCUGUACCCUGUACAUGGAGUUCAUUUCUAUUCUUUUUAUGUUCAUUUCAGAUAUCCUUUCUCCGCUUACUAAACUUGUAUUUAGAAGGGUUGAAAAAGUAAGACUGCAGUGAUGUUUUAUUCUCUCCAUAGAAAAUAAGUUGCAGUGUUCAUUUUUCUUAUAUUAAAAUUUUAAUUUUGUUAUUUUAUAAAUUUUAGAGUGCUUGAAAAAAAUGAGAGCCGUCCAUCCGGCGAAAUCGAACGGUGGAAACAAAGGAAGUACCAUGAAAUACCUAAGAGAAGUACCAAGAAGUAGUAAUUUGGUGGGACCAAGUAAAAAAUAGUGAGAAGUUCCUAUGAUGCCCUUUUAAUAUUGUGUAAAUCUAUUUAAUUCUUUUUUAAAAGGAUAAGAAAGAAAAGUACCUGCAAGUACCACUAGUACCUUAAAAGCAUUGUUAUUUUACUUUGAAGAAUCAUAGAAAUUUAUAUCACCGACCCAAUGCCGAGAAUUAUAUUACGAUAUCGUAGUUCCAAUAUCCUGCCCUGCGACCAGUAGUCUUUUAAGUGUGCAAACUUUUAAAACUGAUCUAUGCGCAUACAAUGCAAUUCUUUCAAUUUAUCAAAAACAUAACCAUCUAAAUAAUUGAUUAGCGAACAAUGCAUGAUCAGAUAUGUGAAUACUCUUUAGGUACCGUAUGUAUCUGGCUAUAAAAAUUGGAUACAGGCCCACAGAGGAUACAAUUGGGUCUAACGUAACUGAUAUUAUUAGCAUGAUAUAAUGAUUUUACAUGUUUACUGCUAGGUCGCGUGUAUAUAUGGAAUCCUUACUGGCAGGAAUUAAUAAUGUACUAGGGAUAAAUAGAAGACGAGCACGGGAUGGUCACUCUUUUCAUAUUUUCACUAAUUUUCUUGGGUUUUUCCUCAGGCAAAAUAGAGGUUGUACUGUAUGUCUAGAAAAGUGGGGGAGGGGUAUUUUUAUGAUAUAUUUGGUGACCUUAGGCAUAGCAAACUAGGAGUGCUUUGAAUUUUUCAUUCACAAGCCAAGCUAGAAUGGAAAAAAAAACAAGAAUUAACUUAUUCUACCAUCCUAGCAAUUGAAUGAAGUUUCCUUGCCAAACUUAGAAAUUUAUGUAGUUGUGUGAUAUUUCCAAUUGCUCUAACUCUACCCGUGACUUAGCAUUGAUCUUUAUGCACGAUGCAGGGUGCAGCCACAAUAUGUUAUCUGGCAUUGCAUCCUCAAGUUGUUGGAGUCACCAGCAAAUUCUUCAUGGACUUCAAUGAUGUUGAACUAAAGCCUCCUGCAACUGAGGCCUUGUUUAGAUGAGGUCCGAAUCGGACUUUGUACAGUGUUUGGGCCUCCUUUUGGGAGUUUUGAAGUAAACGGCCUGGCAAACUUCGAUGCAAACUCGGCCUUUAGGAUGGCCCGAUUUCGGCCCAAAAUUCGCAACCUUAUCCAGCGGCAGAUGACCGGCCGCACUCCCAACCCUAGCACCGCCCGCAGUCACGCUCCCUCUCCCCCGCGCCGCUCGCCUCUCCCCCGCCGCUCGCCCCCUCCCCGCCGCUCUCGCCCCUCCCCCGCUCCUCUCGCCCUCUCCCCAGUCGGUGUGGUCUCCCCCGCCGCUCUCCCCCUUGACCGCGCUGCUCGCCCUCUCCCCCCGCCGGUGUCCGCUCCACCGCCGAUAUCCCCGUCGCCCGCGCCGCUCUCGUCUCCCCCGCAGAUCUCCCCCUCGCCCGCGCCGCUCGCCCCCUCCCCGCCGCUCUCCCCCCUCCCCCGCGCCGCUCCCCUCUCCCCCGCCGCGGUCGCCUCUCCCCCACCUAGAUCUGUCCCCCUCAGCCGCUGUCCCACUCCCCCACCAGGAGCUCGCCGCAUCCGCUCCAAUCCACCUUUCCACCACCAGAUCCAGGACGUACUCGGUCCGCUGCACCGCGUCCGGUACCGGGUGCACCGUUGUUGACCCAGGCUGCGGCGAUGGACCACUUCAACGAGGAAGGGGACGGCGCGGAGUUCAACGACGGUGGAUCCAGACUCCCCGCGGGCUUCACCGCCAGCGGAUCCCGACUCCCCGCGGGCUUCACCGCCAGAUCAUCCUGACUCGCCGCGGGCUUCACCGCCACCGGAUCCCGACUCCCCGCGGGCUUCAACGCCAGCGGAUCCGGCAACCCCGCUCCCUUCAACGCCGGCGGAUACAGAGAUGCCUCUUCGGGUUUGGACUUCGGCAACGUCCCCGACUACGACGGCGGCCACCCCACUAGGAACUUGUUCUCCCUGGCGCCGCCAGGCUCCGGAAGCGGUGCGUACAACCACUUCUCCUCCGGGCCGCAGCAGACCCUGUCGUCCAGCUUGCCCACCCCAAGCCAGCUGGGCAUGGCCGGCCUCAACCUCAAUGCCUCCUCCGAGUGGCCGAACAUGAACGACUACGAAGGCAUCCUUCGCUCCGGCGACCGAGUUGGAGGAGGCGGCAGCAGCCGGGUCGGGCCUCCCGCCGGAGAUGGUUCCGGCAGCGGUGAGCAGGCCCCGGCUCCCUUGCCUCGUCAGCGUCGUGCUACGGCCAGGACACGCGGUUCCCGGCGUCGUGGCGCGGCUCCAGCAGGGGCAGCCGAGCUCAAUCCGGUACUUGUUCCCACUCCCCCUCUGUACUUCCAUGAUCUGUAUAUGUGGUGCCGCGUACAUGAAACCGUUGUGUGCAUCAACUGUAUUGCUUACUCACGGUUACUGUCAUUUGGAGUUCUCUCAUUGCUUGUUCUAUCAUGAUUUAUGCCUGGUGUGCAUGAAAUGUAUUGGUUAGUGAUGGUUUCUGUCAAUAUGAUUUAAUGCAUUGGUUGUUCAAUUACAUUUAUCCCUGGUGUUGUUAAUCUGUAUUGCUUAGUCAUGCAUACUGUCAAUAGGAGUUCAUGCAUUGCUUGUUCAAUUGCAUUGUGCACAGAAUGAGCCUAGCAGGGCGAAGUGGACUAAAGAGGAUACACAGCUGUUUUGUGAGCUGUACUGUCAGCAAAUCGAGUUGGGCAACUGCAAGAGCGGGAACAUGAGCAAGUGGGGCUGGAAAGAUGUCCAGGAGAAGUUCCAAGCGGCCACUGGCAAGUUCAGGAACAGCGAGCAAUUUGGGUACAAGUACAGGCAGCUGAAGUUGCUUUGGCAGUUCAUCCAACAUCUUCGGACACAGUGCAUAGGCUUGGGGCGCCGAGAAGAUGGCUCUAUGGUUGCUAGUGAUAACUGGUGGCGCAACAAUAGCAGGGUUAGUGAUAUGUGAACACCGCAUGUUUACUCCUUUCGUUCCUGUCUUGCCUACUGAAUGGUUGUGUCUUUUUAUUUGCAAUGCAGGGGCACGCGGACUGGUAUGACCUCAAGGAUGGAUGGCCAGAAUACAUUGACGAGCUGGACCGCAUGUUCUGUGGAGUAGCAGUGACUGGAGAGACGUCAUUUGUUCCAGGGGUCAGCCGACAGAUCAACUUCAUCAGCAGCGGCGAGGAAGAUGCUGCUGAUGAUGACUGUGGCACCCCUCGCAGCUGUGGCACCCCAAUCAGCAGUGGGAGCAAGAGGAGCUCAAGCAGCUUCCGCAGCAUUGCUACAAGCCCCAGCAAGAAGAACAAGGGGCCUGUUGUUCGGAACAUGAACAACAACAUGACAAAGUUCAACUCCAGUUACGAUCACAGGACAUCAAUUAUCCAAAGGGCCCUGGAAGGUAAGAUGAAGGAGGUUGAGGUUGUGAUCGACAAGAAGCAGCACCGAGAGGAGGCUAGGAAGCAAGACCAGAAACUUGUCACAGAUUCAGCGACAGAGCUUGGAGUGCACCUGAUGGAAGGACAACUCUGGGAUGGUGUCAUCAUGAUCUGCAUGGAUGAUGACCUACGCAACAUCUACCUGUGCACACCUGUUGAAGCAAGGCUCCCAAUGAUCAAGAAAUAUGCUGCUAUGGUGUAAACCAGACCCUAUGUCUUUUGUGUGUGCUUGGCAUGUCUUUUGUGUUAUGUCUUGUUGUUGAAUUAAUAUGUGUUGGUAUUGUUUAUGUUGUGAGGAUGAACAUUUGAUGACCUGUGUUGGCUAAUCCUAUAUGAACAGCAUGGUUAUUAACAGCAUGGUAGUGCAUUAGAGCUGUUUGGUUGAUGGUUGUUAAAGUUAUUGCCUCUGUCUUCAGAUGGGUGUCAUUUGACUCAAGGUAGCAGCAAUUACUAUUGUGGCUACCAAUUUCUUUGUGCUAACUUUUGCUGUGUUGUUUUGGACUGCCCAGGAUGUUCCUGCUCAUUUUGGUGCCCAAGCGGAGGAGGUGGAGGACCAGGAGGAGGAGGAGAAGUUGCUGGCCGAGUGGUGGGACCUAUUCUGGGAAUUGGUGGUAUUAGACGAUGAUGAAGCACCAUUUAUCUAUGGUACGUAUGAAUAUGCUAUUCAUAUCGACAAGUAUUGCAAUAGAGCACCCUAUAGGAAUCCACCAUUGACUGGGGAGCAAUGGGUAGUUAACAAGCUUGCCAAUGAAACAUCCUGCUACACCAUGUUUAGGAUGAGCCCCCACAUGUUUUAUAGGCUGCAUGACUUGUUGACAUCUGAGUAUGGGCUGACUGCAUCAAAUAAAUCUAGCACUAUUGAGGCUCUAGGAUUGUUCCUUUGGAUAUGUGGGGCACCACAAUCUGUUAGGCAAGCAGAGGACAGAUUUGAGAGGUCACUAGGUACUGUUCAUAGGCUAUUCUACAAAGUCCUCACUUCUCUAGUAGACCUCUCAACCGACAUCAUUAAACCUAGGGACACAGAGUUUAGAACAAUGCAUCCUAGGCUGCAAAACAAUAGGUUCUACCCUGAAUUCCAGGGAUGCAUAGAGGCAAUAGAUGGCACUCACAUCCCUGUAGUAGUGCCAAGUGCAAAGUUUAUGCAGCACAUGUGUAGGAAGGGCAAGACAACCCAGAAUGUCAUGGCCGCUUGUGACUUGGAUAUGGUUUUCACAUUUGUGCUUGCUGGGUGGCCGUGUUCAGUGCAUGACAUGAGGGUGUUUGACGAUGCAAUGACAACUUACAGCGACAAGUUCCCAAAGCCACCUAGAGGUACACACAACUGUUUCUAGGUCACUAGUGUUUUCUAAUACAACCAUUGUAAACUUACAGGUAUGUACUGUUCCUAUAGAGAAAUACUACUUGGUGGACUCGGGGUACGCAAACCGCACCGGCUUCCUAGCUCCUUACCGCCAGACCAAGUAUCACAUCCAAGACUUUCAAAACGUGCCAGAACCACAAGGUAUGAAGGAGGUAUUCAACUAUGCCCAUUCAUCUCUUAGAAAUGUCAUCGAAAGGGCGUAUGGAGUGUUGAAAAUGAAGUGGCGCAUAUUGUUGGACAUCCCGGCCUAUCCACCUGAAACACAGACACGGAUUAUAUGUGCAUGCAUGGCAUUGCACAACUUCAUUAGGAUUAAUGGUGACUUUGAUAGUCACUUUGGUAUAGUGGAUAGCAACAUGAACUAUGUGCCUGUUGAAGGCACUCAGGAUCAGCCGGAAACAGUGCCUGCGCCGGAGAGUGCGGACAUGGCAAGCAUGAAUGCAUUCCGAGACAUGCUUGCUGAACAUUUGUUUGCUAGGUCUUGAAUAAUUUGUGUUUGAGGACAUGAAAUUGUUUAUGUACUUUGUGAUUCGGUGUAAUAAUUUUCGGUGUUGUUAAUCUGUAAUAAUUUGUGGUGCACUUGAGAAUAUUUUCGUUGAAUUUUUGUUGUUCAAACAGUAAUGAAUUGUGUUGUCAUAUUUGUUGGUUCAGUGCAUUUUUUUGAGGACAACAUGCAUGGGCCAAUGCUGAAUUGUGUUGUAAUGGUGAAACAGUGGCUGCUAUAAUGAUUCAACAGUGCAUUGCAAAGUUUGGGGGGCACCAGUUUGGAGCUCCAGAAUUUGGCAAGCCAAAUUUCGGCUGCACAGUAACUCCCAAGUUGGGAGGUCCCAACUUGGGCAACUAAACAUGGCCUGACAAGGAAUUGGUCCAAAGACUUUGAGCUUUUAGUGUGAACCUACUCCAUUGAUUCAUAUCGAUCAGUGCAGCAACUGGGAAAUUCAAUUUUUCGGGAAAGAAACAAAAAAAAAUACUAAGGACAUGAUUUGAAGUAUCUGUGCAAACAAAUGAAUAUGCUGUGUCAAUUUAGUAAAAGAUUGUAAAUGAGAGAACAUGCUGCAAUAGAAUGCCUGGUGAUUCAACUGCACAAUAUAUAAUUGUCACUGCUGACUAGUUAUGGACGCCAUAUAUGUAAUUUGAAUAAAUUGAUUGGUUAUAUUUCCUCGCUAGUUUGAAUCCGUGGAAGUGCAUGCCAAACGCCUCUAGCAUUGAUCUUUUUGUAGUGUGGGGGCAGGGCCGGCCCUGGCCGGGGGGGGGGGGGGGCUUGCCCUGGGCCCCCAAAUCCCAGGGGCCCACCCUAGGUUCAAGUGUCAAACGAGUUAGGAAUUAGGAUUAGGAUGGGAAUAGCAACGAACGCUGAACGUAGUCACGCAACUCGUACACGUCGUGUAGAGGGCUGCCGCCAGGCAAAACUCGUACGUGUCGUCUUUGGAGGCUGCCGCGGGGGCCAGCGCCAAAACUCGUACGCAUCGUCCAGGGAGCCUCCAGGGGAUCGCUGCCAGCAAGGGCCGCCGCCAGGGAUCAUAAGGAUUAUCCAAAUCGCAAUUAAAACUCUGAUCGCCGCCAGGGCCACCGCCACGUCGUGUGCAUCAACGACUGGUUGUUGGACUGCGUCUGCGCCAUCAUCCAGGUACGGUAUUCAUCGCUGUAUACACACGCGCGCACAACCCGGUGGCCCGGCGAUUGCUGUUCCUAACCACUCCGCGGCGACCAAUCAGCUUGUUACUUGCGGACCUUACGGUUGGUGCCAAUUCGCUUCUGUGACCAGGUGAUUCGAUUGCUAAUUCCUCAAUUCUCCGUACCAUUAAUUAUUAAUUUACUAUCACAAGUUAUUUAAUCUCAACUGAUUUAUAACUAUUGGGUAUUUAUAAUAAUUUUAGUACUGUAAAUUUGAUAGGUAUAAAUAUCGAGAAAUAUUAGAAGAAACUUUUAAGGUAAUAUGUAUAAAUAAUUUGAUAUGAAUAUUGUUUUUAGAUACAUUUAAAUAUUUAUUGAUAAUAUUAUAUAUAUAUAUAUAUAUAUUUGUUAUAAACAUUAUAUUAAAGGCUUCAAGUUUUACCUUCACCCCGGGCCUUCCAAAUCUCAGGACCGCCCCUGGUGGGGGGUCCUAGUAUGUUAUCCGGCAUAGCAUCAUGAAAUUUAUUUCCUGAAGUCAGUGGCAUUUACUUUGCAGACAGCAAUGCUGUUGAACUAAAUCUCCUGUAACAGACAAACCACUGGACAAAUGACUCCAGAAUUUUCCGUGAGCUAGCAUACUCUGGCAAUACAAAUUGGUACAGUGAAUGUUCAGUAGUUUCUACUUUCUUUGUAGAAGGAAACAACCACUGCACGUAAAGAAAUAAUAAGACACUAGUUCUUCAUUCUAAAUAUUUGCAUAUAUGAACAAAAAGAUAUGUCAUGUGCACAUUUAGUUGAAUGAACUAAAUUUAAUCAACUGACAAUAUGAUUAAAUUGGAUGUGAGUAUAGGGCAGUAAAACCAUUUGAAUAGUUAAACUAACCAUAUAGUUUUACGUGAGAUUUGAAUUAACUGAUCUGUUCAAUUCCCUCACCAGUUUGAGUAGGUAGCAACUCCAGACAAAGUUUUUUUUCCUUACUUUGCCUACAUAAGUUAUGUUCAAGGUGAUGAAGCCAGUUGUAAUGAUGCUUUUGUCAUGAUUCAUGCCAAAUCAGACGUGAUUCUUGCUUUCAACUUUCAGCAAACCCCUGCAAGUUUAAUAAAACGACAUACUCAUGAAUGCUCGUUACAAGCAAAAUGAGCGGAGUUCCAAUUGGUUAGAUCCUUACGAAUGAAUUUAGCAAUCUAGGUUUGAGUCUUGAUCUUUCUACAGAUGUUUGUACUCUUUUGGUUAAUUAUAUAUUCUUUCAGUGUUAGGCAACUUGCCCGAUGGCUAAUACUCAUUGACCUAGAAAUUAGAAAGGGCACUUCCUUCGCACCAUCAUGUACAAUCUCCAAUAAAAAGUUGAGUUUUUCAGUAAUAUGAUGCUAUGGCUCGGUUCCUGAGGCCUCUCGUUCUCAAAGUAUUAUCACUACAAGGGAGAAAUUAUUCGAAUCCCUAUGCUAAAGAGGAAUAUAUAUGUUGCGUUGGGGAGAUGGAAUAGGCACACACAAAGGAUGGCUACGAUGCAUUUAUUUAUAGAGAAGUAUACGGUAGUAGUAAUUGUUGUGAGCUACCAGCUCGGCUCAAGAAACAAUAGUUGUGGAUCUUUAUGGUAUUACGUAUCGAAGUGGAAGAAAACCCGUUUCAUAAAAGAGAUCGACUCAACAGCAACUGUCCUGAUCUUUAUAUAGAAAAGUAAAGGAAAGGUAUGCAAGAAGAACUCCAUGGCGAAGUUCCACUCUCCCCAAUGCAUUCAUACGAGCCUUGUUACUUGAAUAAUACUACUUAUACUUCCUAUUACUUGAUCUUUAUAUACAGUGUAUGUCUAGAAUCUAGAAAAAUUAAAACGACCUACAAUUUGAAACGAAUGGAGUACCAACUAGUGGAGCCCUGAUUCUGAACCCUGAAUAUUUACCUUCCAACUUACCGAUGUUCCCACGUUAUUAUAAUUUUUCUUUAUCUUACUUCAGAACGAAACUAUCCAAAUAAAACGAAUUUGAUACAUAUAUACUACCAUGUUUUUUCUCAGUGUAACGAGAAGAGAAAAAAAACUACGCUAAUAGUUUGCUACCUUGCUCUGUUAUUUGGGAACCGACUGAUGAUAUGGACCUAUGGUCUGCUGACCGAUGACAUCGCCGAGCUAGGAUGCCGGGGCAUACCUCAUGCUGGCUCUGCGAUUCGGAUCUAAAGCGGCCGAUCACUCAAAUAAUAGACUGGUGGAUGCAACUGAGGCUAGCCGUCGUGAGAAGCAGCAUGCAGCAACGCUAAGGGAUUGACAGGCGUGUAAGCUAUAGGAUUUCCCUCCAACCAUGUCUCUCAUUCGCCUUCGUGUGCGCUCCACCCCCCGCCACCCCCCCCCACNNNNNNNNNNNNNNNNNNNNNNNNNNNNNNNNNNNNNNNNNNNNNNNNNNNNNNNNNNNNNNNNNNNNNNNNNNNNNNNNNNNNNNNNNNNNNNNNNNNNGAUCGAAUUUUAUGUUUCACUUAAUGAGUAUGUAGUAGAAAAAGUGCAUGUAUAUUUGAGAGGUCGUAAACCAUAUAGGAUGAUUAUCAAAUAGAUUAUGAUCCUAUUAGGCUCUGUUUCAAAAUCGAGGAUAUCCUGUCUCACCUUACCAAAUUUUCGACAGAGCGUCUGAUUCUCAUUGACGGAUUGCAACAGCAAGUCCAGCCAAUUCACGUGACUUACAACGAAACAUAUGUCCUCGUUUAGUCAAGAAACGGAACUGUAUAAAAUACUCUGGCAAGAAUGUUAUUGAGAAAUUCCGAUUUUAUAGGAAACAUAUUGAGAGAAAGGCUAGUUUCUUAAAGAAUUAUUAUUUGUACCCGAAUAUGAAAGUGGGGUCUGUCCUCUUUCGAUCUAGGGUUUUUGUGUGAGACGUGCCGGGCCACGGAUUGGUGAUUUUGGAUAAAUGUAACGGUCCUCCAAUCCUUAAAGGCAGGCCUAAAUCACAGGAGGGAUGCGCGCAUUUGUUCCUAAUGGAUUUUCCCCCCAACCUUUUUUCCCUUUCCCCUUGGUGUGGGUUCCACCCCCCCCCCCCCCCCCCCCCCCCCGGCCCACCCCCCUCUUUGUUCCUUUUUAUAUUUAUUCCUUCCUUUUGUUUUAUUAUAUUUUUCAAUUCUAUUUCUUUUUUCUUUAUAACUUUUCUUUUUUAUAUAUAUACUUACAUGUUCACCAUGAUAAAUUAUUUAUCCGCCACAGAUUCAUUUUGUUCGGAAUGUUAACUUGUUCUUUUUUGGACUAAGUUGUUCUCUCUUACGAUAAUUUUGUUCGUAUUUGUUUUCAUGUAAAAUGAUUUUGUCUGGAGGUAUUUGUUCACUUGUAGAUUAAUUUGUUCAUGAUGUGAAAUUAUUUGUUCACAGAUAAUAUUUAUUUGUUUUUCUUAUUGUUCGCAAGAUAUGUUCUAGCUUCGUAAAAUAUAGAAAAAUAAUAAUCAUAUAAAAUAGUCAAGUAUGAUCUUGUUUUCAAUAUCAUAAAAUAAUAUCAUCUCGUACAAAAAUGUUAUAAUGCAAUCGGAAUUUGGUUUUUAUACUCGGUCUAAGAUUUAUAGAAAGAUGUUUUACGUGGUGGGCUGUAUUUGUUCGACGUGGUGGACUGGCCUGCUGCGCUCUGAAGCCAACAGCGGCAGCUGGUUUGUCGUCUUCGGUCAUGCACUCGCUAGUCUGCCCGUCACUACAACGUUCCCGCCUCAACCGCCGCCAGAUAGCUGACUCCAGGAUAUCCAUAUGCGUUCUUACUACAAUUCCACAAAGCAUCCCAUAAAGCCCAGCAGGUAGCAGGACUCCAGGAGCUGUUAUCUGUUAAGCAUCCGUCUCCAUAUAUUCUUACUACAAUUCUUUUGCUCAGAUGGGUUUGCCUUUUCUCGCAGCCCCGCGGCGCGCGCCACCUGCUCGACGGAAUGCCCCGACCCCAGGGCCGACGCGUCCCGCGCAAAAGUUUCCUCCGGAAAUAUCGGUUAUGAUUCUACCUUAUUUCUCGUGUUGUUGCCUGUGGAAUGAUCCUCCAACUUUGUGCAGAGUUUUUUUUUCCUAUGCACACAUUUUGCAUGGAACUUAUAGCUAGGUAUUAUCUCGUUGCUUCUGCAGACGAUUUCAUUUUGUAAUCAGGUGCCAGUUGCGUGCAGCAUGCACCUCAUGGUAGAUUAGAGUAUUAGACAUUGCUUCACAUUUGUGGGUCAGAUGAAUCUAAGAGCUAUCCUGCACACCCGCCCAGGCAGACCGUGGAUCUCAUAUUCUCAUAUGCAUUGUUGAGUAGCCUUCCUAGUUUUGGGUGUUUUCAUUCUGUAGUGUGUGGUGAUCUUGUUUGGUACAGUCCUAUAUUGUCGCCAUUAUUCAGUUUCAUACUUUGCUAUUGAAGCUCUUAGAUCGCCAUGAGUACUCCUUGAUGAGUCUGGAGAAUUCGGAGUUCUUGUUCUCCAGCAGCCUCGAUGGUGUGUCAUAUUCUAUCAUUCUUCCUACGUGUCAGGAAAAAAAUUAUGCAGUUUAGUAAUCAUGAAAGCAAGGUCUAUCUAGUAACCUGUAUUCAAUAGAACGUUUCUGCAUCCAUCAAGGAUGUGUGGCUUACCAGCGCUGAAAACAAGAAUGAGAUCAUUGUCAAUGACAGUGUGAAUCCUGUGUGCAACUGUCAGCACCGUGCAAUCCCUGAACUCCUUGCGGAUUGUUUCCUGUAUAAUUGCAUCAGUGGCGGAGUCAACUGAAGCAGUUGCCUCGUCGAGGAUAAGAACACUGCUCCUCUUUAGGAGAACCCUUCCAAGGCAAAACAACUGCCUCUGUCCAACACUCCAGUUUUCCCCAUUCUCUACAACUGCAGGAGAAAAUUAUCAUGAUCAUUUCAAGAAGAUAGCAGCAUUAGCACACAACAAUAACCAACCCAUUUCUAAGCACUGAACACUUCUGUUACAUUUUGCUGCUGAACCAAAAGAGGGUGCAUUACCUGCGGAGUCCAGCUUCUUUGGGCUCUGCCGAACUAUAUCACCAAGCUGGCAUUUGUCCAAUAUCUGUUCCAGAGGAAAAUAAACCAGAUUGUUGAUCAUAUGUUAGGAGUAAGAGCGUUUAACUUUUGAUCACCAAGGUUCUCUAAAUUUUCAGUUUCGGUUUUCACUGUAAAGAUCAGUCCAGGUUGUACGUUCAGAUCUAGUUGCAGUCUGUACGAAACAACACAAAAGGUCAUGUAUACUUUGGUCUAGUUGAAAGUAUUAGCACAAUCACUAUACAUAAACUAAAAGAGGUAUUGUUAGACCUGCAAUUUGUUCUGUCACCUGCAGUAUGAGCAAAAUAAUGACUGUUUGCCAGUUUACCUAUUGAUAUUAAUAGUUAGUCUCCCUCUUUUUAUAAUGUUAUAAUUACUGCAUUAUAUCAUCAUGAUGUUUUCUACAGGUGAUUAAUUUACCUCCCAUACACGUUGAUCAGAGUAUUCAUUCAGUGGAUCCAGAUUUCCUCUCACUGUGCCCUCAAACAUGGUCGGAUCUUGUGGGAUGAUGCUAAGUCUGCCUCUUAAGUCAUGAAGCCCAAUUUUGGAGAUAUCAAUACUGUCAAUUUCUAUUGUUCCUUCCCUUGCUUCAACUACCCGGAAAAGUGCUUGAAUCAAAGUAGACUUUCCGCUACCAGUACGUCCUACAAUCCCCACCUUCUUCCUUCCUGGAAUUAUACAAGAUACGUUUCUCAAAACAGAUGGCAGAUGCUCUGCAUAUCGAACCUGUUGAAGUGAAGGGUCAUGUUAGAUGGCUCCAUUUGAGAAAGUGCCAGUAUUCCAAGAAACAUAAGGAAAUCGUAUGUUUUUAGAUAAAUACUCCCUCUGGAUUUUUUUUACAUGUCACAUUAGGUUUGUCCUAAGUCAAGCAUGUUCAACUUUGACCAAGUUUAUAAAAAAAUACAACAUCUACAAUACCUAAUUUGUUUCGUUGAAUGCACCAAGGAAUAUAUUUUGAUAGUGUAUAUGUUUGGUAGUAUAGUUGUUGUUAUAGUUUUCUAUAAAUUUGGUCAAAGUUGGACAGGUUUGACUUAUGACAAACCUAACGUGAUAUGUAAAAAAACCGGAGGAAGUACUUAAUUAGAGAAAACAAAGUGACAGUUGCAUGACUGUGUUUCUAUUGCCUGUGCAUUUGUCACUCUCAUAUGUUCAAUUUCUUCCUAUUUUGCAUGGAAAGCUAUCAUGAUCAUGCUCCUUUUCUCUAUUGAAAUUUUUGUAGGUACACUGAUUCUAUCUUUGGUACUGCCAAUUAUGAUUUAUGAAGUAUUGUCAUGGAACAUUUUCCACAACUUUUGGAUUUUGAUUUAUCUAUUUGUGUGUGGAUGAUUCAGAUUUUAAGUCAACUUAAGACUGGAGUUCAUUUUAACUUUUUGCUGAUUAAUGUUAUCUUUCUUUUCUCGAACAAUAAUGCAGGAGAACUGCAUAAUGGUAUCUUUUAGAUAUCCUACUGAAAUCAUGUUGGGUCGUAAUUCAUAACAGGGUUACACAUACUUCCAAGCAUCGUAUCCUGAUAGCUCCAAUUUCUGGCCAGCUGUUUGUGGGUCGACAGCAGUCUACUACAAGUGGAGCCUCACUAGGGAUCCUUGAGUACUGCAAUAUUCUUUCAACUGAUAUCAUUUUGUUCUCUGUGUUGCAGAUGUUCCAAAUUAUGGAUGCCAACUGUGAGUUGAGGUUCAAUGCAUAAGUCACCGCAAGUCCAGCAAGACCUGCAUGUAUAGUAUAAUAGUUUGACUACUACUGUACGAUGGUAAGUUAAGAUUCCUAUAACCAUAAAGAGCAUAUAUAUAAUCUAGAACAUACUUGGAUUUAUGAAACCUUCAGGAAGGCUGACUAGCAGAGUCAAAGAGAAGGCAAAUACAAAGUUAGAUAGCAUGUUUAGCCUGAAAGAGAGCCACUCCAUUGAAGAAAUGUUGUGGAACCAUGGUCGGGAAUGGUUGUCGAUAAGAAUGAGGUUUGCUUUCCUGAAACGGUCUUUUUGUCCAUACGCUCGAACACUAGAUGCUCCUGAAAGGGAUUCUGCAAAGUGGUGUAGGAUUGGAGCCCCCUGGAUUUGUGACAGACGAGCCAGCUCUCUUGCUGUUGGUAUGUAGUAUCGCUGCACAUCAUAUAGAAUAUAUCUUGAUUCAGCUUACUGGAAGUGAAUAAAAAUAACACUUUAGGAGCCUACCAGGCUACCAAAGUACCAAUGAACUAAAUAUCUUUAUCAAAAGUGCAUACCUGAUACAGAACACAGGCCACCGUCACUGGAAUAAAUAUGGCAAAAACUGGCCAUGCAACCUGGGACAUAACACCAAUGGUACCCAGAAGUUUUAUGCUUGAAAAUACGCACCAACCAAGUUUGAUAGCUAUUUCAAGAUCUAGGACACUUUGAUCAGUGGAAACCUAUAACCAGUAAAUAUACCAGUAUUAGUUUAAAGGAGUGACCAUGCCAUGCAGUAUGAACUAUGAAAGUAUCGUCGAAAUUACAUCAGCACUAACCCUGUUCAGAAUUCUGCCAGUUGGUGUGGAGUCGAAGAAGGACGUAGGGGCACGCAUGAUGCAAUGGAGCAUGUUCUUGAAGAGCUUUUCUGAUGUUAGUAGACCAACUAGCGAUACGAGCCAGGACCGAAUCAAGACACACAGUGCACAUCCCAUGGAUAGUGCUAUGUAUACCAAGAAGAGGAGGCCUAAUCCAACUCUUGAGGUUGUUGUAGAAGUUGGGGGAGAUCCCCAUGCUAUCCAAUAGUUGCUUGCAACUUGAAAUAUUUGGAAGAAUGAUUGUGCACCAAUUGUUACUGGCACCAAGGCACCGCCAUGAACUGCCCUCAGGUAUGCCCAAUAAACCGUCAUGCCAAUGCCACCCUUUUCUCUUUCCUCAUCUUGUGUUAACCUUCCCUUCUGAUUGAUAUCUUCUGAGACAUCAUGUGAAGAUUCUUGCUUUGUCAUAAUCUGAAAUUUGUUAUCCAUUUCAUUUUCUGUCUCAAACUCAUUGUCACUUUCCACUGAAUUUUUGUUACCAGCCAAUAAUAAUCUGCUGGAACUUUCAGCUUUUACGACAGACUCAAGGGCCUUGCUAUGAGCUCCUACUAUGGUCUCAAAUCCUAUGUUCUGUUGAAGGAGCUCAUCAAAUUUUCCUUUCUGCACAAUUUUCCCAUCCUGCAUCACCUAUGAUUUUGUAUUCAUGUGGUUAUUUACUUAGCAUACUUAACCUUUUGGAUGCGAUUAGCUAGCCGAAGUGUAUUUUAAAUACAUACCAAUAUAAGAUCUGCAGCUGGAAGAAAUUCGACUUGGUGGGUCACAUAAAUUAUAGUUUUGUCUUUAAGAAGACCCAUUAGGCAAUCCUGCAAAAUGCUAUUAUUUCAGUCGCUUACGAUACUGCCUGAGUGGUCCUCCAAAAGAUAAUACAAGAUAUCAAAUAGGAAAGUAGUUAAUAUAUCUAUUCUGAAAUAGCUAAAUUAUCGAAUUAACAUCUCAGUGACUACAUAAUUAAGUAUUCAUUGGUUCUGUAUUUGUCAAAAGUAAGAACCUUGAAAAGGUGGCUUCCAGUGUGAGCAUCUACAGAGCUGAAAGGAUCAUCAAAGAGGUACAUAUCUGCUUCCCCAUACACUGACCUCGCAAUCUGAAUUCGCUGUUUCUGUCCACCACUCAUGUUAAUUCCUCUUUCUCCAAUCUCUGUCAAAUCACCAUUUGCAAACAGCUCAAGGUCUUUUGUCAGUGCACAAGCUUGUAUUAUCUUUUCAUACUUGUCCUUGUCAUAUGGAUUCCCAAACAAAAUAUUGUCCCUAAUAGUACCAGACAGGAUCCAGGCAGUUUGGGGAACAUAUGCUUUUCUCCCGCUGACCGUUACUGUCCCUGCCAACUUUCGCAUCUCUCCCAGUAUGCAUGACAAAAGGCUGGAUUUCCCAGAGCCAACCAUUCCACAUACUGCUAUUUUCAUCCCCCUCUUAACUUUUAGCUCUAUACCACUUAGAGUUGGGGAUGUGUUCUCAAGUUCCCAGCUAAAUGUUCCAUGAUCAAUUUCCACAUCACAGUCUGUAUCACACCUUUGUAGUUCAGUAACUUCAUUUGGUUUCAAUUCUUCCUCACGUAGGUACUUUGCUACUCUAUCAGCUGAAACCUUUCCUUGUGCAAAUGCUGAAAGCAAGUCAGGAAGUUGGAAGAUAGGAUCCUGUAGCAUCUGGAAUGUUGCAAGAGCGGACAAAACAGUUCCUGCCGUCAGAGGAAUCCCCAUCAAUAUACAUAAGCCAAACAUUAUAGAAGAUACAAAACCAGGGGAAGCCCAAAAUAUGAAUUGAGUUACAGCUGACAAUCGUGCAGAUUUCGACAACCAAUUGUACUCGACACUUCGUAAAGUUUCUAGCUUUGUGAGGUACUUCAUGUCCCAGGCUUGAAGCUUAAGUAUUUUUAUGCUUCUAAGAACUUCUGUUGUUGCCUUCAUUCUGUUGUCUUUAGCAUCCAUGAUCUUGCCUUGCAACCUUUUCUGCAUUCUUGUGAGUGGAAUGUUGCAAGACAUUAUUGCCAGUGUUGCUGCUAAGCCAGCCCAGGCUGCAACCCCUAGGUUUUGAUGAAGAACAUAGAUUGCUAGAGAAAGCUGUAUGGGUAACAUCCAAAUGUAGUUUGCAUACCAUAUGACAUCGGAUAUCCUUUGUAUAUCUACGCUCAUAUAGUUUAUGAUCUCUCCACUUGUAUAUUUUUGCCUCGAACUGCAGGACAAGGAGAGCCCCUUUUGAUAGACGUGGGAUAUCAAAGCAGCUCGUAGCUGCAUCCCCAGCUGUCGAGCCCCAAAAAUCCACUGCCUCUGAGCUAUGGUUUCGACAACUUUGGCACUGAGAAAAGCAGCAGCAAGAAGGUAACCUCUUUUGAGUCCAUACUGCCUUUCUCCUCCAAGGAACUUCACCAAGUCAUUGAUCAGUGAUGGUCCAACAAAGGUUGCAGUUGCAUUUAUUGCUGCGAAUCCUGCAUUGAUGAUUGCCUUUCUUCUGAUUAGAAGAAACAUUGCCCUAUAGACUGAUGAAGUAGUUAAACCAUGACUACGCUCAACAUUUGAAAUGAUUUUUUUGAAUGUGUCAGAUAGGAAUUCUGCAGAGUCCUUCACAUCAACAUCUGGCAUAUCCCUCUCCUCUAGAGGUCUCUUGUAUCCAAUAGCAAAGACAGGGCUCAUCCAUGAGAAUGUGACAAGUUCUGAAAGGCUUCCUCUUGCAUACAGACACUGCCUUUUUGUUUCUGUGUGCUGUCCAGUUGUAGGACUUAAACGUGGUUCUGUUAAGCUUGCACCAAGGAAGGUAAUGCCUGUGUUUCCUCUAACUGACAUGGCAAAUAGAUAAGAGCUUGUAACUAGUGUAAGUAGGUCAGUACAUUUCUUCAAUCCUAUAUUUCCAUGACCUGAUAAAAUGGACCUCAGAUCAAAUACAAUGGUAGUAACAUACUGCAUGAAACUAAAUAUCCACCAUGCUCGGAUUAUCCAUGGAAGUUUUGCAGAUUUGGUAUUCUUGAAACUGAAUACUGCAAGUGACAGUAUCGUCCAGGAUAGUACCUGUAAACCUUCACCUAGUAGAAAAUAUGGAUAUUUGCAAUCACUUGGUCCCCUUUUUAAGUGAAACAACACUAACUUCAGGACAUGAGUGGCUAAUAUAAACAAGCAGCAAGCUAUGCUUGCUUGAUAUGAUACAUUCAACUUUACGUCAGCAUACUUGUGUUCCUGAGACAAAUGAUUAUCUCUUUCAGAACUCGUAAGGUUCAAUUUCUGCCUGCACCAUCUGAUUUUCCUGAACAGUAACCCGGCCAAUACGCCAAUGACAAAUACCAUAUGUGUCAUGGUAAAAGUGCCCGUCCAGAAGCAAGGUGAAUCUAUCUGUGGCCACCCUCGUAAGUGUUGCAAUACUGUGGAGACUGUAAUUCCAUCGAAGCUUAUGUUAAAAACCAAUGGCAUAGUAAUAUUUUCAGUUAUCAUUCUGUUUCGAAAACAAUGCAGGAUUUACGAUUAUGCAUCAGACGAGAAAAGGCAAACCAACAUUUUUUUUUGGUAAAAUUGGAGUUUCAGCCCGUGGUUCUAUAAGUGAAAAAAUAAUAUGGAUUUAUUGUUUUUUUUUACUCUGAACAAGUUUGUUUAGCAGAAUAACUAGUUCAGAAAUAAACUUAAGAACAAUUGGCUCCCAAUAACAGGAUAAAAUAUAUGCUGGACAUCAGUAACCAUUGAGAAUCAAACUUGUCAGCUAAAUUGUGAGAAACAUUUUGAGUAUAGAAAGCUUAUGUUUCUUCGCAUAUUUGAACAAGUGAGACAACUACUAUCUGUCUCUUGGAUUGUUAAAAUAAACUCUCUUGGAGGGUGUUUGUAUGCUCGUGCUGUCUAUCUCUUCGAAGGUUACUUGUGAGGAUGAUUAACACUAUCCAAGUACUCUAUAUGUAAUAGCUUUGAGCUAGAGUGAUAAAGUAAUCCUGAAUGCUACAAUUGAGAAUAGGAGGUUAGGAAUUACCUCGAUGAAUUUUCUGAAGUAUUAGUUUAAUGCAGCAAAAACUAAUGCCAUGAUAUACCCUUGUCAUUCAUUGUUUAGUCGGCCCUUUCACUUAGAAAAUGCAUCUCUGGCUUUUGUUUAUCUCAUUUUAAUGGGGUCUAGUUGUCCUGCUCUACAUCAGAAUGUGUCAAUUGGAUCCUAGUGUUUUAGACCAAGAAUUUUAUAAAGAAAAAGGCAAUGGCAGUUGGCGAAGGAAAGCCACGCAGUGAAAUUAACUCAUGAACAUGCUUCAAAGGCGGAGAAUCAAAAUAUGCAUGAAACCUAUCAUCUCCAUGCAAGAUUUAAGGGAUUAAUUAGGUGUUACCUGAAGAGUCAUGGAGCAGGCCCCUGUGAAGAAACAGAUCUUCAACCAUCCUCGAAAUCCUUGCAAGAAGAGGAAGCUACAGGCUUCCCCUUCCCAUGGUACAAUCCCAAUGCUCCUUGGAGAGGGAGGAAGAUGCUGUGGAGGUGGGUGAGGGGUGAUAUAGCACUGUGAGAGUCAGAGAUGGGUUAAAAACAUGAGCCACCUCGAAUUUGUAUAUCCUAUUCUGGUCAUAUUCAAAAAUAUAAGAAGGUCAACUCUUGCAAGAGCUGGCGUCACAAUGAGCUUACAGAUUAUCAUUUGUUUGGUUUCGCUAAGUCUUGUGAUUGGCCAAAAUUGUUAGGAAGGCUGGUUACCUGAUCUUCUUUGGCAUUAUUUCGCAGAAUUACUAUUUCUGUCCAGCUGAACAGAUAGGUUCCAGUCAAUUUCUGUUAUUAUAAAUAAAACACCUUGAGAUGUUUGUUGGACAAUUUUGUGGAUCCAAUGAAGCAGACAACAGGGAUUUUUCCUUUGCUGAUGAAAAAAAUUAAAUCAGAAAUGUUUCCUAUCUUUCGGACAACUUAAUUUUCUACUACUGACAAAUGCAUGUGUUUCCUGAAUGGCCUAGAUCUGUACUCCAUUUUUUGCAGGACUGGAGGCUGUAGAUUAAACCAGUCGAAUAAGAUUAACGGAUUCGAUCAGCUUGCAGAUGGAAUCCAAUCAAAUCAAGUCUCGCUCGGCUGGAUGCUGGAAGAGACAAAAUGAGUAGUGGCUCACGCACAGUAUCUGUGUGUGGGACACAGACAACCAGUUGAAUUAGAUGAAGUGAUCAGGGCUAAACAAUUGUUAUCUCUGCAGGCGUGCAGAAAAAAGAAAGUGUGAAUUCCUUAUUUGCAUAUAGAAUAAGAGUUGCUUUCUUGCUAUUAAAAUAUUCGGAGUUCCUUAUUUGUCAUCCAUUCUAUUUUAGUUUAGAACAUCUUUAGUAGUUACCUAAUAAUUUUUUCUCAACAACUACAUAAAUUCCGAUAUCGGUUUCCCAAUGGGGAUCUGUAAGAAAAUGCUCUUAUAUUCGCCACUUAUUCGAGAUCGAAGCCAAGCUGUGGGCUUAAUCGAAAUUCGAGGUGCGGUGGCGGAAAUCAACGCCUGAUGAACCAUCGAUAGUGGGUUCGUGCUCACAGCCUUAGCCAAUCGGUUCGUCUGGGAGCUCGAUUUGAUCUAAUCCCUAUCGCACGGCCGGAUUAGCUGCUGAAAUCAACUUCGAUUCGCUUUGCUCGUCACAAGAUGAGGACCUGAGGAGAAACAAACAAGACGGAAGGGCGCUGGUGACCUGCUUCUUGGCCCCUCGCGCUCCGAUUGCUGAACGGCCACCGUCUUCUUGACCUGCGCCCUGGCCUUCCGCUCCUCGGCCUUCUCGAUCUGCAGGCCUCCGACGCGACGUCGCGGCGCGGAGCUGCCUCUGCCCAGGCGGGCUGGGCAGAGGAGAGCUGGGCAGAGGAGAGAGAGGAAGAAAGGAGGACAGUGGACAGUUUGAUUAUUAUUUUGUUAUGCAUCUAGACAUGAUAUACAUCUAGAUUCGUAGCAAAAGUUAUGUAUCCAAAAUAUCGUAGAUAUCUGACAGGAUUCAAUCAAUAGGUUCAAUCAAUAAUCUAGUAUAAGCAACAAGUGGAUUUUCCAAUUUUAUCCUCUUCUUCUCCGCCUCUAUAGAAGUCGACCGCCUAAUCCUCCACCUCUGGGUCCUCUUCCCUAUAAGUAGGUACAUAGCAAAAGAUAUGAAUUUAGAAAAGUCAAAACGAAUAGUAAUUUGGGAUGUAAAGAAUACAUACUUUUCUAUAACUACUGCAUAGUUAGAUUAAAGAAAUACCUUCCAACAAAUGCAUAUCGUGGGACGGUGGGAACCAAUAACAGCCGUGGUGCUGAUUAUACGAAUAAACUGAAUCGCUAUACAUAUCGAAUAAAACUAUUGGGACCAGAAAGGAAAAAGGGUUAAGCUGAGCUAUCAAGUGCGCUAUUCAAAUGUCCUGAGUCAUAAUUCAAAAUGGUUCAAAGUUCUAUUUCUGGAAGCAAGAUGUCUACUACGGUGACAAUGCAAUCGUUCUUUUUUUUUUUUGAGUUCCAGGUAAAAGAUCUCCAGUCCAUCUGCAUUGCAAUCAGGGCAAGAUGCAAUCAUUCUUUGUGUUAGUUAUUCUAGAUGCUGAAAUAAAAGGUUGCAUUCGUGUGGCCUGGCUGCACAGCACAUUGCUGAGUUUUAAACACAAAUUCACUGCUUUAUUUACACACAUUGAUCAUUGCGACAUAUAUGGUUCGAGCGGCUAGCAAUUUAUUUGUUCUGGAAUGCAACGGCUCUGAAGUACCACCAUCAUGCACGGACAGACACGAAAGCCAUGGUGGCAGGAGCUUAUGGCAAGACAGCGGUAGUUUGUUUCCCAAGGUCUCUCGUUCCCAUCAAUCUCGCCAUGAUGACAAAAAAAGAGUGCGAGAUAUAAGAUAUUACCAAGGAGGUGUACCGGAGGCGGAGGGCAAAGAAGAUUUUGGCCAUAUUUAUAGCAAAGUGCUACUGUGCUAAAAAGAUAUAUGGUAGACAUUAAUGAGUAUAGUAUUCUCUCCCAUCACAAUAUUUAAAACAUAACUUUUUUUUACUUCUCUUUUGUUUAUAUUAUAUUUUUUUAUAAAACUAGUCCAUCAACCCGUGCUCCGCAUGGCUAGCACUUUUAGGUGACAUAAAUAUUAGUAGUUUUUAUGUAAUUUCAUCUAGGUGAAUAAUCAAUCGAAUUUGCUAUUUUUGGUUAAUUUCCUAACACUUGUGGCAUCAUUAGAAGGAUCACAAAAAAAUUUCAGCACAAACUCUAAAUAAUUUAAAUAAUACAUAAUAUAUCAAUUAGUGCUUGUCAUGAUUGGGGAGCAAGAUAUAUACAUGUUGAAGAUUGUAGUGCAUACUAUGUUUGAAAUAAAAUUGCUAAGUACAAUUAACUUUGUUUUUAUUUCAAAGAUCCAGGACAAUAGGAAGCAAAUCAAUAUGUUUCCUAUCUUCUCUUUGGUGUAGUUUGUGUUCCACUAUGACAGCUAUCAAGAAAAUUGAGUACAUGGGCGUAUGGGAGCCCCCUCUUUUGGAAUUCAACCGUUUAUAGUAGCUAACUACAUUCAAAAUAGCAACGGUUAAUUCACAUAUUGAGUAAUUAGUAACAUGUUGAAUAUGAUACGUUUGGAGUGUAGUACUAUGUUUUGUAUGUCUCAUCAGUUACUUUGAAUUAUCUUAAAUUUCACAAUCAUGAAUAAUUUAUAAACUGAAAAUAACCCUAAAAGUGCUAUGAUAGUGAACAACAAUUAUACCUACUGAUCAAUAAGCAUCAUGUCAACUUUAAUGCGUGUUCGUGAAAAAAAAAGAUCAUGUCAAGACUUAAUUGUUCUCCACUACCAAGCAAGAUUGCAUUCCACUAUCUGGUUACCGUUGUCUUGAUUUUUCACAACUCAUUUCCUGGUUUAAUUUUGCUUAAGGUUUUGCACCCCAUCGCAACUUGUUCAAUUGCAUCAGCAAGAUGGUGAUGGAUCUAAUUGUACUAUGUUUCUAUACAAAAGUUAUAGUAUACAAACAUGGCACAAUACAAACAAUUUGAGAAGAAGAAUGAUCUUGUGAGAUAGAUUUGGAAGGAAUAUAAAUUGAGCUGCUUUUUAUACAAAAGUUACGAUAUACAAACAAUGAUCGCAUAGAGUAUAGAGAUUCAGUAGGAAUAAUAUAGUUCAAGAAGAAUUUUGUACUUUAAAUUCGGAAGGGAGAUGCAAAAUCGACCUUUUUAUCUGUAUGGAAGUUAUGGUAUAAAAAAAAUGUUCACGUAAAAUAGAUUUGGCAGGAAUAACAGUUCGAGAAGAACUCUUUACCUCUCAAUUGAUGAAAAUAAAUUCGGAAGGGAGAUGCAAAAUCGACCUUUUUAUUUGUAUAGAAGUUAUGGUAAAAAAAAUGUUCACGUAAAAUAGAUUCGGCAGGAAUAACUGUUCGAGAAGAAUUCUUUACCUCUCAAUUGAUGAAAAUGGCAGCAGGCAAGAGGCGAAAAAGAACAAACAGAAUGACUUGAGUUGUCGUUUGUCUUUCUAGUUGAUGGGAGCAGUACAAAAGUAUCGGUUUCUUUUUAUAUAUACACAUACGUACACGUGGAGUAUGUUGGAUUAGCUAGUUACCGGCCCUUUGGGGGUAUAGAUUAUGAAGAGAUUGAAAAAAAAUGAGAGAUUAGCUAGGGUAGAUGUGAUUGGUAGGAUAUUUUAGGCUUAUUUUUUUCGUAAAGAUUUAAAUUAGGCUGGAUGUGAUCAGUAGGAUACUAUUAGUUUAAUUUUUUCUUAAUGGUAGACAUGGGUAAUUGAGAUAUAGAUAUUAUAAGUGUGGGUAAUUGUUUUUUAAUGCCAGGAUACUAUAAAGAUUUUAAUUGUUUUUAGGUUAUUUCUCCAUAAUAUUAUAAGUGGGUGAUUUUUACAAAUAGAGCAUAGACCAACGGCUAUUAUUAACAAUGAUGAUUACGAUUUAGUGAGUUGACUUUUUUUUUAAGAAUUUCUAAGGUUUCUUUAAUUUUUUAGUGCCUACAUAGGCUCCUGUAUGGCUUCGUGUGGAGGUUUGAAAAAAGAACCUCCAAUUAUUUUGAUGGAGAGGAGACGCAAUCGACAUUAUUUUAGGUGAGGAGAGAUCGGUAGUAGAUGAUCAAGUGGAUUAAGUGUAGGCCUGGAGAAGUUAACCAAGAUUUGCUUCACGUCAGCUGUAUAGGCUAGAUGUUUUGUUCAAUUUUUUUUAAAUAGAAUAUAUUUAUUUUCCCAUGAGGAGGAUUCACGGCAUCCUUUGAUGAGCUCCCAUUGAUAGAGAUUAAGGAUUAAUAUUUUUUACUUUAUGUUAUUAUUAGUUAUUUUGGAAAUUGGGAUAUUCACGACAUCUUUUUUGAGAUUCCAUUGAUAGAGAUUAAGGAUUAAGAUUUUUAGUGGCACAUUUUGAUUAUUUAGAUACAAUUAGAUGAUUACAUUAGAUUAUUUUCAUAGUUGCAAAGGUCCUUAUUAUAUAAUGGCAUAUGUGUGUAAUUUUUUAGAAAAUAUAAUAGAUCUAAUGGCUACUAUUAACCAUCAUGAUUAGAGUCUAUCAGAUUGAUAGCUAGAUGUUUCUAAUUUUUGUAAGAAUUUUUAGAAUUUCUCUCUUUUUGUAGAGUGUCCACUUAGGAUACUAGGUGACUUCACAUAGAUGCCUUAAAAGAAGCCUCCAUUAGUAAUAGUAAUAUGUAACAAAAGUCCGACUUUACUUGUAACAUUUCCUCGUAUCCAAAUUUAACAAAUAAAAAUAAUUUCUAUUUGAGAUCUUCAACUGGGACUAAGGUCACUCUCUACCAGUGCUACCCAUCAGGGUUCAAGUCAUGAUUUAACCGGCGCUAUUCUUUCAGUGGUAGGCGACGUGCUCGUUAACAGCGAGGCGUCAGUGGCGACUUUGUCAAUCUCGAGGAUUUGCCAGUUCAGUUCUUCGGAGGGCUCAGGGGUAGGAUUGCAUGCGUGUGUUUGAAGGAGCGAGUGUGCAUUGAGUUAUUUGAAAAAAUAAUCAAAUUUUAAAAUAAUUGAAUUAAGACUAUCUAAAAACAUAAUUUAUUCGUCGCUGUGUACAGUGAGUUUGUUUCUGAUGAACGUACGAGUCACUGUGUAUUACCUGUCCAAUACAGUAACACUACACCAAGUCCGAGUUUGCAGUAUCAUACGGCAUGUUGGGACUGCUGAGGCGGAGGGGCCCCUCGGGUUUCUCGCCGUCGUCCACCGCCGAGGAGGUCACCGCCGGCAUCGAUGGUUGCGGCCUCGUCGCCAUCGUCACAGGUCACUCCGCUUGCAUACCCGCUCUUACCUCCCUCUCAACCUAAGUCAACUCUUGCUCCCGUAGUCGUACCUUGUCCUUGACUGAAUUCAGCGAUUCUUGAUUCGUUCCUCCUUUUAUUCUUGACUUUCAGUCUUCUACGAUUGUUUAUCCCCCCCAAGUAUUGCUCAAUCUUGUGAAAUUAGGGGCGAAAUCUUUUUUUUUUACUGUUCUGUGAUUUUGUUUGCUCCUCCGCUUCUUGCUUUUCAGUUCAGCAGGUAGUGACAGUGUAUCGCAUACCACUAGAUGUAAGCAAUUAUUGCAGUCGUUCUUGAUUUGCAUCUCAAAUUGUGCAGUUGGUCUGAAAAUUAAGGUGGCUUACAAUUGAUAGCAAUUGCCAUUGACGGUAAUGCUUCUCACCUACAGGUGCAUCUCAUGGGAUUGGUACUGAAACAUGCCGGGUUCUUGCGCUGCGAGGGGUCCAGGUGGUGAUGGGUGUGAGGAAUACAUUGUCCGGUGCGCGCGUGAGGGAAGAGAUUGUGAGACAGAUUCCUACGGCCAAGAUUGAGGUCCUGGAGCUUGACCUUAGCUCCAUGUCGUCAGUGAGAAGAUUUGUCAAAAAUUUCAAUGCGCUAAACCUUCCCCUGAACAUUCUGAUGUAAGUAUAAAUGCAUAACUAAUCUUCAGGACCAACCUAAUACUGGACUGAGCUCAUUGAAGUAGAGAAUUAUGUGAUGCUCAUUAGUUACUAAAAGUUGUAGUAUAGCCAAUGCCUUAAGAAUUUUGCCAUUGCUGUUUGUGCAUUACCUUUUUGUUUUACACGUUCUCAUUUGGUGUUACUUAUGGUUACACAAAAAUGAUUUGGCUGUGUUUUGUCUAAAGUAAUAAUGCAGGGAUUGCGUUUGUUCCUUUUGAGCUUUCAGAAGAUGGCAUUGAGCUGCAUUUUGCAACAAAUCACCUUGGUAUGCCGCACUUGUCGUCCUACACUCUUAUGUUGCCAUUUAUCUAAAGAAAGUACAAUUUUAAAGAGUCCCUGUUUUGUCAAAGAAAAAUUUUCUAGUUAAAAAAGUCAACGAGUAAAACUUUUUGCAACACUAAAGCUAUACAAUGGCUCUUUCACUUUACUUCACUACAGUUGGUUGAAUAUCGUUACACAUGAUUCAUAGUAGUUAUUGGAAAAUUUUCUGGCCCUUACUACAUCUUGCAAUUGGGUCCUGUGACGUAGGCCAUUUUCUGCUGACUGAUCUUUUGCUCGAGAAGAUCAAAGUUACAGCUGAACAGAGUGACAUAGAAGGAAGGAUUGUGAUUGUUUCAUCUGAAGGUUACAAGCACGCAUACCGGGAGGGAAUCCGUUUCCAUAAGAUCAAUGAUGAAUCUGGGUAUUUUCUCCUCAACCAACCACAUCAUUUCAAAGUAAUUUUUUUCACUUUCAUCUUGUCAUAAAUUGGCUACUGAAUUAUUAACUCACUUCAUUUCUGGAAAAUAACUUUUGUAAAGAAGCAUGACAGCAAAAUCUAACUUCUUUUUGACAAAUGACAGUUAUAGCAGAUUCUCAGCAUACGGCCAAUCUAAGCUCGCCAACAUAUUGCACUCAAAUGAACUUUCUAAAAACUUGAAGGUACCUGCACUUUAAUUUUUGAUUCAGAUGGUGAAGGUGUGCAUACGAUUGCAUUGUUUAGUCUGGUGAUGCAUGCUGACUAAAUAUUUACAGAUGAUAUGAUUUAUGCUUUUAUGUGAACAGUAAGAUUUAAUUUGGAUGUCACAUGUUUGUAACAGAACUUAUUGCUCUUCUACUAAGUUGACUUCUUAAGGUUAUGCCGGGGGGUCGUCUUCCCCCUGAGGUCUAGUUCAGAGUUAAAAUGAAAAUCUUAGAAACACGAAAACUGGACUGAAAUCAUUAUUAUUGUUUUAUUUUGGAUCUGCUCUGUGAAUAAAUAAUAUUUCUCACAGUUAUCUGUUACUCUGCUGACAGGAACAAAAUGCAAAAGUAGUAGUCAACUCGCUUCACCCAGGAGAAGUUUGCACCAACAUAAUGCAUCACUGGGCUUUCUUACAUGGUUUGGAUAUAUUUGACUAGUCCAUUCAGUGAUUUAAAAGUAGACCAUAUUUAAGCCUCCUAAAUUUGCCACUGUUAUUUUAUUGAAUCAUCAUUGCUAUGAGCUUUACUUAUAAUCUUUCUUUUUCUAAAAUGCACAGUCCAUAAUUUAGUAGUUACAUUAAAUUUAUGAAGGUGUCUGUUAAAAUUUUUUGUCUUACCUUUUAUUAUUUCUAUUUCAGGUCUUAUGUGUACGCUUGGCAAAUUUAUAUUGAAAGAUGUUGGUCAAGUAAGUUUUCAAUCCUGUAAAGAUAAAUUGAAUUUUCCUUCUUAUAGUAAGUUUUCAAUCCUGUAAAGAUAAAUUGAAUUUUCCUUCUUUAAAAAAAGUGGCUUUUUUUUAUUUCAUUAUAUGGGCAGUUUAAGUUUGUCUAUCUAUGUUUAACGAGAAUAUAUAUGCUUAUUUCACAAAUCCAAAGCUGAUAGUAUUGAUGUUUUAGUUAUGGUGUAUGUCUGGCUCUGCUAGCCCCAGCCUUAUGAAUGCAUUGCUCUGCCAAUGUGAACUUUUAAACUAAGCAUUGCACAAACCUAGAUAAUUGAUGCACUAUUAUCAUCAUAAGCUUUAUAUUUUGACUAAAAUUGCAUAUGCUUUACCAUAAUUGAAUAUUGAACAUGUCAUAGUCUUCUCUGCGUAAAUGAUAUUGGCAAUGUAGAAUUGUCUGGAAUCUACCCAACUGGUUUCAGGGGGCAAAAAGUGGGUCACAUGGAACUGUUGGACCAUACAACAGUAUGCUAGGCGACAAGUUAAUUAAGCAAACAUGAGGAAGUCAUUUGCAGUCAAACUUACAAACCCUUGUAAAUGGAUCUGUUGAUUGUUGCAACUAUUGAAACUCGCCCACUGCUUGUCAUUGGCCUUUCUGCAGGGUGCGGCCACAGUUUGUUAUCUGGCAUUGCAUCCUCAGGUUGCUGGAGUCACUGGCAAAUACUUUAUAGACUGCAAUGCUACUGAUCCAAAAUCUCCUGCAACUGAUAAGGAAUUGGUGAAAAGGCUCUGGGAUUUUAGUGCGAGCCUAGUCCAUUGAUUCAAAUUGGUGCAACAACUGUGAUUCUGUGAAAUACUAUUUGAGGAAAUAACCAGCCAAGUAAAACAUUGAAGGAACAAAAAUUCUGAGGUUAUGUCUCUUCAGAAAGAAAUGCUGAGGUUAUGAGCUAAAAGAUUUGUUCAGACAAAUGGAUAGCGAAUGUAAACAUGUUCAAAUUGAGUGAGGUGUCGUUAUUAUGUAGCAUGUAGCUGUGCAAUAGGUACUAUUGUAACUUGUUUGGACUCUUAUGUAACCCAUAUUUCUGAAUAUUCCGUAUGUAGUUUAUUUCCCAAUAUCUCUGAUUCCAGUGAAACUUUUGAGACAAAAAUUGCAAGAACGUUUUCAGGCUUAUGUUCUACUGUACUAAGGUAUUAUAUUUGGGGUUAUGCUGCAUUCAUGUAUGCUAUCUUGGCUUUCAAGUUCGUGAUCCGAUCAAGUACUACUUGGGUCUUUAUCAUUCAUUGUAGUUACGGCAACUUGUUCCUGGAGGGUUGCUCGUUUACGAGCUAGCAGAAGGCAUGACAAUACACUUGCUAUGGGAUCAUUGCUUGUUUGGUUUUGCUGAGUCUUGUGGUUGACCAAAAUGUUAGGAAUAAGGCUGUCUUUGAAAUUAUUACGCAAAAUUACUUUUGUCCAGUUGAAUCGAAUAUAUAGGUGCCAGUUAAUUAUUUUCUUAUUUAUUGUUUCUCAUAUAAGUAGAGGUGCAUGUGGUCAACAGGGUUUUGUUGAAUUGUUCCAAACGUCGAUGGAGCAUUAAGGAUUGUUGAGAUGAACUAUUCGGAGCACUAAAUUGCACUGUUCUCUGAGCUUCAGUUCAUUUAUUCAAUGUGUUAGUUUCAAAAGUACGAUAAUGUCAGCCAGUGGAGAGAAUAAAGUUGUUUUUCCUGUUAAUUGUUCUAGAAAUUAAAAAUAAAUUGUUGACUAUAGUCGCGUUAACCGAUUGCAUGAUAAAUCCUGUAGUCAAUUAAUCACAUUUUGCAACUUACACUACAGAUUUUUUUUCUUUUAAAAAAUUGUACCAAGCCUACAACACAAGAGUCAUCAGGCUUUCCAUCUUCAUAUAAAUAGCAACGCUGAUCGUUCAGACGAUAGUAGAAGAUUUUAUCCUGGAAUUGAACGAACGAUCUUUUACCCUCCAACCGCCAAACCCAGGCUGUGAAAUGACUUGCGUUGCUAGCCAACGCAAUGUGCAAUCAAAUGAUGGCUUAUCCACGAACUUGUCAGGAUACUCUAGUAGCGUUCGUAAAACGUCUAGUGCCAACUCAAAGAAGCAGUGGCAGUUUAUUUUCUAUAAAAUCUUGUGGAGAAUAAAAUGCACGAAUGUGUCUUUCAGCUUAUGUUCUACUCCUAGCAAGGAUUGCGUUCAUAUCUGUAGCAGAAUGCUUGGUGCACUGAAAGAUCGAGUAUGGUAGAAGAUUGUUGAGCACAACGUGUGCAUUAGGUCGAUAAAUUGAAUAGCAGCUAGGAAGCUGGCUUUAUGCCAUCGGAGAAGUUAAAUUUCUGUAAUCCACCAUCCUAAUAUUUCAAGUUUUACUAUUUCCCACAGGGGAUGCAGUUAAACGUUUUUCCAAAUUGUAGCAAGUGCACAGUGUAGGUAAUACAAAUCUGCAACUCGCACAUUUAUCUGACUUUUCAUCCUCUCAUAAAGCUAUAAUUUUGGUGAGUACUUUGCUUCUGAAUAAACAACCCUGACAUAAGGUUCCACAUCCAACUAUCUUGCACAUGAGUGUUUCAUUGCACACACCUUCAGCAUUGUUGCAACAAUUCACAGGGUGGUGGCUUGUGCAUGAUCCAGUCCAUGCCGCGUCAAUAAUAGUGUGCAUUUUAUCGACGAACCAUUGUGCCACGAGUACAAGUGAGAAGCUUAUAGGGCGAGUGGUGGUUUAUCUCCCAACGUCUCUCACUCCCAUCAGAAUUUUUUCUUUAACAAAAAAAUGCAAGAACUUUUGCUACCUUUUGUUCUACUAUAGCAUAGUUGCACUGCUUGUGCCGUUGUGGGAAGAUGACGUGCGAUCGUAUUUGUAUUGGCGUUCUAGACGAAAAGUAGAUAUUGUUGAGUACACGAUGCACGUUAGGUCAAGUUUAAGCACUGCAGCUAUUGACUGCCAAGAGAGAAUAUGUUCUACUGCGCCUUGGUUCUUCUGUUUCCCUCUAGGUGUCCUUGUUUGGUCUCUUGUUCCUCCUGGUUUAUUGGCUUGUCAUGGAGCUACCCCUACCCUUGUUUACAUAUAUAUACUCGGGUGGAGGGGGAUCUCAUGUCCUACGUACAUAGGAUCCCUGUCUGUAUUUAGUACGAAUCCCAUGUCUGAUGUGUAUGUGUUGUGCUGCAACAGGAGGAUACAACAUAACGUUCUUGAGAUUAGUCAAUUGGCAUCAUACACAGUUUGAUUCAGUAAAGUUUGUAUUCUUACCAUUUUUUUUUGAAAACUGUAUAUAGCGGGGAGGUCCCCACUGUGAUAUAUAUUAAAAAGAAAAAGAAACUGUACAUGAUAACAGCAAAAAGGCACCAAAGUACCUAAAAAGGAAAAAGCUUCACGAAAGAACAAAACAUGCUAAGCUAAAUUAAAUCAACCCAGUUAAGAUUAUCUAUUGCUUUCUUUGAUUCUUUGAGCUUGAAGUCUGGCCUCAUCUACAAAGUGUGAGACCUAGGAAUUUAUGGAUGGACGUUUCCUUCAAAAAUCAGUUCAUUCCUUUGCUUCUAGAUGUGCCAAGUAGCUAUAAUAAAAAUUUCCAUGAAGAAAGGGUUCUGGGACAUGUCUUUUGCCGUCUUUAGCAUCCCGUAGAAUGGAAGGUUGAGGUGCCAUUGUAGACCAAUUUUGUUCCAGCAAGCUGAACUGAAGCUACAGGUGAAGAAUAGGUGGUAGGCAAUUUCCUCCACAUUGUUGUUGCACAUUGCACAAUUAUAGUUGCCACAAUGGACCAUGAAGUUUUUCGGUUUCUUGACCAUGAAGUUUUUCGGUUUCUUGUGUUCAGUCUAUCCAUCAAGAGGGGCCAUGAAAAAACUCGAAGUUUGUUGAUACACGUGGACUUCCAUAUCCAUUAGAAUGGAGAGGGUGGCCUUAUGUUCUUAAAAAGGAAUUUAUAGAACUGCUUGGAGGAGUAGGUACUAGAUCCCUAUAUAUAGUGCUAGAAGUCCCGGGUUUCUUCCUGCACUUGAAUCUCCUGAAUGAUACCUUGCAACUCUUGGUAUUCGUGAAAGGCUUCUUCAGAUACCGGUAUAUGAAACUGUUCUUCUAUGGAGUUGUUUUGUAAAAGAAUGUGAUACUGUUAUGUGGGUGUUCUUUGUGAAGCUGAACAACCUUGGGAAGGAGUUUUUCAGCAGUCUGUCAUUCCAAACAUCCAACCAGAAGAGAAUAGAUUUACCAUCUCCAACUGUAAAUGUUGCUACCCCUCUGAACUGAUCACAAAGUUUUAUAAUGUAUUUCCACCGGAAAAAUCCAAACUUUUACAAUGUAUUUUCACCGGAAGGAUCCAAAUUUGCCCGCUGUGUGUGGGACUUCUCCAUUUGUGUAGUAAGUUUUCCAUAUCAACUUUACCCAUGGCACAUCUUUUUUAUUAUAGAAUUUACCAAGGUGUUUCAUUAGCAGUGCAUUGUUUUAUUUUCUAAAGUCAAUCACUCCCAAUCCUCCCUUGGAUUUUGGCUUACAACAUUUUGGCCAUGCUACCAAGGACUUCUUCUUAUCAUUCAUGUUUGAUCCUCUCCAAGGCAAUCCCUUCAAGCUCUGUCCAUGUUAUCAACUGCCCAUAGGAAUUUUUAAGGUGCACAUAGUGUAGGUGGGUAGAGUAGAGAAUACCGACUUGGUCAAUUCAACUUUACCAGCUAAUCCAAGAAACAUAGAAGUGGCAGACAGUCUCCUUUCCAUUUGAUUCAUUAGAGGAGCAAGAUCUAUAACUUUUGGUCUGGUGGUGCCUAGAGGCAGCCCAAGAUAUGUAAAGGGAAGACUGCCAAGAUUACAUCCAAAUAUUUUAGCUAAGCUGGUAGCCUUCUCCAUGUUGAGAUUUAAGGGAACUAGGAAUAAUUUGUGGUAGUUCACUCUUAAACCAGUGGAUUGAGAAAAGCCUUCCAGAAUUCCUUUGAGACGGAACAAUUCCAUUUCACAGGACCUUUAUGAUUAGGAUGGUGUUAUCUGCAUAUUGUAGAACUGGAAAAUCAUUUAUGGCUAUGUAGGGGAUUGGGAGGUUGAGAAUGUUCUGAGCGUGAGCCUUGUUAAUAAUGUAUUGCAGCAAGUUUGCAAUGACAAAAGGGAGUGGUGAGAGGGGGUCACCUAAUCUAACCCCUCUCUUGCAGUGAAAUUCUUUUCAUGGGAUGCCAUUAAGAAGAAUUCAGAAUGUCCUAGAAUCUAAGAUCCUUCUGACCCAAUCACACCACAUGUCACUGAAACCAAGAUGCUUCAUCAUGCUGAGGAUGGUGUUAUGCUCAAUAGUGUCAAAUGCUUUCUCAAGAUCUAACAUCAGGAUAAUGAUCUCUCUUUUUGAUUGUUGGCAUUGGUGGAUGUAUUCAAAUGCCCUUGCAAGGCAAUGUUGGAUUGUUCUGUUCUUUAUAAAUCCAUAUAGAUUCCGGUGGACAAUAGGAAUGAUCCUCUUCUGCAGUCUGUCUACCAUGAUCUUGGUUAGGAGCUUCAGAACUAAAUUCAUAAGAGAGAUUGGUCUAAAGUCAUUGGCUGUCAUUAAGUUAUUACACUUGGGUAUCAAGGUGAUGAAGGAACUAUUGAUAGCUUUUAAGUCUAGCUGUCCAGCAAAGAACUCCUCAUAGAGACUGUAAAUGUCUUCUUUGAUUAUAUUCUAGCAUAUCUUGAAGAAUAGUCCAUUGAAGCCAUCCAGCCCUAGGGAUUUGUCCGUGGGCAUUUGUGCCACUAUCUUGUCAAUUUCCUCUUUUGAAACAUGAUCAGAUAGUUGUUGUAGGUUACCAUGUCUAGGGAUAAGAUGUUCGAGGUCCAGAUGCAUAGUAGGGUUAGAGGUAGUUCCCAUUCUGCUCUUGUAUACAUCCUAGAGAAGAGAUGCCUUUUCAAAGUGAUAUGUGACUUGUCUUCCACCUGCUGUAUCAAGACUAGUUAUUGUGUUUUAUCUAACCUUUCUUUUGCUGCAGCAUGAAAGAGCUUUGUACUUUCAUCACUGAAUUUGGUCCAUCUAACAGUGUAUCUUUUUCUCCAGUAUUCCUUCUGACAUUUGAGUAACUUGAUGAUAUGUUCCUUUAGUAUGAUUCUAAAGUUUUUUCCCUAUAGAAAGAGGGGUCUUUGCUCUUCAAGUUUGUCCAGGACAACAAGUAUGGUGUUGCACUCCUUGAUAAGAUUUGAUAGAUGUCAAAGAGUCUUUGCUCCAUUUCUUGAGUGCUCUUCUAAGUAGUUUCAGUUUGGCAGUUAUUCUUGUUGCACUAUUAGUAGCUCUAACAUUUGUGUUCCAAACAUUUUGGACAAGGUCCAUAAAGCUAGGGACAUCCAACCAGAAAUUCUUGAGUAUGAAUAUAGUGGCCCUUGGUAUAUGUGUUUAGAUUUGAACCACACCGGGAGUGUGAUUAGAGGUAGGUUUGGCUAGGGGCAGCAUCAGAGUGUUAGGAUAUGAAUUAGUCCAAUUUAUCGAGGUGAAACACCAGUCUAAUUGCUCUAGCAAAGGAUCUUCUUGCAUAUUAUUCCAUGUAACUUCCUACCCUUUAAAGGAAUUUCUUGAAUGCACAGGUUGUUGAUUAUGGAGUUAAACAGAAAGAUAUCAUUCAUGUCUCCCCCUGCUUGUUUGUGUCACUGAGAUCUCUGUAGAAGUUAAAAUCUCCUAUGAUCAUCCAGUUUUCAUUGUCAAGUAUUGAUAAAUCAUUUAGCCAUGCAAAAAAUUCAUCCCUUUCUGUACCUUUGCAGUGUCCAUAAACUGUGAUUAAAUUCCAAUCAAGUUUGGAGGUAAAUUUAACAGAUAAUGCAAAGCGUAAACAGUCCAACACUUCCCCUUCGAAGAGAGCACUAUUCCAUCGUACCAGAAUUCCCCCUGAAACACCUAUUGAGGAAGUGAAAGCAAACUUAUUGAAUCUGUUAGGUGCCAAUUUCUUGAUAAAAGAAUGAUCAAAGCUUUCCUUCUUUGUUUCUUAGAGACAAUAGAUUGAACAUGCACUUUCCUCAAUUUUUGCCUUCACUGCAUCACAUUUGUCUUCCCUAUUUAGUCCUCUGAUUUUCCAGUUCAGAACAUUCCAACUUCUCUUUGAGUUUGUACUAUCAAUCACAAUAUUUUGAAAGUCUUCUAGGGGUUGUUAUCUCCAAGAGAGUGGCCCUCUCCCACAGCUUUUCAAAGUUUGUUUGAGAUUCAUUCAAUCCAAAGUAAAGUGCAGUCAAAAUGGAUAUAAAUUUAGGAGCAGAAACGGAUAGGACACAGGACCACCACAGAUAAUUGAUAGCAUACCAUUAGUAGCUAGUUUUGUGUUUGAAUUUGUACCACUAAAUCUCGAAAGAUAGCCUAGGAAAUGUUGUUGCACAUAAUAUCUCUUAGGUGCUGUCGUGUUCGGCAAUGGGAAGGCUUCUUCAGUCAAUAUAUGACUUGUGAAGAAUGUCUAGGAUUCCCGCCGCCAGCUCCCCCCCACCCCCAAACACAUGCACUUGUUAGACAUGAUAUUACCAAUAUCCAGAGUUGUUUGUUACACAGGUGUUAAAAGACUCAACAUGCCAGCACGUACACCGUGCUAGCCUAAGAAAAUUAGAAGCAUACACCCUUUAUUUCCCUCCCUAUAGCUACUGAACUGUUGAAGUAAAAAUCAAGUUCCUGAGGCUGCUCGUUUCCAUAAAUAUUUUAUUUACAUCAUUGAUGGAUACCAUCCUAGUCACUAAGCUCUAUUGAGUAGCAAUGCAUUCUAACGGGAGAGGGAGCGGGCACACACAUCAUCACCAGGAUGCAUGCUUGCAUAUAUAGAGAAGUGUUGGACAGAUAAGAAAACAAAUAACUGCAGCACGUAGUACGUAUUGUUAAUUGUUGGACUGAGCCAUCUAUCAAACAAUCAGUACAGUGGGAUAUAUCAUCCUUGGACUACCAUGGAUCAUAGAGUUGUUACUAUGCUAUUGAGGAUAUGCCUUCUUUGCCUUUUUCACAUUGUGCGCAGGAAACUCAAUUAAUCUAGACUUUAUUAUGCUCAUAACACACUUACCUUAAUGUGUUUUUGUGAUAUUUUUCAUGUAAGUUCACCUUUAACCAAAGUAUGAAACUCUAUAUCCAUUUUAUUAUGCUCCUUUGAAGCACCACACUUCUUGAUUUGCAGUAUAUCUUAUGACCCAUUUAAAUAUGAGAUGACAUCUCAUUUCUUAGACUGCAACAACAUAUACAUAGAAGUAUCAAUGAUCGCAAUUAUGAAUCUAUCAGUGAAAGAAAAUGAGCCAAUUAUCGAGUCAUGAUGAUCAAGAUUAUACUCAGCAGUGAAAUAAUUGAACUUAAGGAUUGCCAUAGUCAUUACUGCAUUGGUAACUAUUGGUCGGCAGAAGAAGUCUCCAUAAAGUUUCCAACUCCGGAAUAACUGGGAAUCUAUAUAUCAAGGCUGAGGCUGCACACUCUACAUAGCACACUGAAGAAUUCUUUUAAAAAGUCAUCAUAUAAAAAGGUUUUGGUGGAUUUAGACAACAAAGCUGAAUUUUCAUGGGCCAAAACUAUAUUGAGUUGUGCCUGAACUAUUUGACAUAGUGGGUAAAUUUGUGCCAUUAUUGCGUAAGUUUCAUUAUUGAGUAAAUUUCGUGGUCAGUCCUUAAACUAUGUGACGAUUCUUAUUAAGGACCUCACUGUGAGAUUGCACUUUGGGGUCCCAAAACUAUUCAAACGGGCAAUCUUAUUAAGGUCCCUUUAUUUCUAAAGUCCGGACCAAGUUGGAGAACAAGAAAGCACUAGAGUAAGAAAGGCAAAGGGCUGUAUCCAUUUCAUCCAAAAGCUUAGUGUACAAGGACACUCUGCCCUUCUAUUUAUGGUGGGGCAAACCGCCAUUUCACCUAUUUACUGUCAGUUGUUUUUAUCAAUAAGGGAAGAUUUUAUUAAUCAAGAUUGUUACAUUGAGCUGAUACAAAUAUCUUGAAGCACUCAUGGACUUUGCAUAACCAGGAUACACACAGCCUAAAAAUAAAAUAAAAAAACUGACACACUAAUGACAUUCAAUCCAAUGACUAGACAAUCAACCAUGUGCCGGGAUAAAAAAACUCCUUAGCCACAUGCUCCAAUCAUUGAGACACCACUGUAACUAAGUUCUGAAUAGAUGGCUUCUGAAGGAUAGCCCAAGUACGAAGCUAGUGUAUAACUAAGAAGAUAACCUGCAAAGGAGAUGAAGAACUUUUUUCAAUGACCAAGUCAUUACGACAUAGCCAAGUAAUCCAGUUUUUUUAGUGCACCUCUUGGGAUAGCGAAGUAAUACAUCAUAUACAUGGGCAGGCUACUAAGUACUAAGUUAAUCAGUGCUAACUGCCCCCUAUUGACAUGUGCUUGCCUUUCCAAGUAUCGAGUCAUUUCGAGAAACACUCAUAUAUUCUUUUCCAAUCAGAGUUUGAUAGUUUCCUAUAGUGUACAUGGAUCCCUAAGUAUCUCUAUCACACUUGGUUUUAAAAUAAAACCAAGUGCUACCUAUAUGUAUGCCAGGAUCUAGUUUCAUACAUAUAGUGACAUCAUUAGUGAAUAACAGUAAUAGUAUCACGUAAAAGAAAUAUAAAUAAAUACUUACGAGUCUAUCAGAGAUAUACAACUUAAUCCUGGAAAUGGGGGCUCCAAAUUUCAUAGGCAAUCGACUGGGGGUUGCGUAUGCCUAGAACUUAGCAUCAUCUUCAGAAAACUUCACACACCCUCCUCUUAUAAGCAGAAGUAAGCAAGGGUGAGUACACUUAUGGUUGGCACUCAACAAGGCCACAAGAAAUAACCAGAAUAAAUGAUUUAAGUCCAUCUUCAAGUUUUACACUCUAUGGAGGUUGCACAUCUUUACCCAUAAGUCGUGUGAAAGUUCAAAAGAACUUUAGACCCAACCAUGUUGUGCGGGCCAGGCACAAUACCACACUUCCGAGGUGUGAUUGUAUAGGGACGCUAUAAGGCCUUUACAAAGAUUCCCUAGUAAGUGGUAACCCGCUAAGGUUUCGGUAUCUAGCGCGCAUAAACCUCCAUAGUGGGCAUAGGUUCUUAGCAAGCUCCUUUCCCAAGAGGACCGGGUUAUACAAUGACUCAGUCCCCCCUCUUGCCCUUUCGGUAGGAUUACCUAAGACUAAAGUCUCUAAUUAAUUAGCCAAGACCAGAGCCAUUUAGUUCUUGUUGUUGUACUGUUUUCCCGGGUGAUUCUCCAUGUUCCAAUUAACAUUAUCAUGGUAUUAUAAAUAAGCAUAGGUAGAAGGGUGGUUAGGGAUACUUACCUUUCACCAAUGAAAAGUUACUCUUAUUGCUCUUCAGCUCUUGCUCUCUUGAAACCCUUAAUCUUCAAAUCUUUCGAACAAUGAUCCUUCUACUCGAAGCAAUCACCGGCACAAACAUACAAGCAAACAAACAAGUACAACUAAAAACAGUGCACUAGAGCAAAAGAAAAGCUUUAAAAAGACGUACUAAAGAAGGCGCGUGAAACACUAAAAACAGAACUAUGGUUGAAAAGGCACAGUUAUCGAGAGAUUUGAAUUAUAAAAGAAAUAAAAGGCUAUAUGCUUUAACCAAUUUUUCUUAAUAAAAUCAUGCACAUAGGUUAUUUCAGAAAUAGCCUAUUUGGAAUUAAGCAAGUUAUAUUUAAUCAUUGAAAACAUGAUAAAGUUAAUCAUAUUUUAUUUGUAAAUAUUCAAGUAUAAGUUAUGCCAAUUUAACACUUAACUUUAGAAACACAGAGCAUGUGUAUAAGACAUCUAAUCGAACAACUUAGUAUUUCAUGUUCAACUAAACAUGUUAAUGUGGAAAAGUCAUUUAUAAUAUUAUUAAUCAUAUUAACUUUAUUUAUGAAAACUAAUGUAUGCCACUAGAUAUCUUUUAUUUAGAAAAGCUGGUUAUAACUAAGAAUUAACCAAUUAAACCUUAGUUUACGAAAACCGGGAUAGAACCUAAUCAAGUUUUAAUUUAUAAAACUAAAUGAAUAAAAAUUAGUCAAGUUAAUAUUGGUUUGAUAAACCGAUGUAAACCUUACGUAAAUUCUCAUUAAGAAAAGACAUUCAAAUAGGCAUUAAUCAAAUUAAUAUUAAAUUUAUUUUAAAAGAUAUGCAUGAUGGAAAACAUCACCACUAUCAUAUAAUUUAUGUUAUGAUGAAUCUAACGCAACUUGAACGGAUUAAAACAGAGCUAAAACAUAUAUUCUAUGAGCUAAACAAUACUGGGAGGGCUUAGAUGUGAUUAACUAUAGAUGUCAGGGGCUAGAUUGAAAGAUUGAUAGGACAUAUGGAAUAGUGCUCCCCAUUAGGUCAAAGCCUAGGGUUAGAUCUGUAAAAACUCUCAGGUUGGACUUGGUCGCAUGGAUCUAAAAGUCUUAGGGGGCUUUCUGUGAAACGCACCAGACACAAGGAAAAGGAUAACUAAUUAUAGAUUUUUUCAAGGAUCCUUUUGCAAACCGGGGGUCUUCUUCUUCAACCUCCAUCUAGGACUCGGGCCGGGAUGGGCUCCCCGCGGCGGACGCGGCCGGGGCGCGACACGUAGGCACGGGGCGCGGGAGGUGCGGGCGGCGACAGAGGCGGGCGGUGGCGGCACGCAAGAGGCGACGUGGCGUGCCAGAUGGCGGCAGCUCAGGGAGGCGCGUGCGGCGGUGGUAGGACGACGAUGGGCGGCACAGGCGGUGGCGCUAGAGCAAGCGAGGACGGCGGGAGCGGUGGCAGUGCAACAGUUCUCAGUCGCCGGGGGCGACGGCUUUAUAGGGCGCGGGGCUCUAGUGUGGCUGGCGCGCACGCUGAGGUUGAUCGUGCGGCGGUGCCUGGCACAGGCGGCGGCCGGAAGUUAGGCCUCGGUCGGGCUGAAGCAAGCUGGCUGGACGGGUCGGAGAGGGUCGGGCCUAGGGGUUCGGCCCAUUGGGUUAGGAUAGUUUUUUUUUCAGAAUUAAUUUCUUGUGCAAAGAAAAAUUAAGGAAAUCUAGAUAAUUCAUUUAAGUCUCGAAAAAUACUCUGAAAAUCCCAAAAAUUCUAGGAAAAAUCCUAGAGAUAGUUUGGGGCACAAGGAGUCCAAAUAAAAUGCCUGGGACCGAUGAAAAAGAAGCUAGAGCCUUCUAAUAAAUAGAUUUGACUCUCAGAAAAAUGAGAAUAAAUUCUAGAAAAAGAUGGAAAAUUCUCAAAAGGACUUGAUCAUGGUCUAGGCACAUUUUAAAAUCUUUUGUACUCAAUAAAAACCAAGAUGCAUCGGCAUGAAUGCACAGACACAGAACACAUUAUUUAAUUCUGAAAAAUAAACAAUUAUUUUCCUAUAGUAAAUUUCCUAUAAAGAAAAAAAUUAAAUAUUGGAAAAAAAUUAAAAUUAUAAGAAAAUCAUUGUUUAUUUAUUCUUUUUAAUCACAUCUUGAAAUUCAAAAAUUUUAGGGUGUGACAAUCUUAUUGGAGAAACACCAGUUGUUGGCGCUCCUGAUCCAUUAUUUAUUAAGAUUCACAUUUAUCAAACGAUGAAAUGGAUAUGUAGAGUAGGAAUUGAAAACCAAUAAUAACCUAGGAUUGUGAACUGUGUUUUACUGCAGAUUGGUGUGACAAAGAUUUACUUUACUCAAUUACUCUUGGAACAAGCCAUCUCAUCCAAUAGAUUUAUAUGAACACUGAUGUGUUGCCCCCUUUCUUGUAGCAUUAGAUAUAAUAUAUAGGGAAAAGUACAAAAAGCCCUGAAAGCUAUAGCAUUAUUAGAACCCCCUAUACUUCAAUUUGUUACAGUCCACAACCUCUGACUUUAGUGAUUUUUAAAUUCCAUACUCACAAUAUUGAAUGUCCAACAUGACUUCGGGUGCUUCAUCACUGCUGGACAACCAACCUCUAGUAGCGGUCAGUAAUCCCCCUUUAGUAUCAGGUGCCCACCCGCUACCAGCAGUACUAAAUACCGAUCAUCAACUCAACAGUGACUGGUAUCGUGACCGUGACCACGUCGCGCUGUUGGGGAUGUCAGUUUACUAAAUAUCCCUUUUCUUUUUUUUCCCUUUCAUUUACCUUUUGUUUUAUAAUUCGUAUUCGUAUCCGAUCGAUCUUUUACUAAUAAUAUUAUCCUUAUAAUCUAGAUCUCUACAAUUUCAAUUUAGAGGUGGAAGCAUUUGAACCUUUGCUGUAAUGAGCCAAUGAUGAUGCAUUGCGCUGAGACGGAGAAGGAGAGGACAAUACACUAUUCUCAUGUGAUCCAUGUGAUUUCCAUAACACCUGAGAUGUACUGUCCCUGGUGCCAGACUUGAAGCCUAAUCCAAAAAAAUAUUAGAUGGUUAACAUUACGGGAGGGAUAUGGAAACUUUUAAAAACCAUAGCUAGCUAGGAGGGUUUAUUUUUGAAAUUACCCUAGUAUAUAUUACUACAUCAUGAUUUUCAUUCCACUUCCAGUUAGACAGCUAUAAUGAGGGAUCGAAGCUUUGGACUAAAUCAUCUUUUUUCAUUCUAAUAAGAGAUAAUUAUGUACAAUUUGUAAACUCCCAAAAUGUGGUGAAGUGGAACUCAACAAUGAAAUACACAUGAAUAUCAACUGUAAAACAUAAGUAAACUCAUCCCGUCAUCCGUGCCAACUUUGAUUUAGUUUACUCGCAAGAAAAGGUGUUUUUGCAUAAGGAAUGCCACAUCCUGGUUAGGUCGUACUAAUACCGCACAACACAGACUCAUUUCCAAUGGGUAGUAAGUCACUAAGGCCCAUAUGCUACUGUUUCACGACAUUAAUUAGAAUAACUGCAUAACAGAUCGAUGAGAUGAUGCCAUUUUCUUUUGGCAGAAAUGGAACGGCUUGUCGAAUUUGAUGGCAGUACUGCAGGAUGAUUUGUUGGAAAUGACAGGUCUCCUAGGGUGGUUUAUGCAUCCUUACAGCAACUCUAGUCUAUGCGGCGGCAAGAGCAACGGUUGUGGCAGUGCCAGUGGCAGCGGCAGUAGCAACUCUAGUUUAUGCAUCCUUACAUCUCUAGCUCGUCCUCCUCUACUUGUCCUCCUGGUUCUAGAAAAUAACCGCGAAAAAUACUCAGAUUUUUGCCUCGGUGACAUUCCAAACUUUCAAAGAUAAGUAUGGCAAAUAGAUUGUAAUGGAUAAACUAUCUCACAUGGUUGGCGUUACCAACCAUGAAACAAUAUUUAUCUUUCAUUCUAAGAGUUUCAUAGCAAGCAAGUCGUCUAAUUUCAGUAUUUCUGUAUAGUAGACUAGUAGUGUAUAACAUGUCGCAAGAUUUCUAUGAGAGGUGUACUUAACUACUUAUGAUGGAUCAAGUGACUUUAGACUAACUAUAAUGAUGGCCACUAGUACAUUGAUCUCAAUCCAUGUGGCCUAAGUGUUCUAGCGUCGCACCUUGUUGCUUGGUAAUAUAGAUUGGUUGGUUUCUAAGAUAUAUCACUCCAAGUAAGCAUAUACACAUGCUAAAUUUUUUACAUGAAGCUACAGUAGAAGUGUAAGGUUUGCCACAUAUGUGCAGGUCCAUCCCACAUGGAGCUGGGCUAUAAGAAAAUUUGUGCAUAUAGUUUUACAAGUCAGCGUUAAUCAUGGCUGCAAAAUUAAUGCUCAGAGAUGUACCACUAGGUAAUCUUGUUACACGAAGGAAAAAUGACAAAAUGUUAAGGUACCUACUAUACAGGCAUGCAGACAUGGGGGAGACAUAAGGGCAACCACGAUGUAUAUUGCCAAAGUAGUCCCUAACAGUGGAUGGACCUAUGACAGAGGGCUAUAGUCACUGCAAACUUCAUAAUAUUUAGCCCAAAAUAAAGCAACCAACAGUGGUGGAGCCUGCAAUUGUUAAAAACAAUUCCGAACUCAAUAAUAACCAUCGCUUCCUCUUUCUCCAUCCAUUCUUCGCUUGCCCACCUACAUUGCUCCCUCUCCAUCUCAGCCCAUCCUUCUUUCCUCUACCAAAUUGUAGCGCUUGGGAGUGGGAGGGGUCACGGCAACAGUAGGCGGAUGAUGAAGGCAAGGCCCGCGCUGGUGGAUUACCGAGCCUCCAAUUUGUCAUCUCCGUUACCAUAUCCGGCGACUGGUGAUGACCUCCCUGACAGCCACAACGGGUUGCGGUGAACGGUGACCUCCCUGUGUUUCAUCUUCACCGAGCUUGACAGCAAGGGGAGGCGCAGAGGUGUGGGUGGGGCGGCAACGCCAUCGGCGGAAACCAUGGUGGCCCUCCCCAAUCCCGUGGUGCCAGGAUCUAUAGUGGCUGGCCUUCCCUUGGCCGAUGCUCUGUUGGUGGGGGUAUGUACCAGCAAUGGCUCAGGAAGGAGCACAAGACAGUGGAGAUUGACAUCACUUUUAUGGCUAGCUGUAACUAUGGAAUGCUCAAUGCUGCAUAGAUGUGCCGCGUAUUGGUUCAGCUACCUUAAAGUGGUAUUUUAAUCCUUAUAGACUACUUUUCAACAGCAUUAUGGGCAUCCUAAUGGAAUCUGAGGUCGGGGGGUUACACCGUUACAGUAACAAAUCAUUCCAUUUUUAUCAAUCAGACAAUCAGAGUACUUAAGUGUUACUACUCGAGUAUGGUAGUUGGAGAUGGCAUAUGCCUAGCUGCCUGUAUUCUUUGCUGAGUCAUGUUACCGGAAUAAACAUGUGAUGCCACCAGAUUAAUACAACUCAUAUAGUCGUUGCCUCUAAGAUAAAUCUGCACCCCUUGAUUAUAAUAUAAUACCAUACCCACUUCAGCUGAAGUUCUCGACCGUUUUUCUUCCAGCUAGAGCUGAUGAGGCAUCGAAGCACCGUUGACUAGAUCUUCUUGAUUCUGUAGAUAAGCAUGUUUCGUAAUUCUUUUUAGAUGAGAUAAGCAUGCAAAAUUUGUUAUGUCCCAAAAUAUGACACACACCGUCGAUAACUAGAUUUAUCGAACUAAAUAUCUUGGCCAGACACAGGCCAAUCAUGUUUUUUUUUUAGACUCAAAUGCAAUCGAAAUACCAAACAUUAAAAUGAGUCCACUUUUCAAGUUUUGAACCUUCGGCGGACAUGGAUAAUGUUUGGUUCUCUUGGUUGGUUUAAAUUGUUCACUGAGGAGGUUUGCCUUGCAUAACGAUGCUUGCUACUAUAUAGCAAUAGCAUCCACCUUUUUAGUGCGGUCAGGAAAAAAUAAGUGAAUACAUGUGCAAUGCCCAAAGGUCCACCUCACUGUAUAUUAGCAUAAGCGUGCUCCAUGCAUAACCUGUUUAUUAGCAUAAGCGUGGAACACAUUACAGUCUGAUCAGUUGACCUUAUCUUCAUUAAUUACAGCUAAUCCGUAGACUUUGAGCUCAAUUAUGGCAAGAGAAUUUUCUGAUAGUCAAGCGGUCCGCCUCACCACGGCUAUGUUUUGUAUAUUAAGCUACCAUCGAUCCCAUCAUGACCGUAUACGAGCGAGUUCGUCGGCUCGGAGAGCAAUGUUUAGCCCACUGAAGCGGAGGAGGAGCCCUUCAGGGUUCUCGUCGUCGUCCAGCGCCGAGGAGGUCACCUCCGGCAUCGAUGGCUCCGGUCUGGUUGCCAUCGUCACAGGUUACUCGAUCAACCAUCAUGUUAACUCGAUCGUGCUUUCAGUUUGACUUUGUGAUCCAUUGGUUUGUUAAUUAGCUGUCCCAGUGUAAGUUUUGAUUUGUUGCUAAAUUUUAGUGGUUGUUAGUAUAAGGAUUUGAAUCUUGAUGUUGAAAUCGUAUCCAGUGACUUCACCACGCCAUCAGGAGGAAUGUACCCGGGCUGGUCUAGAAAGAUGGUGGCAAUGAUCUUAUGUUGAUAAGAGUGUUUUUUUUUGUUGUAGGUGGGUCUCAUGGGAUCGGAGCAGAAACCUGCCGGGUUCUAGCACUUCGAGGUGUGCACGUAGUGAUGGCGGUGAGGAACCCGUCAAGUGGUGCGCGCGUGAAGGAAGAGAUUGAGAGACAGGCUCCAACAGCCAAGAUUGACAUCAUGGAGCUUGACCUCAGCUCAAUGUCGUCUGUGAGAAGAUUCGCGAACAACUUCAAAGCGCUUAAUCUCCCGCUCAACAUUCUGGUGUAAGCAUACGCCUGUUUAAUCUUCACAAAUUUUAUGAUUGCAUUUAUGAGCAUCUAUUAAGGUAUUGGUGUCUGCCUAGUUAACUUCCCAACAACCAAAUUGCUUCAUUUUUUUUACCAAAGACCGUUUGGCCCUGCUUUUAUUCAAAGCACGUGUACUGGGGUUACCAGUUUCUACACAAAUCUCCAAACGCAGUUCGGAGACAGAUCAACUCAAUGCAACAAACAAGAAAAAACUCCACUGCUAGACAGUCCUCCACUACCUUCGGGCUAGAACAAAAGCUACACACAGUUUUGAAGCUCCUUCACCCGUGAUGGCAGUGGCGGAUGCGGCUCAUGAGCCUAGGAGGGGCUCCCUCUUCUUUCUCCUCCUUUCCUCCCAUCUCUUCUUGUCGUUCUUCCUAAAAAUCAUGGAGGGACUUAGGGGAGCUUCAUUGUCCAAGCGGCGGUAGGGGGGCUUGAGCCCCGCCUGCCCCACCGCUAGAUCCGCCCCUGCUUGAUGGUGCACAUGUCAUGACUUGUAUUGUUAGGAUUCAUCUUGCAUAAUAUGAUGAAAACACAAGCAGCAACCUAACUGGUCUUCGGGAGAGAGACCGAGAGGGGAAGAUUUCAUCCUACAACACCAGACAAUAGAAUGUGUACUUGGUGGUUGGAAUGGUCAAAAUGGAUUGUUCUUGUCACGGGAUCUUUUUGUGCAUAAUGGAUAAGAAAAGGUUCAUGCAAACAAAAGUCCAACUCAAUAACAAAUUCGCAAUCUAAAAGGCUAUUCAUGAGAGGCAAAGACAAUCAGCUCUUGGUUUUUCACUUAGCUGUAAGUGAGCCUACAACCGGAGCCAGUAUGUUUCUUUCUAUAGAACUUGUCGACGCCUUGGGUCGGUAGAUAUUUUAUUCAUCAAGAACCCCAUAUUUGGCAAAGAGCAAUCACAGUUGAACACAUGGAUACAAUGGUUUAUACUAGUUCGAACCUCAAGGUCAGGUAAAAGCCCAUCAUCUAAUUGGGAGCUGUAUAUGUAUUAUCUUGGCGAGCUGCAUGAUGGAUGUAGGUUACAAAGUGGUUUUAGGCUAAGGAUUUGAAGAUGACAACAUAGGGAUACCUAAACUAUAUAUGAUAGGAGUGCUUGGAAAAUAGUUAUUCAUGUGUCCGAAUCCUGAUUUGUGGCUCUUGUUGGGUUUCAACUCUAGCCUACCCAAAUGAAAGGCUAUGUUGUUGUUGUUGCUGCUGCUUAUCUUGCAAAGCCAAAUAUGCUAUUUUAGUUGGACUCUAACUCUUGUCUUCAAGAUAUCCUCAUAUCAUUCCUCGAGUAGUCUUCGUGCCCUGCAAGGUCCGUUCUGCUUGAAAUUGGUGUUUGGGAGUCCUCAUAAUCAGGGUACACCGGUAGCAUGGCAUCCUCUGGACCUAAAAAAGUUUUUGGUUGGCUUUUGUCGAAAACAACAUCGUUUCUCGUGAACCAUGUUACCCAACAAUUCUUCUGUGUGGAACAUGGAAUGUUCCACUUGCAUAGAUUGAUUUACAGGUUGCGAAUGGAUCUUUCUACUUGGGUGAAUUGAUUCACAACAUUUUGAAUGAAUUUCUCAAGCAUGUUCUUCAUAUCCAUUGUUCCCAUGCCCCGCCCAUGUCCGUACCCUGUUGCUCUAGCUAACGUGCUACAGUUCCACUAGUCCAAUAUUAGUUCUUUACAACGUACUCUUCUUAAAUGUAGGAAAAGCUUUACACUCUCAUUAAUGCAAUCUCCAUAACUUUUUAAUGAAUACAACUUGCUAGGGAAGAUUCAAAAUAUGAGAUCAACUACCUCCUCAGUUUAAAUAGCUUGGUUGAGCUUAUCAGGACAAAAUUUCUUGGAGGGUUUACAUGCAUAUACCGAUAAGUCAUGAUAAUUGGAUUUUCCCCAAAAGCCGGGUUCCUCCUAUCUUUUUCUAUCAUACAUUAAUUAAUUUUGUAUCAUGUAAGGGGCAUUGAUUUCUCUAUAUUCUUUUUGAAGUAAUAAUGCAGGGAUUUCCUAUGUGCCUUUCUCGCUUUCAGAAGAUGGCAUUGAGCUGCAAUUUGCAACAAAUCAUCUCGGUAUGCGACUCUCAUAAAUUGCCCUUUGUCUUGAAAAGACACAAAUUAAAGAAACCAAAAUAAAUUUUAUGCAAAUUUUGUAAGGAAAUUAUUAGAUGCAAUGCGUGUUGAAUUUAAUAGGGUGGCCCGAUUAGAAGGUGGGGAUCUUGUUAUCUCCUCCAUCGUGUGUUCACUUAAGUCCAAACACGUACAUGUAGUUAAGUGGAAGGGUUGACAAGAGGAUAGACUUUAGUGGACUUACUCCAAUGCACGAUAUAGUCUUGUAGACCUAAUAUUUUCUCAAUUUCUACAAUUUCAAAUUUUCAACUACUUGAAGGCUCAAAGUAAAAUGAGAAAAUUAAUUCUGUGCGUGACACUGAAAGAUAUCCAAAUCCUCAAUUCGGCACUGAAAAAAUAAGUAGUUCCACUACAAUUUAAUCAUUCCACUGCCAUCACCUAAAAACAAAAUAACUGUUAUGUGGCACUAGAAAAUAUACUAUUUUCCUAGCUUCCGCAUAUCAUAAACCCUAAAAUCUUCUUUCUCCAUUUUCUAUAUUAGUGGGACCUACUUGUCAACUUUUUCCAUUCUUGAUUCCAUCUCCUUUUCUUGCUCCCUCCCUCCCUUGCCCCCCUCCCCCUUUCUCUCUUCGCAAAUGAAUGGCUGGACAUGUGAAAUAAAACAAAUUAAUCUAAAUUUAAGAGUAAAUGGAAAUAAGGUAUAGGACGCAGAUCUCCUCCACGAAGAACCACAAUGCCAGAAGAGCACUGCCAGACCGAGUAUUGUAGAACCUGCCCGGGAGCUCAUCUCAUAAUCUCUUAUGACCCUCUUUGUGUGAUGUAAUGGAGAAGGAAGGAAGAAGAGAGAUACUUUAUUUCAUUUUGUUGAUAAAGGGUUUAUUUCAUUGAUUUGACCUCCUAUCUGGUAACCUUUAGUUGCUCAGCUGUAACUCGUGUACAAAGUCUGUUUACGUCCCAGCUCCUAAUGCAAAACGAGUCUGCAUACACAUAGCAUCUCUCUUCGUGUAAAAUAGUUGACCCACAUAUGUAAUGUUUGGAGAGACAAUGAAUAUAAGCGUGCUCUCACCACCUCUAAACUUACAAGGUGACAUUAAAACCACCAUACUACAACAAUAAUUGGGUCACAUGGAGCAAUAACAACCACUAUUUGGUAGGGCGUGGCCUAUUGCGUAGGAAGUAGCGAUGGGUGACAGGAGGUUUGGGCUUGAAGCAGGGGUGACGGGGAGGCACUGUGCUGUUUUCAUGGCGUCAGCUAGGAGGCGAGAGAGACGAGGGAAGCUAGGCAACAAUACCCUUUUAAUAUUAUUGCUUGAUUAAUCCCCUAGUAAAAUUGGGUUUAUAUAUCACCCCUAAAAGAGAAUCCUAACUGAUUACUCCUUGGCCAAACAAAGGCCUAAACCAACUCUAGCUUAUCUGUAUAAGACUCUAACUAACUGGGCUACUCCCCCUGUGGCGCCUGGGCCUGCUGCCUGCGCCUCCUGUAUGGGAUGCCAACCAUAACACUAUUACUAUGAGAUAUUGGGCUGAGAUAUUACAUCAUCACUAUUUCUACUAAACUGAAACCAAAUCGAACCAAAUGGAAGCACAACUAGAAGACAAUCACAACAAGCAAAGCCCUCGCCAGACGAAAAGAAGUAUAGAUUGAAGUCCUGCCUACCCAUAUCCUAGUGCGAGCUUUAGCCAGAAUGUCCCAAUCCACACACUAACGGUGGACAUCCCAACUGAGGAGGGCCAGAUCCAAAGUAGGUACGGAUUGAUCUUGUCUACAACAUAAUUCUAGCGCAUGCUCUUCAACUAUGUAAAUGUCGCUGGAGGAGAUAAGGGGUGGUGAAAGAGGGUGAGAAGAAGAACAAGAGCACAGGGGAGCCAUACAAGUGGACCCCACUUGUAAGUAGGGUUAUUAUAGUUUGGCAAUUUCCAAGAAGAGAGUAAUAGCUUGUGAAUCAAGAAUCAAUAAUAUUGUGUCGACAUCCUCUUUUGUUAGUCCUUGCAGCAGCAGAUUCUUAUAACACUUCCUUCUAGAAGGUUGGUAUGGCUUAGUUCUGAACACGUAGUACUGGGGUACUAGCUUUAGCGAGUCUAGCACAACAAGUUGCAGUACUAGCAAUUGUGGAGCUGCACCUAUGCCAUGUGCUGGCACCAGCCAAUCUAGUAUAUCCAACCACAUCUUCACAUGAUCUCAGCAAUCAACAGGUAGUUAAGAAUUUGCUUGCUUUGCCAGUUUGUUACGAUUACUGGAGGUGUUGAGGUUACAUAUGUAUCCCAUUCUUUAGACAUAGCUGUGACUAGCUACCAUUUGUUAGGGCCUUAUGACGACUUAAGGAGUGGAGGCAUAUUGAUUGCGAUUAAGGAAGAAUAUUGUACGGAGAUGUUCUUGUCCGUCUGGAUCCUAGGGCGUACCUUAGCUUGUCCUUCCUCAGACAGCUCUAGGGUGAAACCUUAGCAGCCUGUCCAUGUUCCACGUUCCGAGGACUUCGUCCUGGAACGAGGAAUGGGGACGGCCAGAAACAUCAUGCCAAAAGCUGGUGGAACGUGAUCCGCUACAGCUGGAACAUGAACAGCAGUAGGAGACUGGAAGAAUACUACAGCAACACCUUGCAGUCCAACGAAUCAAAGCUUCAUGUCCAAGCCUCCAAAGAUUUCUUAUUCUAGUAAUUUAGUAGCCAUCUAGACUACCAUCUAACUAGAAUUUGAUUAUGAACGUUUGUUAAUUCUUUUCGCUCGACUCAAAUAAUCUGGAACACGUUCCUUGUUCCAGGAACAUCGUUCCAAUCAUACUUGGUACGUGUUCCAUCUCCCAUAGGAACAUACUGAAGAGGUAUAUAUAUCCCCAUCGUACCAUAGUUUCUCAAAGUAGCAUACAACGUCCCACAUUCCCGUUCCUCGUUUCCCAACGUUCCGGGAACAUGCCUGCGAAGCUUGUGAGGUCCAACAGUGAAUUUCGGAAUAGGAGCUAAUGGAGAUGGCACAUAAGGGAUUGGAAAUCUCAAUUAGUCAUGUAGAAGGGAUCAACACCCUUUUCAGAAAAUUGAGGCUUUAGACAUCUCGGCACAUAGGGAAUUGUCUUUAAGUAGAAUGUGUGUGACAAUAAAGGAAUACAAACAUCUCCGUGCUUCAACUAUAUAAGUUACAUUGUGAAAAAUUGUUGAUCUUAUUACCCAUGCAUAAUUGUUAUUGUUGUAAAAUUUAAGCAGAUUAAGUAAUUCCUACAAUUUGGAACUGUUGUGCAGGUCAUUUUCUACUAACCGAUCUUUUACAUGAAAAUAUGAAAGUUACUGCUAUAGAGACUGGCCUGGAAGGAAGGAUUGUCAUAGUUGCUUCUGCAAGCCAUAGAUUCUCAUACAGAGAGGGAAUUCGUUUUGAUAAGAUAAAUCAUAUGUCCGGGUACUGUUUCAUAACUCUUUCAUUCUUGUUUCAUUGAUGCCAAAUUAUUUAAAUGUGUAUCAGCUAUUUGAUCACAGAUGAAGAAUACUAUAUAUUUCUGUGUGACACAUGACAGUAAAUUGAAUUUGUUUGGUCUUUGGUAACAGUUAUAAUGGCUUCUUUGCUUAUUGCCAGUCCAAGCUAGCCAACAUAUUGCACUCCAACGAACUAUCUAACCAAUUGAAGGUACACGCAGUUUCCUGUUUAUCUUUGAAAUGAUGAAGGUGCACAUACUUUUUAAUUUGGUAUAAGUCUGGUGAUUAACAUAGGCAUAGAGAGGUUUUACAAAUAGUCAAAUACUCUUCCUAAAAAAUAUUACUUUGAGGACUCUCCUGCGCUUUAACUGGUUGAGAGGACGGUGUGGAUGUCCUAAGAGAGGGAUGACAUGAAUUAGUGUUGACGACCAAAAUUGGCAGACCUGGUCAGACCUGUCCAAACCGGUCUACCAACCGGUCAGACUGGUUUGGUCAAAGUCCUCAAAAUGUAAAUUAUACUUUACCAUUGUGUAGUUCUCGUCGAGUAGAUCAAAAUGUAUAUGUAGAAUGUCCGAUUUGGAGUUUGGAUGAGAGAGUUAUGACCUCUGGAAGAUUUGCACCGAGAAAAACUGGACAUGACCGGUCUGGUCUGUGUUGUCCGAGUUAGGAGUUGUAUUUUGACAUGGAAUUUGUAAGGGUUUUGACUCCUAAUAGGGUAACACCUCCCUUCCCUAUAAAUAUAAAGGGCCACAGCCGAUUGAGGGUAUUCAAUCGAUAAAAAAUACAUCUUUUAUCUUUUUUACCUUUUCCCUUUGCCCUACCUUUUCCAAUCUACUAUUUGUUGUUCCUCCUUCGUCUCUACGUUGAUUGAGGGUGCUCUAGGUGGCCUGACAACCCUAGAGAAACCCUGCAUGCGCCUGCCCUGACGGGGUCCCUCCUGGGUAAGCAUUUGUUGGUCCAUCAUCGGCUGCCCCAACGAACUGGUCUGACCGGCCCGUGCAGAGAUGUUGCAAGGAGCUCCUCCACGCGCUGCAUGUUCAAUGCUCAAGUAUUUGGCACGGCGCAUUUUCGUGCCAACAAUCAGGAUGUUUUAUUAACUCUAACAAAAACUUUGCACAAGAUAAAGCCAAAAAUUUCUAUCUAGAUGUGCUCUAUGCUUUAUCUUGUGUCGCUACUCUUGCAAAAAGAGUUUUGUGAUCUAUUGCCAAACCUAUCGUACUAGCCUAGCAACUAUUCUACAAAAGUAUAAGGCACCAAACUAGAUUGCAAGGAGGUAAAAACAAAAAUGUAGAUUUGAUAAGCAAAGAAAUGAGCAAGAGGGCACAAACUCAUCGCAAGGGUUUAUCCUUCGGUAUUUAUGAUCAGAAUGACCACCACCCGUCCAUAUUAGGGCAUCCACUAAGGAUUAUGCUUUGGUCAGCGAAACCACCUAGGAUGGUGCUAUGAUCUCCCAUUAGGGUGGAGCUGUAGUCACCAUGGUAAGAGCCUUCAUGCAUGAAUCCAUAUACAACACUCACUGCUCGUCCACACAUCAAAGAGUUUGGAAAAUCUCCAAUGAUCCACAAAGGCACCAAUGUGUCUACCAUAUCAAUCUUAGAAGGUUGAUCACUCCUUAAUAUCUAUGUCUAGGUAGCUAGCAACACCUAGCUACAAUGAGCCUCUCCAGGUUUAAAUUAGCAUUAAUCAGCUAACUAUUGUGCUAAUUGCCUUGAAUGAUCACUUUUGGCCCUUGGAUGGGUGGUCUUGUCAAUUGAAUAUGAGCAUCUCACUAGACUCAAGCACUUUUAAAUGGAUGCAAGGGAGUGUAUUUAUAGGCUAGCUCAAGCCCUGAAACUAACAGUCAUUGCAAUAGCUCAAAUUUCUUGUAAAUGCCAAAUGACCCAGUGGUAUACAUCAGUUGCGAACAUUAUAUUGGAUGAUUUGGCAUGUUGCCGUCUCUAGUUACUGGGAUAUCCAUCAUUCUCACAUGAUUCACAGAAACUAAAAUCUACACUAUAUGUAACUCCCCAGUGAAACUCCGAUAGAUAGAAAUUUAUGAUUCCUGGAACAUCCGGUGUAUAGGCUAGAUCCACAACUAGCUGUUAGAUGUGGCAUUGUUAAUUCUGGUGUUUACCUUUAACAUUAUAUUCUUCUCUGGAUAAUCAUUCAGAAAUGCUCCAGCCACCCAGCGUGUGUACAUUGUUCUUUGUCCUGCAUGUAUAUUUUUUCUUGAAUCUUUACAUAGUGGAGUGAUCUUCAAUGCUUUGAGUUUUACAAUUUGCAUCGCAUCGGAUCAUUCGACAGGUACAUUUUCUUGGGAAUAAUCUAGCUAAUUUGAUUCAGACUUUGUCCCAGCUUUGGUGGCGUUUCUUGUAUUGCAAUCAUGUGACCUACUAAAGAAUUUACUAAAUUCUUGAUAAACUUAUUAGUCCCAUUGACUUUGGUAUCACUCAAUCACCAAAACCACAAUACGCCCCUAGCAAAGUUGUAAUUGCUACACUAAUGAACAAAAAGUUUCACCUAUGUUUGACUCCUUAACUACUUUAUCACUGCCGAUGCAGGAACAAAAUGCACAAGUGGUAGUUAACUCCCUUGAUCCAGGAGUUGUAGUCAGCAACAUUUUGCAUCACCGGUGGUUUCUACAGGGUAAAGAUAUAUUGGAAUAGUACAUUCAGUGACAUGCAAAAUAAAUCAACUUUGUUCUUUAACAUUUUGAUUGAUCAUGGUACAUUCAAAAUCUCCAUUCACCAUAUUAUUGAUCAUAGAAUUUUUUUAUGGGAACUUUAAUUAUGAUGGGCAUAAAGUAAUUAAUCCAUUGUUCUAUUUGCAUACCCUACCUUUCUUUUAUUGAUGAAAUGCAAGCAUUGCUACAUUGCGAAUGCCAAGUUUUUUAAGGUCACAACAAGAUUAUCAAUAACUUUUGUACAGUAUCUAAUUUGCAACUUUACAAGUCUCUAAUUUAGAUGAUGAAAGAAAGUAGUUUUUGAGAAAAUUAGCAAAGUAUUUUUUAUUUGGUGCAUAUUGUUUGAUGAUAGAUUUUUGGAAACUAAUCAAUACCAAUUUAAGUGUUUCAUAAAGAAAACUUACCAUAUUUUUUAGUAGGACCCACUCUCUCUUCUAGUAAUGCAUUGCUUUUUUAUGUACUUUUUAAGAAAACUAGAAAUGUUGAAAUUGAGUAGCACUUUAUCCGAUCUAGAAAACAAGUUAUUCUGGAAUUCAAAAUUUAUCCCAGAAAAAAGUCAUUUAUCCUAUUUGGUGUGUGCAUGUACAUACGUCAGUCAGUUAGCUUCAAAUAUAGCUAAUAAAUAGGGGCAAGGAUUUAUAUCCUUGUUGANNNNNNNNNNNNNNNNNNNNNNNNNNNNNNNNNNNNNNNNNNNNNNNNNNNNNNNNNNNNNNNNNNNNNNNNNNNNNNNNNNNNNNNNNNNNNNNNNNNNGGGGAGGGAGUACAUCAUUUCAUUAGUUACACCUAUCUAGUUUGUCCAGGUGCCUUCAAACUUAUAUUGUUCGGUCUGUAUCCUCUUUUCAGGUAUUGUUUUUGGGCUUGGUAAAUUUGUAUUCAAAAAUGUCCAACAAGUAAGUAUGGAUCCUCAUUCCAUUUCUAUGAGAAAAGAAAAGGUACUCUGUUAUUUUCAGAUAGGACUCACGUAUAGCACGUAUCUGCAACAGAAAGGCUGUGCCGGCAAUAGAUGUCAUAAUCUGCCCCAAAGCUUUCCAUACUUACUGCCGCUAGACUCUAGUUACUAUACGUUUGUUCAUUAGAUCGGACUGGUUUGUUUGGCCUAAUAAAUCUUACCAUCUUAAAUUAUCUUCUAAGAUCUCCAUUUAUGGAUACAACAUCGCCACUAGUAAAAGGGCACCAAGAUAAGGUCUCCAACAACUGCUCCAGCAGCAGCCAACAAGGUGCCCUUCUCUAAUACCAACUGUGCUCUGUAGUUGUGCGUCAACCUGUUCCACCAGCUUCCAGCUACCACAACGACCUUCACCUUCGCAUAGUUUACUGCCAAUAUAUGUGCAGAUGAUCUCCUAAUAACACAAUGCUGGGCAGGGUGGACACUAUCAUGCGGUUCUUAGCGUAAGAAAGCUGCUAGUGAACAUUGUUCACUAAAUAUACUUUGCGCCGCUCAUUUCUAAUUCUACACAAGAAAAGUAUAACCAAAUAAUCACUUAUAAUAGGAUAUGAUAGAUAUAUGAAAACCACACGGUCACAUCUCCACAGUUCAACAACCAACCUCUACAGACCAAACAUAAAUAUUUAAAUCUAUCUAUGCAUAUAAUUUAGAGUUUCGUAAUCAUUUUUGCUUGUUUGAAAUAAUCUUCAUACUUUUUUGCUCUUUCGUUGCAUUUAAUUUCCUUCUUAAAGUAUUGAGAAAUGCAAAUAUUUUAGCAUUCAUAAAUUUUGUGAAGAAUUUUGAACUGUUGAGUGCAUAUGCAAAUAUUUUAACAAAAUUCAAAAUGUUGAUAGUAUAUAUUUAUUUGUUACAAUGAUUGUUAAGUACCGGUGGGUAUUUCCAGUUACUUUUUUCUUUAAUUUUUUAUGACCGUUGAAAUGAGGAAUUUAAUUAACUAAAUUAAAUUAUUAGUACUUGGUCCCACCUAUUUGGUACUUUUUGAUACUUUUCUUUUGGUACUUCCUAUCUUUCCACCGCAUGAUUUCCAAUCAUUGUAAAAAUCCUUGUUUUAUAAAGUGUUGAAUCAGGUUAUGGAAAUUGUGAAUUUUUUUUAUUUGUUGAGCUGUGUUUCACAAUUAGUGUUCAAGCACAUUAAAACUUAAAAAGUUGUAUUCUCUUGCAUGGUUAAGAUCUCUAUGUGUUGUUUUAUCAUGGAGAAGUACAGAAAUGAACUUAUGUAACUAAUCGUAAAAUAUUGUCCACCACUAAGAAGUUUAAAAUAAGCACAGCAUGAAGUGCAUGUUGUUUCUGCAUGCCACCACAAACAAUAUAACCAUUUAGAAAAAUAAUAUAACCCGCUAGCUUCCCCUUUGUCUCUGCGUCCGAAUCCCGAGUGAUAAUAUCGUCAGAGACCAUGCUGGAGUUGGAGAAGAAGCUCCUCCACGUGGAUUAUGGUGUUGCUCUGGUUAGUUGUCCGAAAAUCAAGUGACAGCUGGACGGCUCCAAAACAAUUGAAUAACCUUUAGCUUUACCGUAUUUCUAGUAUUGAACAUGUUAUUUUGCACUAAGUAAAAUGGUGCUGGUAAUAAGGUGAACCUGCAACUACCUUUUGUUUUGAAUAAAGCUGGUUGAACGUGAGCUGGCUAGCUGUAUUGUAUAACUUUUUGCUGAUCAUCAACAUUAUCCAACUAUAUUAGUUUCAACGUUGUUCAUAUGGCAAACAUCCCAUAUCAUUUAUGUGCCAAUUAGUUCAUAUACAUUCUGCUACUGUUCAAACGUAUGCAGCUUGUGCUUAGCACUGAUCAUUUUGCAGGGAGCAGCUACAGUAUGCUAUUUGGCAUUGCAUCCUCAGGUUGCUGGAAUUACUGGCAAGUACUUCGCUGAUUGCAAUGCUGUUGAACUAAAGUCUCAUGCAGCCAACAGGGAAAUGGCCAAAAGGCUCUGGGAUUUCAGUGUGAGCCUACUCCGUUGAUACAAGUUAUGAAGGUAGUUGUUUUGGCGUUCUUGAGAUUACUCAAAUAGCAUCACGCAGUUUCAGUCUGUAAAGUCUGCAAUCGUCUGGCGUUCGAAUCGGUGCCUAGCAACUGUGUGUCAAGGAACUACAUUUAGGUGCUGUGAAACAGCAAGGCUUCUUCAGCAAGUGUACCUGAAGCCCCAUAUGUGAGUGGUCAGGGAACUGUCCUCGCCCAUCGAACUACUGUAAAGACUAAUAAUACCAGAUACAGUAAAAAAAAUAACAGUUGUAGUACAUAUUGUUGUUGAACUACCUCAUGAAAGCAAUCAGUAUGGUGUAGGAUGUAUCAUGAUUGGACUUAAAUGCGGAGAUAGAAAUGUUAGGAAAUAUUGCGAUGAGCAUACGCCAUCUUUUCCUUGCGAUAAUCUGCAAGGCAAACUGAAUUUAGACUAGAAUUACUGAGGGUUGUAACCAAUAAAUUAUUAUCACUACAAGAUAUGCAAUAAUUACUGAGGGUUUUAAGCAAGUGCUGAAGGGGCCUAGUAUUUUCAGAUACUUAACAGGAAUUUUUGGUCAGCAAUUGUUGAUUGGCAAUUCAUCUUCACCGUUGGAAAAUGAUCCUGUGAUACCCAAACAGCCUCAGCCAUUGGUGGAGAAAAUAAUAAAGAAUGGAAUCCCAUAAGCCACUUUGAAGAAAACUCUAGGGAUUAGCUUUGAAUCUGGUAGUGUAUGAUCUUUAUUGUUAUUUACAUAAAUGAUGUCAUUAGCGUAUUUUAUGACAUUUUUGCAUAUGAACUCAUACAUAAGCAAUUAUUCAUAUAUUAGAUGUUUCCUCGUUCAUACAACCAUAACAAAGUCCUCGUGGACAAACAGGAUUCGAGGAUUAUUAGUCCUCCUAAAAAUUUCCCUAAUUACCCACAAUGUUCUUCUAGAAUUCUAGGGACAGACCUCAGUUCAUAUUUUGCAUUGCAAAAACAGGACCAAAGUUUAGGUUCGUCUUACAACUCAGUUCACCAGCUUAACAGAAACACGCAGACCACAGGAACGACAUAAAUCAUGCUCCAAUUUCACUUACCAACUGGUUCAACCUACCAACAUAAGGGAAAGGAAACUAAGCAUAACGGGAUGAUAGAACAUCCUGUUAAUCCGCCGCCAAGAGAGCAGACAGCUUACUGUCUUCCCAGUGAUAGAACAUGCAGCUGGGAGCUCGCCAACAAAGCUUCCUGUCAAGUCUUAACCUUCGUUAUUCAUUAGAAGUUGUUUCCCUUUCAGCCAGCAACACCCGUCGGCAGUAUCCUCGGCAGUGUCCUCACCAGCUACGAGCUGCCCCAUUGUCCUCCAGGCUCCACGUCGCUAGAUGACGACCAGGGCAGAGCAGACACAAGCUCUUCACACACAACAGCCAUCAUUUGUGUAAAAUAACAGUGUAAAUAGCAUACAUCUUUGGUUUCUUCAACUACCAUCACUACUAAAAAGAUAAGGUUUUCUACAAUUCAACACAAUAACUCGAUUCCUGAGGCCUCUCAUUUCCAUUUGUACUUUGGGCGCGGAUAGAGGAUAGAAAUUAUAUUAGUCGAGUUAGCAGUAUGCUUUGCCAGCUAGAUUGCAACAGAGCGCGUGAUGGAAAAGUUGUAGGCACAAACGGAUAUACAGGAGGAUGCAUGUGCAUAUAUGAUAUAUACGAAGUGCUGCAGAUUAGAAGAACGGCAACAGACCAAUAAGCAUACAGUAGUAUGUACUCCUUCAGUUUCAAAUUGUUGGUCGUUUUGGUUUUCUAAUACAUAGAUUUCAUUAUGUAUCUAAACAUAAUCUAUAUCUAGGUGCAUAACAAAAAUCAUAUAUAUAGAAAAGUCAAAACGACCUACAAUUUGAAACAGAGGGAGUACGUAUUUUUUAGGCCAACUACUCAUGGCUCAUAAUUAUAGUAGUACGUUAGGUUGCCUAUAUAUCCGUUUGUGCCUACAGGACUUUUCCAUCGCGCGCUCAGCUAGCUGAGAAGUUGAACCAUUUGUUAUAUAGUAGUACGUCAAGUUUCUAUCCAUAUUUUUCAAGCACACAGAGUCGUGACAUGUCAGCUCGCACAUCCUUGAGAAGUUGAAGCAUUUGUUAUGGAAUCCAUGCUAGCAGCACGAAAACCACCACCUUGGCUACUAUUCACUUAUUCUUACUACUACCAAUCUUUGCUAUUUUUGGUGUUUGAGUAUAAACUUUUAGAAAGUUGAGCUAAUUUUCUCGAACACAAAUAGAAAUCUAGCCUAUGAUUGUGCUCAACAUCACGUACACGCAUCCGACUUCAAUGCUUUUUUAGUCAAAUGUUCAUUUUCAAUAGUAAAUUAAUCAUCUAGUAACUGCCUCCUUCAAGAAUCUGAUUUAUAAACAGUUAAGCACCCAGAAGUUUGAUAAUAGUGAAUAAAGAUAUAAUGAAAGAAUGCUAGCAACAAGUCUUUCACAAAAUUGAUGCGUGUACUCUUGGUAACUUGCGAAAUAAAGAACACAUCUUCUGAUUGGGUGGUACCAUCUGUGAUAAAAUCCUGAAGUUUUCUAUAACUUUGACAAAAGGAAUCGCCCCCGCGUCGCUCCUGGACGACACAGGCGCUGGAAGCCUGUGCGGACGCCAGGAUGGCGGCGGCAGGAUCUUUGCAGCUAGCUCCUGGUGGGGAGCACUCGUCCUCCCCCUGGAGUCCAAGCUAGCUCCUGCAGCAGGGGUCGCGGCUAUACCAUGGAGGCCCAGAUCCAUGCCGGGGAGGGACGGAUCCGGUGAUUCCACAUUCGGAUCCGGCCGUUUUGGGCCCCUGCGCCAGCGGUAUCCUUGGCAUGGCGAGGUGGCCGUGGUGGCAACCAAGCUCGGUGGGUGAUGGCUGCACGAGUAGGUGGCUGUAACAUCCGCAAAUUUGCGAAAUGUUAAUUUUUAGCAAAAAGUGAAAAAUUCAAAAAUUUUGUUUGAACUGUGUGAACCAUGAGUAUAAAUUGCAAAAUUAAGAUUUAAAUUCCUCCUCUCUCCCAAAAAUCCCUAGAAAAUGAAAAUGGUGCACUAAAUAACUAGGAAUGACCUUUCAUGGAUGAGUUGAAUUUUUAUUUGAAUUUAUUUGGAUUUUAUUUGGCUGAAUUCAAAUUUAAAAUCUAAACUCAAAUUUGAAUUGGAAAAACAAAAAAACAAACUUACCUGGGCCGAAACCACGCCUGGCCCACAAAACCUCCCCGGCCUCAUCCCUUCGCCGGCCUACCAACGCCACCACCUGGGUCGAAACCCCUCACACGACCGCGGCCCAACUAAUGGCCCAACCGGCCCCGUCUGCCUACACCAGCACCGCACCCUUUCCCUUUUCCUCUCGCCGACAGGUGAGACCCACCUGUCAGCUUUCUCUCCUACCUCCGCCUCCUCCGCUGACCACUCUGCUCUGCCGUCGCCCUGUACUACUGCACGCCUCACCCCGCGACAAAGGAAGCCGUGGAGCCUUCCAGAGCCUGCGUUGCGCACCCCCAUGACCCCACACUCACCCCACCCGCACCCCGGAGCCGUUAGAUUCUCAUCACGCCAGCCCCGCAUGCAUAUCCCAAGGAUCACCGGCCGUCCGCUCAACCCUGGCGCCCAAGCCCUAGGUGCGCCGCUAUUUAACCCCCGCCCACACUGUUCUGACGCACCGCAAGCUCUAGGGCCACUCCCACCUACCAUUGCCACCAAGGAGAAGAAGAAAUGGAGAAGGGGAAAGGGGAGAGCUGAAGCGGAGGAGGAAGAACACCACCGCCGGAGCCGUCUGAGGCGCAAUAGCUGACAAGCCGGCCUUCGUGCAACCAUGCCAUUGUCCCUGUGCACACCUCCUCGGCCUCAAAGUAAUUGCGGAGAUUCGUGCCGAAACGAAAUAGGAAUCAACAAGAGAAAAACUUUGUUAGUAAGGAAUCAAAUGCUGGAGAAUUCUUUUCUAAUAGACUUCUCCCAGCCUCACCUCACCGCUGCACCGCGCCCACGCCACCGAGCUGCCACGGUGAGCCCUUGCCUUCUCUGUUUUUCGCUCACCGUCGUGAAUAAGGCCGCAGCCAUGGUCAACCAUAGGCCCGCGCGCUUCACUAGCAUCGCUGUCGUGCUUUGUCUCUGUCCAGCCAUCGAGCUGCGUCUCAUGCAGGGGCUUACGCUCGGCCUCAGCUCGCCACCGCCACGCACCUCGCCACGCUCUCGAUGCGGACGCCGCUCUAGCGCGUCGCCUUGGUAGCCAUCGCAGCCCCUAGGAACCCCAAAGACACCACCUUUGAGCACCGGUGAGAUUCGCCUCGCCAAGACCAGCCUAACCGCGCUCUAGCCGUCCUCACUGCCGACUCUAGUCGUUCCGCAGCGUGCAGCCACCGCCCGCCGGUGGCGCCGAGGACACUCGCCAUCGUGGAAGCCCGAGAAGGCUAGAAAGCCGGUGUGGCAGCAACAUAGCAUGUGUUGUGACCUCGCCAGAGUUACAAGAGCACCGUCACCAGAGAAACAGGAGCUCCGCCACCUACCGCCGCCCGUUGACACCCUAGGCCGCUUCGCCGACGGAAGUUAGGGCUAGGCGGUGACUCUUAGGCCCUAACUUCCUGUGGGGCCACCGGAGGGGGAACUCCAGCGAGCCCCGGCCAUGACCAUGGCAGAGGAGAGGGAGCAGACACGCUCGCCGUCGAAUUACCCCGUCGUGGAUGUGGCCCACGUGAACCACAGUCUAUGUUCACGGUGGACCAAGCCCUGAGCCGCACUGUGGACCGCGACACAUGCGGGAUAACAUGGUGGCUUAGCCACAUGAGCCGCAGACAGUCCGCGCCUAGGCCAAGCCCUGGUAGCGUCCACCUCUUCGCCACAUUGACGCCACGCGUACCUAAGCGCCUGCCUACAGCCAUCCUAUCGCCCUUGCGUGGCAGCACAGGUGGCAGCCGCAUGGAUGACACGUAAGCGCCACCUCAGCGCUAGUGGCAACCUAGAGCCCCCUAAAGCUUCCUAUAGACCCCCACGUGGCUGUUGACUCCGCAGCCACAUGGCUAACGCGUGUGCACCACCUAAGCGCUAUAGAUAGACAAUAGCUAGCCUAGAGACAACCUAUAGCUACCCUAUAGCUAACAGGGUGCCACAUCAGCAUGUGGGGCCCCCUGACCCUGGACCCGUUGUCGAUGUUUUAUACCGGCAGCCUACCAAGGGGUACCCGAGGUAGUCUAUUUAUCGAUGGGGGAUCGCCGGACCUGGAACCUGAAGGUAAAAGCGAGGGCACAAGACAUGGAUUUAGACAAGUUCGAGCCGUCGGAGUAGCGUAAUACCCUACGUCCUGUGUGAAGGUGUUUGUAUAUUGCGCCCUGCGCUUGUGUGUUGAGGUGUGACCUGCUGAGCUAGGUACCCCUACCCUCCUUUAUAUACUCCAGGGGGCAGAGUACUAGUCGGAUUACAAGGAGGAGUCCUAGUAGGAGUACACGGUAUGAGUCCUAGUCGGAUUACAGGGGAAUCCUAGUAGGAGUCCAACUUCUUCCUUCCUUGCGGGUACUAGGGAUCUAUCCUCAACACCCGUUGACUUUGACCGUUGAUCAAGUCAACACUGACGUCAUCACCCUAAUGACGUCAGCAAGACGCGUGGCAUGCUCUGGUACCACCACGUGUCACCUCGGUGAAUUUUAUCAGUUUCGCAAAUUAUUUAAAAAUCCAAAAAUCAAUUUAAACCUCAAAAAUUCAUAACUAAUUCAUCCUAACUCCAAAAAUUAUGAAAUCAGUUUCAUAAUUUUUCUAAAAUCAUGAAAAAUACAAUAGACUAGUCCUUGAUCUUGUUUGGGUCUUCUAUGGAUCUCUUUUAGAUUUACUUUGCAAUUAGACCCCUGGUAAUAUUGAAAAUCGUGUAAUUAGGAUUUGUCAAAGAUUCGGAGCUAAAGACGGAGCCGGAGCCAUUCGAGGACCACUACAAGCAAGGAAGCAACUCCAAGUUCACACCCAUUUGAUUUGAAUACCCAUUAGGCAUUGCUAUUAGAAUGCUAGUGCUUUAUUUCCUCGCAUUAUGAUGAUGAACCAUGCAUAGCCUAUUUUUAUGCCUUAAUUCCUUGAGUGACCUACUACCAUACUACUUAUAUAUGCUAUGUGCCAUGCUUGCAUGUGUAUUGGAUAUUGUGAUUAGGAUUCUUGGCGUGAGUGGGGUUAAAUCCUGCAGGAGUAGGUGUUUUUGGGAUAUUUGACGGGGGUGAGCUUUACACAACCCAGUCUUUGGAUUGGGGGCUUGGGGUUCAUUCUCGGACGUUCCCUAUUUGGUACUUGUUGCGAGUACAUGGUUGAGGAGCAUAGGAGUUGGUGGUGAUACCUGUUAUGGGUACUGUUGCAAUCCUAGUGGUGGAGUCGCUUUGUGGGAGAUCAGGAGCUUGCCCCAGUCUGAAAUUGAGUGGGUCGCCAUGCUUCACGGGAAUAUGUUAAACGUGCAUGUCACUUGCCGAAUUAUGGGUUUAGGCCCGGUUGAGAUUGGCAAGUGCGGUAUCAUACCUACCGUAGGAUAGAGUAUAAGUGUAGGGGGAGUGGUGUUGACCUUUAGCCCCUUGAUUUGCUUUUACCCCCGAUUGGCCCUGGUGGGAGUGCUUCACAGUUCCAGGGUGGUCCACUACAGGGGAUCGCGUCCGAGCCCGGUUGCAGGAUGGUAACGUAACUCCUAGGUUCUUCGCUUGGUAGAGUGAUGUUCAGUCGGCUGAUCACCAGUUGUGUUUACUCUGAGAUGGGUCCAGGUGUAUACACUUUGUAGAGUUCAAACUAUACGUAUAGCCGCGUCCUCGAUCAUGGACAACCCUAUGUCGCAAUGACUCUCCAUUGUUUUGGGAUAUCUCUACCUCCCCCUUAUAGCUACUUGAGUGUUGUGAGCCGCAAAUGCAGUCGGGGAGAGGAGGAGUUGCUCCCUCCUGCCUUUAGGAUCCGGCUGUAGUUCUUGAGAGGCGAAGAGAGGGAGUCUUCGCCUCGACCCUAGAAUGGAGAUAGGAUGUUGGUGAUAGAGACCCUGUUGAGGCAUGUGUGCCCGAUGUGAUGAGAGAUUUGGGGUGAUGGAUAUGGGAGUUCAUAUUUAAUUGAGAUAGGAUGUUGGUGAUAGGUACCCUAUUAAGACUUGGCUAAUACUAUUUAAUUGAGUUUUCUAUAUCAAAUUAAUAUAGAGUCGUACCUCAGCUUUUCAUAAUCAAACUUAAUUUGAUUAAUGUUCGAAUCAACUUUCCUAAAUAAAAGUUGAUUAGGUUUUUACACUAGCUUUUAUAAAUAAUAAAAUAAAUCUUAACAUGAUUAAUACCAAUGUGAAUAUGUUUUCAAUAACAAUUUGAUCCACUGGAAUCAUAAAGCAUACGUUUAGAUGUUUCAUAUAGUUUAUCUUUUCUAAAGUCAAAUGUUAAAUGGUAUAAUCUAUACUUUAAUAUUUGUAAUUAAAUAUGGUUAAGUUAUAAAACGGUUUUUCUUAAGUAUUCAUAAAUUGACUAAAGUCAAUAUGAAAUGUGUUUUCUAAAUAAAGUUUGUUUAGCCAACACGACAUAUGUGUUUAUUCGAUUAGUUGUUCUCGCCUUUCUAAAGUUAAGUGUGUAAUGGGUACAAUUUAUACAUAGGCAUUUAUGAAUAAAACUUGACUACGCUUUACCUCGAUCUUUGCAAAUGAAGUAUAAAUUGCAUUAAUUCCAACUUAGGGUAUUUUCUUUCUAAAAUAUCCUUUAUAUAUGUUUUGCAAAUUAAAAUAAACCUAGCAUCUACUCUUUUGUGCUCUCAUAAACAUAAAUCGUUCGAUAGUCGUCAUUGUCAGCUUUAGCUCAAUAUCUCUUCUGAAGAUCUAGUCUUCUGUAAAGCUUUAGAUCUUUCCAGUUCCAGCUCAGACCCUAUUUCUUUUAUAUAUCUAACCAAGCUUUUCCUUUUCAAGCAUAGUUUGAGUGCUUUAGUGAUCCGAAUAGUUUAUCUUAGAGUUUCUGUUCUGCCUAUUAGUCUGAUCAUGCUUGUCCUUAUUUUUCUUAUAAUCCUAUAUCCAGUUCAUAGCUAUCUUAUAUCCUAGUUAUCUCUUUUUGAGUCAGCUAUGUUCUUUAUGGCUAAACCUUUCGCAACCAUCUCUUUAGAGCUGAUCUUGUUAGUUAGUUUCUCCGCCAACUAGUUUAGUUUAGCUUUGACUAAUUUGUUGUCCCAGCAGUCUAGUUGUUCUCUCCAUAGACUAGUCUUUCCUAAACCAUAGUUUACACUUUUCUUCUACGCUCUAGAGUAGUCUAUUUGUGUUGUUCUUGUCCGUUUCACCUUAACUUAUACGCUAGCAUGUUGCUUGAUUUUAACAUCAAAGUUAAAUGUGAACUUGACUAAUUCUUAUUCAAUUAGUUUUCUAAAUAAAAGUUGAUUAGGUUCUAUCCCAGUUUUCAUAAACUAAGAUUUAAUUGGUUAAUUCUUAUUUAUAACCAGCUUUUCUAAAUCAAAGAUAUCUAGUGUUAUACAUCGGUUUUCAUAAAUAAAUUUAAUAUGCUUAAUAAUAUUAUAAAUACCUUUUCCAUAUUAACAUGUUUAGUUGAACCCGAAAUACAAAGUUAUUCGAUUAGAUGUCUUAUACAUGCUCUGAGUUUCUAAAGUUAAUUGUUAAAUUGGCAUAACUUGUACUUGAAUAUUUACAAAUAAAAUAUAAUUAAGUUUAUCAUGUUUUUAAUUAUUAAAUAUAUAAAUUACUUAAUUCCAAAUAGGAUAUUUCUCUGAAAUACCCUAUGUGCAUGUUUUAUUUAAUUAAAAUGGAUCAAGCAUAUAAUCUUUUUAUUCUUUUAUAAAAUAGACGUAUGGAUAGUUUUGCCAUGUCGACCAUAGUCCCGUUCUUAGCGUUUCCUACGUUUGGGUGAUCCUAGAAUCGAGCCCUAUCCUUUAGUACGCUCUUUUAAAGAUUUUCUUUUGUUUUUGUGUAUUGUUCUUAGUUGUACUUGUUUGUUUGCUUGUAUGUUUGUGCCGAUAAUUGCUUCGAGUAGAAGGAUCGUUGUUCGAAAGAUUCGAAAAUUAAGAGUUUCAAGAGAACUAGAGCUGAAGAGCAGUAAGAGUAACUUUUCGUUGGAGAAAGGCAUGUAUCCCUAACUAUCCUUCUACCUGUGCUUUGUUUACAAUAUCAUGAUAAUGUUGAUUGGAACAUGGAGCGACCACCUAGGAAAACAGUACAACCAAAGGAACUAAAUGGCUCUGAUUUGGCUAAUUAAUUAGAGACUUUAUUAUAGGGUAAUCUUACCGAAAGGGCAAGAAGGGCGGCGGUAGAUGGGUAUAACCCGGUCCUCUUGGGAAGUGAGCUUUACUAAGACACUAUACCCACUCGGGAGGUUUAUGCUCUGCUACUGAUACGAAAACCUUAACGGGUUACCACUUACUAGGGAUCUUUGUAAAGGCCUCAUAGCGUCCCUAUGCAGUCACACCUCAGUAGUGUGAUAUAUCAGCUAUGCUCACGGUCAAGAGCGGCUUGGACCCUCACAUGAUUAAUAAACUUAAAGAUGGACUUAAAUCGUUAUUCUGAUUAUUUCUUCUGCCUUGCUGAGUACCAAGUACUCACCCUUGCUUACUGCUGCUCAGAAGAGAAAGGUGUGUGAAGUUUUCUAAAGAUGAUGCUGAGUUCUAGGCAUACAUAGCCCCAAGUCGAUUGCCUGUGAAGUUUGGAGCCUCCAUUUCCAGAAUUAAGUUGUAUAUCUCUGAUAGACUCGUAAGUUAUUAUUUAUAUUUCUUUACGUGAUAUUAUUGCUGCUAUUCAUUAAUGAUGUCACUAUAUGUAUGAAACUAGCUUCUGACAUACAUAUAGGUAGCAUUUAGUUUUGUUUUAAAACCGGAUGUGACAGAGCCACAUGCACCACCAGACGCUGUGCAUAGUGUGGUGAAGUUUGAUAUAUCCCUGCAAUCUGCAUUUUAAUUUGAGAGUUUCACGCGUAGGUGUAGCAAAUUUGUGCCAUCGUUCACUAAAAAAAAAAAAGGAUAUUUCAUUAACCUGUCCCAACAGGACAUCACAAAAUCGAUUGCCUACUAACGUUUGCCAGAAGAAAGUACAAGCUGCAUAUGUGGCGACAAAAUACUGUUUUGAGCCACCAAUUCUUCAUGGAUGUCUAUAAGGUUAAUUGACCAUUGCUUCCAACAAAGUCAUGUAUCUUGUCUGUGUGUAUCAUGUCGUCAUGUCUACUGGUAGGGAUGAACUGAAAAUUCUGUUCUUGGCCUUCAAAGCCUACAUAAUCAACAAAUGGAGAGGCAUUGAGGAGCUAAUGGUACAGUAUGGGAGCACACAGAAUGUUUUGAUUGAUUUGCUCACUUCUUUCUCCCAGUUGCUGCACAAUGUAAUGGAGAGAAGCAAUAGCAUCUGCACGAUAAGUGCGCAGAUGAUUCCGAACCAAAGUCCCUACAUUUUCAGAUCCGUAAUUCAAAAGGUUUCUUCAACUCGUUUCAGUAAUAAAAAACUUAUGUUAAGGGUUUGGGUAGUAGAUUACCUUUCCACCUAAAUGAUAAAUGAAGGCGAAACAGAAGGCAGCUGGAAUCCCGAUGAGGUAGUACGCACCAAGAUUAACACAAGCACCAAUCUUUUGCCACCCGCAGCCCCUAACAACACCUAGGAACAUAUUAUGUAGGUGAUAAUGUUCCAAAAGCAACGCAUACAGCUCGUACUGUAUUUGCCGAACCAUCUACAUUUACCUGAAAGGACACACUGCAGGUCAUCGAACACGAAUGCCACAGCAAGAACUGGCAUCAUUCUGGCGAUGUAUGCCACCACUUGCUCCUCAUUGCUGUACGCAUAACCCCAUAAAUUGCGCGCUAGCACCAUAGCAAGUCCAAUGAAUACGCCCACAAACAGAGCCACAACCAUGACCACACGGGUAGCCAGCCGGGCAUCUUGUGGUCGUCCAGCACCGAGCUCAUUUGAAACACGGGUGCUAGCAUGGGAUAAUUCCGAAAUUUAUCAAUAUGGUAUGGUGAAAUUUACGAGCUUGAUUCAUCGAAUCUUACCUUAUGGCAGCACUAAGCCCAAACGGGAUCAUGAAUGCUAAAGACCCUAAGUUUAAACUGCAACAAACCGGAGAUUUACAUUCAGAGAGGGCAGAAAGAAUUUGGGGUACGCCAUGGAAACUUAACUCACCAAAUGGACAGUACUGAUGUUUCGAGCUUAGGAUUUGGGAGAAGUCCAGAAAGAAGAACCAGGAGCUCAAAAGACCACCACUCCAAGCUGUGAGCACGUGGGAUCGAGUUCAAUUCCAGAUGGUGCAUGACAAAUUACAUCUGCAAUUCAUUAGAAUGAUUCAGAUUCAAACUUACCAAACCAUCAGUGCAGAAGGAACACCAAGCUUCAAGAAGUUGGGGAUACCGCGAAACGCCUCCUUUGCGAACCCUCUCCAGGUAUUCUUACAAGCAGGUGAGAGCCUCACAUAGAUCGCCAGGAUGGAGACGUUGGUCAGGUAGGAGAUGGCAUUGGCCAAGGCAGCACCCUUGUAGCCCAGGCCAAUCUUGUACACUAGCAGCCAGCACACCAGCAGAUGGUUCAGUGCCGUGACGCCAGAGCUCACCAUCACCGGGAGCACUAUGUUCUGUGUCUGGAGGAACCGGACAUGGCACUGCAGCGGCCCAUACGCGAACAGAGCCGGAAUCAUCCACCGGAUGUAGCUCCCUGCCCCGGAUGCAAUCUCUGGGUCCUGACCAAAGAGUAGAAGGAUCUGGCCGGUGUACGACCAGAUUACCGCGACGACAACACUCACCAGAGUGAGCACAAGGAUGGCUCUCUGCUUGUAGAUGCCAAGAAGAGAGUAUUGCUUUGCUCCGAAUGCUUGCCCACACAGUGUGUCCAAGCUGCUAGCCAUGCCAGCCUGAAAUAGAAAAAAAAAUCAGUUUGCUAUCAUGUCAGGAGGUAAAGUAUGCAAAAGAAACUGUGUUGGUGUGAUAUACCAAGAAGCUGAACCCAGUAACGCUUGCGAAGGAGGUGGCGAUGGAGGCACUGGAAAGGGCAAGCUCUCCGAGGUGACCGACGAACAUGACAGAGAUCAUGGAGACGAGGUUCUGCAGGAGCCAUGCCGCGAUCAGAGGCCCAGCAAGGUACAGCUGCUUUCUCAGCUCAGUCAGUACCGCGCCUCCGGUCUUCUCAACACCGUUGCCAAGAAGGGGCUCAUCCAUGCUUGGCAUCAUAUACACGAAACUUUUUACCCUGAGUCUGGAAAUGGUAGAUGGAACAAUAAUGUUUCAGUCAAUCUGAUCAACCUUAUAAAAACCCUGAGGAAAUCAGAAGGAACCAAAGGCAGUUUCUUGGCAGCCAAGUUUGACAGUUGCAAACAAGCAGAACAGAACAAAUGCUUGAUCUCAUCUGUCAGACUGAUUGGGACAGCAAAGAUUAAUGUUGCCUCUAAAGAAUACAUGGUUAGCUUGGCACAUGUCCAAACCUCAUAUACGUUUUUGUUAUAUCUUUCCAAGUUUGACCCGUAAUGUUCUAUGACCCGCUUCGUAUGCAAUACAGAAAGGGCAUCCCCAGGAGCCUGCGCCAUUAUCUUUGUUUUCUUCGAAUCCAGGACCUCUUCUACAGAUACAGAGGAACUCCUAAUAUGAUAGAACUGAAGGACUGGAUCACAUUCCACAAAACAUGGAACAUUAUGUCAAUCCAUUUUGGUAAUCUUAAAAAGGCAGCGGUUAAACAUCAUGGCAUAGAAUUUGGUCAAGUUUAAUAUGCACAAACUAAACAGAACAGAAAAAAUUCUCAGUCAGCAAAGGCUGAAAACUGUUAUGAAAACAUGAGGAUUGAAAUUAAGGGAUGCUAAUAUCAGUCCAGGUCUGCAAACUGAUUACUCAAGUCAAGUAUGCCGAGGAAAUUCAUAGGAGGUAAAAAGGAGGUAGCUUGGUAGGCAAGUGUAUCAUAUCUAGCCAAUCUAACCAAUCCAUGCUUGAUUAGGACAAAAACACAACAAUGUCACUUUCGCUACUACUAGUCUAAGGUUGGAAAGGCACAAGUGCAUGCUCACGUAAACACUAGUGUAGACAUUCAGUAACAUAUAUAUGAUCCAAAAUAACAAGAUGAGCUGCAGUUAGACUUCCUCUUGUUUACUAGUGGCUGUUACAGAGGCUUUAGUCCCUGAGUCACUGCACACCACGACGUCCAAAUCUGACGCCACUAGAAGGUAUCUCUUUUCUGGAAAGGUGCUUUGACCGUUUGAGCACUCUCAGACAGCAUGCCAACCAAAAAGACACCCCUAAGAUCAAGUGCCAUUAACAAAUUGACCAAGCAAAUAUAUUUUUAGGAAACAAAAUCAAGGACAACACGCUCGUAUACACGUGCAUUCAUUCUCUACAAUUGCACAUAUGGGCACCAAAUCUGAUCCUUUGCAAAUUUUGUAUUUUUUAAUCUUCUUAAUUAAGUUGAGUUUGGCGAUAAAAUAUUGUGUAUGGAAAGAUUAAUGGAUACAUCGUCAUGUCCAUUCCAUCUCUAGUAAAAUUUAUAUAAUGUUUGCAAAAUUUCUGGUGUAUAUACUGAAAAUGGAAACUACAACGUUAUGGCAUCUUCACUUAUACUUCACCUAUGAGGAUGUCUCAAUAGUAUAAGUUUCAUUUUCACUAGUUCUAAAAAGUUUGCCAAAAAGUUAUACAUUUAACUAGAGAUGCAGAUGGACAUGAUAUAUCUCUCCAUAAUAUUUCAUUGCCAAACCCAACUUAAUUAAAAAUGGUAUAUUUUAAAUGAUAUAUGUUUACUCGAUCAAGAGUCAAGUCAGCAUCUAUUCAAAAAGUUUCAAAGGACAAUCCUAAUCAAAAGUUUUGUGUUAUUGUUUCUGAGAGUGGCACAUCAUAUAGAGUACUUUAAGUAGAUGAAUGAAACAGCUCCCUCCAACGUAUAGUGUCUUUUAUUUUUCAUGGUCUAACCAUGGCAUUUAAUGCAAGAUGCAUGCGAUUUGAGGAUUAUGAAAUUAAUUAGGUGUUUCUCUUCAAUAUGUAUGAACAGAUUUCUAGUCUUGCAAACAAUGUACACCUAUUUUCAUCUAGAUGAAACACCUCCUGUCUCCCAACAUUUUGUGCAAGCUAAGUCUUGGAAACACUGUAAGUGUACGCUAACUUUUUGGAACUCACUGCACAAACUAAGCAAUCAUCAGUAAAACAAUACUCCAACAAAUAUAACUUAGGUUAAAAUAAAUAACUUAAAUUCAUAUUCUUUUAGCGAUAUGAUAGCUAGGAAUGAGAGAUAUUGGGAAAGAGGCUUCCAGGUUUGCGUUCGCUUACGGUGAGCUUUGCCCUCUAGUAUUGGGCUAUGCCAGGACACCUCUUGGUUUGAAGACCACGAGCUCGAAGAGACGGCCCAUGAUGGCGUGAUUGUGGCGGGUGAAACAACCUGAAUUUUCAUUUCUGAGAAUUGAAGCCUACGCAUCUCCGUGAUAGUCUCAAGUAUCACGUGCGAAUACCUGUCUUAGAUAGUAUAAAUCUAUACCAGCACAGAAUAUAAAGUAGCAAUAGAGUAAUAAAAAUAUAAAUAUCGAGUACAUCAUUUCGGCACAUGCCGGUAUAAGUCCAUCAGGACUGAAUCAUGAAAGGUAAAACAUGUACGCAGCGGAAACAUGAGCUAUGGCGAACCCCAUCUCUAGAGGCGACUUGAGCGAGGGACCAUCCAUAGUCUUCCCAUUCGUCGUUGUCGAAGUCGUAAUCGGGCUCCGACCCUGAAAAGCCACUAUCUACCCGAGAAGUGGGUAGGCCACGUUAACUCCCAAUAGCAGCAAGCCAAGGAAACAGGGAAAUAUUACUAUAUGCAUGGAUAAACCUAUACAUGGCUGUAGAGGUUUAUGCAGCAGCAGCAAUCAAGGUUGCAUCAAAGCAAUACCAUCUCCGAGGUCAACACCUCACAACAAGGAAGUCAUCACAAAUCACCUAAUCCUUUACCCAAGAAUCCAACACCCAAACACUCUAGGCGAUGUGAGAGCUCCCUCCCCUCACAUCUCAGCAGCAAAUGCCGGCUGUCAUUGUCAAGAUCAGCGGAUCAGGACUUAGACUAGUAAAUUUCUUUUAUGCGCGUGAGUCUCAGAUGGUUUCACAGGAGACACGGAUUAGACUGGUUCGGGCAAAGGAAGCCCUACGUCCAGUAUCGAGGAUGUUCGUGUUGCCCGCGCGGGGAUUCUGUAGUAGGGGGUUACAGACGGGCGAGAGAGGGACUGGUCCCAGGUCUCUUUUAUUUUUGUGUUCUUGGGAGAAGUGUUGAUCUCUUGGUCUGCUGAUCCCCUUUCCCCCGGCUCUAGGUUCCCCCUUUUAUAUCGCAAGGGGCCGGCCGGAGUUACAAUUGGGGCCAGAUAAAAGGCAAAGAGUGAGAUGGUAAAAAAGGUCUGGCGGGAAGGAGGGCAGAGGUCCCUGGCGCCCGACGUCCUGCCGACCCUGAACGCGUGCCGUCGUGCAUGCCGGAAGGGGUGGCCGCCGGAUGCCAAGUGUUGCAGCUCUUCGCAGGUAGCUACUUCGAUGUUCGUAGGUAUCAGGAUAGAUCAUGAUGAGGGGGUUUCGUCGUUAUCCCGCCGUCCGUUAGGGAGGACGGUGGAUGCCGCUGCUCCGGCGAUGGCUUGUAGAGGGUGGGAGCUCCGUGCCUGUGCUGUCGUUUGCGCGGGACCCGAGGGCGCGCGGGACCCGAGGGCGGGGCCGCUCCCUCCCUCUCUCUAGUCGCCGCAGGUCAUGAGUACCUUGCGACGAAUAGGAGCUGGCCGCCAGUACUGUAGCUCGUACAGGACGGUCGUGCGCGGGUACUUGCGCCGGGUUGCGUGAGGGGCGCGGUCUCCCUACGCUCUGCUAUCUCUGCGGCGCAUUUAUGGUGAGGCCGACGGGGGGCCCCACAGGAUUUGUCUUGUCUAUGCGGAACGUAUCCGAGGGGGAUUCUGACCCGUGGGCCUCAGCGUGCCCGACUCCUUUGCUCGGGGUCGGGCGAGGCGGAACUUUCGUGGUACAGGGUCGGGCGCUCCCGACCCUGGGGGCGCGGUCGGGCGAGGCGGAGAUCUUGCGAAGGGAGGUCGGGCGCUCCCGAUCCUGACGCUGGGGUCGGGCGAGGCGGAGACUCGAUCACGCUUCGGUGGGCCUGGGCCUUCAUGUUUGUUUCUUUAAGCUGCGUGUUAGAGGGUCGUUAAUAUUUCCCCCCAACAGUAACCCCCGAGCCUGUGGUGGAGCAGGAGUGCUCCUCCGGAGGCUCCUUUCGCUGUUUGCCGUCGGUUCCUGUAUCAUGGCGUGCCUGUUUCAUUCUUCGCCAUGCUCGAGAGAACCUGUCAGUUUGUGACCACACGUGUGGUAGUUUUUGCGAGGCUAGCCCCCGAGCUCCUGCUCGUUGCAGGAAACCGAUCGGUAGGCCAGGUCGAAUUUUUGAUCGUUGCCCCUCAAGCGUCCGUUCGCUAGGACGAAGGGGUUGAGCCGGGCCACGUUAUCCGCGUAGGACGAACCGUGGUGCUCAUUUGAGCUGCAAACGGGUAAGUUCGAGUGGAGUCCCGGUCCCUGUUCGGGGGGGUCCGGCUCGGGCCAAGCUGGUGGCGUACUCCAAUUUCCCGUCGGUCAGUUCAUAUAGUUCUCGGAUCCGUUCGACCGGAUCUGAGGGCUCGUUGCCUUUCCCCGUGGAAAAACCAUGAACUUUAUACUGAGCGGGACUCGAACGUGAGGUUGGGGCGCCCUUGGCGUUUGCUCGCUUGGGUGUUGGCCGCUAGCGGGCCCGUCCCUUCUCACCCCUUGCUCGGGGAUGUCCUGGGGCAACUGUCGAACCCGUGUUGGGCCAGCUUUCGAACCCCUGGACCGUAUUGGGCCGUAGGGGCGUUUUCAGCCCCGUAUCCCUUUCUUACCUCCCUGUGGGCGUUGGGCCGGAGCGGAGCGGUUGAUGUGCCAGGGCCGAUCGUAGGGAGCGUCGUGGGCGCGAAGCCCGGGGAGUCGAGUUAUGGAGGCGCCGUCCCGCGGAUCGAGGAAGAUAGGAUGUUUUUUCGUGGCCGAUCGUGCGCGCGAUUUUCGAAAGGAAACGGGCGUGGCAGGGGCGUACCUGGCGCCGCAUUUAUGGCGGCCGGGGCGUCGGUUUGGCUUCCCCGGUACUCUUCCUAUAAAAGCAGGAACACGCCGCGCCGGUUCCUCUCCUUUCGCGCUCAAGCCUUCUUGCCUUCCUAGCUCACCUGCGCUUCGCUUUGUUCGCCUUGUUCCCGUUGCCACUCGCCGCGCGUUUCGUCUUCGCCUUCGUUGGUCUCCUUCCUUCUUCGGUGAUGGCUUCCUGGGGAGUCUCCCACUUCACCGCCAGUCGCGCCGAAGGCCUGGUGCGAAAGGGGCUCCUCUGCGAGAGGACGGCGGCGGAUGAGUGGAGGCUGCCGGGGUCGGAGCAGGUUCCGUCGCCGCCCGCCGGCUACGUCGUCUCCUUCGCCCACUUCCACGAGCGGGGAUUCGCCUCCCCUCCAAGCCGUUUCUUCCGCGGGCUCCUCCACUACUACGGGCUCGAGCUCCAGCAUCUCAACCCCAAUUGGAUUCAGCAUAUUGUGGCGUUCGUCGCGUUGUGUGAGGGAUUCCUGGGGAUCGAGCCCCACUUCGAGCUGUGGAAGUACUUCUUCACGGUGAGCCUCUACCAGAAGACGGGGAAGGCCGGAAGCCAGCAGCGGUCGCCUCCGGUGCCGAUUGGGUGCGCCGGCAUCCACCUCCAUCAUACUCGCUCCAAGGAGUAUAUGACGGUGAAGACCUCGGUGUCCCACAAGGGGUGGCACAAUCAGUGGUUCUACGUGAAGAACUACCCGAUCUCCCCCCUGCCGGCAUUCACCUGUCGCACCAUCGACGCGGCGCCCGAUGUGUGGGCGUACGGGCCGGUGGAGAAGGAGAAGAGGAAGAUCUCCGACCUGCUGCAGGCCAUCGGGCAGCUGAAGCGGGAGGGGCUCACCGGCGCCGGGGUCAUCGGUGCAUACCACGCCCGGCGGGUGGCGCCGCUGAUGCUCCGGGUCCGGCCCCUUGGCGUCAUGACCCCCGACAUGCCGCCCGAGGGCACUGUCAUGGCGACAGGUGCGCUCGCCGCCUCCGAGAUCCAGCAACGGCUCCGGGAGGCGCUGGAGGACAAGGACGUCAACUACCCGAUCCCCGGGCAUCCACCUAUGCGCCCGGAGCAGGGCUUCGUGGACCUGGUAAGGCGUUUGGGCCACCACUCCUCCUUCCUGCCGUCGCAUCGUCUUGUCAUUCUGACGUGGGUCCUCCUUUUGCCUCGCAGGGCAUGCUGACCCGGGUUGCAGACUCCCUCCCGCCGGUGCCGGAGGAUGCCGCGCGGAGGGCUCGCAAUCGCCUCCAGGCCGAGAAGGACAAACGUCGUAAGGACAAGGAGACGGAGAAGCGGCGGAAGAAGGCCGCCAAGGAGCUCCAGCGGCGGCGGAGAGGGGUGGUCGGGUCCGACGACGACGACGACGACGAGGAAGAAGAAGAAGAAGAAGAAGAUGAGGAGGAGGAGGAAAUGGAAUUGUUUGCCCCCCGUUCGGGGGCUUUAGUGAUUCGUGACGCACCCCCGCAGACGGCGGCAGGGGGUGCGGCGGCGGGAGCGCCCGUGCGGGAUCCGGCUCCCCCCGGUCCGGGGGCCGUGCCUCAGGGGUCAGCGCAGCGCGCGCUCCAGGAGCCUGCGCGGAUCGCUCCCCAGGGGGCGACACAGGGCGUCCCCCAGGGGUCGGCACAGGACCUCCCCCAGGGAGGGACGCGGGGUGCCCCUUCGGGGUCGUCCCAGGGCACCCCCCAGGAGCAGGCGCGGGGUGUUCCCCCGGCGCCGGCGAGGGAUGUCGCCCCGGCGUCGAGCCGGAGCGCCCCUCGGGGGCCUUCAGAGUCCGCCCCUGCCGCAGUCUCGGGUCCGGCGCGGGGCGCCCCCCAGGAGUCCGCUCGGGGGGCUCCUCGGGGAUCUGUGGGGGCUGCCCCCGCCGUCGUGCCUGCUGGCGGAGGGCAACGAGGUGGGGACAAGCGGCCACUGCCGGAUGCCCCGGGGUCGGCGUCCGGCUCGGAGUCGAAGCGCGCGCGCCGCCCCUGUGCUUCGAGAGCGUAAGUUGACUCUCCCCACAUGUCAUCCUUUCUUUCUCCUUUCGUACGUUCCUGUUUGACGCCUAACCGUCGACGUUGCAGCACUUCUCCCCGCGGCGUCACCCUGCGGCUGGCGCCCAAGAAGAUGCUGCGGACGUCGUCCUCCUCCGGGGGGCGGGCCGCCACCCCGCCAGCGGCGACUGGCGGGGUUCCUGUCGUGGCCGCAGGUCCCUCGGCGGAGGUGGCCGCUGAGGAGCCGGUCGUCGGGACGGCGGCGGGGUCAGCCGCAGGAGGGGGAGCGGACCCCACUUCGCCUGCGGCCCCACCGGUCGUCCUUCCGGCUCGGGUCGCGAUUCCCCCGGGCCCGCAAGCCGGGGAGGUGAUCGACCUCGACGCCGACGAGGCGGAGGAGGCGGAGACGGCGGUGGGCAGGGCGGAUGCCCCCGCUGCCGUGGCGGGGUCGGAGGCAAAGGGGGCGCUGGCUCCCGAGGGUGCGGCGGCGGUGAAGGCACCGGUGUCGGAGGCUGAGGUCUCCGUUCCGGUUGCUCCCACGGGGGUGCUUCCGGCGGCCGAGACGGAGGUGCCCACAGAGGUGCCGUCGGCGGCCGUGGUGGCGAUGGGUGUGCAGGCGCCGGAGUCGUCGGCGGAUCCGGGGGUUUCUGGCGUCAUAAUGUCAUCAUCGACGACGACGUCAGAGUCGGGCCUUGCUCCGCCCUCGGCUUCCUCCGUCCCCGGGGCGUGGAGAGGGCACAUCCUCCGCUGGACGUCCCGCGACGAUCCGCCGCGGCGCCUCUACGCACUGGACGAUGCCGCCGAGUGGCAUAAGUGGCAGGUGGUGCAUGGCGGCGUCGCCCAGGCUCAGGCGGCGCUGACCUCGGCGUUGGGAGCUUUGGCCAACACCGUGGUCCCUGGCAACCAGGUAUGUUUGUUUCUGCCGCUCGGUGAUGAGCUCCUUUAUUUUUACUUUUUUGUCUUACCGUCAUGCUGCUUUGCAGGCUCUUCAGGAGGCCAGCCUGGAGAAAUCCGACUUCCUCCGGCGGCAGCGGAACCUCUGGGAGCACUACAACACCGAGAGGGAGCGCUCCAGGAAUCUGGCCCAGCAGCUCGGUGCCGCCCAGGGGGCCGUUCGCGACCUGGAGGGUCGUGAGCAGGUGGCGCUGGAGGGGGCACGGCGUGCCGAGGCCAAGCUCCAGGCCGUCGCGGAGAAGGCCCGUCUGGACCUUGAGGAGUUCCAGGCUGCCAUGGACAAGGCGCGCCGCGAUGCCGAGGGGCUAAGGGCCGCGGCUAAUGAGCGAGCCCGCCGAGACGCCGAAGAACUGGCGCGGCUGAGGGGGGACAAUGGAGCCCUUCGCGCGUAACGCGAGCAAUUCCGUUUGCAGGUGCACGGGCUCCAGAACGCCUUGUCCCUCAGUGUCGACCGAGAACGCGAGCUGAAGGCCCUGGCCGACGGUGAGGCUCUUUCUGCUUCUGUAUCUCCGUGUCGUUGGUGUUUCGUUUCAUCUGACUUGGUGGGACUUCUUGAUCGGCUCCUGCAGAGGACCUUGCCAGGUUGCGGGUUUUGCUCGACGAGGAGCGCGGCGAGCAUGGCGCCUUGCGGGAUGCGGUCCGCGUCGUCUGCGAGGACUUCGGCGUUGCUCCGGAAGAGGGGUCGAGCUCGCUGUCGGCCCGUGUUCUUGAAGUGCGCCGUCGCCGUCGUGAGAUUGCCUUGGACGCGCUUCACCUUGGUGUGCGGCGCGCCUUCGGGGUCUUCGGCUCUCACUAUGCCGACAUUAACUUUGUCGGGAUGAGUGAGGGGUACUGCGCUGGCUACACCGACGCCGAGCUGGACGAGAUCGACUCCGCGGUGACUGCGCCGGCGGAGGCCCUCGCGAAGCUUCUGGAGGAUGAAGCCGUCCCUCCUACCGACCCUGAAGCCGCUCCUGCCGGCCCCGAGGCCCCUGCCGCUGCCGACCUUGAAGCCGCUCCUGCCGGCCCCGAUGCUCCUGUCGCCGCCGACCCUGAAGCCGCCGCCGUCGCCGACCCUGAGGCCGUCGCUCCUGUUGACCCUCCUGUCAAUUAGCUGUACCGGGCUUGUGCCCAAAAAACGUUUGUAUUUAAGUCAGUUGUCUUGAACUUGUUUGCGCUGGCCAUACGGGCCUGUUCUUAUGACUUUUUAUUUUGUGCUAAGGAAACCGCUUCCCUUUGUUAUUCCUUUGGUUUUUGAAAGCGUUCGGAUGCAUUGUCGGGCGUGUCAGUAAGUUUUUGAUGAGCGAAGGUACCGUAGCCGCUGGGGCGUAGGCUUUUUCGCAGUCCGAUCGCAACUUGGCUGAGUACCGUUCACGCAUCCUUAUCUUUUUGCGUCCAAAGGUUUUCGAAAGGGAGUGUCCGGUUCUUUGAAAGAAGAAAAAACGUUUUCUUUUUAGCGGUGCCCAGCGGCUGGGGUUGGGACCCCUGAUAGCCCCCGAGGGGUGUGCGAUCCUGGGGCCAGGCCAGGGUCGGAUACCCCUGAGCUUAAAAGAAAAGGCCUUCUUGUUUCGUGAAGAUCAAAACUGGUAGCCCCCGAGGGGUAUGCGACCUUGGAGCGAGGCCAGGGUCGGAUACCCCUGAGCUUAAACGAAAAGACCUGGGCCCAGGUGGCUCAGGGUUUCUUUUUAGCAGAAGAACAAAACUGGUAGCCCCCGAGGGGUAUGCGACCUGGGAGCGAGGCCAGGGUCGGAUACCCCUGAGCUUAAAACGAAAACGGGGGCAAGGCUAUAUAUAACUUAUAAACGAGAGCUAUGGGUAGAAGCGCCUUAGCUGUUCUAUGUUCCAAGCGUUGCUGAAGAUUUGCCCGUCGGGAGUUGCCAGCUUGUAGGUGCCUGGCCGUAGCACCUGUGCGACGAUGAACGGGCCUUCCCAUGGGGGAGUCAACUUGUGCCGACCCCUGUUGUCUUGGACGAGGCGGAGCACUAGAUCUCCAACGUUGAAGGCGCGACCUUGUAUCUUGCGGCUGUGGUAACGCCGUAGGGCCUGCUGGUACUUAGCCGAGUGUAGGAGGGCUACAUCUCGCGCUUCGUCGAGUUGGUCUUGCGCGUCCUCGAGCGACGCCUGGUUCCCCUGUUCGUCGUAUGCUUUGACCCUUGGUGACCCAUACUCCAAGUCGGUGGGCAGGAUGGCCUCGGACCCGUAAACCAUGAAGAACGGGGUGAAUCCUGUCGCCCGGCUGGGGGUCGUCCUCAGGCUCCAGAGGACUGCUGGGAGUUCCGCAACCCAUCGUCCGCCGAACUUUUUAAGGCGGUCGAAGAUCCGUGGCUUGAGACCCUGGAGUAUCAUGCCGUUGGCUCGUUCGACUUGCCCGUUCGUGCGGGGGUGCGCAACUGCCGCCCAAUCCACUCGAAUGUGGUGGUCAUCGCAGAACUGGAGGAAUCUCUUUCCGGUGAACUGCGUACCGUUGUCGGUUAUGAUGGAGUUCGGGAUCCCGAAGCGGUGGAUGAUGUCGGUGAAGAAUUGUACCGCUUGCUCGGACUUGAUUUGCGCCACAGGCCUUGCUUCAAUCCAUUUGGAAAACUUGUCGACGGCGACGAGUAGGUGGGUGAAGCCCCCGGGCGCCCUUUUGAAGGGUCCGACGAGAUCCAGCCCCCAGACCGCGAACGGCCACGUGAUGGGGAUGGUUUGCAACGCCUGUGCGGGCAAAUGGGUUUGGCGGGCAAAGAAUUGGCAUCCUUCGCAAGUGCGGACUACCUGGGUAGCAUCCGCGACCGCGGUUGGCCAGUAGAAACCUUGUCAGAAGGCAUUGCCCACAAGCGUCCUUGGCGCAGCGUGAUGACCGCAAGCCCCGGCGUGGAUGUCCUGGAUCAGCGCCUUUCCCUGCUCGAUCGGGAUGCAGCGCUGGAGGAUCCCCGUGUGGCUUCGCUUGUAAAGCUCUUGGUCGAUGAUGGUGAAGGAUUUCGCACGGCGCGUGAUCCUGCGGGCUUCGGUCUUGUCGGUUGGGAGUGUGUCGUGGAUAAGGUAGUCGAGGUACGGGGUUCUCCAAUCGGUCGUGGGGUCAGCCCUCGCCGCGGGGCCCGCCUCGAUUUCCAUAACCGCGGGGUCGGAGGGCUUGGCUUUCGCGGCCGGGUCGGGUGGGGCAGCGUUGUUUCCCUCGGGAUUGGUGUUCGGGUCCAGGAUAGGUGGCGUAUUGCCGACCUCUCCUGGCUCGGAUCCCGACCCCAAGGCUGGGCAUGUCUCACCGACCCCUGCUGGCUCCGGGUAACGGAUCGAAGGCUUCAGCUGGUCGCUAACGAAGACGCCGUCGGGGACGGGCAUCCGGCCGGACGCCGCCUUUGCGAGCUCGUCGGCGGCUUCGUUGAAGCGCCUUGCGACGUGGUUGAGCUCCAACCCGUCGAACUUGUCCUCGAGCUUACGUACCUCGUUGCAGUAGGCGGCCAUUUUUGGGUCAUGGCAGCUCCAUUCUUUCAUGACUUGUUCGACGACCAACUGGGAAUCGCCUCGGACGUCUAGUCGACGGAUGCCCAGCUCGAUGGCGAUGCGAAGCCCGUUGAGAAGGGCUUCAUACUCAGCGACAUUGUUGGAUGGAGGAAAAUGGAGGCGAAUCAUGUACCUUAUGCAUACGCCCAGCGGAGAGACGAAAACGAGGCCUGCUCCGGCGCGGGCCCUCAUCAACGACCCGUCGAAGUACAGCAUCCAAUAUUCCUGCUCCUCUGUCGCCGGCGGUGUUUGUAUCUCUGUCCACUCGGCCACGAAAUCGGCAAGUACCUGGGACUUAAUGGCGGUGCGGGGGACGUAGGUGAUACCUUGAUCCAUAAGCUCAACCGCCCAUUUCGCGAUCCUCCCUGUUGCAUUUGGGUUCCGGAUUACUUCACCAAGCGGGAAUGAAGAGACGACCGUUAUCGGGUGGGAGGUGAAGUAGUGACGCAGCUUCCUCUUCGCGAUGAGGACGGCGUAGACGAGCUUCUGGAUCUGCGGGUAUCGUGACUUGGAUUCGGACAACACUUCGCUGAUGAAGUACACCGGGCGUUGCACUUUAAGAGCAUGCCCCUCCUCCUACCGCUCCACCACUAAGGCCGCGCUGACCACCUGGGUGGUCGCCGCGACGUAGAGUAGAAGGAUCUCACCGUCGGCCGGCGGAACCAGGAUUGGGGCCUUCGUCAGGAGGUCCUUGAGCCGGUCAAGCGCCUCCUGCGCCUCGCUGGUCCACUCGAAGCGGUCGGAUUUCUUCAGGAGCCGAUAGAGGGGGAGUCCUCGCUCGCCGAGGCGCGAGAUGAAGCGGCUUAGGGACGCUAAGCAUCCCAUGACGCGCUGCACUCCCUUCAUGUUCCGGAUCGGCCCCAUGCCGUUGAUGGCCGCUAUCUUCUCUGGGUUCGCCUCGAUGCCGCGCACGGAGACGAUGAAGCCUAGCAGCAUGCCCCUUGGGACACCGAACACGCAUUUCUCUGGGUUAAGCUUGAUACGCUUAUCCCUUAGCCUUUCGAAGGCUAGCUCCAGGUCGGGGAUGAGCUGAUCGCUCUUCCUGGAUUUGACAACGAUGUCGUCGACGUAGGCCUCAACGGUCCGCCCGAUGAGGUCUCCGAAGCACUUAAGCAUACAUCGCUGGAAGGUAGCCCCCGCGUUUUUGAGGCCGAAUGGCAUCUUAACAUAGCAGUAGGGGCCAAAGGGGGUGAUGAAGGAGGUAGCGAGCUGGUCGUCCUCUUUCAUCGCGAUCUGGUGGUAGCCGGAGUACGCGUCGAGGAAGCUGAGUGUUUCGCACCCGACUGUCGAGUCGACUAUUUGAUCUAUACGCGGCAAAGGGAACGGAUCCUUUGGACACACUUUGUUGAGACCGGUAUAAUCGAUACACAUUCUCCAUUUCCCAUUCUUUUUCGGCACAAGAACAGGAUUGGCCAACCACUCGGGAUGGUGUACUUCCUUGAUGAAGCCGGCCGCCAGGAGCUUUUCGAGCUCUUCACCAAUGGCCCUGCGCCUUUCUUUGUCGAAACGGUGCAAGCCUUGCUUCACCGGUUUAGAGCCGGCCCUAAUGUUCAGGGAAUGCUCGGCGACUUCUCUCGGGAUGCCUGGCAUGUCCGAGGGCUUCCACGCAAAGACGUCGCUGUUUGCGCGGAGGAAGCCGACGAGCGCGCUUUCCUAUUUGGGGGAUAGGGCUGCGCUGAUCCGCACCACCCCUCCACUGGAACAACCGGGAUUGAGAGGGACUUCUUUGAUACCUUCGGUGGGCUCGAAGGAGGUUCCUGACUGCUUGGCGUCGGGCCGGUCUUCAACUGUUUCCUAGAGCUGGGCCACCAUGUCGCCCGAGACGGUGAUAGCCGCGGCGUAUUCGCAGCACUCGACGUCGCACUUGUAUGCCUUCUGGAAGGUCGUGCCGACAGUGAUGACUCCGUUGGGUCCUGGCAGCUUGAGCUUGAGGUAGGUGUAGUUGGGGAUUGCCAUGAACUUCGCGUAGCAUGGGCGGCCCAAGAUGGCGUGGUAGGUUCCGCGAAAGCCCACCACCUCGAAGGUGAGGACCUCCUUCCUGUAGUUGGAAGGGGUCCCAAACGUGACGGGCAGGUCGAUCUGCCCGAGGGGCGUUGCCUGCUUCCCUGGCACGACGCCAUGGAAGGGAGCCUUGCUAGGACGGAGACGGGAGCGGUCGAUCCCCAUGGCGUCGAGGGUCUCAGCGUAGAGGAGGUUGAGGCCGCUGCCCCCAUCCAUGAGUACCUUGGUGAGACGCGUCGUGCCGAUGAUGGGGUCGACGACGAGAGGAUAGCGCCCUGGGUGCCGGACGCGUCCAGGGUGGUCGGACCUGUCGAAGGUGAUGGCCGGCGCGGACCAAUCGAGGAAAGCCGGGGUUGCAGGCUCGGCGGCGUAAACCUCCCGACGCUCUAGCUUGUGCUGGCGCUUGGUGUCGUACGCUGCGGGGCCUCCGAAGAUCAUGAAGCAGCCGUCCACUUUAGGAAAGCCGUCUUUCUUCUCCUCGUCGCCCUUCCUUUCCUCAUCGGGCUUCCGUUUCCGAUCACCCUUCACCGGAUUGCCCACGAAGAACCUCUUCAUGAGGUUGCAAUCUUUGUAGGCGUGUUUUACGGGGAACUCAUGGUUCGGGCAUGGUCCCUCGAGCAGCUUGUCGAAGAAGCCAGGUGCGCCUUCGGGGGGCGGCUGCCCUCGCUUGCGUUCGACUGCGGCCACGAGGGGGGCCUCGCGCCGCUGCUUGCCCUUCUUCUUCUGCCGCUGGCGGUUGGAGGUGCCUUCGUCGGCGUCCUCCUCCCGCUUCGCCUUGCCUUUGGAACGAUCAAAGAUCGCUCCGACAGCCUCUUCGCCAGAGGCAUAGCUAGUGGCGAUGUUGAGGAGCUCCUCCCUGGUCCGCGGGCCCCGGCGCCCUAGCUCGUGGACGAGGGGUCAGCAAGAGGUCCCUGCUAGGAAGGCUCCUAUGACGUCAGCGUCGGCGAUGUUGGAGAGCUCAGUGCGCUUUCUGGAGAAGCGCCGGAUGUAAUCCCGGAGGGACUCGUCCGUCCCCUGGCGGCAGCUCCGGAGAUCCCAGGAGUUGCCAGGGCGUGUGUACGUCCCUUGGAAGUUUCCUACGAAAACCUCCUUCAAGUCGUUCCAGUUGCGAACACGCCCUGAAGGGAUAUGUUCUAGCCAGGCUCUCGUGGAGUCUGCCAGAAACAAGGGUAGGUUGCGGAUGAUGAACAAGUCAUCGUCCGCCCCGCCGGCUUGACAUGCAAGCCGGUAAUCGCUGAGCCAUACCCCAGGGUUGGUCUCCCCCGAGUAUUUGGCCACACUCGUAGGUUGCCGGAAGCGCGGCGGGAAGGGCGCAUUCAGGACGCGCGCAGAGAAGGCCCGAGGUCCGGCUGCUCCGGGACUCAGACUGCGGUCUUCCCCGCUGUCGUAGCGCCCGCCACGGUGGACGUGGUAGCCACGGUCCGCCCCGUCCGCCCUGUCCGCGCGGGAACGUCUCCGCGCGUUCAGUGUGUCGCGGGCGUCGCGAAUGGGACCGACGCGCUGGUGGAUGGAUCGGGCCUCACCUACCGCGAGUGGCGGUGCUCGCUGGGCGGUCGCGGCCGGAUUCGCUUCCGGAAGGGGUUGAUGGACAGAUUCCCCCCGCCGUUCCGGGGGGGCGCCCUGCGUCGCCCUACUAGCGUUCUGGCCGCGUCGUCGAGACGCCGAGCUUUCUGCCUGCUGGACGGCGGCGCACUCGAGUAGGUUACGCAUCUCUUGGCGCGCCCGUCGCUCCUCAGGCGUUGCCGGCUCGGGGAGCUGUCGGAGUAGCACCGCCGCGGCGGCGACGUUCUGGCUGGCGCGGGCAAAGAGCGGUGGACGUUCUCCAUCCGCACAGAUGCGUUCCUGGACGUCGCGCGCUCGUUGUCGUGCUCCCCCCUCGUGGCGGGGGUGCUCUACUUCUUGGCGAGCGCCCAUGUGCGCUUCCGGUUGCAGAGAGCCCUCUGGUGCCCUGGGUAGGGCCCCAGUCAUAGCUGCGGCGCGCGAGGGGGGAGCCCAAUGCCUCCCCUCGGCACCAUUGCCAUUGGACCCCUCGGAGUGCGCGUCAGCCAUGAAGCACUCGCGCGAGGGGCGUGGAUCCUCGUUACUGGAGCCAGUGUCGGAGACCGUCCUUGCCAUGCCCGCGAGCUCGUUGCUCGCGGGUGACGUGGCGAAGGACCGCGCUAGGAGGCGGCCGUGAGCAUCCGUGGCGUUGCGUAGCCCGAAGAGCCAUCCUUCUGGUGAGGCCCUUCCGGCCGGCGUCCGGCCGCUCGUUGUCAUCCUGGCGGUGGUGCCGAGGGCAGCAGGACGAGCGGGCAGGAUGUGGACAGGGAUCAGCUCGAUCCCAUUUCCGGUGGCCAGAAAGUCCAGGCUCCCGAAGCGGAUCAGGGAGCCCGGAGCGAAGCUGCCAUCGCGAUUAGCCAUCUGAGACUUGGAGAUGUACGCGCAAAGGUCCCCUACCUGGCGCGCCAACUGUCGUUGUCAAGAUCAGCGGAUCAGGACUUCGACUAGUAAAUUUCUUUUAUGCGCGUGAGUCUCAGAUGGUUGCACGGGAGACACGGAUUAGACUGGUUCGGGCAAAGGAAGCCCUACGUCCAGUAUCGAGGAUGUUCGUGUUGCCCGCGCGGGGAUUCUGUAGUAGGGGGUUACAGACGGGCGAGAGAGGGACUGGUCCCAGGUCUCUUUUAUUUUUGUGUUCUUGGGAGAAGUGUUGAUCUCUUGGUCUGCCGAUCCCCUUUCCCCCGGCUCUAGGUUCCCCCUUUUAUAUCGCAAGGGGCCGGCCGGAGUUACAAUUGGGGCCAGAUAAAAGGCAAAGAGUGAGAUGGUAAAAAAGGUCUGGCGGGAAGGAGGGCAGAGGUCCCUGGCGCCCGACGUCCUGCCGACCCUGAACGCGUGCCGUCGUGCAUGCCGGAAGGGGUGGCCGCCGGAUGCCAAGUGUUGCAGCUCUUCGCAGUUAGCUACUUCGAUGUUCGUAGGUAUCAGGAUAGAUCAUGAUGAGGGGGUUUCGUCGUUAUCCCGCCGUCCGUUAGGGAGGACGGUGGAUGCCGCUGCUCCGGCGAUGGCUUGUAGAGGGUGGGAGCUCCGUGCCUGUGCUGUCGUUUGCGCGGGACCCGAGGGCGCGCGGGACCCGAGGGUGGGGCCGCUCCCUCCCUCUCUCUAGUCGCCGCAGGUCAUGAGUACCUUGCGAUGAAUAGGAGCUGGCCGCCAGUACUGUAGCUCGUACAGGACGGUCGUGCGCGGGUACUUGCGCCGGGUUGCGUGAGGGGCGCGGUCGCCCUGCGCUCUGCUAUCUCUGCGGCGCAUUUAUGGUGAGGCCGACGGGGGGCCCCACAGGAUUUGUCUUGUCUAUGCGGAACGUAUCCGAGGGGGAUUCUGACCCGUGGGCCUCAGCGUGCCCGACUCCUUUGCUCGGGGUCGGGCGAGGCGGAACUUUCGUGGUACAGGGUCGGGCGCUCCCGACCCUAGGGGCGCGGUCGGGCGAGGCGGAGAUCUUGCGGAGGGAGGUUGGGCGCUCCCGAUCCUGACGCUGGGGUCGGGCGAGGCGGAGACUCGAUCACGCUUCGGUGGGCCUGGGCCUUCAUGUUUGUUUCUUUAAGCUGCGUGUUAGAGGGUCGUUAAUAUUUGCCCCCAACACCGGCCUAUCUCAAAAAGGGGGACAUAGAAGAAUAGUAUAAGCCUAGUCAGAAAUAGCGGUAGUUAACAGCAUUGUCCAUAACCAGUGGACACGGACUAUAGCUCUGUAGAGGUUGUACAUCUGUACCCGCACGAAUGGAGCCUGAACGGGGAUCAGCCGUCCAAACCCCACCUAAUGGCCCGAACCCUAGUAGGUGGUUAGCACUUUCCUAUUUUCUCGAGUCUGGAACCGUCCUCAACUGCAGGGCAUGCCGUCACCAGUUGAAGACCUCAAAGCUGUGAAACCUACCCACGCUGGGGUGCAGUCUAGUCGGAGUAGGUCAAUGCCUCGAAUUCCUUACACUGAUCCUCCAAUCCGUCUACAGGCUGAGCACUGUCCACCACUAGUUUCAGACCAAACGUCGCCUAUAACAAGGCAAACGGUAUGUACGUAAAUAGAUAUUAUGACUGGUGGUAAACUGACUCGGUCCUUUGGGGCUGAGAGCGAGCACUCAACUCCACAAAGUAUGUGCCGAAACACCUACAACGUACAAGUACGCCACCUGCUCCUCAACAUCAAACAAGGUACCUGGCACAGGCAUAGGGGGUGGAGAGUCUAGAAUGCUCUCCCCUAGCAAGGCACUCCUUAGUACCAACCGCGGUUCGCUCCCGCCAAAACACGCCAAGGGAUCACAUUUACCCAAAACACAUGGGGGAGUGUACAAGGAAUCACAUCCCCAAAUCAAUGGCAUAUGCCCAUCUAUAACUCAAAAGCAUGUAUUUGGAUAUGUGUAAGGUAGACUAGUAAGGGGUCUCUAGCUAGCCCACAGGUAGGUACACAAGGAAAAUAGGAUAAAAAUUAUCAAGGCAUGACUAGAAACAUAGGCUAUGCAGUCAAUCAUCAUCGAAGCAUCAUAAAUAAAGCGCUAGCAACUAAGCAUGCAUAGGACCUUUAUGAUUAGGAGUGACAUGACACCUUAUUCAUUGUCGUCGAAGUCCUCGGUGGUGAAGUCGAGGUUGAAGGGUCUUCUUAGUCGUCGCAGCUCGGAACUUCAAAUAGGUUUACAACAUACACGAGAUGCGACGUGAAAAUAAACAACGAGCAUUACAUCUAAAGCAAAAACACCAAUAACUCCAAUAAAUAACGAGCAUUACAUCUAAAACUAAAAGACCAAUAACUUUAUUUAGAAGAGCCAAAUAACAUCAAGCUACAAACAACACCGGUUCAUUUAUAGAAAAUUAAUGAAGCAUAUUUCAUAAUUUUUGAGCUAAUAUGAAUUAGUUAUGACAUAACAAGGAAAUAAAGCAGAUUAAUUUAUUUUAAUAAUUUAGAAAACUAUUGGGACGUGUUAGCCUUCAGGUUAGUCACGUGGCAGCCUCUAGUGGCACCAUGUGUUGAGGUGAUGUCAGUAUGACCUAUCAAAGGUUGGUCAAAGAAGUGGGUCCCACUGGCUAGAGGUGGGCCCACAAGCUGACGUGGCAUGUUGUCUCAUGCCACGUAGGGCACCCUUGGGUUAGCCGGGAUCCGAUGUGGUCAGCUGAAUCACUCGUGGCUUAGCACGGUGUGGCAUGCGGCUUGUGAGGCUUUGCAGGCCUGUGCGCUAGGUAUUCGAGGAAAAGCCCACAAGGCGGCAACGGUGCGAACAUGCGUGUGUAGCAGCGGCAGCACAACGACGAUGGUGGCGUGACAGCGUGAUGAUGCGGCAGUGGCUAAAGGCUAACCUUUCGACCUUGCGAGGGUUGCAGGGUGCGGCGCUGGGUCUUUUAUAGCCCGAAGGCUAGGGUUCGAUGGCGAGCUCCAGGGCGCGGACAGCCAGUGAUCUUCGGCGGGCGUGCCUGGGACACGCGGCUGGCAUCCACGCAGCCGUGUGGUGGCGUGGGGAGCUCGCGGCCUGGCGAGGGAGUAGGUAGGAGCGGGUGUCGACAUCCCGUUGCUGAACGGGGCGUCCUCGCCGAUCUGUUUUGCGUCACAGCAUCAUGGAAAAAGGAACGGGGAGCGAGAGAGCGGCGCGGCGCAGAGGAGCGGCGGCGUCCGCGUGAAGAAGACGCGAGGAGGAGCUGGCGUGUCCGUGCUGGCCAGCGGAGCAGGCCAAACUGGGUCGCAGCAGGCUGUUCGGGUUGAGUUUGUUUGGGCCGGUUGUGCUGGGCUUGCAAGUGGCUAGCAGGCCGAGCUGCUGGGCCAAGUAGAAAAGAAAGAAAGAGAAAGAUGUCAGCAGAUCGGGCCGAGCUGGUUAGGUUGUGACCAGCUUGCGUGCAAAGUUAGAGUUAGUCACAUUAGAUUUUUUUUAUGCUAUUGGCGUGUUAGCUUUAGUUUGUAUUUUGGAUUAAAUCCGAAAAUACAAACUCACCUUUGAGAUCCAAAUUAAACUAAUAAAAUCCAAAUCACUUGUGCAAGUAUGUUUUAAAUUUAAAUGCACAAAUUUAGUUACUAACUUUUAAAUUUAGAGUUAAGAAAGAGGGUUGACCUUAUGUUUGACAAUGAGUUUAAAUGAUCCACACAUUCAAAUAAAAAGUUUUAAAUUUUUUCAAAAACCAGCACAGUUAAAAUCACUCAAUUUUGAGGGAUUUGGAGUGUGGCAUGAGAUCAUGUGUAAGACUAUUUCACCUUCAUCUAUUAUUAAGCUUAUAUUUCACAGAACACACAUAAGAUCUGUGUCAUUGCAAUAUUGAGGAAAUUAAUUUGGGGCCUUGCUAACAAUAUCAGUAACAAGUAACAACCAAACUUAAUAUACAGAUAGCUAACUACACCAAACAACUGAAGUUACAAGUUUACAAUUUGUCAAGACAAACGAGAACCGGCCAGCGCAAGUUGCUCAUCCCUAGCAAAGGCAUGCUACAAAAGGGAAAGAUCUCCUUAGAUAUUGCCACAACUUGUCCAAGAACACCGAACAGGUCUACAUUACACCGAAUUGAAUUAAACAUGCCGCAGAUUUUUGCGUUUUCUUGUCCUUUUGCGGAUAUUGUGUGAAAGAUCAUAUUUUCUAAAAGAGAAAAAAUAUCAGAAAGAUGACAUGCGUGGCCAAACCUGGGCCUUCUGAGUUCCGAAUCAUAAAUUUUUUCAAAAGCAAACUUGGGCUACUUCAGUGCCCUUGCUUGCGGUUGCGGGCCGCAGCGGGCAUCUUGGGCCUUGGUAGUCACCUCCUUCCCCCUCCCGGCUUCUCGACUCCGCCCGUGCACGGGGGUGCUCACUCAAAGGCCGCCGCCGCAAGCCAGACGCUCCGCCUCCGCUCCGGUCGCUGGGAUAGGGGAUCCUCGUCUCCUCUUCUCCACGCUCUGCGCGCCCCGGCAGCCUCGCAUCUCCUCCACGCGACCCUCACCUUCAUCCUCCCGCAAGCUCCGGCCUCCUCGUCUGCGCGCCUCAGCCAUCCGCUGGUGAGUCCCUAUACUCCAUCAGCCGAUCACUGCUCCCAUGAUCUCAGUCGUUAAUGUUUGGAAUAAGCGAGUUUGAUACACUUGAGUGAGUCGGCAUGGUUGAAUUAGUGAGGUUAUUAUGGAUCGGAGCUGGGUAUGCCUUUCGGUUCUGCUGUUUUUAGUUGAAGAAAUUUCAGUGUUCAGGCAGGGAAUACUGAAGAUGGAAUCAAUAUUGAACAGUAGCUGCUAGGUCCAAUCGUAACUUCUAGCAGAAGAAACUGGAGUAUGUGACAUUGAACAGUAUAAACCGUUGACGUCUGUGGAGCUUCUGAAUUAGUUCCAGGAUGGUUCAGUUCAAUAUGCCUAUUGAACCCACUCACUUGGGUGGUAUGUAAAAUUUCACAUCUACCGCAGUAUUUUGGGGUUGCGGAUUUGAUUGCUGCCUCACAUUUAAGUCAACUGCUGUUGAUAAGGCUCAAUGGCUUGAUGUUUCAUCUUUGUUGUUAACCAAUGUGUCAAAUUGUUCUAGAAGGCUUACUGAAUUGAUCCAUUUGAUAUUUAUAGCUCUUAAAUCAAGCAGCAUCUGCCAACAGACAGCUUAAGGGUGUGUUUGGUUGAGAUGUAGGUUUUGGAAAAGUAGCUAUGAGCUGUGGGGUAUGGAAAAGCUGUUUGGUGGAACAGUUGUGGCUUUUGGAAUAAGUAGCGAGCGGACCCCCAUGUCAUUUAUAGUCCACCCCACUCAACCCUCUCCCUCUCACUGACGAGUGGAUCCCGCUCGUCAGCCCCUUCUUCUUCCUCCGCUGCUCCUCCCCUUCCCCUGCUUCUCCCCCUCCUCCAUCUCCCCUGCUCCCCUGCUCCUUCCCUUCCUCCUCCUCCUCCUCCUCCUCCUCCUCCUACUACUACUACUACUACUACUACCUGCGCUCGCCGCCGCUAGCCCGGAGAGAAGGAGGGGCGCUGCCGCCGCUGGUCGGUAGAGGACGAGAAGAGGCUGCAAAUCGGUGGGAGCUCCUAGCACUGGCAAUGGAGGUGCGUCCGAACAGGCGAGGAGGGGCCGCCGGAGGGGCGGCCGGCCAGGUGGGGAGGGGCCACCGGAGUCGCAGGGAGGGGUGGCCGGCCAAGCGGGGAGGGGCUGCCGGGGAGCUGCGGGGACGGAGAAAGGUCGCCGCUGGAGGGGAGCUCCUGGCGCCGGCAAUGGAGCCAUGGAGGUGCAGCCGGCUAGGCGGGGUGGGGCUGCCGGAGCCGCGAGGGGGGGCGGCCGGCCAGCGGGAGGGCCCGCCGGGGAGCCACGGGGACGGGCUGCCAGGGAGCUGCCGGGGACCCUAGCACCGUCGUCGCUCUUCCAUCGCUUGGGGGUGGGAGGGUGUCGCGGCUUGGAGAGAAGGGAAAAAAGAAGCGAACCGGUACAACAUAAUCAGUGGCAGGUGGGUAAAUUUCGCGAACUCACCAAUCCACAGCCGGCCACAGCACCUUGUUCGCUGCUGUGAAAAUUGAACUACACCAAAGCUGCUUUCUUGAAAGCACUUGGGAGGAAACUGGUCCCUUUGGUUGGCUUUUAGCUUUUUUUAGAAGCCAAAGCACCUAGAAAGCCAAACCAAAGGGACCCUAAGACCUCUUCAAUUUGCUAUGUUUGUGCAACAGUGAAAACUCAUAACUGUUGAAUUCUCUGAAGGCAUGACACUGAUCCACUAGUCCAUCCUUAUUCUGGAAGGAGAACCGUACAGGAAUGUAUUAUGACUGGCUUCCAACUCCUUUUUUCUGAAACAAAGAACAGGAGGGGCGCACCCCUACUUAUUAUAUUACAUUAAAAAAGCAGGAAAAAAGUACAAAUCCAAAAAUAAGAGGAAACACAAAAAGGAAUAGAAAAGCUACUGAAAGGAAUCUAGCCAAGCACUAAUUAGGGGAAACUAGCUUUGCUUCGCACGAUGCAGUCAUCCAGCUCAUUUAGGCAUUGCUUCCUUUGCCAUAGCUUCUUUUAGCAGAAUUAUUUUCCACUUUGAACGGAUGUGCACUAGCUAUGUAGAUUGUGAAUUCUAUUAUUCCACAUUAAUUUGGAAUUGAGUGUGAUGACAACUACCAAUCAGUGUCAUGACAACUACCAAUCAUUGCUUCUUGACUUAGGGCCUGUUUGGCAAUAAGGUGUUAAAGUUUAACACCCGUCACAUCGGAUGUUUGGAUGCUAAUUAGGAGUAUUAAAUAUAUGCUAAUUACAAAACUAAUUGCACAGAUGGAGUGUAAUUCGCGAGACGAAUCUAUUAAGCCUAAUUAGUCCAUGAUUUGACAAUGUGGUGCUACAGUAACCAUUUGCUAAUGAUGGAUUAAUUAGGCUUAAUAGAUUCGUCUCGCGAAUUAGCACAGGGUUCUGCAAUUAGUUUUAUAAUUAGCUUAUAUUUAGUUCUCCUAAUUAGCAUCCGAACAUCCGACGUGACACUGUUAAAAUUUAACACCUCAUAUCCAAACACCCCCGCACUUGUCACCUCUUCCCACUUUGGCCCUUCUCUUGACAUGUAGUGUCAUUCUGUCCAGCAUACCUCCUAGAUGAUUGAUCUUUUACAUUACUACCAUUACCCCAUUCUGUCUUAUCUUAGGCAAUGUGACUUAGGCAACAAAAUCUGCUUUGGUUCUCUUAAAUUUAUGAUGCUAGGUCCUUUUUUCUGGGUGCAGGAGCUCUGCAGGAAAAGAAGUGUGUAGUUACCAUGGUUCACUUCAAGAAUAGGUACAUGGUGAUGGAGGUCUUUAUAGAUGCAGGUAGGGGAGAACAAGACCCUGUCAUCCUCACCCAGUUUAAUAUAACCAAAGUUAUAAGAGACAGCAUUCAACUGAACUUUGGGGAGUGUGGCUUAGCUGCAUCUCUUGGAUCAUUACAAGGUACUACUAGUGAUUACUACUGAACGUUUUUUAAUUUUAUAGCAGUUUUAGCUGUAUUGAGUUUAGUACUAGCUUCUUAAUAUUAUGAGCUCUGCUAAUUUUCAGUGAAGUAUGUUAAUCCUGUAACGAAGCUUUGCAUUAUCCGUGUGUCACGUGAUGACCACCAGAAAGUUUGGGCUGCAAUUACAAUGGUGAGGUGCAUUGGGAAGAUACCUGUAUCAUUCAACCUGCUCGACAUGAGUGGUGAGUGACUUACUCUGUGGAUGGUCUGACACUUGAUUUUAGUGCAGCCUGAACCUUUCAAUAAUUGAUAGUAGUAAUGGAUUUUAGUAGUUCAUUUCGGUAGUUGAUUUUCUUUUCUUGCUACCAUAGUAAUUGGUAGAUAGUAUUGUCAUUUAGAUAGGCUGUGAUAUGCCCAUCUUCCAUCACUGUCAACCUGUGUUGCCGUUUCAUUGGUGUAUUUUAGCUCUAGUAUUUCAGUGCAACAUUCCUGCAAUAUAUUCAUUUCGUUUAUAAUGAAGGUACAUGGAAUCUAUAGAAUUGACGAAUUCAUUCUGUUGUUCACAUACACCUAUUUCAUAGGCCUAGUUGAAACUGAAUUUCCUCAUCCAGAACCCGGAAUAUAGUUAUGUCAGUUCUUCUCCUGCUUUAAGUAUUUCUACAUGUCAAUUUGAAUGGUCAGCCCACAGACUUUUGCGUUAUUGUAGUACUAAUUUGUAUUCCUUAAGAAAAGGAUUGCUAUUUUCUAUGGCCGAACUGCCACAGUUAAGCUCAUUAACUAUCAUCGCAUUCACUUUUUCUAGGAAGUAUCAGGGCUUGCAAGAAAGCUGCACUUGAGUGUGACGAAGCGAAAUUUGAACAAUACAAGGUGGUUGCCGGUGACUGUAUCACAUCCAGAAAUCAUCCAGUCCGACAGAGCUGCCUUGAGAAAAUUAGAGGACUAGAGAGCUACUAUGUUUGUCCCUAGAUGAGAUUAAAAGAAUGAAAAUGGCAAAAUCGGGUCCCGGUGUUUAGCAUUGAAGGCAUAACUUAUGGUCUGAACAGAAGGAACUUUUUUUUUUAAGACGUGCAUAGCCUGUUUUUCAUUUUGAAGAGAAGUUUCAACAUGUACAAUCAUGAUACACGAUCACGUCAAAAACGGAAAAACUCGUUCAGGGAUGUAAACCACAAACAGAAAAAGAAACACCACCACCUAAGUUAUUCUAAGGCGCAUCAAUGAGCAGAGUCCUUGAAAGCCUGCGUGACCCUAAGUCCUCGCUUCCUCCAGAAUCACCGGUGCUAGGGCCACUGGCUGCAGCGCCGUUCGUUCAUGCACCCGUCUGUUCCACUCCUUCGAAAGCGACCAAGCGACCAGCCGAACCAGUGAAUCGAAGCCUUUCCAUUGAGUUUUAUAAACCUUCUUGCUUGCUUGGGUCUACCAUUCGGCUAAAGGAGCCUUGACCUGUGGCAUGAGUCACUGCAGACCAAAGAAUCUGAGGACACUAAACCAUGUCUCACGGCUGUGUACACAGCCCGUAAGCAGGUGGUCCAUUGUUUCGACCUCUUGGGUGCACAACGCACAUUCAUCUCUGUCACGCAAACCGUGACGGCGUAGUCGGUUAGAAGUCCAACAACGACCAUAAAGCACAAGCCAACCAAAGAAACGAUAUUUUCCUGGCGCCUGCACUUUCCAUAACUGGUGAGCUCCCAUCAGCGGGGACUGACCCAGAAAGAGAGCACGAUAAGCCGAAGCAGAAGAGAAAAGACUUGACGACAAACACUUCCAAAUGAACUUGUUCGGGACUUGACUAAGGUUUUGAUUCCUUAGCAGGUCCCAAAUUCGUAGGUACUGGACAAUGACCUGAACCGUUCUAGCACGGCAAACAUCACGGACCUAGCGUCGACCUUGAAAAGCAUCCCUGACGGUACGGAUGUUUCUUACUCUUGUUGGGACCGCCAUCCAUAGAUGUGGGGCCAACAUUUUGAUGAAGCAACCAUUGAUCCAUCUAUCCAUCCAGAAUAGGGUGGUAGCACCAUCACCCACUUGGACCAUCACCGAGGCCUCAAAGAACACCUUGGCUGUCGUUUUCUCCUUAAAGGUAAAGCUCGACCAAGUCUUAUCACCAUCCAUACGUGACAACCACAACCAGCGCAUCCAAAGGGCCAAUCCCAUGAGCUGCAGAUUGGGAAUCCCUAGGCCCCCAAGUCCUUUGGGCAGCAAACAUUGAUCUGAAGCGUCUUCACAUAAGUAGAGACUAAAUGUGAUAUAAAUAUCAAUCCCAGGAGGCUGAUAACACAAUUAUUCAACAGAUGGUUCAAGAACAUACAACUCCCGAGGGAGCAGGCGAGAAAGGUACGCCAAAAAGAGGUAAAGCACAAACAAACUGUAGGCACUAGUUAUGGUAAACCAGAACCAUAGGCAGCACCCAGCACUACAUGCCAGCGGAAGCAUUUUGCAAAGGCCCAACGCCACAAGCAACGUUGGGUGCGGAAGCAACCACCUACUCGAUGUCCUCGGCAACGAAGUCUGGGUCUUCCUCUGAAGCAACAAAAUAAGGGUGAGUACAAAAGUACUCAACAAGUCCAACCACGCCCACGGAUGGGGAUACAACAAGAAUAUGCACAAGUCAUAACAAGGAAUAGGCCAAGGUUCAUUUGCAAUAAAGCUAGAUUUUUAACACAUGCAAGGGUUCAUUUUCAAAAGGAUUUUCACAAAGCAUUUAUUUGGUAACCGAAUAAUUGAGUGGGGUUGAUCCUACACAAAGGAUCCAAGUUUUAAUGCUACCGGACUCCCCGUCCGCGGUAACUCAUGACGCAAUUGUUGGACACUUCCAAAAUCCACACAUGCCAUGAAAAUCAUUCAUCUCCCAAAAGCUAGUUAUGUGCCCAAACUGUAACUCAUCCAAUAUCGUGGACACGUCUGUUCGAAUAGGUUUUAACUCUGCAGAGGUGUACACUUUACCCACAAGUAGGGUACCGCAGCACGAUCACCGUAGUAUCAGUGCGGAUCCUAUCAAAGCCAUUACCCACCUUAGCUAAGACCUAAUAAAUCAUCAUGGAAGCAACCAUGGGGCUAAGGAACCUAUCAACGAGGUCGUAACUGGGACCUAAGCCUACACGUGCUUACUCCUUCUCCAUGAUCUCCCAUUGCUCACCCAGCACACCGAUGAUUAUUAGACUUGCUAGUGGGUUUUAUGCUAAGCCUUUGCCUCAUACAAAGGUCGAGUGGUUGCACGAUAAAUUGGGUUAGGCAAGAUGACACAUCAACUCGGUCCUUAACCAAGAUAAAAUGGAUAUCACCCAACCUGCUCAACCACUAAGGUACGAGCCCAACUUGGCAUUUCACAUAAGAAACACCCAUCCGUCUCAUCUAAGCAUUUUCUUCCUUUUACUUCCCGAAACCCAUUUAUCUCUUUAAAACACUCACACCUUUAUUCUUUGAUAAAUCACAUUGUAGUCAUAAUUGAAUUGUAAUAAAAUGAGUAACGAGGUCCUAAGCAUUCUAGCAGUAGUUAUCAUCCAAACAGAGCAUAUCAUAUUUAGAGAUAAUUCUAGGAUAUCAAGGAAUAAUCAUAACAAUCAAGGAGUGGCUAUCCAACUGGGUUUCAGCAAUAAAACAAUAUGCAACUUAUAAAACGGCCAAUAUGUUGUGUUUGAAAUAUUAGGAUAAAUAUGCAUCAAAGGGUGAGAUUGGACUUGCCAUCCUCAAAGCCUUCCGGGAGUUCCUGCUCGCGGUACGGGUCCUCGGACUCUGGCUCGCGGUACUGGCCUUCAAGCUCCUCUUCGGGCUCCUCCUCCUCGGUCACUCCGCGAUCUACGACACACACGAGCGUGCACACAAUAAAUAAACAAAAAUAAAUUUCUACCUGUUGAGCUCGGAGAGAGAGUGAACCGAAAAUAGAGGAAGGAAGAGUGUUUUCAUAGAAUUUGGUAGAUGACUCGACGGGAAUAUAUUUAAGAAUGACGUGGUCGAAUUUGGGGUUCAUAGGAGGAAAUUUGGUGCAUAAAAUGUCGGCGAGAAGGUGCUUAAGGGCUGGUUUUAAAGGGUCCCCAGAGACCUNNNNNNNNNNNNNNNNNNNNNNNNNNNNNNNNNNNNNNNNNNNNNNNNNNNNNNNNNNNNNNNNNNNNNNNNNNNNNNNNNNNNNNNNNNNNNNNNNNNNNNNNNNNNNNNNNNNNNNNNNNNNNNNNNNNNNNNNNNNNNNNNNNNNNNNNNNNNNNNNNNNNNNNNNNNNNNNNNNNNNNNNNNNNNNNNNNNNNNNNNNNNNNNNNNNNNNNNNNNNNNNNNNNNNNNNNNNNNNNNNNNNNNNNNNNNNNNNNNNNNNNNNNNNNNNNNNNNNNNNNNNNNNNNNNNNNNNNNNNNNNNNNNNNNNNNNNNNNNNNNNNNNNNNNNNNNNNNNNNNNNNNNNNNNNNNNNNNNNNNNNNNNNNNNNNNNNNNNNNNNNNNNNNNNNNNNNNNNNNNNNNNNNNNNNNNNNNNNNNNNNNNNNNNNNNNNNNNNNNNNNNNNNNNNNNNNNNNNNNNNNNNNNNNNNNNNNNNNNNNNNNNNNNNNNNNNNNNNNNNNNNNNNNNNNNNNNNNNNNNNNNNNNNNNNNNNNNNNNNNNNNNNNNNNNNNCCGGGGCGAGGCAAGGCGUGCGGGCGCAUGGCACGGCAUGGGCACAUUGGCGUGCGUGCGGGGGGAGGGGGUAGGGGGCAGGCGAGUGGUGGGCACGGGGUCGGGGGCGUGGUGCACUGCAUCUCGCGUGUGCGCAGUUGGGCAGGGCUGGCCGGGCGUGGGGAGGGUUGGACGCAGGGCUGGGGGCGCUGGAGGGAGAAGAAGGGAGGGAAAAGGAAGGGGAGAAAGAAAGAAGGAAGAAAGGAGGGAGAAAAAAAGAAAAGGGAAAAAGGAAAAUAGGGUAAAAAGAAAAAGAGAUGGAAUAAAUGGAAAAUGUAGAAUUGAAUGGUGUGAAGAGUUAAAAAGAGAGAGAAGGCAGGGAUUGCAGAAGCGGUCACGGGCUUGAGCAUGGUGAUCUUUCGACCGGCACGCAGUGUGGCUUGCAGAGAGGAAAAAGAAAAAGAAUAGACAGCAGUCGGCUUCGGUGCCGGGACGACGAAAUUGCCGGAAAGACGAAAUUUUGGGAGCUCAAGCGGUGAAAAGAUUUUUGAAAAAGAUUUUUAGUGAGUGAUUUAAUUUGGUGAAUUUUUGGGAUGUUACAUGAUCCAAGUGACCGCGCACUUGCCACCCGAGGCUACCUCAAUCCCACACUAGAGAAAACCUCCAAUGAGAGUGUCAAUAGCCUUGAUGGCCCAGGGUGUGAUCUCAAUUGCCAUAGAGAUGUAGACGGGGAUGGCACUAAGCGUCAUUUUGGCGAUGAUUAAGCGACCACUUCUAUUAAGCAUCCUAUCCUUCUAGGCUGGUAGGCGCUUCGCGACCUUAUCCACCAGUGGCUGCAUGGCCGCCUUCGGUAGAUGAUGGAUGGAGAAGGGUACCCCCAGGUAACUACAGGGGAAAUCCGCGACCUGACACCUCGGUAUGUCAGUGAUGAGGUGAACCUACUCCUCCGAACAAUGGAUUGGGAAUGCUUGACUCUUGGAGUAGUUGCCACCAACCCUGAGGCCUUAUGAAAUAAGGAUAGGAUCUCUCUAAUGAGAACGAGAUCCUAAGCGAUCGGAGAGAUGAAAAUGACCACAUUGUCAUCAUAAAGAAGCUCGCUGCUUGAUAGCUGCCGGACGCAGUGGUUGGAGUAGCUCCCUACCUUCCGCUUACUUGAGCAUGGCAUUAAAACACUCCAUGACGAGCACGAAUAGCAUAGGCGAGAGGGGAUCUUCCUACCUAAGCCCGCGACCAUGGCAGAUGCUUCUUCCAGGCAUCCCAUUAAGCAGAAUCUUGGUGCUUGCCGUGGAUAGCAACAUUGAGAUCUAGUUAGUCCAAGUCCUCAGGCAGCCAACUGCAGAGAGCAGCUCAAGAAGGAAGACCUAGUCGACCGAGUCAAAUGCCUAAGCGAGAUCAAUCUUGAACAUGACUCUCGGGAUCUUCGUCGACGCUAGCGCCUUCGCAGUCCACAAGACAUACCUGAAGUUGUCUCGUAUUUGGCAACCCUUAAUGAAAGCACUCUGAUUAUAUGAAAUAUGCUCAUGCAAAUGGGGUGCGAAGUGGUUAGCCAGUGCCUUAGAGAAGAUCUUCCCAAAGCUAUGGAUGAAACUGAUCGGUCUGUGAUCUCCAAGGCUUUUAGUAUCUUCCUUCUUGGGCAACAAAGUCAGCAAAGCAUUGUUCAAGCGAUGAAAACUUCUGCAGUCCAUCGAAGAUAGGGCAUUGAAAGCUCUAACAACAUCCCCUUUAAUAAUCGACCAAGUCGACAUAUAGAAUCGACCAAUGAAGCCAUCAUGACCUGGGACCAUGUCGAGAGGCAGUUCCUUAACUACCUCCCACACGUCGGCUUUAAUGAAGGGGCACCCCAACAAGGAGAGAUCCAAAGAUGGUAGUCCCCAAGCUUUGAAGUUGAUGGUGCAACCUCUAUUGUGGUUGGUCCUGAGGAUCACAUUGUCGUAGUUAAAUGCUGCCACUAUCUUGUCAUCCUUGGCUACGAUCAUCACCCCAUCAACCUCCAAAGAUGGGAUGAAGUUUUUCCUCCACCGCUGGUUUGCGUGCAGGUGAAAGAAAUUCACGUUUGCAUCCCCUUCAUGUAGCCACCGCAUACGCGCUGCCUUGCUAUGGUACGCUCAAGCAAGGUCAGGCCUAGGAAUCUAAUCUCUAGAAAGCGGCAAAGCGCUUGCUCCACCGCUAAAAGUGACCAGUGGUCCUGCGCCGACUCGAGGUGGAAAAUAACCUCCUUAGCGACCUGAAUCUAAGUUCAGAUGCUACCGACCGCCUUAGCACUCCAUCGCUUCAAACCCUUAUCUGUCUCACGAAGUAGGAAGUCGAUGGUGUGCAGUGGGUCAUCGAUCGGGCACGGACCAUUCCACGCAUCUUGAACUCCCUCUAGAUAACCAUCAAACUAGGGCCAUACAGCCUGGAACCUAAAAUGACGCUUAGGAUGGAACCCGUUAUCGAACUGAAGGAGCAACGGUGCAUGAUCAAAGCACCUGUGAUGACCGGCCCCAAAUCUCCCAGGUUGAUCUUUAUCCUAGCCCCUGAUCAUCUGUCUAGUUUGCCGCGCCUGAAAGUUCAACCCUCCGCCCGGUCCCGACCCCUGAGACCCGACCCCUCCCCGCUUCGCUCCGAUCCCGACCCCGCCAAACCCAGCUCACCGUCGGAUCCUUCUAAGUCUUUCCCAACCGUCCGUUCUAUCUGACCAGUGGACCCGCGAGAUCUUUUUCCCCAGAUCUUCCGCGGCAGGCGCACUCGAGUUGCAUGCUCGCUUCAGAGUCUUCCCGCCGCAUGGCUCAUCUUCUCCGACGCCCGCCGCUCAGCCUCAUCUCUAACCCGUGACCGAAUGGAUUCUCGCGCCCCCUUCCCCAAUGGCAGCGGAAGCCCCUCUGCAACCUUUCUGCAGCACCUCGCCUCCCGCGCCCAUCAUCACACCGCCAGAUCCCGGCUUCAGAGCCCGAUGUCGCCCGUCUUUUCCGUCACUUUGAGCACAGUAGCGCCGCCUGGUCUCCGCUACACGACGAUUCCUCCAUCGCCAACCCCGACCACGGCAGUGACAGCUCCUUUUCCCCGCCCUGUCAGAAGCCGCCCGACAAUCUGUUGCUCCGCGCUCGCCCGCGCGCCCGCAGCUGCAUGUCUUUUCACCUGUGCGCCCUCGAUUCUAGCGCCGUUAACCCGGUCGCGUCCAUCAAAUCUUCCGCACGGUGACGCCCGCCUCCGCCAAAUCUCAACCACCGGCAUACCCGCUCCUGCGCCGCCUUGACGCCAGAACCCAAUGACCGCUGGCGUCAUCUCCGAAGUCCUGCACCACCGCCCCCGUCGCUCAAUCGCCGCCCAGGCAGAGCACUCCAUUGCUUCUUCCCCGGCCUUCGCGCCGCUCCCCUUCUCGCUCCUACGCCGCUUCCCUUCCCCGUCCCAGCCGCUAUAAAAGGGAAUGCGCAAGCCCGCCGGAGUUCCCUCCGCCAUUGUUGCCUCCCGCCACCUCUCUUGCUCCCUGCUCAAGCUCCUAGCACCACACCCUAGAGUUCUUGAGGAACUCUCCUCUCAGCUCCCCUCCAUUUUCCCCAAGCCACCCAGCCGCUUGCUCCUCCGUGCUGCGUAAAAGCUCACUUGUGAUCCACAAGAAGCACCGCCGCCGCUGGAGCACUGCCGGUCUUAGCCGUUGUUCAAAGCCUUAGUCCCUCCGCCCAAGUCUGCUUCUUCCCGACCCCAAGCUUUCCUUGUAGGAAGAAGGUAAGCUGCUGACCCCAGUCCGCUUCGCCCGACCCCUCUUAUCCGCCCGACCCCGGUUCCGUCUUGCCCGACCCUAUCUGUUCCGCUGACCCUUAUCCGCCUCGCCCGAGGGCUCGGCUGUGAUCUUUUUUUUCAACCCGAGGGUGUAUGUGUAAAACUUAGGAACCCUUCAGCGCUUGCGUCUGAGGAUCCCUAGUAUACCACAUCCUCUAGUUCAAAGAUCAGAUCACAAGUUCCUUUCCAACCCUCACCUCUUGAUCUCCACUAGCUCCUUUGAACCUCCCCACCCUCCUGCUCUUUGUCGCGAGUUUCUGGGCUCAGGCGAGCAAGUGUUGCUGUUGAAAUAACCGUCUAUGCUAACUCUUGCAUUGCAUUCGUGUAGAGCUGUGCCUCGCCGACGGCUUCUACGAGCUACACCCGGCGCCAGAAGAUGACGCUGUAGCUGAACUCCUGCUCCCAGAAGCCGAAGCCGCCCCCGAAGUCGAGCAGUUCUCUUCCUCUUUGCUCGAAGGCAAGCCCCGGUUACAUGAAAACCCUGUGUCGUUUUCCAAACUUGCGCAUGCCUUCCUUAAAACAUGCUUGUGCAUUUACGUAUAGGAGUUGUUUGGAACCAUAGAUGCAUGACUUAGCUCCCCAUAUUUUGAACACUAGCUAUUGGACCGAGUAGCUGCUUUGCUAACUAGGAGACGGUAAAAGUCGAGUGAUUCCCUGUCACUUGCGAGUUGUAGGAGUUGGAUGUCUACCCUUCUGUUACAACUAUAAGGACGAUGGACGGGGCAGGGUUUUGGGUAACUCUUUGGUGGUUGGAUGAUCGCCCCGUCUGUUUAUGAAAACUUGCUAAGGCCCGACAGUGGUGGUGUUCGUGAUCAAGUGUUUGAAAGUACUAGCCUCAUACUUAGUAUGGGAUGAGGAAGCCUAGUACCGGAUUGAACCUAGACGUGAGCGGUCGCCCCAUUGUUCUUGGAACGGAGUUUCCCCUGCUGGAUGUCGCACGUGGUGGCAUGCGUGGUCACAGAACGGCAGAGGCCGGGUCUGUGGAACCUUGCACCAAAGGAAAUGGGCCCGACACGGGUUAGGGGAUUGAUGGGGAAGGCCGACACAGGAAGCGACCUCUAGGUGCGCGGAUGUCGUGAGGCUAGGUUCACCAUGCAUGGUUAAAGAACUCGAAUCGAUUCGUCUGCCUCUCACAGUUUGAGAUUGCUUGAUCGCUAUGUCACCCUGAGUAAAUGAGGAACCUGAUGAUGACAUGGAUUUGUUGAUAUACAUACCUUGUUUGGCUCUAUGAUUGCUUAGAAUAGUUUGCAAAACCUAGACUGGUUAAAGAACUUAUAAUCGGAGCUAAAACUUGAAAAUAAGGUUUACUUAGUGCUUUUGGCAAACAAACCUCUCAGCCAAAAAGCCCUGCAUGUCUACAAUGGUGGAGUAGUUUUACUCCUGUUGGUUAAGUCUUGUUGAGCUUAGUAGCUCAGCCUUGUUGUGGCUCCUGUUUUUCAGGUGAAGUUGCUGCCCCCGACCCUUCUCCUGCGGGCACUUGGCUGCCCCAAGUCCCUCCGGGUCGGACGGUCGAGUGGGAUCCCUCCUCGGACGGCGAGGAGAGGGAUCAGUGAUGUCCCGGCUGGCCUCACCAGGACGUCUGACCUCGACGAUGCUUCCGCUAGUGUUUUACCUUCUGUUGUUUUCCGAAAUCCUGUAAAACUCUGAUGUUCAUUUCGCAACUAAAUCCAGUGGUUAAUUUGUUAACUCGGAGGACUUGUUGUGCUCUCUGGAACCGCUCACCUUCGUGUGAGUCUGCUAAAAUGGUCCUGUUCAAGUGGUUAAAUCGGAGGAAAAUCCGACGGCACUUCGUGUUUACUCGGCUUAGGCAUGAGCGUCGCAUAUCAGGCGGCUAAAUCAUGUUUAACCAAGUAGAUCCGAAGUGGAUCCGCCACAGCUGGUAUCAGAGCGGUUUUAGCAGUACAGAGAACACAACAAGCCCUAAACACUUCUUUAAAAAGAUAAAAGUUGCAAGAAACUUUUUUGAAAAAUCUCGUACGAUCGUUAAGGAUGACUUUAGUGCGAGAGGCCCUAGGGGAUUUUGGGGUUGUUUUAGGUGACUAAUAUUUUACUUGGUUAUCUUGCUAACCCUUCCAGCACUUCGCCACGUCUAUCAUACGUGUGCCGAGUUCCGCAUCACGAGCAUGCGAAGGUUGAUAGGGAGUUCUAUUCAAAGGACCCUAUCAUCGUGGUUGUUCUCGCCCACGUCUAUCACACGUGCGCAGGUUCCGUAUGUAAUCCAUACGAAGGUUGGUACGGUUCGAUUCCAACGAACCUAUCAGCACGGUUGAUUCGCCACAUCUAUCAUACGUGUGCUGAUUCCGCAUCGCGAGUAUGCGAAGGGUUGUAUGGUUCCAUUCAAAGGGAACCUAUUUCCACGGUUGAGUGCUGUCCAUACAGCCUUAAACGCAUGGGUGCCGUUCCUAUAGUGAGCGGUAAUGUUUGGGAACGCUUUCGUGAGUGCUGGCACGAAAGAUUCGUGUGUUGGUGUUUUCUGCAGGUACGCUAACCGCGUUCGUUUAGAAGAUGUUGUUUGAAUCGACUAGCUAUUAUAGGGAGAGACGUACUUGUUGCCUUGUCACCGGCACUGAUCGCGUAAGACCCAGGUUUGGGCAGUUGUUUUGGUUAAGAGUAAGGUAGGCCGUGCAUGCGUCAUAACCAGAAAGCUGUAAGGUUUCCUUCUCAAAAGCAACCUUGUUUGGAAGAGUUCUUUUCGGUUCUAAGGAUUUCUAGUUUCUUCCAGUUGCUCUCGGUUACAGCCGAAUGCUUCUCUAUCCGACCCCUGACCCUUGGAGUCUAUCUCAUGUGGUUUUGGUUUCUUGGUUCCAGAUGGCCGUCCCCGGGCAUGUGUUAUUUGGAGCGGAUGGUACUUUCCAGUCGACAUGUCUGCAUUUCGAGGGUUUUCCCGCAAUUUUGUGGGACACGUUGAAAUGGUUUGGGUACCAGUCCCCACCAUUAUACGCCGGACGACUGUAUCUGGAGCAGGGUAUCCAGACGUGCCAUGUACAGGCGGUGGUACCUCCUCCCCCUGUGCGGCCCGACUGGCCCUCCUUUGGCAUAUCAGCCUACGGCCUUGCUCCGGAGGACACUUGGGAGUCUGCUGCUCUCCAGCUGCUCACCCAGUUUUGCCAGCUGCAUCCCCUAGAGAUCACGCUAGACCCUAUCGGCCUGUUCCCCGCCAGGAACCGGCUGGACCCGGCGUGGCUCGACCGCGUUGGGAAUAUUGAGGUGCUAGCCACCACGUACGCCAUGGUCACCAUCUCCACCAAUGUCAGGUGCAUGGCAGCCCUUUAUCGGAUGAUCGAGCUUCAAGGGAGAGCUAUGACCCUCUUCGCCCGGACCGCAGCGGAUGCUCACGGGUACCUCCAGUUAGCUAGGAGAGAUAUGGUAGGCCAAACCUACCAGCUUAUCCAACGGGGUAUCCAGAUCCACGACAUGCAAGACCGGAUCUCCGAGCUCGAGGGAGAAGUCGCCGACCUAGUGGACGGCAUGAUCGAGCUGUCGGAGGAGAAGAUGGAGAUAGAGAUGGAGCUGGCAGUUGCCAAUGCUCACUUAGAGGAGCAUCAAGCUGAGCUCGACGAUAUGCAUACCCUCAACAUGCAGCUCGAAGCUCAAGAGGACCCCGAGGAGGACGAAGGAGCGUCCAGCAUGGACAUCGAGGAAGAUGACGCCCCUUCUCCUACUCAUAGUGUCCAUUUGUAGAUUAAGAGUUCUCAGGGAAUCAUUCUUUUGUUGUACUCGUCGGCAGCCUAAAUUUUGGAAAGAUUGUAAUAGGUUAGCCUUGAGUCGAGUACUCCCUGUGUUGGAACACCGCUGUAUAUAAAGUCAAUUCUGGUGCCUGGUCUUUAACCCUUGCAAGUGUUGGAAUACUAGGCUAAGUGAGUUACGCCGUGACCACACGUUGUUUUCUGGGAGUCUGUUCAGUUGGCCGACCCCUUUUUAAUGUGGAUCGUUGCCGACCCUUUUUCUCAGGAGGAUCGCCUAGCCCGACCCCUUGGCUUAAGUUGGAUCAUAGGAGUCUGGGUAGGGUAUGAUUCGCCUGAAGUUGAGUACAAGGCUCAGAAAAACGCUAACAAACAUGAGUAUGGGAAAAGUGUAUCUCCUCUAUGAGGACGUGUGUGGCAUUAAUCGGCAAGAGUUGCAUUGGAGGAUUUAACUUAUACGUUCCAUUUGUUGGAGUACUUCUAAGAUUAUGAAUUUAAUGGAACGCUAACUCUUGCAGAUGGCGCAUCGCACCAGGUCUGGUUCUGUGCCCGGCAGUAGCGAGCAGCGACAGGAUCUUGCCCCACCCCCACCCUCAUCUCCACUAGAGGCAAUCCUGGCAACUCAAACUGAGCUGCUAAGGCAUCUUGUACAAGGGCAACAGCAGCAGCCCCAUGGUGGAAGGGCUCAGCAGCAGCCGCAUGUGGCUCGCUAUGAGGACUUUUUGGGGACACAGCCCCCUUUGUUUCAGAAGACCCAAGAACCGCUUGACGCCGACGUCUGGGUUCGUACAAUCAAAUCCAAGUUCGAGCUUCUCACCGCCCCAUGCCCCAAUCAUAGCAAGGCUCGAUUCGCAGCUCAACAGUUGCGUGGCUCCGCACGGCUUUGGUGGGAACACUACCAUGCCAUGCUGCCGGCUUGCCAUGUGGUCAGCUGGAAUGAGUUCAAGACGGCGUUCAAAGCGCAUCACAUUUCGGAAGGUCUCUUAGAGCGCAAGCUCAACGAGUUCCUGGCCCUUACCCAGGGAACCCGAGAUGUGCUGCACUACGCUCAAGCCUUCAACGACCUGUGCCGUUAUGCCGGCUACCAUGCGGACACGGAUGAAAAGAAGCGGGACCGAUUUCGCCGAGAGCUGAGCUUGGAGCUCAGGGAAAGGUUGAACCCCAUCAAGGUAGACACCUACAAUGAGUUGGUCAAUCUGGCCAUCUCUCAAGAGGAUUGCAUGCAAGCUCUUAAGGCCGACCAGAAGAGGAAAGCCUUCGUGGCAUUUCCGAGCCAGCCGACCCGAAGGUUCAGGAUGGUUCCUCCACAAGCCCCCAGCCGACCCCAUCAGUCAGGAAGGUGGAUUGCCCGACCCCCACCAGCAGCAGUGCCCCGUUUCCCCGGCUUCCAACCAUAGGUGCCCCGGCUGACCCCACCAGCACCACCCUGCCCUGCAGCUAGUAGCCGCUAUUUUACCUGUGGCAAUGAAGGGCAUUUUGCCAAGGACUGCCCCAGGAACAAGAAUCAACAGCAAGGCCAAAACCCCAUGGCAAAUAGAGGAAGAAGGCCCAAGGUGCAAGUCCGACAAGGCCGACUCAACUACACCAGCUUGACCGAGCUCCCCGAAGGUGCGCCAGUAAUGACGGGUACUUUCCUUGUUUUAAAUCAAGCUGUUGUUGUGUUGUUUGAUUCGGGAGCCUCUCAUAGCUUCAUCGGGAGUAAGGCUAGAGAAAGAUGUGAGCUGGAUGUUGGUCACACUAAGGAAUCUUAUGUGAUCGCCACUCCUGGAGGGAAGAUAGCAUCAGAUCAGAUCGUUACUCUUGUACCUCUCCAGCUAGGCCCGACCCUCUUCAAGGAAAACCUUAUCAUCCUUGACCUAGAAGGCAUAGAUGUCAUCCUUGGGAUGGAUUGGAUGGCCCGACAUCAUGUGGUUUUAGAUACAGCAGCCCGAUCUCUCUACAUCAGCUCACCCUUCCAUGGCAGUUCUAUCCUAUCCUUGACACAUCCUAAGUCUGCACUUCCUUGUGCAUACCCUCUGCCGGGAGCCCGUCUAGAAAGCCUCCCUGUUAUCUGUGAGUACCCUGACAUGUUUCCGGAGGACUUGCCUGGUAUGCCGCCUGAUAGAGAGGUGGAGUUUUCCAUAGAGUUGGUCCCUGGCACCGCACCGAUAUCUAAGAGACCCUAUCGGAUGCCACCUGCUGAGUUGGCCGAGUUGAAGACCCAGUUGCAUGAUCUGUUGGAAAAAGGCUUCAUCCGACCCAGCACAUCAUCUUGGGGUUGCCCUGCCCUGUUUGUGAAGAAGAAGGAUGGCAGUCUACGCAUGUGUGUGGACUACCGACCCCUUAAUGCUGUGACCAUCAAGAAUAAGUACCCACUGCCACGCAUUGAUGUCUUGUUUGAUCAGUUAGUCGGAGCAAAAGUGUUCUCCAAGAUCGAUCUUCGUUCUGGUUAUCACCAAAUCAAGAUCCGACCCUGCGACAUACCCAAGACAGCCUUGUCCACGAGAUAUGGACUAUACGAGUACCUGGUCAUGUCCUUUGGACUCACCAAUGCACCCGCCUAUUUCAUGUACCUCAUGAACUCGGUGUUCAUGCCCGAGCUGGACAAGUUUGUGGUGGUGUUCAUUGAUGAUAUCCUAGUGUACUCAAAGAGCGAAGAAGAACAUGCCGAUCAUCUUCAUGUAGUUCUCCAACUGUUGAGAGAUCACCAACUCUAUGCCAAGUUCUCCAAGUGUGAGUUUUGGUUAGGUAGUCUCAAGUUUUUGGGACACACUAUCUCCAAGGAUGGUAUAGCCGUCGACCCCAGUAAGGUACAGGAAGUUAUGGAAUGGAAGCCUCCUGCCUCAGUGCACCAGAUCAGAAGUUUCCUUGGACUGGCAGGCUACUAUCGGCGCUUCAUACCGGAUUUCUCUAAGAUAGCUAAGCCCAUGACAGAGUUGUUGAAGAAGGAGGCCAAAUUCGUGUGGAACGACAAGUGUAAAGAAGCCUUCAAUGACCACAGCCCUAGUUUUGGCUCAGCCCGACCCUUCUAGGCCGUUUGAUGUGUACUGUGACGCCUCUGGCACUGGACUUGGGUGUGUUCUUAUGCAAGACAACCGAGUCAUUGCCUAUGCCUCACGAGCAUUACGACCUCAUGAGCUGAGCUACCCAACCCAUGACCUUGAGCUAGCAGCAGUGAUACAUGCCUUAAAGAUAUGGAGACACUAUCUGAUGGGCACCCAUUGCAACAUAUAUACCGACCACAAGAGCCUCAAGUACAUCUUUACUCAAGCCGACCUCAAUAUGCGCCAGAGAAGAUGGUUGGAGUUGAUAAAAGACUAUUGUUGGGGGGAAAUAUUAACAAUCCCCUAAGACACCACUUAAGGAAGCGGACACAGAGGCCCAGGCCCACCUAGACGUGAUAAAAGCUCCGCCUCGCCUGACCAAGACGCCAGGAUCGGGAACGUCCGACCCCCCUCCGCAAAGUUUCCGCCUCGCCCGACUGCGACCCCGGGGUCGGGGGCGCCCGACCCCCCGUCACGAAGUUCCGCCUCGUCCGACCCCAAGCGAAGGGGUCGGGCGCGCUGGGGCCCCCGGGGCAGGUAUCCCCCUCGGAUACGGUCCAGAUGGGCGAGACAGACAAAAUCCUAUGGGUCCCCCCGUCGGCCUCGCCAUAAAUGCGCCGCAGGCCUGGCAGAGGGAAGGACGACCGCGCUCCUCAUGCAACCCGACACAAGUUACCGUGCACGACCGCUCUGUGCAGGCUACAGUGCCGGCGGCCGACUCCCGUUCGCCGCAGGGUACUCAUGGCCUGCGCCGGUCGAAGCAAAGGAGCGACCGGCCUGUCCUCCGGCCCCACGCACCCUCGGGUUCCGCGCGCCCAGCAACGCGGAUGUGACGCUCUCUCUCUCUCUCUCAGGAGCCAUCGCCUGUGCAACAGCAUCCACCGUCCUCCCUAACGGACGCUGGGGUAAUGACAGAACGCCCUCAUCAUAACCUGAUGCCUACGAGUAUCGAACGAGCUAUCUGUAGGGAGCAACAACACUUGGCGUACGGUGGCCUCCCCCUCCGGCAUGCGCGCCGGCGUUCAACCAGGGCCGGCAGAGGCAUCGGUCGCCUAGGAUCUUGCCCCUCCCACCUGCCAUACUUUUUUACCAUUCUACGCUUUUACUCUUUACAGUCCUCUUUACCCAAUCCCAACUGUAACUCCGGCCACCCCCCUUGCGAUAUAAAAGGCGGAACCCAGGGCCGGAGAGGGGAUCGGCUUCUUCUCCCACAAGCCACAGCACACAACAACUCUCCCGGAGAGCACAAGCACAAAGGAGACUUGGGACCAGUCCCUCUCUCGUCGAUCUGUUACCCCCUACUACAGAACCCCGCGUGGGCAAUACUAGCAUCCUCGAUACUGGACGUAGGGCUUCCCUUGCCCGAACCAGUCUAAACCAGUGACUCCCACGCAACCACCUGAGGCUUACGCGCAUAAAAGAAAUUUACUAGUCUAAGUCUUGAUCUGUCAAUCUUGACAACGACAGUUGGCGCGCCAGGUAGGGGACCUUUGCGCGUACAUCUCCAGCCCCAGAUGGCCAAUUACGAUAGCAGCUUCGCUCCGGGCUCCCUGAUCCGUUUCGGGAGCCUGGACUUCCUCGCCACCGGGGAAGGGAUCGAGCUGAUCCCUGUCCUCGUCUUGCCCGCUCGUCCUGCUGCCCUCGGCCCCGCUGCCAGGACAACGGCGAGCGGCCAGUCGCAUACCGGAAGGACCUAAACAGGGGGACAGCCCUUCGGGCUACGCAACGCCACAGGGGCUUACGGACGCCUCCUAGCGCGGUCCUUGACCACGUCGCCCGCGAGCAACGAGCUCGUAGGCGCGGCGAGGACAAUCUCUGACGCUGGCUCUAGCAGCGGGAGUCCCCACCCCUCGCGUGAGUGCCUUGUGGUCGACGCGCACUCCGAGGGGUCCAACGGCGAUGGAGCCAAGGGGAGACAACGGGUUCCCCCCUCGCGCGCCGCGGCCACAACUGGAGCCUUACCAAGGGCCCCGGAGGGCUCACGACAACAAGAAGCGCGCGUGGGCGCCCGCCAAGAAGUAGAGCACCCCCACCACGAGGGGGGAGCGCGACAACGGGCGCGCGAUGUCCAGGAACGCAUCUGCGCGGACGGAGAGCGUCCGCCGCUCUUUGCCUGCGCUAGCCAAAACGUCGCAGCCGCGGCGGUGUUGCUCUGACAGCUCCCCGAACCGGCGACGCCUGAAGAGCGACGGGCACGCCAAGAGAUGCGCAACCUGCUCGAGUGCGCCGCCGUCCAGUAGGUGGAAAGUUCGUCGUCCCGACGACGCGGGCAGAACACCAGCCGGGCAACGCAUGACGCGCCCCCUGAACGGCGGGGGGAAUCUAUCCAUCAACCCCCUCCGGGGGCGAAUCAGGCCGCGUCCGCCCGACGGACCCCGCCACCCGCGGAAGGCGAGGCUCGAUCUGUCCACCAGUGCGUCGGUCUUGUCCGCGACGCCCGCGACACCCUGAACGCGCGGAGACGCUCCCGCGCGGGCAGGGAAGAUGGGGCAGAUCGAGGCUACCACGUCCACCGUGGCGGGCGCUACGACAGCGGGGAAGACCGUAGCCCGAGCCCGGAAACGGCUAGGCCACGGGCCUUCUCCGCGCGCAUCCUAAAUGCGCCUUUUUCGCCGCGCUUCAGGCAACCCACGAGUGUAGCCAAAUACUCAGGGGAGACAAAUCCUGGAGUAUGGCUCAGCGAUUACCGGCUUGCAUGUCAAGCCGGCGGAGCGGAUGAUGACCUGUUUAUCAUCCGCAACCUACCCCUUUUUCUGGCAGACUCCACGCGAGCUUGGCUAGAACAUAUCCCUUCGGGACGCGUUCGCAACUGGAAUGACCUAAAAGAAGUUUUCAUAGGAAACUUCCAAGGGACGUACACGCGCCCCGGCAACUCCUGGGAUCUCCGAAGCUGUCGUCAGGGGGCGGAGGAGUCCCUCCGGGAUUACAUCCGGCGCUUCUCCAGAAAGCGCACCGAGCUCUCCAACGUCGUGGACGCCGACGUCAUAGGAGCCUUCCUAGCAGGGACCUCUUGCCGGCCCCUCGUCCACGAGCUGGGGCGCCGAGGCCCGCGAACCACGGAAGAGCUCCUCAAUAUCGCCACUAGCUACGCCUCUGGCGAAGAGGCUGUCGGAGCGAUCUUCGAUCGUUCCAAAGGCAAGGCGAAACGAGAAGAGGAUGCCGACGAGGGCACUUCCAACCGCCAGCAGAAGUAGAAGGGCAAGCAGCGGCACGAGGCCCCCCUCGUGGCUGCGGUCGAGCGCAAGCGGGGGCAGCCGCCCCCCGAAGGCGCCCCCGGCUUUUUCGACAAAUUGCUCGAGGGACUGUGCCCGAACCACGAGUUCCCCGUCAAGCACGCCUACAAAGACUGUAACCUCAUGAAGAGGUACUUCGUGGGCAACCCGGUGAAAGGCGACCGGAAGCGGAAGCCCGAUGAGGAAAAGAAGGGCGACGAAGAGAAGGAAGACGGCUUCCCUAAAGUCGACGGCUGCUUCAUGAUCUUCGGUGGCUCCGCAGCGUACGACGCCAAGCGCCAGCAAAAGCUGGAGCGCCGGGAGGUCUACUCGGCCGAGCCUGCGAUGCCGGCCUUCCUCGACUGGUCCGAGUCGGCCAUCACCUUCGAUAGGUCCGACCACCCUGGACGCGUUCGACAUCCGGGGCGUUACCCCCUCGUCGUCGACCCCAUCGUCGGCACGACGCGCCUCACCAAGGUACUCAUGGAUGGGGGCAGCGGCCUCAACCUCCUCUACGCCGAGACUCUCGACACUAUGGGGAUCGAUCGCUCCCGCCUCCGUCCCAGCAAGGCACCCUUCCAUGGCGUCGUCCCAGGGAAGCAGGCGAUGCCUCUCGGGCAGAUCGACCUGCCCGUUACGUUUGGGACCCCUUCCAACUAUAGGAAGGAGGUCCUCACCUUUGAGGUGUUGGGGUUUCGCGGAACCUACCACGCCAUCUUAGGACGACCGUGCUACGCGAAGUUCAUGGCAAUCCCGAACUACACCUACCUCAAGCUCAAGCUGCCAGGGCCCAACGGGGUCAUCACCGUCGGCACGACCUUCCAGAAGGCAUAUGAGUGCGACGUGGCGUGUUGCGGGUACGCAGCGGCCAUCACUGUCACGAGCGGCAUGGCGGUCCAGCUUGUUGUGGUGAUCGAAGAUCAGCCCGACGCCAAGCAGUCGAGCACCUCCUUUGAGCCCACCAAAGGUAUCAAGGAAGUCCCCCUCGAUCCCGGCUGUUCCAAUGGUGGGGUUGUGCGGAUCAGCGCGGCCCUAUCCCCCAAAUAGGAAAGCGCGCUCGUCGACUUCCUCCGCGCGAAUAGCGACGUCUUCACGUGGAAGCCCUCGGACAUGCCAGGCAUCCCGAGAGAACUCGCCGAGCAUUCCUUGAACAUCAGGGCCGGCUCCAAACCAGUGAAGCAAGGCUUGCGCCGUUUCGACGAAGAAAGGCGCAGGGCCAUUGGUGAAGAGCUCCAGAAGCUCCUGGCGACCGGGUUCAUCAAGGAAGUGCGCCACCCCGAGUGGCUGGCCAAUCCUAUCCUUGUACCAAAAAAGAACGGGAAAUGGAGGAUGUGUGUCGAUUAUACCGGUCUCAACAAAGCGUGUCCAAAGGAUCCGUUUCCUUUGCCACGCAUAGAUCAAAUAGUCGACUCAAUCGCCGGGUGCGAGACCCUCAGCUUCCUCGACGCAUAUUCCGGCUACCAGCAGAUCGCGAUGAAGGAGGCCGACCAGCUCGCUACCUCCUUCAUCACCCCCUUUGGUCCCUACUGCUACAUUAAGAUGUCGUUCGGCCUCAAAAACGCGGGGGCUACCUUCCAGCGAUGCAUGCUGAAGUGCUUCGGAGAUCUCAUCGGGCGGACCGUUGAGGCCUACGUCGACAACAUCGUGGUUAAAUCCAGGAAGGGCGACCAGCUCAUUCCCGACCUGGAGCUAGCCUUCGAAAGGCUGAGGGAUAAGCGAAUUAAGCUCAAUCCCGAGAAAUGUGUGUUCGAUGUCCCAAGGGGCAUGCUGUUAGGCUUCGUCAUCUCUGUGCGCGGCAUCGAGGCAAACCCGGAGAAGAUAGCGGCCAUCAGCGAUAUAGGGCCAAUCCGGAACAUAAAGGGAGUGCAGCGCGUCAUGGGAUGCUUAGCAUCCCUAAGCCGCUUCAUCUCGCGCCUCGGCGAGCGAGGUCUUCCUCUCAAUUGGCUCCUGAAGAAAUCUGACCGCUUCGAAUGGACCAGCGAGGCCCAGGAGGCGCUUGACCGACUCAAGGACCUCCUAACGAAGGCCCCAAUUCUAGUCCCGCCCACCGACGGCGAGUCCCUCCUGCUCUACGUCGCGGCGACCACCCAGGUGGUUAGCGCGGCCCUGGUAGUGGAGCGGGAGGAGGAGGGGCACGCUCUUAAGGUACAAUGCCCGGUGUACUUCAUCAGCGAAGUCUUGUCCGAGUCCAAGACACGAUAUCCACAGAUCCAGAAGCUCGUCUACGCCGUCCUUAUCACGAAGAGGAAGCUGCGUCACUACUUCACCUCCUACCCGGUAACGGUCGUUUCAUCAUUCCCGCUUGGUGAAGUAAUCUAGAACCCAAAUGCUACAGGAAGGAUCGCGAAGUGGGCGCUUGAGCUUAUGGACCAGGGUAUCACCUACGUCCCCCGCACCGCCAUCAAGUCCCAGGUACUUGCCGACUUCGUGGCGAAGUGGACGGAGGUACAAGCACUGUCGGUGCCAGAAGAGCAGGAGUACUGGACGAUGUACUUCGACGGGUCACUGAUGAGGGCCCGCGCCGGAGCAGGCCUCGUCUUCGUCUCUCCGUUGGACGUGCGCAUCAGGUACAUGAUCCGCCUCCAUUUCCCUGCAUCCAAUAAUGUCGCUGAGUAUGAAGCCCUACUCAACGGGCUCCGCAUCGCCAUCGAGCUGGGUAUCCGUCGGCUAGACGUCCGGGGCGAUUCCCAGUUGGUCGUCGAGCAAGUCAUGAAGGAGUGGAGCUGCCACGACCCCAAAAUGGCAGCCUACUGCAACGAGCUCCGUAAGCUCGAGGGCAAGUUCGACGGGUUGGAGCUCAACCACGUCGCAAGGCGCUACAACGAAGCCGCUGACGAGCUGGCGAAGGCGGCGUCCGGUCGGACGCCCGUCCCCGACGGCGUUUUCGUUAGCGACCAGUUGAAGCCUUCAAUCCGUUACCUUCGCUCAUCAAAACUUACUGACGCACCCGGCAACGCAUCCUAAGCUUUCGAGCCCAAAGGAAUAACAGAGGGAAUCGGGUUCUUUCAUGCAACGGAAAGUCAUAAGAACAGGCCUGUAUGGCCGAUGCAAAAUGAGUUCAAAGACUAACAUAAUUACAAACUUUUUGGGGCGCGAGCCCGGUACAGCUUACUUGCAGAGGGGUCCCGGAGGGGCGGCUUCAUCCUCCAGGAGCUUCGCGAGGGCCUCCGCCGGUGCAGUCACCGAGGCAUCGAUCUCGUCCAGCUCAGCUUCGGUGUAGCCCGCGCAGUACCCUUCACUCAUCCCGGCAAAGUUGAUGCCGGAAUAGUGAGAGCCGAAGACCCCGAAGGCUCGCCGCACGCCAAGGUGAAGCGCGUCCACGGCGAUCUCGCGACGGUGACGGCGCACCUCGAGGACACGAGCCGACAAAGAGCUCGACCCCUCCUCCGGAGCUACGCCAAAGUCGUCGCAGACGACACGAACCGCAUCUCGCAGGGCACCGUGCUCGCCGCGCUCCUCGUCGAGCAGACCCCGCAACUUGGCGUUUUCACCUGCAGAAACCAUCCAGAAAAUCCCACCGAGUCAAAGAAUAGAACACAAACGACACAAGAACGCAGGAACGGAAAAAACCUCACUGUCGGCCUGGGCCUUCAACUCACGCUCCCGGUCGGCGCUGCGGGACACGGCGGACUGAAGCCCCUGCACUUGCAAGCGGAGUUGAUCGUUCUCCGUGCGGAGGGCUCCACGCUCCCCCCUCAGCUGCGCGAGCUCCUCGGCGUCACGGCGGGCCCUCUCAGCAGUAGCUUUAAGCCCCUCGGCAUCGCGGCGGGCCCUUUCCGCGACGGCCUGGAACUCCUCGAGGUCGAGGCGGGCCUUCUCGGUGAUGGCUUGGAGCCUGGCCUCCGCACGCCGCGCCUCCUCCGACGUCGCCCGUUCACGCCCCUGCAGGUCGCGGAUGACCCCCUUGGCGGCGCCAAGUUGCAGGGACAGGUCCCUGGUGCGCUCCCUCUCGGUGUUGAAGCGCUCCCAGAGACCCUGCUGUCGCCGGAGGAAAUCGGAUUUCCCCCGACUGCCCUCUUGGAGAACCUGCAAAGCAACACGUCGUUAAGGAAAAAGGCAGAAAGGAGGUACUCAUCACCAAAUAGUAGAAGCAACAUACCUGGCUGCCAGGGAGGACGGUGUUGCCUAGAACUCCCAGCGCCGAAGUCAAAGCCGCCUGGACCUGGGCGACGCCGCCCUGCACCGCCUGCCACCUGUGCCACUCGGUGGCGGCGUCCAGCGCGAAGAGAUGCCUCGGCGGGUCAUCGCGGGAUGACCAGCGGAGGACGGACCCUCUCCACGCCCUCGGGACGGAGGAAGCCGAGGCCGAGGCAGGAGCCGACCCUGACGCUGCCGCCGCGGUCGGCACCAUGGCACUAGAGGCCGCCGGGUCCACCGGCGGCCCCGGCACCUGCACGCUCGUCGCCACCGAGGCCGUAAGCGGUAUCGCGGUGGGCACCUCCGCCUCAGCCGCCGGAGGCACUCCCACGGGGAUGACCGGGGCGGAGGUCCCUGCCUCCGUCACUACUGCCUCCGCCACCGCACCCCCGGGAGCAGGCGCUCCCUCCGCCUCGGAUCCCGCCACGACUGCAGGGGCAUCCAGCCUACCUCCCGUCACCGCCGCCUCCUCUGCCUCGUUGGCGUCGAGGUCGAUCACCUCACAGGCCUGAGAGCCCGAGGGGAUCGCACCCGGAGCUGAAGGGGCGACCGGAGGAACCGAAGGCGGAGUAGAGUCCGCUCCUCCUCCCGCCGCUGACGCCGCCGUCGCUUCGCCAGCCGCCGCCGCAGGGGCCACCUCCGCGGGGGGAUCCGCGGCCGCACCAGGAACCCCGCCGCUUGCCGCGGGCGGAGUCACAGCCCGCCCCCCGGAGAAGGCCGACAACCGCAGCGCCUUCUUGGGCGCCAGCUGCAGGGUGAGGCCACAGGGAGAAGUGCUACACAUCGACGGCCAGGCGUCAGCAGAAACGAACGAAAAAAGAAGAGAAGAAUGACACACAGGGAAAGCCAACUUACGCCCUCAAAGCGCAAGGGCGGCGCGCGCGCUUCGGCUCGGAGCCGGACGCCGACCCCGGAGCAUCCGGAAACGGCCGCUUGUCGCUGCCUCGCUGCUCUCCGGCAGCGGGCACAGCAGUGGAGGCGGGCUCCACGGACCCCCGAGGAGCGCCCCGAGCAGACUCCUGGGGAGCGCCCCGCGCCGGGCCCAAAGCUGCGGCGGGGGCAGGCUCAGAAGCCCCCCGAGGGGCGCUCCGUGUUGACACCAGGGGGGCAUCCCUUGCCGACCCCGGGGGAGCGUCCCGCGCCCGCUCCUGGGGGACGCCCUGAGCCGACCCCGGGGGAGCGUCCCACGCCCGUUCCUGGGGGACGCCCUGCGCCGACCCCUGGGAGGCGUCCCGCACCUGCUCCCGGGGGACGCCUUGCGCCGACCCCUGGGGGGCGGUCCGCGCCAGCUCCUGGGGCGCGCGCUGUGCUGGCCCCUGAGGCAAAGCCCCAGGGCCUGGAGGAGCAGAAGCCCGGGUGGAUGCCUCCCCCGCUUCACCUCCCGCGGCCGUCUGCGGGGGCGCCUCACGAAUCACCAAGGCCCCUGAACGGGGGGCAACCAGCUCCUCCUCCCCCUCUUCAUCAUCUUCUUCAUCUUCAUCAUCCUCGCCAUCGUCGUCGUCGUCGUCUGACACGACCGACCCCCUCCGCCACCGCUGGAACUCCUUGGCGGACUUCUUCUGCCUCCUCGCUGUCUCCUUGUCCUUGCGGCGCUUCUGCGCCUCGGCCUGGAGACGAUUGCGAGCCCUCCGGUCGGCAUCUUCCGGCACCGGCGGAAGGGAGUCCGCGACCCGGGUCAGUGAGCCCUGCAAACACAAAACAGCUCCGCGUCAGAACAACAAAUAGCAGGACACAAAGAAAGGAAGACGACGUCCAAGCUCCUUACCAGGUCUAUGAAGCCCGGCUCCGGGCGCAUCGGCGGGUGCCCUGGAAUCGGGUACUCGACGUCCCUGUCCUCCAGCGCCUCCCGAAGCCGUUGCCGGAUCUCGGAGGCGGCAAGCGCGCCCGUCGCCAAGGUGGUUCCCUCGGUCGGCGCGUCAGGGGUCAUGGCGCCAAGCGGCCGGAGCCGGAGCAUCAGCGGCGCCACCCGCCGAGCGUGGUACGCCCCGAUGACCCCGGCGCCGGUGAGCCCAUUCCUCUUCAGCUGCUCGAUGGCCUGCAGCAGGUCGGAGAACCGCUUCUUCUCCUUCUCCACCGGCCCGUAUGCCCAUACCUCUAGCGCCGCGUCGAUGGUGCGGCCGGUGAAAGCCGACAGGGGGGAGUCCGGGUAGCUCCUCACGUAGAACCACUGGUUGUGCCACCCCUUGUGGGAUGCCGAGGUCUUCACCGUCAUAUACUCCUUGGAGCGAGUAUGAUGGAGAUGGAUCCCAGCGCACCCGAUCGGCACCGGAGGCGACCGCUGCUGGCUCCCGGCCUUCCCCGACUUCUGGUACAGGCUCACCGUGAAAAAGUAUUUCCACAGCGCGAAGUGGGGCUCGAUGCCCAAGAAUCCCUCGCACAGCGCGACGAACGCCGCGAUGUGCUAGAUCCCGUUGGGGUUGAGGUGCUAGAGCUCGAGCCCGUAGUGGUGGAGGAGCCCGCUGAAGAAGCGGCUCGGGGGAGAAGCGAAUCCCCGCUCAUGGAAAUGAGCGAAGGAGACGACGUAGCUGGGGGGAGGCGACGGAACUUGCUCCGUCCCCUGCAGCUCCCACUCGCCCGCCACCGUCCUCUCGCAGAGGAGACCCUUUCGCACUAGGCCCUCGGCGCGAGAGGAGGUGAAAUGAGAAACUCCCCAGGAACCCAUCGCCGGAGGAGGGAGGAGAUCGACGGAGACGGGAAGAAGAGCGCGCGGCUGGGAGCGGAGGAAACAAGGCAAGCGCGGAUGAACUAAGCGUGAGGCUGGAAGGCAAGAAGGCUCGAAUGCGAAAGGAAAGUGGAACCGGCGUGACGAACUCUUGCUUUUAUAAGAAAAGUACCGGGGAAGCCAAAUCGAUGCCCCGGCCGCCAUAAAUGCAGCGCCAGGUACGCCCCCGCCACGCCCGUUUCCUUUUCGAAAACCGCGCGCAUGAUCGGCCGCGAAAACAUCCUAUCCUCCUCGAUUCGCGGGACAGCGCUUCCAUAACUCCACUUCCCGGGUAGCGCGCCCACGACGCCCCCCACGUUCGGCCCAGGUGCAACAACCGCUCCGCUCCGGCCCAAGGCCCACAGGGAGGUAAGAAAGGGAUACGGGGCUGAAAACGCCCCUACGGCCCAUUACGGUCCAGAGGUUCAAAAGCUAGCCCAACACGGGUUCGACAGCUGCCUCAGGACAUCCCCCGAGCAAGGGGUGAGAAGGGACGGGUCCGCUAGUGGCCAAUACCCAGGCGAGCGAAAGCCAGGGGCGUCCCCACCUCACGUUCGAGUCCCGACCGGUAUAAAAUUCAUGGUUUUUCCACGGGGAAAGGCAACGCGCCCCCAGAUCCGGUGGAACGGAUCCGGGAACUAUAUGAACUGGCCGGCGGGAAAUUGGAGUACGCCACCAGCUUGGCCCGAGCCGGACCCCCCCCCCCCGAACGGGGACCGGGACUCCACUCGAACCUACCCGUUUGCAGCUCAAACGAGCACCACGGUUCGUCCAACGCGGAUAACAUGGCCCGGCUCAACCCCUCCGUCCUAGCGAACGGACGCUUGAGGGGCAACGAUCAAAAAGUCGACCUAGCCUCCCGAUCGGUUUCCUGCAAUGAACAGGAGCUCGGGGGCCAGUUUCGCAAACAACUACCACACGUGUGGUCACAAAUUGCAGGUUCCCCCAGCCAGGCUGAGAUAAAACAAGCGCGCCAUAACACAGAGCCCGCGGUGAAACAGCGAAAGAAGCCUCCGGAGGAGCACUUCUGCUCCACCACAGGCUCGGGGGAUACUGUUGGGGGGAAAUAUUAACAAUCCCCUAAGACACCACUUAAGGAAGCGGACACAGAGGCCCAGGCCCACCUAGACGUGAUAAAAGCUCCGCCUCGCCCGACCAAGACGCCAGGAUCGGGAACGUCCGACCCCCCUCCGCAAAGUUUCCGCCUCGCCCGACUGCGACCCCGGGGUCGGGGGCGCCCGAUCCCCCGUCACGAAGUUCCGCCUCGUCCGACCCCAAGCGAAGGGUUCGGGCGCGCUGGGGCCCCCGGGGCAGGUAUCCCCCUCGGAUACGGUCUAGAUGGGCGAGACAGACAAAAUCCUUUGGGUCCCCCCAUCGGCCUCGCCAUAAAUGCGCUACAGGCCUGGCAGAGGAAAGGACGACCGCGCUCCUCACGCAACCCGACACAAGUACCCGUGCACGACCGCUCUGUGCAAGCUACAGUGCCGGCGGCCGACUCCCGUUCGCCGCAGGGUACUCAUGGCCUGCGCCGGCCGAAGCAAAGGAGCGACCGGCCUGUCCUCGGGCCCCACACACCCUCGGGUUCCGCGCGCCCAGCAGCGCGGAUGUGACGCUCUCUCUCUCUCUCUCUCAGGAGCCAUCGCCUGUGCAACAGCAUCCACUGUCCUCCCUAACGGACGCUGGGGUAACGACAGAACGCCCUCAUCAUAACCUGACACCUACGAGUAUCGAAGGAGCUAUCUGUAGGGAGCAACAACACUUGGCGUACGGCGGCCUCCCCCUCCGGCAUGUGCGCCGACGUUCAACCAGGGCCGGCAGAGGCAUCGGACGCCUAGGAUCUUGCCCCUCCCACCUGCCGUACUUUUUUACCAUUCUACGCUUUUACUCUUUACAGUCCUCUUUAGCCGAUCCCAACUGUAACUCCAGCCACCCCCCUUGCGAUAUAAAAGGCGGAACCCAGGGCCGGAGAGGGGAUCGGCUUCUUCUCCCACAAGCCACAGCACACCACAACUCUCCCGGAGAGCACAAGCACAAAGGAGACUUGGGACCAGUCCCUCUCUCGUCGAUCUGUAACCCCCUACUACAGAACCCCGCGUGGGCAAUACUAGCAUCCUCGAUACUGGACGUAGGGCUUCCCUUGCCCGAACCAGUCUAAACCAGUGACUCCCACGCAACCACCUGAGGCUUACGCGCAUAAAAGAAAUUUACUAGUCUAAGUAUUGAUCCGUCAAUCUUGACAACGACAACUAUGACUUGGAAGUUCACUAUCAUCCCGGCAAAGCCAAUGUGGUGGCCGAUGCUCUUAGUCGUAAGCACCAUUGCAACUGCUUGUUGGUAAUAGCUUUUACCGAGACUCUGUGUCAUGAGAUGGGAAAACUCAGUUUGGAGAUUAUUUCUCAUGGAACCCUCGGCCACAUCACCCUUAACUCAGUUCUGGAAGACCAAAUCCGGUCAGCACAAGUAAAGGAUGAAGAAAUAAAGUGGAUCAUUAGGAAGAUCUCAGUAAAGGAUGAAGGAUAUAAGCAAUUCCGGCAAGACGAAACUGGAGGUGUAUAUUAUGGAAACCGACUGGUUGUACCAGCCGACCCCGACAUUAAGAAGCGGAUCUUAGAUGAAGCUCAUCUCUCCAAGUUCUCAAUCCAUCCUGGCAGCAAUAAGAUGUACCAUGAUCUCCGUCAAACCUUUUGGUGGAGUGGCAUGAAGCCGGAAAUAACCCGGUGUGUUUCAGAAUGUGACACCUGUCAACGUGUCAAAGCCAGCCAUCUAAAGGUAGCAGGUACCCUGCAGCCACUACCUAUUCCCUCUUAGAAAUGGGAAGACAUCAGCAUGGACUUCAUAGUUGGACUGCCCCUUACAUCACAGAGAUAUGAUUCCAUCUGGGUUAUAGUGGACCGCCUGACCAAGACCGCUCACUUCCUUCCUGUCCGCACCACCCACACAGUCAAGCAGUAUAUAGAGUUGUACCUCGACCGCAUAGUUUCCCUACACGGUGUACCCAAGACCAUCGUCUCUGAUCGAGGAGUUCAGUUUGUGGCACGCUUUUAGGAACAGCUACAAGCAUCCAUGGGCACCAAGCUCAUCCGUAGCUCAACAUAUCAUCCUCAAACCGAUGGCCAAACCGAGAGAGUCAAUCAGAUCCUCGAAGACAUGUUGAGAGCUUGUGUCAUCCACUAUGACAAGAAUUGGGAUAAGUGCCUGCCCUUGGCAGAGUUCUCCUACAACAACAGCUACCAGGCCAGUUUGAAGAUGGCACCGUUCGAAGCCCUGUAUGGCCGGAGAUGUCGGACACCCUUGGACUGGUCCCAAGCAGGAGAAAGACAGGUCUAUGGCCCUGACUUAGUGGUAGAAGCCGAAGAGCAAGUAAGGGUAAUUCAAGCCAAUCUCAAGGCUGCCCAAUCUCGACAAAAGAGUUAUUCCGACCGGCGGAGAAGACCCCUGCAGUUCGACCUUGGUGAUCAUGUGUAUCUUCGAGUCUCCCCGACCAAAGGAGUACAACGGUUUGGAGUAAAAGGCAAGUUGGCUCCCCGUUACAUUGGCCCUUAUGAGAUUGUGGAGAUCUGUGGACCCGUUGCUUACAGGAUCCAACUCCCAGAACAGCUAUCGGCCAUACACGAUGUUUUCCAUGUGUCUCAACUGAAGAAAUGUGUCCAAGUUCCAACCGAGAUCUUAGAGCAAGAACAGCUUCAGAUAGAGCCCGACCUGACCUACGCCGAGUACCCAGACCGAGUUCUUGACCAGAAAGAAAGGCAUACCCGGCGUCAAAUGGUAAAAAUGUACAAGAUCCUCUGGAGAAACCACACCGAAGAUGAAGCAACAUGGGAAAUGGACGAGUAUCUGAACAAGCGCUUCCAAGGUUUUCUAUCUCGUCAAGGAGGUAAGAACAGCACACCCCCUUUUUGGUACCUGAAUCUCGGGGCCAGAUUCUUUUUAAGAGGGGUAGGCUGUGACGACCGGCCCCAAAUCUCCCAGGUUGAUCUUUAUCCUAGCCCCUGAUCAUCUGUCUAGUUUGCCACGCCUGAAAGUUCAACCCUCCGCCCGGUCCUGACCCCUGAGACCUGACCCCUCCCCGCUUCGCUCCGAUCCCGACCCCGCCAAACCCAGCUCACCAUCGGAUCCUUCUAAGUCUUUCCCAACCGUCCAUUCUAUCUGACCGGUGGACCCGCGAGAUCUUUUUCCCCAGAUCUUUUGCGGCAGGCGCACUCGAGUUGCAUGCUCGCUUCAGAGUCUCCCCGCCGCGUGGCUCAUCUUCUCCGACGCCCGCCGCUCAGCCUCGUCUCUGACCCGCGACCGAAUGGAUUCUCGCGCCCCCUUCCCCAAUGGCAGCGGAAGCCCCUCUGCAACCUUUCUGCAGCACCUCGCCUCCCGCGCCCAUCAUCACACCGCCAGAUCCCUGCCGCAGAGCCCGAUGUCGCCCGUCUUUUCCGUCACUUCGAGCACAGUAGCGCCGCCUAGUCUCCGCUACACGACGAUUCCUCCAUCGCCAACCCCGACAACGGCAUCGACAGCUCCUUUUCCCCGCCCUGUCAGAAGCCGCCCGACAAUCUGUUGCUCCGCGCUCGCCCGCGCGCCCGCAGCUGCAUGUCUUUUCACCUGUGCGCCCUCGAUUCUAGCGCCGUUAACCCGGUCGCAUCCAUCAAAUCUUCCGCAUGGCGACACCCGCCUCCGCCAAAUCUCAACCACCGGCAUACCCGCUCCUGCGCCGCCCUGACGCCAGAACCCAAUGACCGCUGGCGUCAUCUCCGAAGUCCUGCACCACCGCCCCCGCCGCUCAAUCGCCGCCCAGGAAGAGCACUCCAUUGCUUCUUCCCCAGCCUUCGCGCUGCUCCCCUUCUCGCUCCUACGCCGCUUCCCUUCCCCGUCCUAGCCGCUAUAAAAGGGAAUGCGCAAGCCCGCCGGAGUUCCCUCCGCCAUUGUUGCCUUCCGCCACCUCUCUUGCUCCCUGCUCAAGCUCCUAGCACCACACCCUAGAGUUCUUGAGGAACUCUCCUCUCAGCUCCGCUCCGUUUUCCCCAAGCCACCCAGCCGCUUGCUCCUCCGUGCUGCGUAAAAGCUCACUUGUGAUCCACAAGAAGCACCGCCGCCGCCGGAGCACUGCCGGUCUUAGCCGUUGUUUAAAGCCUUAGUCCCUCAGCCCAAGUCUGCUUCUUCCCGACCCCAAGCUUUCCUCGUAGGAAGAAGGUAAGCUGCCGACCCCAGUCCGCUUCGCCCGACCCCUCUUAUCCGCCCGACCCCGGUUCCGUCUCGCCCGACCCUAUCUGUUCCGCCGACUCUUAUCCGCCUCGCCCGAGGGCUCAGCUGUGAUCUUUUUCUUCAACCCGAGGGUGUAUGUGUAAAACUUAGGAACCCUUCAGCGCUUGCGUCUGAGGAUCCCUAGUAUACCACAUCCUCUAGUUCAAAGAUCAGAUCACAAGUUCCUUUCCAACCCCCACCUCUUGAUCUCCACCAGCUCCUUUGAACCUCCCCACCCUCCUGCUCUUUGUCGUGAGUUUCUGGGCUCAGGCGAGCAAGUGUUGCUGUUGAAAUAACCAUCUAUGCUAACUCUUGCAUUGCAUUCGUGUAAAGCUGCGUCUCGCCGAUGGCUUCUACGAGCUACACCCGGUGCCAGAAGAUGACGCUGUAGCUGAGCUCCUGCUCCCAGAAGCCGAAGCCGCCCCCGAAGUCGAGCAGUUCUCUUCCUCUUUGCUCGAAGGCAAGCCCUGGUUACAUGAAAACCCUGUGUCGUUUUCCAAACUUGCGCAUGCCUUCCUUAAAACAUGCUUGUGCAUUUACGUAUAGGAGUUGUUUGGAACCAUAGAUGCAUGACUUAGCUCCCCAUGUUUUGAACACUAGCUGUUGGACCGAGUAGCUGCUUUGCUAACUAGGAGACGGUAAAAGUCGAGUGAUUCCCUGUCACUCACGAGUUGUAGGAGUUGGAUGUCUACCCUUCUGUUACAACUAUAAGGACGAUGGAUGGGGCAGGGUUUUGGGCAACUCUUUGGUGGUUGGAUGAUCGCCCUGUCUGUUUAUGAAAACUUGCUAAGGCCCAACAGUGGUGGUGUUCGUGAUCAAGUGUUUGAAAGUACUAGCCUCAUACUUAGUAUGGGAUGAGGAAGCCUAGUACCGGAUUGAACCUAGACGUGAGCGGUCGCCCCAUUGUUCUUGGAACGGAGUUUCCCCUGCUGGAUGUCACACGUGGUGGCAUGCGUGGUCACAGAACGGCAGAGGCUGGGUCUGUGGAACCUUGCACCAAAGGAAAUAGGCCCGACACGGGUUAGGGGAUUGAUGGGGAAGGCCGACACAGGAAGCGACCUCCGGGUGCGCGGAUGUCGUGAGGCUAGGUUCACCAUGCAUGGUUAAAGAACUCGAAUCGAUUCGUCUGCCUCUCACAGUUUGAGAUUGCUUGAUCGCUAUGUCACCCUGAGUAAAUGAGGAAUCUGAUGAUGACAUGGAUUUGUUGAUAUACAUACCUUGUUUGGCUCUAUGAUUGCUUAGAAUAGUUUGCAAAACCUGGACUGGUUAAAGAACUUAGAAUCGGAGCUAAAACUUGAAAAUAAGGUUUACUUAGUGCUUUUGGCAAACAAACCUCUCAGCCAAAAAGCCCUGCAUGUCUAGAAUGGUGGAGUAGUUUUACUCCUGUCGGUUGAGUCUUGUUGAGCUUAGUAGCUCAGCCUUGUUGUGGCUCCUGUUUUUCAGGUGAAGUUGCUGCCCCGACCCUUCUCCUGCGGGCACUUGGCCGCCCCAGCUCCCUCCGGGUUGGACGGUCGAGUGGGAUCCCUCCUCGGACGGCGAGGAGAGGGAUCAGUGAUGUCCUGGCUGGCCUCACCAGGACGUCCGACCCCGACGAUUGCUUCCGCUAGUGUUUUACCUUCUGUUGUUUUCCGAAAUCCUGUAAAACUCUGAUGUUCAUUUCGCAACUAAAUCCAGUGGUUAAUUUGUUAACUCGGAGGACUUGUUGCACUCUCUGGAACCGCUCACCUUCGUGUGAGUCUGCUAAAAUGGUCCUGUUCAAGUGGUUAAAUCGGAGGAAAAUCCGACGGCACUUCGUGUUUACUCGGCUUAGGCAUGAGCGUCGCAUAUCAGGUGGCUAAAUCAUGUUUAACCAAGUAGAUCCGAAGUGGAUCCGCCACAGCACAGCAUUGCAAGCACCUGCAUGAAGCAGUGUGGGAAUAAUCCCUCUCAUUCAGUCGAGAUGAACAUCCUGUCUAUGCGUUCCAAGGUGGGAUGCAAUCGUUCAUUGCUCCAGGUGAAAAUUUGACCAUGAAGGUGAAGCUCCACGAGCUCGAGAUUGUUAAGUAAUCUUCAAAAGCGGCCCAUCAUCCUUUUAGAAAGGCGACCAUUAUUCUUAUCAGCGGCCUGAUAGAUGAGGUUAAAAUCUCCACAAAGAGCCCAGGGUCCAUCCAUAGAUGCGCGGGCAGAUCUGAGCUCUUGCAGGAAAGCGACCUUCUGUUCGUCCUCUUGCUGACCAUAGACCGUGGUGAGCCACCAAUAUUGAGUAGGAGAACUAAGCAUAGUGACCUUCACCGAAAUUGAGUGAGAGACAAAAAUCGGGGAGGAUACCAACCAGACAUUUGUAUUCCAAGCGACUAGGAUCCCACCAUGUGUAUGAACUGCAGGCAAAGCAAAGUAGUCAAAAUCCAACCCUAACAUAUCCAAAAUUAGAUCCCUAGUUACAACAUCUAGCUUAGUCUCCUGUAAACAAAGCAAUGAAACAUUCUCCGACCUAGCGAGUUCCCGAACUGCAGUGCGUCUCGCACAACGGUUUAGUCCUCAUACAUUCCACACAGCUAGGUUUUAAUUCAUUAGUACACAAUUACAAAUGACCCAACAACCUUACAACCUAACAAGGGUUGGCUCAGACUAGAUGCGCCCCAUCGACCAGGUGGUCCUCCGAGAGCAGCUCGUUGGAGGCUGCCAUAAACUCCUCGUCCUUCAGAAUGCAACUUUGCAUCGUGGAGUCGAACCUACCACCGAACAACUUCUGGAUGUUCAAGCAGUGGUCAUCCGAGAGGUCCACCGCAAACAACCGGAUGUACUCCUGGAACACUGCCAUGUCGGUGGCCUCAUCUCGCUUGACCAGACCAAGGCAACGCAUGACGAUGUUUUGGGCCGUAGUAGCUGGGUUGGGACCGCGUCCCUUAGAGAGCGUUGUGAUCCGCCCACUACAUCGUAGACAGGACAUCUUGACAGCCGUGGCCUUGGCACACCAUCCCUAGGGCUUCACAAGAAGCACCAGCUGUUGUGCCUCCUUUUGCAAGGAGGAAUAGAACGCCGCCGCCCGAGCCCAGACUACCAGGCAAGGAUCACCUCGUGGUAGUGACGUUAGCCAAGUCCACUACCAAAGGGGGGGGAGAUUGUUGGAGGUAUGCUCUAGAGGCAAUCAUAGAGAUGAUGAUAUCUGAUUGUAUCCAUAAUUUGUAUAUUGUGUUCAUUGAAUAUCCAUUAAAGGCUACUUGAAUUGAUCUGCAAUUAUGUGAAUUAUAUGUGGAACUCUUUACUUGUAUGGUUAUUCUAAAAGUUGUCCCUAGUCGGAGUUCAUGUGUGGACACACAUGAAUAUUAUACUAGUACAUGUAUUAGUUGAUGACUAUGUUUCACAAGUUAUGGACAUGGAGAUGUCAAACUAAUAAUGUAGGCAUAUGUAGAGACAUGUGCUAGGACUGACCCAAUGCGAGAAGUAGUUCUCUCUUUACACAACAUGUACGCUUUGUCCUUAGACCUGAGAUUGUCGCAUGUACUCAAGAUGUGGAUCGACUUACUUAGGGGCUAUCAAACUGUUGGCGCUAGAAAUCAAUCAACCGAAUCCUAGCGUCCGACACACGACCCGGGAGAAUCUGCUUAGCUCCUGUUCGGGUGAAUGCCCUGGUGCGGUUCGCGCGGCGUGCCAGCCAAUCUGACCUGUUGAUUGGCAAGGAAGAAUACGUGUUAGGUUCAGAAACCACGAUCGGCUAAGUUUCCGAUCUCGAGAGAGCUUAUCAGCGAAUCGGCCGAUUUGCUAUAAUAAAGAAAUCGGCUAUGAGGUAGCCGAUCACUGUAGCCUUGUAGAUAGGAAAUUACUAGUGUAAUCGAUACAAAACUAUGAUAACAACACUAGGAAUAGAUCUAAUCGGCAAUAGAUGAAUUUAACAACAGAAAGUAAUGAAGCCGAAACUACCGAUUCCUAGCUGGAUAACUGGUGAUAAAACUAGAAAAACAGGCAAAACCCUAUGAUUCUAGUAAAUAUCGAUAACUGGUGAAUAAAUCUAAACGAAACAACAGCGAUACGCCUGAAGUUAAAGCUUAGAUAUUACUCGAUAAGCGGAACUUACAGAAUCGGCUGGAGAUCAAACUGAUGCAGCCCUGCCAAUCCGCACGAACUCGUGAAAAAGAGAAAGGUGUUGGCGAAGUCGCCUGCUUGAAAGUAAGUACGAGAAAAAGUAGUAUGUUGUAUUGAUUGGUUCAUGAUUACAGAUUUACAAAGGUAGCUAUUUAUAGCCCCGUACAGAUAACUUCUUAACCGACUAGAAUUCUAUCCCUAAUUCAAACAAAAAACGAAUAUCUACAAGCACGAUUCGUGCUAGGUUGGUUACUCCACGCUUCGUGGGCUGAUUUCCACCUCAUCCUUCUAUCCCCUUCCAAGCCCAUACAGGCCCAUUUAACCCAUCCUCCUAAUCGGCCGAUUCCUCAUCGGCAAAAGGCUACCGAUUGGGACUCUGGUAUAUUCGACCCGAAGCGAGACAGAAGUCACCGGCCGAUCUCACACUGUAGCACCAUUUGGCCGAUUCCCAACUGUGCUUCUCCGAUUCCCUCUCUUCUUGGCGCCGAUUCUACUAGUGAUGAAAUCUGGCGUCAACACAUGCCCCCCAGUUUCGGAGUAAAACAUAGUCUUUUACUUCGAAAUUCUUUAUAACCUCCCCUCCGAAACGGCCGCAGUGAAAAUAUCCUUCCGUUUCGCUGUCUUCCAGCUGAUCAUUGCAAUUUUUCGAAACGGGCGCCCACGACAGCCACUACUCCCGAAAAACUCGAAACGCCGGCGCGGUGAAAAUUCCAUUUUUACCCCCCUUCAGGCAUCCUUUAAAUAGCGCUUCACCCCGCACUUCAUCUUCAAGCUCACGUCUCUUUUCCCAACGCGCGCGCCUUCUUCUUCCUUCAGUAUCUUUCCCUUACCGCCGAAGCUUCCCAGCUCCACCUCCUGUUACUUUUCCUCUUCUUCUCCAAUGGCGGCUCCUUCCGGCAACUCUCCCGCGCGCGAUGUCCCAGAAGUAGCGCCUCCGGCAGUGGUGGCAACAGCCGUUGCUCCAUCCACAGAAGAAGGAGCUUCAUCGGAGAUCCCAAUGGCGAUCCCCAUCGCGGCCCCAUCGUCUGCAUCUGCGCCGGCGAUCACGCCGAUCACUCAGAACUUCAUCCCAGAGGUAAAUACCGAAUUCUUCUUUUAUCGGCAAAUAUAUUUACCUUAGAUCUGUUUCUUACUUUUCUACGCUCCCCUUUUCCCUUUUUAGGCAGUUAGGCAUCGAAUUACCAUUCACCUUACGGGAAAUCCCGGCCUUGUUUGUCUUGGACCCAUGGGAAACCCAGAUCCAAUAGAUCUUAUAAAUUUGGAAACCCACAGGAUACCCUUCAAACUGUCUGAUAUGGACUUAGAUCAAUGGCUGGGUACUUUUAGGUCCUGGCCGAAUGAAACCCCAGGUUGGAGGGAGUGGUACCAACGGGUAGCCGCAUCAAAGAGCGUCUCAUGGGAAGAGCUUAAAAUCGGCCAGUGCAUCAACCUAUCCUUAUCCCAAAUGGAGAAAAAUGAACCGUUAGUAAUGGCGGCUUCUUAUUUUUGGUCUGAUGCACUUAAUGCCUUCUUAUUUGGGCACGGUCCUAUGACCCCAACACUGGCCGAUGUGGUCCUGUUGACCGGCCUUGACAUAUCUUCCCCGGACACACCCUACCACCUUCUAGCCGCAAUGUCACAUCGGCUGGACACAAGAGGAAUCGGCGGGUGGAAGGGAUUUAUCAGAAGUAAUAAGAGGACCGGGACUGUUGAGAACAGAGAGCACACAGCCUUCUUGAUGAUGUGGUUAGAAAAACAUUUCUUUUGCGGAAGAGCCGCCGGCCCAUCAACCAAUACCCAGGCUUUAGCUGAAGCGCUGUCCAGAAGAAACCUUGUCCCUCUUUGGAAACAUCUGUUAGGGGCCGCAUACCAUAUGCUCCAUCAAAUCGGCAUCAGACUAUCCAAGGGAGAGCCGAUCGGCAAUCCAGGCGGACCCUGGUGGUUCAUCAACUUGUGGCUGAACCUUUAUAUGAGCAGGAUCACUCAGCAGCAGGUGGAUCGCAUGAUGUUCCCCAACAUUGAAUCGGCAGAAAACCCUACCAAACGUCGCCGAUGCAUGUCCUUUGGUGAAGCGGCAUCAGCUUUCCCAGGUUGCAUGUAUUCUGCUACAAAGGUAGCCGAGUAUUUUCGAUACUUCUAUAACGGCUUUAGUGAAGAUGCAACCAUUUGGUUUCCUUAUCAGUGGGACGACCCGGUAUUUGAACUCCCAACUUGCUUUGACUCGGCUACCGGCCGAUUUGAUGAAGAGCUCUAUGAUGAGUUAAUCAAGCCAGGACUCCUGCCAGCCAACUUCUUCUCGGGGAAGGAUGCCCCUACGUAUGAAUUCUACAACCCUUCCGUUGCAGCACGUCAGUUCGGCGUGGGUCAGCUGCCGAUUCAAGUGUAUUUUGCUGGCCGAAUCAAGUUUAGAGAUGAACUCACAUCUGGUCUGGAUUACAGUCGGCUACGAGACCGAAUUCUGGACUUCAGUACCAUUGACCUGAACGACUGGCUAGUAGCUCCUUUUGCUGUCCAGCCGUUCAAACUCUGGUGGGCCGAUUGGAAGCAAUUUCUUUUCUGCAACUCGGCAUCGGCAUACUGCAACCUUCUGGACCCAGCCAACAUCGACCCGAACGCCAAGGUACUUUUCUUAGCCGAUUUUUAUUCCUCUUAACAUGACUGAACACUAAUGAUUUUGCUAUUUCUUCAGGCCGAGAAUCGGACUCCUCCAACACACAGCCGCAGCGGACGGCUAAUAGAGAAUCACCCAUACACCACUUAUCCUCUUAUCGGCUAUGACGCUCCGUCUGUAGACGUGAUUGCUGGCCGAUCGAAACAAGUCCAGAAGAGGACCACCAAGAAAACCAGUCGCCGAGUCCGAGCUCAUAUAGAAUCGGCGAAUCCUCCUGUGCUCGUAUCGACAGAGACUCCGGCCGCACCACCUUCUCAGGUCAUCCAAGACGUUGAUACCCAAGCCGUCACGCAAGCCGGGGCAGCCGCCGCGUCAUUGUUAUUGGAGGCCGUUCAGGUAAACCUAAGUUUUAUUGCUUCCGAUUGUUGCACUGUUAUUAACCCUUCUUGUCUUUAGACUGCACAGAGCACUCCUAUGGAAAUACAACAAUCGGCAGCAACCCAUCCGGCCAUCGGCGCAUCCCCGCUUCCAUCCAUUGAGGUAUAGUACUUAUUUUACCGAUUUCCCUUGGUAUUUGCAUAAUGUACUUAUUCAAUCCUCUGACACAGAUCGUCGGCACACCAAGCGCUCCUCAACCACCGGUCUUUUCUCAGGGAGCUGGUCCAAGCACCGCGCCGAUCGUUGUGGAAUCUUCUUCAUCUGAUGAACCCAUGGCGCAGGCUCCUGAGCAAGGCGUGACGGCUUCCCAAAUGCAGCAUGAAGAAAUUCGCUUCAAAGCGGUAAGUUUUGUUUCGGCUUUUAUUCAGCCGAUUUGCUUUUACUCCCAGCCGAUUUAUUCUUCCUCUUUAUUACCUCCAGGAACAGGACACCCCCGACAACAGCCUCUUUUCUUUUGCGGUCGCCCUUUCCGACAAUGAAGAAGUUGCUUCUCGCCAAGUUGCCUUGAGCUCCGUUCCUGAUGACGUCCGAGCCAAACUUGCUAGUAUCCGAUCCCUCCUUCAAGGGGACAUCGGCCGACUAGUAGAAGACGCUUCACCGAUUCGGCAGCUCUUCAGUGACAUCAGCGGACGAGUACCAGAAGAAGCGGAGGAAGCCCUGGCGCCGGCGGCCUUCAUCGAGUCUAUGAGGAUCCCGGUCUUCAGAGCCCUUCGUCACAUGACCGAUCACGCCAAGCUGGCCAAGACUCGUGAAGAAGAGGACGCGUUCAAGCAUCAAGCUCAAGAGGCACAUCGGCGCAUCCAUUUUCUGGAAGAUUCCCGCCCGGCGAUCAUCGGUGAGAUAGACCGCCUCAAGCGUCGGAGGGCGGAGCUCGCCAAGGAGACGGAGCAAGUAACCAAGGCAAUCAAUGCCGAAGAGAAAAAGCUUCAAGAGCUACCUUCUGUCAUUGCCGAUUUGACACGGGAGAGGCAGCGCUUUGCCCACGAGGCCCUAAAACUCCACCGCAAUGCAUCAGAAGUCCCUGGAUCGGCGGAUGAAGACCAACGGGUUCUUGACUCUGCCGAUCAGAUCCGGCGCCGGGCAAUCACGGCUAUCGAUACCCUUCUGGGUAACCUGUAAAACACUGACUGUUUUGUAUGAAUAUUUACUAUCUACUUUGACCGUCCUUCGCGACGCCCUUUCUAUUUAUUACCUCUCUUAUUUCCGAUGGGACGUAGCCUUACCAAAUUUCCACGCAUCUUUUCCCUAUAAAUACCGGCCUCGGCACUUCCUCCCGAUAGUACCAGUUUGGCUUUCGGUUUUACUCCCUCAUUCCUCUCAUCGGUGCGACUUUCUGUCAUGGCUUCGUCGGCUUCUUCUUCUUCUGUUAACCAGGUGAAAUCUUGACCUCAACUUCCCUUUCUUUUUUAGAUCCUAGGAUGAGAAUGCCCCUUCUUAUUCCUUCUUUGUUUCAGCCUCAACGUCUUAGCCCUGAGCUCGUGCGCGCCAUUGAGCUCAUUCACUCCGAGGACCCAUUAAUGUCGGAGGACAAGGAGCUGAUCAUGGCUCAUUGAGAGGAACUUCGAGACCACGUUACUGCGGAGGCUCGCGUGGUCUUGGAUUUCUUAGAGAAUGAUAGGAACCGACGAUCUCCGACCGUCAGGAGCCAUCGUUGUGACGAACUUCAAGAUGACGUCGCCACGGCGGCCCGUACAAUCUUGGACUUUAUGGAGAGCAACGGUAGCCGGCGACCUCCCACUGACAGGAGUCAUCCUCUUCCUUCGCGAAUCGCCCUCAAAGACGCGGCAGCAGGAACCUCGCGUCCGCCCAUGGAUCGGAGUCAUCCUCUCCCUCGUCAAGUUGAAGCGGAGGCCUCAAUGAAGGAAGUAGAAGAAGAAUACCUCCGCGUCAUGAAUGAGUUAGAACGGAAUGGGAGGGAGCGCAAGAAGAAGAAUAAUUAGUUAUUUGUAUUUUUUGUUCUAAGGGCGACUAAUGUUUUGUCGGCCAUGUAACCCAUCGCCCGUACCGAAUGAAUGCAAUCGGCCGAUUUGGACGACUAUGUGUUUGAACCGAUUUGUAUCGGCUAUGUGUGGUCGUGUCACGGUUAAUUCCUUACGCUCCGACCCAUAUACUGGGGUAGUAUCUUUUUAAGUACCUUCCGUUCAAAGCUCUAGUAAAUUCUUCUCCUUCUAUUGUUUCCAAAAUGUAAGCAUUCCCUGGAGCGCAUCUGCCAAUUUUAUAUGGCCCUUCCCAUGUAGGGGACCAUUUUCCGAAUUUAGGAUCUUUCGACCCAAUCGGCAAUACUAACUUCCAUACCAAGUCCCCAGGGGAGAAUUGUUUGACUUUGACCUUCUUAUCGUACUACCUGGCUACCUUCUUUUUGUUUUCUUCAAUGCUUAUCAGAGCCCUCAAUCGUUGGCCAGCCAAAUCGUCAAGUUCCCUUUUCAUAAGUGAUGAGUAGUCAUCGGCCGUUAGCUGAUCCUGGAGCGAGAUACGCCUCGAUCCCGCCCUUGAUUCCCAUGGCAGUACUGCAUCGUGACCGUACACCAACUGGUGGGGAGAUAACUUGGUAGCCCCAUGACAGGCCAUCCUGUACGCCCAUAAGGCCUCAGUCAAACAUAGAUGCCACUUCUUUGGCUGUUCCUCGAUUUUUCUUUUGAUCAAUUUGAUUAUCCCUUUGUUGGAAGAUUCUGCCUGACCAUUGGCUUGGGCAUAAUACGGAGAAGAAUUUAACAAUUUGAUUCCCAUAUCGGUCGUAAAUUCCUCAAAUUCCCCCGAUGUGAACAUUGUUCCUUGAUCGGUUGUUAUAGUCUGAGGGAUACCGAAUCGGUAGACGAUGUGAUCCCUUACGAAGUCGGCCAUGAUAGCCGAUGUCACGGCUCUCAACGGGAUUGCCUCUACCCAUUUGGUAAAGUAAUCAAUAGCCACCAGAAUAAAUUUGUGCCCUUUGCUUGAUGGUGGGUAAAUUUGGCCGAUAAGGUCUAUUCCCCAUCCCCUGAACGGCCAUGGCUUAAUGAUGGGAUUCAUGGCCGAUGCGGGUGCACGCUGGACAUUUCCAAACUUUUGACAAUCUUGACAACCCUUAUAAUAUUUGAAACAGUCUUCGAGGAUCGUUGGCCAGUAGUACCCAUUAUUCCUGAUCAUCCAUUUCAUCUUAUGUGCCGAUUAGUGUGCUCCACAUACUCCCUCAUGGAUUUCUCCCAUUAGAGUCUUGGCCUCCUUUGUCCCAAGGCAUUUGAGAAGAACUCCGUCGAUUGUUCGGUAGAACAGGUCAUCUUCGAGCAGUACGUAUUUGGUGGCAUGAAAACGUACUCGUCGCUCCACCUUUUUAGACGGAUCUUUCAGGUAGUCGGCAAUUUCUUUACGCCAGUCAUCGGCCGUGAGUUCUAGAGCCAUAGCGCCUAGAAUUGGCCGAUACCCAGAUGCGUGCUGGGCGAGUUUGUUGGCAUCUUCGUUGCGGUCCCUUGGGAUGUCCUCGAUUACCGCCGAUUUGAAUUCUUUUAAGAGCUGUAAGCAAUCUUCGUAAUAAAUCCUUAAUACGUCAUCUUUACAUUCGGAUCUUCCGGUCAGCUGAUCCACAAUAAGCAUGGAGUCUCUGAAGACUUCAAUAGAAUCGGCCUUGACUUCCCUUAGUAGUUGUAGGCCCUUCAAUACAGCUCGGUACUCCGCUUGAUUGUUAGUAGCGGCGGUUUCUAUCGGCAGAGAAAAGUCAUAGCUUGCCCCCCGAGGCGAUAUGAGAACGAUGCCGAUUCCUGAUCCGACCCCACAUGAUGACCCAUCGAAAUAUAAUGUCCAAGGUGCCGUCUCUACGAGGGCAAUCUCCGGUCCGCAGUGCUGGGCGACGAAAUCGGCCAUGACUUGACCCUUGACAGCUUUUGCCGAUUCAUACCGUAGGUCAAACUCUGAUAAAGCUAAGAUCCAUUUGCCAAUUCGACCUUUCAAGAUUGGCAGUGAUAGCAUGUAUUUCACUACGUCGUCUUUGCAUACGACCACACAUUCUGCCGACAGUAGAUAGUGCCUUAGUUUGGUGCACGAGAAGUAAAGACAUAAGCACAAACGCUCCACCGGAGGAUAUCUUGUUUCGGCAUCCAGAAGUCGUCUACUGACAUAAUAAAUUACCCGCUCCUUGCCUUCGAACUCUUGGACUAGAGCCGACCCAAUAGCUUUUUCAUCGGCUGAUAAGUAUAGUUUAAACGGCUUACCAGUUUGAGGGGGAACUAAUACUGGAGGCGAGACCAAGUAUUGCUUGAUAUCUUCCAAUGCUUUGCGCUGCUUCUCGCCCCAUAUAAAUUCCUGAUCCGGCUUUAGCUUCAGCAGUGGUGUGAAUGCCUGAAUCCGCCCAGAUAGAUUGGAUAUGAAUCUUCUGAUGAAAUUCACCUUGCCGAUUAAAGACUGCAGUUCGGUUUUGUUCUGUGGGGCCACGACUUUGUUGAUGGCCGCUAUGGUUUUCCGAUUGAUCUCUAUUCCUCGCUUGUGCACCAUGAAUCCUAAGAACUGUCCGGCGGAUACGCCGAAAGCACAUUUAUUGGGGUUCAUCUUAAGCCCGUGCUUCUUGGUGCACUCUAGCACUUUUCGCAGGUCGGCCAGAUGCUCUUCAUGCCCUUUGGACUUGACUACGACGUCAUCAAUGUAGAUUUCCACCAGAAUGCCAAUGAGUUUGUGAAAUAUGUAAUUCAUGGCUCUCUGAUAUGUAGCGCCAGCGUUCUUCAAGCCAAACGUCAUCACCACCCACUCGAACAAGCCAAGGUGACCUGGACAUCUGAAGGCCGUUUUGGGGAUGUCCUCUUCGACCAUAAGUAUUUGAUUGUACCCAGCGUUUCCGUCCAUGAAACUAAUAAUCUUGUGCCCCGCGGCAGCGUCGAUCAGCACAUCGGCCGUCGGCAUGGGGUAACCGUCCAUCGGUGUGGCCUGAUUAAGAUUCCUGAAAUCAACGCAAACGCGUAGCUUUCCAUUCUUCUUGUAUACUGGUACGAUGUUGGAGAUCCACUCGGCAUAACGACAUUGCCGAAUAAAUUUCACUUCGAUUAGCCGAGUUAUUUCAGCUUUUAUGUGGUAGAAUCUUGGGAUUGCAGCGCCGUGCGGGCUGUUGGUACGGCCGAUACCCUGGUUUUAUGGGUAGCCGAUGUUCAACAAUAGAUCGGUCUAAACCGGGCAUCUCAUGAUACUCCCAAGCAAAACAAUCCUUAAAUUCCUUUAACAAAUUUGUCAAUUUACACUUGUAUUCUGGGUCUAAAUUUGCACUAAUAUAAGUCGGCCUUGGUUUGGUACCAUCGCCUAAGUCUAUCAUCUCUAAUGAAUCGGCCGACGUGAAUCCGUGCCCUAGCUUCCCGUCUUCUCGGGCGAACUGAUCCAUCUACUCUGAAUCUUCGGAGCCGACUGCUCGAAUCGGCUGUAGGCCAAAAUCGGUGACCUUUAGGAAAUCGGUCUUCCAAACUCUGCCGGAUAUGCACCUGACGGUUUCGUAGCUCCACUGUUGCGUGUCGGCUGCCGCGAUGCUGUACGCGGAAUCAGCUUUGACCACCUUGAUGUUAUCGCCGACCCAUUGUAUGAGGCACUGAUGCAUUGUUGACGGGAUGCAGCAGUUUGCGUGUAUCCAAUCUCGGCCGAGUAGCAUGUUGUAGGACCCCUUGCCAUUAAUAAAGAAGGUGGUAGGAAGGGUCUUACUGCCGAUGGUGAGGUCGACGCAGAGAGCGCCGCGAGCGUUUGACACGUUGCCCUCGAAGUCCUUGAGCAUCAUGUCUGUCUUGGUCAAGUCGUCGUCGCUUUUCCCAAGCUUCCGGAGUACGGAGUACGGCAUGAUGUUGACUGCAGCUCCUCCGUCUACCAUUAGUCUAGUGAGGGGGCGGCCGUCAACAUGCCCUUUGAGGAACAGUGCCUUCAUGUGUUGUCAUUCGUCAUCUUCGGGCUUCUCGAACGUGGCCAUCAUUGGCUCCAAAGCCAACUGUGCUGUCUGUUCUUCUAUUGCCGAUACAUCCUGUUGAUCGGCGGGAGUCAUGAAUUCCAUCGGCAAUAUGAAAACCAUGCCGAUCUCGGCUGCCGAUUCGUCACCCGCCGAUUCGUCGUCCCCUUUAUCGUUUCUUUUGGGGCGCCACACCCGAGGCCUUCCUUCCUUCUUGUCCGUCAUGCUUUCUUCUUCUUGCUGUUCCCAUUGGCGGAGCCGUUGGAUUCUUCGUUUUUAAGACUUGGUCAAUCCAUCGGGACACCACCUGGGGUUUAUUGGUCUGCCCCCUGACUUGGCGCGCUCCCACUCCGGUUCGCGUCCUAACAGGUUUUCGUCUGUCACCCGAGCAUCGGCCAUCUCUUCGAGCCGGCUGUGAACGUUGGAUUUGUUUUCUGACCGGUCAUGCCGAUCAGUCCUGCCCCCCUGCCUGUUAUGACAUCUAUCUUCCGACCGAUCAUAUCGGUCACUUCUGCCCCCCAGCCGAUCACGCACGGGAGGGCGCUGGUCAACUUGGUUGCGCCAAUUCCUGCUGAUCGGUUCUGGCCUUCCGUCUCUGGAGCGAGACCUGUUGAACGGCCGAUUGCCACGAUAUGGACCGUUGCAUUCUGGGCAAGUAUCGGCCGAUGGUAGCCUAAGGUUGUUUUCCCAACAGUGAAUGAAGAACGGGCAUCUCCAGUGCUCUUCGUGCCGUCGCAUUGCCUCUUCCCGGGACCUUGAGCGUUCAUGCUGACGUUGGUAUUUCUGGAGCAGGAACUGGGAAGUAAUGCGUGGCUCUUCUGACUCGCCAUCGUCGUCCUCCAUCCGCCGCUUCCCCUUGACAUCUUCAGGCGUAGCUUGAUUUCUGGGAUUGACGGCGCCACUCUUUUUGGCCGAUUCGGACGUCAGCACUUUUGUUUGGAGCGAAUUCUUUCCCGUGUCAACCAUGUUGGUGGGGAAGGGGUGCUGGUCGAUCUUCAUCGGUUUGGCCGAUUUUGUCGGCACUUCAAAUUUAAGUCUGCCCUGCUCAAUGGCCGACUGUAUCUGCUGCCUGAAGAUUUUGCACUCAUUAGUAUCAUGGGAUGUGGCGUUGUGCCACUUGCAGUACUUCAUCUUUUUUAGCUGUUCGGCAGAAGGUAUGGUAUGGUAUGGCGAGAGUUUAAUCUGUCCUUCUUGGAGGAGAAGGUCGAAGAUUUUAUCGGCCUUAGUCGUGUCAAAGCCGAACACCUCCGGCUCCUUUUUGCCGAAUGGAAAUGAUAUCGGCUUCUUCCCCUUGAUCCAUUCUGCAAGUCCGACUUCAACAUCUUCCUCAUCCUCUAACUCUUCCAGGAACGCCACCUUCUUCUGGAAAUUCCUCUGUGGAUCGAAGGAACGUACCUCCUGUCCAGACAAUCGGUGGACAAUCUGGCUCAAACUCUCGAACUCCUGUGAGGCGUAUCUUUCUUUGAUGUGGGGCAGAAGGCCUUGAAAAGCUAUAUCGGCCAACUGCGCGUCGUUUAAAGCUAGGGAGUAGCACUUGUUUCUGAUUUCCCGAAACCUCUGUAUAUACGAGGAUAUCGGCUCAUCACUUCUUUGCCUGAGGCUGGUUAAAUCGGACAGCUUCAUCUCAUGCACCCCGGCGUAGAAGUACUUGUGGAACUGUCUUUCUAAAUUGGCCCAUGUGAUAAUUGAGUUUGGCGGCAAUGUUGUGAACCACUGAAAGGCCAAACCAGACAGAGAUGAAGAGAACAACCGUACCCGUAGAGCAUCCUGCGUAGCUGCCUCCCCGCAUUGGAUGAUGAAUCUGUUCACGUGUUCCACAGUCGAAGUGUCAUCCAUCCCCGAAAACUUAGUGAAGUCAGGCACUUUAUACCGAUGGGGAAACAGCAAUAGGUCAUAUGUAGAUGGGUAUGGUGUUCUGUAGGUGUAAGUCUGUACCUUCGGCUUUAAGCCGAAUUGUUCUUGCAUCACCUCCGCAAUACGUGCCGACCAGUCUGGCUGUUGCUGGUGAACUGUUGGCUGAGGUAUUGGCACGUGCUGGUAAACCGGAGGCGGAAUGAACGGAGGCUGAUUGAAAGCGGGUGGUAUCUGGGUGAAAGCCGGCUGUGUAGUAAAGGUCGGCUAUCUGAAUGAACCACUCGUUUCAUCAUACAGCAUGAGCUCUGCUGUCUUGUUGACCUCCGGAGCGACAGGCUGGUAUGGCGGUACGGUCGGCCGAGUGGCCGCUUGGAAAGGUGCCUGGAAUGGAGGGUUUCCCUGACUGGCCGAUUGAUUCUGACCGGCCGUGGCUGAAGGUGCCCCCCAGGGUGAUGGACUAACUGGAGGGAACGGUGCAGAAGACAGUUGAAUGGAGUUAUACCCCAUAGGAGCUGAUGAUAAGGAAGCACGUGAACCCCCGACAGAAAAUUGGAUCGGCUGCGAAGCCGAAUUUGAAUAAUUCUGGUUUGGUGGAAUCGGCUGAAAAUAUGCCGGUCCCCUGUACCCUUGAGGUAGCCCCCCGGCGAAGGAGUUGACAACAGCAUUGUGCACCAUAUUUGAAAGUACCGGGGACUGAUCGAUGAAGGCGUGAUAAAUAGACUGUUGAAUCAUAUCGGACAUUUUGUCCGAAUCCUCAGAAAUCGUGAUAUGGCGGGGAGGAGGGAAUGGAGUCUUCUUGAUAGUCUCCCCGCUUCUGGAGCGACUGAAAGACUUUAGGCAAGCUUUCCGGAACUGUUCCGUAUACUUGUCCAGUUCUUCCUUCUGGUCGUCCUUCAGAUCUGCUUCCGUCACCUCGAUGACGUUAUCUUCGGAGACUUCGGCAGCUUUCGACAUGAUGGCGGUUGUAUUGGUCCCACCGGGCGUGCCAAAAGUGUGUUGGCGCUAGAAAUCAGUCAACCGAAUCCCAGCGUCCGACACACGACCCGGGAGAAUCUGCUUAGCUCCUGUUCGGGUGAAUGCCCUGGUGCGGUUCGCGCGGCGUGCCAGCCAAUCUGACCUGUUGAUUGGCAAGGAAGAAUACGUGUCAGGUUCAGAAAUCACGAUCGGCUAAGUUUCCGAUCUCGAGAGAGCUUAUCAGCGAAUCGGCCGAUUUGCUAUAAUAAAUAAAUCGGCUAUGAGGUAGCCGAUCACUGUAGCCUUGUAGAUAGGAAAUUACUAGUGUAAUCGAUACAAAACUAUGAUAACAACACUAGGAAUAGAUCUAAUCGGCAAUAGAUGAAUUUAACAACAGAAAGUAAUGAAGCUGAAACUACCGAUUCCUAGCUGGAUAACUGGUGAUAAAACUAGAAAAACAGGCAAAACCCUAUGAUUCUAGUAAAUAUCGAUAACUGGUGAAUAAAUCUAAACGAAACAACAGCGAUACGCCCGAAGUUAAAGCUUAGAUAUUACUCGAUAAGCGGAACUUACAGAAUCGGCUGGAGAUCAAACUGAUGCAGCCCUGCCAAUCCGCACGAACUCGUGAAAAAGAGAAAGGUGUUGGCGAAGUCGCCUGCUUGAAAGUAAGUACGAGAAAAAGUAGUAUGUUGUAUUGAUUGGUUCAUGAUUACAGAUUUACAAAGGUAGCUAUUUAUAGCCCCGUACAGAUAACUUCUUAACCGACUAGAAUUCUAUCCCUAAUUCAAACAGAAAACGAAUAUCUACAAGCAUGAUUCGUGCUAGGUUGGUUACUCCACGCUUCGUGGGCUGAUUUCCACCUCAUCCUUCUAUCCCCUUCCAAGCCCAUUGUUGACGCCGGAUUUUGUCAUCAGUUGAAUCGGCGCCAAGGAGGAAAGAAGUCGAAGAAAUACGGAUGGGAAUCGGUCAAAAGGUGCUAUAGUGCGGAAUCGGUCAGUAGCUCUUACUUCGCUUCAGGGUGAAUGCGCCGGAUUCCCAAUCGGCAAUCCUUUGCCGAUAAGAAAUCGGCCGAUCAGGAAGGUGGACUAAGGUGGGCCUGUAUGGGCUUGGAAAGAUGAAGGGAUAAGGUGGAGUUCAGCCCGCGAAGCGUGGGGUAGUUAGUUUAGCACGGAUUGUGCUUGUAGAUACUUGUUUUCUGUUUGAAUUAGAGAUAGAGUUCUAGUCGGUUAAGGAGAUUAUUUGUACGGGGUUAUAAAUAGCUACCUUUGUAAAUCUGUAAACACAACAAUCAAUCAAUACAACAAGUUACUUUCUUCUUCGUACUUACUUUCGAGCAGGCGACUUCGCCAUCACUUUUUCUUCUCACGAGUUCGUACGGGUUGGCAGGGCUGCAUCAUCUUGAUCUCCGGUCGAUUCUGUAAGUUCCGUUUAUCGAGUAAUAUCUAAGCUUUAACUUCUGGCGCAUCGCUGUUGUUUCGUUUAGAUUUAUUCAUCAGUUAUCGAUAUCAACUAGAUUCAUAGGUUUUUACCUGUUUUCCUAGUUUUUAUCACUAGUUAUCCCGCUAGGAAUCGGUAGUAUCGGCUUUCGUUACCUCCUGUUGUUAGAUCCAUUCAUUGCCGAUUAGAUCUUUUCCUAGUGCUGUUAUCAUAAGCUUUGUGCCGAUUACUUUAGUAUUUUUCUGUCUACAAGGCUACGGGGAUCGUGCUGUUUACUAGCCGAUUUCAUUAUCACAGUAAAUCGGCCGAUUCGCCGAUAAACUCUCUCGAUCGGAAACUUAGCCGAUCGCAGUUUCUGAGCCUGACACGUGUUCUUCCUUGCCAAUCAACAGGUCAGAUUGGCUGGCACGCCGCGCGAACCGCACCAGGGCAUUCACCCGAACAGGAGUUAAGCAGAUUCUCCCGGGUCGUGUGUCGGUCGCUGGGACUCGGUUGACCGAUUUCUAGCGCCAACACACUUUUGGCACACCCGGUGGGACCAAUACAACCGCUGUCAUGUCGAAAGCUGCUGACGUCUCUGAAGAUAACAUCAUCGAAGUGACAGAGGCAGAUCUAAAGAACGACCAAAAAGAAGAUCUGAAUCAGUAUUUGGAGCAAGUCCGUAAAACUUGCUUGAAAUCCUUCAGUCGUUCCAGGAGCGGGGAAACUGUUAAAAAGUCUCCUUUCCCUACUCCUCGCCUGAUCACAAUUUCAGAGGAUUCGGAUAAAAUGUCCGAUAUGAUUCAACAAUCUCUUCAUCACGCCUUCAUCAACCAAUCCCCGGUACUUUCAAACAUGGUGCACAAUGCUGUUGUCAACUCUUUCGCCGGAGGUAUACCACAAGGGUACAGGGGACCUACGUAUUUUCAGCCGAUUCCUCCAAAUCAGGCUUAUCAGGCUUCACAGCCGAUCCAACCCUCUGUCGGAGGACCUGGCGCUUCUACGUCAUCAACUCCUUUGGGAUACGGCUCCAUCCAGCCGUCCUCUGCACCACUCCCUCCAGUCAUCCCUUUACCCUGGGGGGCACCCAUACACACGACCGGUUUAAAUCAAUCGGUCAGCCAAGGAAAUCCUCCGUUCCAGACACCCUCCCAAACGGCCACUCGGCCGAUCUUACCACCAUACCAGCCUAUCGCUCCAGAGGUCAACAAGACGUCAGAGCUCAUGCUAUAUGAUGAAACAAGUGGUACCUACAAGCAGCCGUCCUUUACUGCACCACCGGCUUAUACUCAGAUACCACCUUUUCAUCAAUCUCCUUUUAUUCAACCUCCGAUUUAUCAGCAUGUGCCGAUCCCGCCGCCAACUAUUCCCCAGCAACAACCAGAUUGGUCGGCGCAAAUCGCGGAGGUAAUGCAAGAACAAUUCGGCCUGAAGCCGAAGGUGCAAACGUAUACCUACAGAACACCAUACCCAUCUACGUAUGACUUGUUGCCGUUUCCCCAUCGGUACAAAGUUCCUGAUUUUACCAAAUUUUCGGGGAUGGAUGAUACUUCUACCGUAGAACAUGUGAAUAGAUUCAUCAUACAAUGCGGGGAGGCAGCUACGCAAGAUGCCCUGCGGGUACGGUUGUUCUCGUCAUCCUUGUCUGGAUCGGCCUUCCAAUGGUUCACCACUUUGCCACCAAACUCAAUUAUCACAUGGGCCGAUCUAGAAAGGCAGUUCCACAAGUACUUCUAUGCUGGGGUUCACGAAAUGAAGCUGUCUGAUUUGACUAGCCUCCGGCAAAGAAGUGAUGAGCCGAUACCCUCGUACAUACAGAGGUUUCAGGAAAUCAGAAACAAAUGCUACUCCCUGGCUUUAACCGAUGCACAAUUGGCCGAUAUAGCUUUCCAAGGCCUGCUGCCACACAUUAAAGAAAAAUAUGCUUCACAAGAGUUCGAGAGCCUGAGCCAGAUUGUCCACCGAUUGUCCGGACAAGAGGUGCGUCCAUUCGAUCCAAGAAGGAAUUUUCAGAAGAAAGUGGCAUUCCUGGAAGAAUUAGAAGAUGAGGAAGAUGCCGAAAUCGGGCUUGCAGAGUGGAUUAAGGGAAAGAAGCUGAUAUCGUGCCCGUUCGGCAAGAAGGAGCCGGAAGCAUUUGGUUUCGAUACAACUAAAGCUGACAAAAUCUUCGAUCUUCUACUCCAGGAAGGGCAGAUUAAACUCUCGCCUUACCACACAAUACCCUCUGCCGAACAAUUGAAGAAGAUGAAGUAUUGCAAGUGGCACAAUGCCACAUCACAUGAUACCAACGAGUGCAAAAUCUUCAGACAACAAAUACAGUCGGCCAUUGAGCAGGGCAGACUCAAAUUUGAAGUGCCGGCAAAACCGGCCAAACCAAUGAAAAUCGACCAGCACCCUUUUCCUACCAACAUGGCUGACACAGGAAAGAAUUCUCUCCAAACAAAAGUGCUGACGUCCGAGUCGGCCAAAAAGAGUGGCGCUGUCGAUCCCAGAAAUCAAAUCACGUCUGAAGACGUCAAGGGAAAGCGACGAAUGGAGGACGAUGAUGGUGAGUCAGAAGGGCCACGCAUUACUUCCCAGUUCCUGCUCCAAAAGUACCAGUGCCAACAUGAGCAUUCAAGGUCCCGAGAAGAAGCGAUGCGUCGGCACGAGGAGCACUGGAGAUGUCCAUUCUUCGUACAUUGUUGGGAAAAUAACCUCAGGCUACCAUCGGCAGAUACUUGCCUGGAAUGCAACGGCCCUACCUAGGCAAUCGGCCGUUCGCCAGGUCUCGCUCCAGAGAUAGAAGGCCAGAACCGAUCAGCAGGAAUUGGCGCAACCCAGAUGAGCAGCGCCCUCCCAUGCGUGAUCGGCUGGGGGGCAGAAGUGACCAACAUGAUCGGUCAAAAGGAAGAAGCCAUAAUAGGCAGGGGGGCAGGGCCGAUCGUCAUGAUCAAUCAAGUAGCAAAGCCAGCGUUCACAGCCGGCUCGAAGACAUGGCCGACGCUCGGGUAACGGAUGAGAACCCAUUAGGACGAGAGCCAGAAUGGGAACGCGCCAGGAAAGAAGGGAGGCCAAUAAACCCCAGAUGGUGCCCCGAUGGUUUAACCAAAUCGCAAAAACGGAGAAUCCAACGCCUCCGCCAAUGGGAACAGCAAGAAGAAGAGAGCGCGAUGGACAAGAAGGAAGGGAAGCCUCGGGUGUGGCGCCCCAAAAGGAACGACAAGGGCAACGAUGAAUCGGCGGGUGAUGAAUCGGCAGCCGAAAUCGGUAUGGUUUUCAUAUUGCCGAUGGAGUUCAUGACCCCUGCCGAUCAACAGAACGUGUCGGCAAUAGAGGAACAAACAGCACGGUUGGCUUUAGAACCAAUGAUGGCCACGUUCGAAAAGCCCGAAGAUGACGAACGACAACAUAUGAAGGCGUUGUUCCUUAAAGGGCAUGUUGACGGUCGCCCCCUCACCAGAUUGAUGGUCGACGGGGGAGCUGCCGUCAACAUCAUGCCGUAUACCGUACUCCGAAAGCUGGGAAAGAGCGACGACGACCUAACCAGGACGGACAUGAUGCUCAAGGACUUCGAAGGCAAGGUGUCAAACGCUCGCGGUGCCCUCUGCGUCGACCUCACCAUCGGCAGUAAGACCCUUCCUACCACAUUUUUCGUCAUUAAUGGCAAAGGGUCCUAUAAUAUGCUUCUUGGCCGAGACUGGAUACACGCAAACUGCUGCAUCCCGUCAACUAUGCAUCAAUGCCUUGUACAAUGGGUCGAUGAUAACAUCGAGGUGGUCAAAGCCGACUCCGCGUACAGCAUCGCAGCAGCCGACGCACAACAAUGGAGCUGCGAAACCGUCAGGUGCAUAUCAGGUAGGGUGUGGGAAACUGAUUUCCUGAAAGUCACCGAUUUUGGCCUACAGCCGAUCCGAGCAGUCGGCUCCGAAGAAGCGCAAUAGAUGGAUCAGUUCGCCCGAGAAGACGGAAAGCUGGGACACGGAUUCACGUCGGCCGAUUCAUUGGAGAUGGUAGAUUUAGGUGACGGGACCAAACCAAGGCCGACUUUUAUUAGUGCAAAUUUAGAUCCAGAGUAUAAAUGUAAGUUGACAAAUUUAUUAAGAGAAUUCAAGGAUUGUUUUGCUUGGGAGUAUCACGAGAUGCCCGGAUUAGAUCGGUCUAUUGUUGAACAUCGGCUACCCAUAAAGCCAGGGUAUCGGCCGUACGAACAACCCGCACGGCGAUGCAAUCCUAAAAUUUUACCAGACAUAAAAGCCGAAAUAACUCGGCUAAUUGAAGCAAAAUUUAUUCGGCAAUGUCGCUAUGCCGAGUGGAUUUCUAAUAUCGUACCAGUGUACAAGAAAAACGGGAAGCUACGCGUUUGCGUCGAUUUCAGGAAUCUUAAUCAGGCCACACCAAUGGAUGGCUACCCCAUGCCUACGGCCGAUGUAUUAAUCGACGCUGCCGCGGGACACAAAAUUAUCAGCUUCAUGGAUGGAAAUGCCGGAUACAAUCAAAUACUUAUGGCCGAAGAGGACAUACCCAAAACGGCUUUCAGAUGUCCAGGCCACCUUGGUCUAUUCGAGUGGGUGGUGAUGACUUUCGGCUUGAAGAAUGCUGGUGCCACAUAUCAGAGAGCCAUGAACUACAUUUUUCACAAACUCAUUGGCCUCCUGGUGGAGAUCUACAUCGAUGACGUUGUGGUCAAGUCCAAAAGCCACGAGGAACACCUAGCCGAUUUGCGAAAGGUGCUAGAGUGUACCAAAAAGCAUGGUCUUAAGAUGAAUCCCAACAAAUGCGCUUUCGGCGUCUCCGCCGGACAGUUCUUAGGAUUCAUGGUGCACGAACGAGGUAUAGAAGUCAAUCAGAAGACCAUAGCGGCCAUCAACAAAGUCAUCGCUCCACAGAACAAAACUGAGCUACAGUCUCUAAUCGGCAAGGUAAACUUCAUCAGAAGGUUUAUAUCUAAUCUAUCUGGACGGAUUCAGGCGUUCACACCACUCCUAAAGUUGAAGCCAGACCAGGAAUUUAUAUGGGGAGAAGAACAGCGUAAGGCAUUAGAAGACAUCAAGCGAUACUUGGUCUCACCCCCAGUCCUGGUUCCCCCUCAAACGGGUAAGCCGUUUAAACUAUAUUUAUCAGCCGAUGAAAAAGCUAUUGGGUCGGCUCUAGUCCAAGAGUUUGAAGGCAAAGAACGGGUAAUUUAUUACGUUAGUAGAAGACUCCUGGAUGCCGAAACAAGAUAUCCUCCAGUGGAGCGUUUGUGUUUGUGUCUUUACUUCUCGUGCACCAAACUCAGGCACUAUCUACUGUCGGCAGAAUGUAUAGUCGUAUGCAAAGAUGAUGUAGUAAAAUACAUGCUGUCACUGCCGAUAUUGAAAGGACGAAUCGGUAAGUGGAUCUUAGCUUUAUCAGAAUUUGACCUACGGUACGAAUCGGCAAAAGCCGUCAAGGGUCAAGUCAUGGCCGAUUUUGUCGCCCAGCACUGUGGGCCGGAAAUCGCUAUCGUGGAGCUAGCGCCUUGGCAAUUAUUUUUUGACGGGUCAUCAUGCGGGGUCGGAUCAGGAAUCGGCAUCGUUCUCAUAUCGCCUCGGGGGGCAAGAUAUGAUUUUUCUCUGCCGAUAGAGACCGCCGCCACAAACAAUCAAGCAGAGUACAGAGCUGUAUUAAAAGGCUUACGAUUAUUGAGAGAAGUCAAAGCCGAUUCUGUUGAGGUCUUCGGAGAUUCGAUGUUAAUCGUGGAUCAACUAACCGGAAGGGCCGAAUGCAAAGAUGACAUAUUACGGAUUCAUCACGAAGAUUGCUUACAACUUUUGAAAGAAUUCAAAUCGGCAACAAUCGAGCACGUCCCAAGAGACCGCAACGAGGAAGCAAACAAACUCGCUCAACACGCAUCUGGGUAUCGGCCGAUUCCAGGCGUCAUGGCCUUAGAACUUGCAGCCGACGACUGGCGUAAGGAAAUUGCCGAUUACCUGAAGGAUCCGUCCAAAAAGGUGGAGCGGCGAGUGCGCUUUCAUGCCACCAAGUACGUAUUGCUCGAAAAUGAUCUGUUCUACCGAACGAUCGACGGUGUUCUUCUUAAAUGCCUUGGGACGGAAGAAGCUAAGACUCUAAUGGGAGAAAUCCAUGAAGGGGUAUGCGGAGCUCACCAAUCAGCGCAUAAGAUGAAGUGGAUGAUCAGAAACAACGGGUACUAUUGGCCUACGAUCCUCGAAGACUGUUUCAAAUAUUAUAAGGGUUGUCAGGAGUGUCAAAAGUUCGGAAAUAUCCAACGUGCACCCGCGUCGGCCAUGAACCCCAUCAUCAAACCAUGGCCAUUCAGAGGGUGGGGAAUAGACCUUAUCGGCCAAAUUUAUCCACCAUCGAGCAAGGGGCACAAGUUCAUCCUGGUUGCUACCGAUUACUUCACCAAGUGGGUGGAGGCAGUCCCAUUAAGAACUGUGACUUCGGCUAUCAUGGCCGAUUUCGUAAGGGAUCACAUCGUCUACCGAUUCGGUAUCCCUCAAACUAUAACAACCGAUCAAGGAACAAUGUUCACAUCGGGAGAAUUUGAGGAAUUUACAACCGAUAUGGGCAUCAAAUUGCUAAAUUCUUCUCCGUACUACGCUCAAGCCAAUGGUCAAGCAGAAUCUUCCAACAAAGGAAUAAUCAAGUUGAUCAAAAGGAAGAUUGAAGAGUACCCGAAGAAGUGGCACCUAUGUUUGACCGAAGCCCUGUGGGCAUACAGAAUGGCCUGUCAUGGGGCCACCAAGUUAUCUCCCUAUCAGUUGGUAUACGGUCACGAUGCAGUACUUCCAUGGGAGUCGAGGGCAGGAUCAAGGCGCAUUUUACUUCAGGACCAAUUGUCAGCCAAUGACUACUCAGCUCUGAUGAAGGAAGAACUCGAUGAUGUGGCCGGUCAGCGACUAAGGGCUCUGAUAAGUAUCGAAGAAAAUAAGAAGAGAGUGGCCAGGUGGUACGAUAAAAAGGUCAAAGUCAAGCUGUUCUCCCCCGGAGACUUGGUAUGGAAGUUGGUACUACCGAUCGGGUCGAAAGAUCCUAAAUUCGGCAAAUGGUCUCCUACCUGGGAAGGGCCGUAUAAAAUCGGCAGAUGCGCUCCAGGGAAUGCCUAUAUCUUAGAAACAAUAGAAGGAGAAGAAUUCACUAGAGCUCUGAAUGGGAGGUACUUAAAAAGAUAUUACCCAAGUAUAUGGGUCGGUGCCUAAGGAAUCAUACAUGACCGAUACGAUUCGGUCUUGAGAUACACAUAAAGUCGACCGGAACAGCCGAUUAGAUUCAUUCGGUACGGGCGACAGGUCACAUGGCCGACAAAAUACAGCAACUAAUUAUUCUUUUUCUUACGCUCCCUCUCAGCCCGACCUAACUCUAUCAUGAGUCGGAUGUAUUCUUCUUCUAUGGCCUUCAUUGAAAUCUCCGCUUCGACUUGACGGGGGAAAUCUACGGGAGGGCGCGAAGUCCCCGCUCCCGCGUCUUCAAGAACGAUUUGCCGAGGGAGUGGAUGACUCUUGUCGAUGGGAGAUCGCCGGCUGCCGUUCCUCUCCACGAAGUUCAGGAUCGUUCGGGCCUCCGUGGCGAUGUCGUCUUCAAGAUCGCCACAACGACCGCCCCUGACAGGUGGAGAUUGAUGGUUACUUUCACUCACCACGGAAUCCAAGACUACGCGAGCCUCCGUGGUAAUGUGGUCCUGGAGCUCCUCUCGGUGAGCCAUGAUCAGCAUCUUGUCCUCCGACGUUAAUGGAUCUUCGGAAUGAAUGCACUCAAUGGCGCGCACAAGCUCGGGGCUAAGACGUUGAUGCUGAAACAAAGAAGGAAUAAGGGGGGAUACUCUUUUCCUUAGGGGCUUAAAAAAGAAAGGAAGGUGGAGGUCAAAGACUUCACCUGGUUAACAGAGGAAGAAGAAGACGACGAGGCCAUGGCAAAGAAGUUGCGCCGGUGAGAAGGGGCAGAAAAGUUAAACCGAGAGCCAAGAUUGGUGCUACCAGGAGUAAGCGCCGAGGUUGGUAUUUAUAAAAGUAUGCGUCGAAAUCUGGUAAAGCUACGUCCCAUCGGUAAUAAGAAGGCAAUAAAUAGAAAGGGCGUCGCGAGGGGCGGUCAAAGAAGAUAAUAAAUGAUUCGUACAAAACGGUCAGUAUUUUUACAGAUUACCCAGAAGGGUAUCGAUAGUCGUGAUGGCCCGACGCCGGAUCUGAUCGGCAGAGUCAAGAACCCGUUGGUCUUCGUCCGCCGAUCCGGGAACCUCCGAUGCGCUGCGAUGGAGUCUCAGUGCCUCGUGAGCAAAGCGUUGCCUCUCCUGUGUCAAAUCGGCAAUAACAGAAGGAAGCUCUUGGAGUUUGUUCUCUUCGGCACUGAUUGCCUUGGUCACUUGCUCCAUUUCCUUGGCGAGCUCCGCCCUCCGACGCUUGAGACGGUCUAUCUCACCUAUGAUCGCCGGGCGGGAGUCUUCUAGAACAUGAAUACGCCGAUUCGCCUCUUGAGCCUGACGUUUGAAAGCGUCUUCCUCUUCGCGAACCUUGGUCAGCUUGGCGCGAUCGGCCAUGUGACGAAGGGCUCUGAAGACCGGGAUCCUCAUAGACUCGAUGAAGGCUGCCGGCGCCAGGGCCUCCUCCGCCUCUUCUGGUACUCGUCCGCUGACGUCAUUGAAGAGCUGCCGAAUCGGUGAAGCGUCUUCUACUAAUCGGCCGAUGUCCCCUUGAAGGAGGGAUCGGAUGCUGGAAAGUUUCGCUCGGACGUCAUCAGGAACGGAACUCAAGGCAACUUGGCGAGAAGCAACUUCUUCGUCGUCAGAGAGGGCGACCGCAAAAGAAAAGAGGCUGUUGUCGGGGGUAUCCUGUUCCUGAAGAUAAUAAAGAAAAGAAAUAAACCACCUGCAAGAAAGAGUAAAUCGGCUAAGAUAGAAGCCGAAACAGAAAAUUACCAUUUUGAAGCGAAUCUCCUCAUGUUGCACUUGAGAAGCCGCCAUGCCUUGCUCGGGGGCCUGCGCCAUGGGUUCAUCAGAUGAAGAGGACUCCACGGUAAUCGGCGCAGUGUUUGGACCAACCUCCUGACAAGAAAUCGGCGAUCGAGGAGCGAUUGAUGUGCCGAUGGCCUGUGUCAGAAGUUUGAAUAAAUACGUUACGAGAAUGCCCAAAGGAAAUCGGUACGAGAGGUUCUAUACCUUAACGGAAGGAAAUGGGGGCGCGUCAAUAGCUGGAGGGGCUGCUGCCGAUUGUGGUACUUCUGUAGGGAUGCUCUGUGCAGUUUAAGGUUAAAGAAAAGUUAAUAUCAAAUACUAAUCGGAGGCAGCUCAACUCAGUGUUACCUGUAUGGCCUCCAACAACAACGAUGCGGCGGCCGCCCCAGCUUGCGUCAUGGUUUGAGCAUCGGCACUUUGAAUAACCUGAGAAGGUGGUACGGCCGAAGUUUCUGCCGAUACGUGCACAGGAGGAUCCGCCGAUUCCGUACGAGCCCGGACUCGGCGACUGGUCUUCUUAGUGGUCCUUUUAUGAAUUUGUUUCAAUCGGCCAGUGAUCACGUCAACAGACGGGGCGUCAUAGCCGAUAAGGGGAUAAGUAGUGUAUGGAUAACUCUCUAUUAGUCGUCCGCUGCGGCUGUGUGUUGGAGGGGUCCGAUUCUCGGCCUAGAAUAAUAAAAUCAUUAGUACUCGAUCAUGUUAAGAGGAAUAAAAGGGAAUAAAAAUCGGCUAUGUGAAGUACCUCGGCGUUUGGAUCAAUGUUGGCCGGGUCCAGAAGAUUGCAGUAUGCCGAUGCUGAGUUGCAGAAGAGGAAUUGCUUCCAAUCGGCCCACCAAAGUUUGAACGGCUGGACGGCAAAUGGAGCUACUAGCCAGUCGUUCAAGUUAAUUGUACUGGAAUCUGGAAUUCGGUCUCGCAACCGACCGUAAUCUAGGCCAGUUGUGAGCGCAUCCCUAAACUUGAUUUUGCCAGCAAAGUACACCUGAAUCGGCAACUGACCCAUGCCGAAUUGUCGUGCUGCAGCAGAAGGGUUGUAGAAUUCGUAUGUAGGGGCAUCCUUCCCUGAGAAGAAGUUGGCCGGUAGGAGCCCUGGCUUGAUCAACCCUUCAUAGAGAUCUUCAUCAAACCGGCCAGAAGUUGAAUCAAAACAGGAGGGGAGCUCGAAAAUUGGAAUGUCCCGCUGGUAAGGAAACCAGAUAGUUGCGUCCUCAUUAAAUCCAUUAUAAAAGCACCAAAAGUACUCGGCUACCUUUGUAGCGGAAUACGCACAACCUGGGAAAGCUGAUGCCGCUUCACCAUAAGACAUGCAUCGGCGACGCUCGGUAGGGUCUUCCGCCGAUUCAAUAUUGGGAAACGUCAUGUGGUCCACUGGCUGCCGGGUGAUCCUGUUCAUAUAAAGGUUCAACCAUAGAUUGAUGAACCACCAAGGUCCGCCUGGGUUGCCGAUUGGUUCUCCCUUGGAAAGUCUUGUGCCGAUUUGAUGGAGCAUGUGGUACACAGCACCCAGAAGAUGUUUCCCGAGAGGAAUGUGGCUUCCUUUGGAUAGUGCCUCGGCUAAAGAUUGGGUGUUGGUUGUUGGGCCGGCGGCUCUUCCACAGAAAAGGUGUUUUUCUAGCCACAUCAUCAGGAAAGCGGUGUGCUCCCUGUUAUCAACAGUACCGGUCUUCUUGUUAUUACUAAUAAAGCCCUUCCAGCCGCCGAUUCCUCUUGUGUCCAGCCGAUGCGACGGUACGGUCAGAAGUUGGAAAGGCGUGUUAGGGGAAGAUAUGUCCAGGCCGGUCAAGAGGACCACAUCGGCCAAAGUAGGGGUCAUAGGACCGUGUCCAAAUAAGAAUGCAUUAAGUGCGUCAGACCAAAAAUAGGAAGCCGCCAUCACUAGCGGUUCGUUUCUCUCCAUUUGCGACAGGGAAAGGUUGAUACAUUGGACGAUUUUGAGCUCAUCCCACGAGACGCUCCUUGACGCGGCUACCCGUUGGUACAAUUCCCUCCAACCUGGGGUUUCAUUCGACCAAGAUCUAAAAGUGCUGGCCCAUUGAUCUAAGUUCAUAUCAGAUCGUUUGAAAGGUAUCCGGUCAGUUUCCAGGUUUAUGAAGUCUGCUGGGUCCAGGUCUCCCAUAGGACCAAGGCAAACAAGGCCAGGACUACCCGUGAGAUGAAUAGUAAUUCUAUGUCUAACUGCCUAAAAAAAAACGGGCAUAAGAAUAUAAAGAGUAGAUCUAAGACAAAUAUGUUACUGAUAGAGGAAAGAUUCGGUAUUUACCUCCGGUAUAAAAUUCUGAGUAAUCGGUGUGGUCGCCGAUGCAGAUGCGGAUGUUGGGGUCGCAAUGGGGAUCGCCGUUGGGAUCUUUGAUGAAGCUCCUUCAUCUGUGGAUGGAGUGACGGUUGUCGCCACUGUUACCGGAGGUGCGUCCUCUGGGGUAUCGCGUGCAGGAGAGCUGCUGGAAGGAGUCGCCAUUGAAGGGAAGGGGAAAAAAGUGACCGGAGCUGGAACUGGAAGGCUUCGAUGGCAAGAUUGAAGAAGGAAGGAGGUGCGCGUGUUGGGAAAGGAGACGUGAGCUUGAAGAUGAGCUGCGGUGAAAUGUUAUUUAUAGGAUGCCUGAAGAAAGGGUAAAAAUGGAAUUUUCACCGCGCCGGCGCGUCGGGUUUUUCGGGGUAGUGGCUGUCGUGGGCGCCCGUUUCAAAAAUUGCAAUGAUCAGCCGGGAGACCGCGCAACGGAAGGAUAUUUUCAUUGCGGCCGUUUCGGAGGGGAAGUUAUAAAGAAUUUCGAAGUAAAAGACUAUGUUUUACUCCGAAACUGGGGGGCAUGUGUUGACGCCGGAUUUUGUCAUCAGUUGAAUCGGCGCCAAGGAGGAAAGAAGUCGAAGAAAUACGGAUGGGAAUCGGUCAAAAGGUGCUAUAGUGCGGAAUCGGUCAGUAGCUCUUACUUCGCUUCAGGGUGAAUGCGCCGGAUUCCCAAUCGGCAAUCCUUUGCCGAUAAGAAAUCGGCCGAUCAGGAAGGUGGACUAAGGUGGGCCUGUAUGGGCUUGGAAAGAUGAAGGGAUAAGGUGGAGUUCAGCCCGCGAAGCGUGGGGUAGUUAGUUUAGCACGGAUUGUGCUUGUAGAUACUUGUUUUCUGUUUGAAUUAGAGAUAGAGUUCUAGUCGGUUAAGGAGAUUAUUUGUACGGGGUUAUAAAUAGCUACCUUUGUAAAUCUGUAAACACAACAAUCAAUCAAUACAACAAGUUACUUUCUUCUUCGUACUUACUUUCGAGCAGGCGACUUCGCCAUCACUUUUUCUUCUCACGAGUUCGUACGGGUUGGCAGGGCUGCAUCAUCUUGAUCUCCGGUCGAUUCUGUAAGUUCCGUUUAUCGAGUAAUAUCUAAGCUUUAACUUCUGGCGCAUCGCUGUUGUUUCGUUUAGAUUUAUUCAUCAGUUAUCGAUAUCAACUAGAUUCAUAGGUUUUUACCUGUUUUCCUAGUUUUUAUCACUAGUUAUCCCGCUAGGAAUCGGUAGUAUCGGCUUUCGUUACCUCCUGUUGUUAGAUCCAUUCAUUGCCGAUUAGAUCUUUUCCUAGUGCUGUUAUCAUAAGCUUUGUGCCGAUUACUUUAGUAUUUUUCUGUCUACAAGGCUACGGGGAUCGUGCUGUUUACUAGCCGAUUUCAUUAUCACAGUAAAUCGGCCGAUUCGCCGAUAAACUCUCUCGAUCGGAAACUUAGCCGAUCGCAGUUUCUGAGCCUGACACGUGUUCUUCCUUGCCAAUCAACAGGUCAGAUUGGCUGGCACGCCGCGCGAACCGCACCAGGGCAUUCACCCGAACAGGAGUUAAGCAGAUUCUCCCGGGUCGUGUGUCGGUCGCUGGGACUCGGUUGACCGAUUUCUAGCGCCAACACCCAUACAGGCCCAUUUAACCCAUCCUCCUAAUCGGCCGAUUCCUCAUCGGCAAAAGGCUACCGAUUGGGACUCUGGUAUAUUCGACCCGAAGCAAGACAGAAGUCACCGGCCGAUCUCACACUGUAGCACCAUUUGGCCGAUUCCCAACUGUGCUUGUCCGAUUCCCUCUCUUCUUGGCGCCGAUUCUACUAGUGACGAAAUAUGGCGUCAACACAAACGCUACACCGUAACAGGGUAGUUAAAAAGGUAGCUUUCGGGUUUGUCAGGAAGCAUGCUGUGAGGCAUGGUCAAUCAAGAUGGGAUUUGCCCCUCUCUGAUUGAGAGUGAUAUCUCUGGGCCCCUUGAGUGAUCGGACCUGAAAAUGCAUGGCCAUGCUACGUACGGUUAAGAGUUAACCUACAAAGGGAUUCCGAAUCACAGGAUCAAGAAAGAGCGGUCGGUUUGAAUCUAGACCAAAUAUCGUGAGGCAAAGGGAAUAGCAUGUACGUGAUGUUGUGACGGUUCGUCUGAUAUGAUAUUCGUGUGCGUAUAGGAGUUGGCACGUCUUGCUAGAGGUCACUACCGACUAUUGGGCCGAGUAGGAGUACUCGGGCCAUGUCUAUACGUAUCCGAACCCAUAGGGUCACACACCUAAGGGGCUGGAAGCCUAAUUCAGAUGUGAUCCGAGUUGGAUCAGGUUUAGAAGUACUAAUGGGCCUCGGACUCUGAGGCCCGUCAGGAACCUCUAUAAAUAGAGGGGUGGGGUGCCCUAGGGUUUCAUCCUUUUGGCCGAAACACAUCUGCCGCGCCUCCCACGCCCUCGCCCUGUUGCAACUCGUGGACCUAGUAGUUCGACUUGCGACGCUUCCUCCCUGCACGUGUGGAUACCUUGGAGGUGUUGCACCUGCAGCACUUGGACGAGCCGCCGAUGAGCCGCGGCACUAGGACGAUCUUGCUGCACGUGGACGAGCUGCUGAGGAGCUGCUCGACGUCGACGUGAUUGACUACGUGUUCGACUACGCUGAUCGACUUCGCUGCCCCGACGCGAUUCUACAUCUUCCGCACCAGUGCGUCAAGUGGUAAUCCCGUGAUCCAUAUACGGCAGUUUUCCUAGUUUACGUGGUAGAAAAAUUUUGUUUUGCGCUAGCGUAGCCUACCUCGUAUCCCAACAGAGAUGACCGUGGGAGAGCCUCGACCGAAAGAGGAGGGUCGGAGAGCACACGACUGAGGGAGCUGCGCGGAAACGGCUGCCGACCCCGUCUCAGCCCUGCCCUCCAACGCGCCCUCCGGCGUGAUGACCUCCGGGAAGCAGACGGCCUCGAGUACAGGCCCAGCAAGUGAUGCCGCAAGUGACCUCCUCUCUGGCCGCCCUGCUGAUCCCAUUGACGGCGGCGAGAGUGCAGCAGCAGUGGAAGACUAGCCCUAGUGGAAUAACCCCAGCCACGCGACGUCCGCCGUCCGGUGCUAGUGGGCGCCCCUGCGAGCUAGGACGGUCCUAGCGACGCAAGGGUGGCAAGGCGGCCUCCUCGCGCAUCGGGUCCAAGAGACACUUAUCUCUUCUCCCUCCUCCUCCUCACCCUUUCUUCCAAGCGGGGGGGGGGGGAGGGGCGGGCCGCCAGCGUUGUGGCUCUUUUUUUAUCUUUUUGAAACUUUUUAGUCCCGGUUGGUGUUAUCAACCGGGACUAAAGGGGGUCUCUAAUCCUGGUUGAAUGACUCGGGACUAAAGACCCCCCUUUCGUCUCGAAAAUUUUAUCCCGGAUGGUUUUUUGGUAGAUUUGAGCCCUACCAAACGGGACUAAUGCUCAGUUUUCUACAAGUGAGCGGAGGCAAGGCUGGUCAUCAUGCCAAUCUACUGGGAUAGGACCAACUAUGACCUUCUCCAAGGGCAGCAAGUCCGGCCCGGGUGGAGGCUCCCCACCAUGUCGAGGAACUCUGUGACACUCGCCUUCGACUCCGUCUCAGGAGCCAAGGCGAUGAGAUUGCAUGACGAUCCCAAGAUCUCUUAAGCCGGUACCCCGACAAUGCGCACCGUCAGGCGGUAGUCCAUCGAGGCCAGACUCGCCCAGCUCUCGCGCCACCAGCACCGAAAUGUCAGUCGUACAGCACUCUCCGGCACCAGUGCAUGGAGAACUCGCCUAUGUAUCACCAAUAUGGCGAUAUGAUACGGCGAUGAGAUACAUCGAUACGCGAUUUUGGAAAACAACACAGUGGUAAUAUAGAGAGAGUAUCGGAGUAUCGAAGUAUCGGAUACCGGUACGACAGGGUCAGUGAAGUAUCGGUGAUUCGAACCUGCAACAUGGCGUCAUAGUCCCGGAAGAUGACGAGAAAGUCCUCUGGGUAGUGAGGGUGAACCAUGAAGGUGCAGACACUGGCAGCGUCGGCGAAGACGACUGGGGCGGCGGUGUCGGGAACCGCGACCCCUGUCCUCCAGCGGCGACCCCCGCCCUUUGCCUCUGGGGAGCCGGACGACCCACAGCCCGGCGAGGAGCGCCUGAUGACCAGCUGCAGUAGCCCACAUGGGCCGCAGUAGCCUGCAUGGGCUGCGGCAGCCCACAAUCGUCAGCCCGAUGCCCAACCUGAUGGCACCUGAAGCACCUGGCGGCACUGGGGCAGCGGGCGGGUGUCAAUGUUGUUGCUAUACAUGUUCUGCUGUGUCGCUACCUCCUAAUCUUGUCUCUGAGUCUGUUUUGUGCAAAAGCUGAUGCAACGGAACCAUUGAACCAAAAGUUUUUCUGUAUAUCUCUUUCUCAACCAUUUCAAUUGUGAUUACGAUUCAUGUUCGGUUUGUACCAUUCCCAUUUCUUUUACUAUAGUUUAGACACUAGGACACUAUCUGAUAGAUAUUCUUUUCUUCCGAGGCAACUACAAACUUUUGAAUUUUAUUAUUUACAAUUACUAGUUAUUAACAUCUGAAAAAUAUAAUUGCAUGCACUAUAUUAACGGUUCUAGUACUUGAAUGCAUAUGAGUGAUUCAAGUUACUUUUCAUGUGUAACAGGGGUAAAACAAUUAAAGGUUUCAGUUGCAUAUUUUAUUCAGCUCAGGAUAUCGUGUUCCGACUGAUGAAACUUGCCAGGCACGAAUUUACAAUUCCCACAGCUUUAGCAUGUUUCAUCAGUGUUGUCGUAAGAGAAACUUCACAUUAGUUUCCCUAGUGUUAUCAGCAAGUUCUGUGUCAAGCAAAGAUGAGUUUCAUUGAUACCUCCCGUAUCAUAGUAAGAAUUGUGAUCAAAUUUCAGUUUUAUUAAUCUUUGACAAUUAGUGAUCAAAUUUCAUGAUUUCAAAAAAGCUUCAAGCUAAAUCUCAACGGAUGAGGUUGGCAGCUAUGAGGCAGGGGCAACCCAUUCGCGAAUCCUGACUUAGGAACCAGAUUGGGAAGACAGUUCUCUUGACCAGAUUUCGGCACAGUGAAGUUUCAAGCAGGCUUCGUUUGGUAGCUGUGGGGCACCCGCCACGUGUGAAACAAACCAGGUGAGGAUUGGGUGGAACCCCUCCUCCCACCGAAUCCCUCCCAGACUGGAGGUUUAGCCUGUUGCUUAAUUUGUAUCACUAGUCCGGUUUUUAAAAAAUAUUGUAAACUAGGAUUUAUGUUUAUACCUUGUUAACCCGUUGUCUUUUAAAGGCAUACCAUCCCCACACACAAUCGAAAAUCAUUUGUACAUUCAUUAACGUGUCCAUCAUCUUAGUCACCAAAUUCUUUGACACGACCAUCAAUUUUUGUAAUAAUAAUCAAAGUAUCAACAGAAUACCUUUUUUAAAGGCUUGUGCAUGAUCAAAUGCAGCCUGACCAAUACUACUGUCCAUAAAAAAUAUCACCAAGUCUGGUUACACAGGAAGAACAUAAGAUUUGUGGUGAAAUUUCGCUAGGUUUCUUCAGGAUAUUGCUGAAAGUCGGAACUUCAAUUAUUUGUGAAUUUCAAGUGCACAUGCUGAUGUCAUCAGAAAAUGCGAUGCCAUCCAAGUGAGAAAAGGUUGUUCAAAUCUGAAUUGGUGCCCCCAAAAGGCCACUGGCCGGAACAACAAAUCAUCGAGUGGUUCAUUUCCAAGAACAAAAACUGCAAAAAAAAUCUGCAUUUUGACAGAAUGCCAAAUACGUAUAUAUGUAAGAUCAAUUUAUAAAUUUGUUAUGGAUGUAUAUCAGUUUAAAGUCGUCCAAAGGAGGCAUAUAUGUAACAUUUAUCAAAGAUAUUGGUUUUACAUAAGGUAACUACUUCAUAAGAUAAAUCUGUUUGGUAGUUUACAACACAGGUUAUGUUUUUUCCAAGAUGCUCCUCCGCGUCACAGUCAGCAGAAAUAAGGCCAACUUCUUCGUCUACAAGCCCAACGGAGUGCCAUCGCUACGGCCGAUCCAGAUCCUUGGCCCCUGCCAGGCUCAUCGCUGCACUGUUGCCCUCCUUGGCAACCGUGACAUCACCCCUCUUCCCUCACACUUAGGGAUGGCAAUGGGGAAUUCCCCGUAGGCGAAUGUCCCCCAUCCCCGUCCCUGUGGAGAGAAAACCUCCCCAUCCCCGUCCCCACCAAUUCUCCUAGGGGCAUUUUCUUACCAUCCUCAUCCCCAAGAUCCUUGUCCCCGCGAACUAUUAAAUGCAAAAUGCUGUUGGAGUAGACUAUAGAUAAUAAAGGUGCAAACAUAAGCAAAUGGUGCCACGAAGUAAGAACAGUCAAAUAUUCCUCGCAAUGUCGAUUGCCAAGAAACGCCGACAAUUAAUUAUCGUGUAGAAUCCAAAGAAAAUACAAUGAGCAAAAGGAACCAAAGAAGAGAUUAAAGAGGCCACCGAAUGGAACAAAUAAUUAACUGAAUCUCUUUCUUAACAUUUUGACCACGUCUACUUUACAUCCAAUCACUCCCUCCUUGCCCGCUAGCCCCUGGCCCUGCCUCCUCUCUCGGUCCCUCCAGGACUUGGCGUUGACGAAGCGCAGGUGCAUGCGCGCAGCAGCAACGGCCAGCAGGACUGCGGACUGCAGGGGCCUGUGGCCCGCAGGCUGGGGGUGGCCGGUGACAGCUAGCAAGGAGAAGGGCAGGUGAGAGACCGAGCCGCUGAUGGGUGAGGGGCCAGAUGGGGUCAGCACUCAGCAGCGGCCAUCGCCCAUCGGCAGCUAGUGGCGGGAUGCGCCGCUAUGUGCAGGAUGGGGCGGCAGCGGUUAGGGAUGUUUGAUACACCAUUCUAAACUUUAGGACAUGUUACAUCGGAUGUUUGGAUACUAAUUAGGAGUAUUACAUAUAGUUUAAUUAUAAAACUAAUUGCACAGAUGGAGUCUAAUUUGCGAGACGAAUCUAUUAAGCCUAAUUAAUUCAUGAUUUGAUAAUAUGGUGCUAUAGUAAUCAUUUACUAAUGAUGGAUUAAUUAGGCUUAAUAGAUUCGUCUCACGAAUUAGUAUAGGGGUUCUGCAGUUAGUUUUAUAAUUAGCUCAUGUUUAAUCCUCCUAAUUAGCAUCCGAACAUCCGAUGUGAUCCUCCUAAAAUUUAGUACCUCGUAUCCAAACACCCCCUUAGCUAGGAGAGGGGUGGGUCACGAGUGAGCGAGAGAGUUAGGGUUUGGAAGUUUACCAGAAGCUUAUAUACCCAUGGUAGCGGGCCUCGGUGUGGUGGGCUGCUAGGCCAAAACAUGGCAGGUGUGCUGGAGUUACUUUGCACUGACACGUUGGCCAUUUGCUCGAUGCAGGAGCGAAAGCAGAAACGACAUGGCAUAUUUAAUAUGGGAUACCCUCACAAGCUGAUUAAUAGAAUCAAUGAGGAGUAUGAUGCCUUUUAUCCACAAAUGCAACUAUCAGGUGGUGCUGAAGAGCAACAGGAUACCGGAGACACUAUAGAUUUGGAUUAGUGUUCUAUUAAAAAGGAUGUUUUAUGAUGUGCUAUGUUUUUUGUGGUGAAGUCUUAUACCAAAUGGCAUAGGUCUACGUCUAGCUUGUUGAAAAUAUGUAUCAAUAGUCGUGGCUAGUUUUGGAUUAGUGUUCUAUUAAAAAGGGAUGUUUAAUGACGUGUUAUGUUUUUUUUGAAAUAUUAUACCAAAUGGCAUAGGUCUGCGUCUAGCUUGUUGAAGUUCUGUAUCAAUAGUUAUGGCUAGUUUCGUAUUAAGAAAUGUCAGUUUCAUGCCAUGAUAUAUAUUAUCUUUUAUAUGUAAGACUGCAAUGGUAUUGGUUAGAUUUGCCUCUGGCAUGAUGGUUCUAUUUCUCUUUACUAUGAUACUCUUCUUGUGUUCAGAAGGGGAUGUGUAAAAAUGGUUUUGUGUACCCAAAGUAUAUUUGAGCUUUGUGCAUGACUUUGUGCAAGACCUAGACCACUUGAUUGCCUAGGCAAUUGAUCUACUUGACUGAACUAUUCAUAUUGCAUUCCUGAAGAUAGUACUAUCGUGUCGAUACAUCUAUUUGCCGUAUGAUGAUUCAUACUAUAUGAGAAAAUAUUAUAAAAUAAUCAUCACUAUGAUAUUUAUUUUGCAUGAUUAUAGUCCAAUAGUCCUUAAUCAAUCUUGUUAUGGCUUAAUAUUCUUUAAAAUACAUUAAUAUCACUUAAUACAUACUCCCUCCGUCCCGCAAAGAGUGUCCAUUUAGAAAAUUUCAGACACACGUAGUGAGAAACGUCUAUGUUGCCUUUAAUAACUAAUACUAAUUAUGAUUGAAAAUCGUGCAAUCUGCUUAGUUUUCUGGAUCCUAAAUAAAUGCACCUGUAUUGGAACCAGAGAAAUAACAUCAAUUGAUCAUUUGAUUGGCUCUACGCGCUUUCUCCAUAUGCUCUUUUUAUAGUGUGAGUGUUGCUUUAAUUAGAUGAAGUUUAUUAGGAGGUAAAAUGAUACUUUUGUGGGAUAAAUUUUAGAGUUUAAAUGGGUACUCUUUGCAGGAGGGAGUACUAAUUGUAAAUAAGAUAUAAUGAUGCUUGAACAACACCUCUGUACCACUAUAUAGCUAUCUUUCUACUACUUUCGCCAUCACCAAUACAGCAUGAGCUGUACUGCUUUAGGCUUGAAGCGUCAUAGAUGGAGAGGCAGAAUAUCAUCUAUAGCAGUGGAAGGCACUAGGAAAUAUCUAGCUGCGAUAUCUCUUCAGUUAACAGCCAUAGCAUUCUUCUUGGGUAGCAGUCGAAGGUACUGUGGUAGCCUGUGCGAUCAUUGAUUCUUGGAACAUGGGUCUUCAUCGACAGCGAUUUGAGUGCAGCCUGUAGAUAAUUGACAUACUCUCCACAAUGGCUUCUACUAUUUUGUGAUGUGUUAAUUUCUUGUAAUAGUAACAAGAAGUUGGGAUGCUGCUGCCUUAACUGGAUACCACCCGGCGAUAAAACAGGGUUAGGAUUAUCUUGUUUUUUUUGUCUAGUAACUGAUUACCGAUUUUUUAGUCAUGAAACAACGUGUAGAUAUAGGCAUUCAUACACAUUCAAGCGUAUCCAAACAUAUAAUUUCCUCUAGGUGACUAGAAAGUUAAUUUAAGGUUGUUGAUCGAAGGCACCUAUAGUCGUCUCACUAUCUACAGUCGCCUCACUAUCUACAGUCGCACCCUGCUGUAAGAAUAAUCCGCUGAAUCAGAGAUUCAAACCCAAGAAGGCAAUUUUAGCACAAGAAACCAAACAAACUUAGGACUAGACAACUCACCUUCCAUCCAACCCUUUUUGUCCCCGUCGACUUUGGACCUGGGACUAAAGGGCUUUUAGUCUCGGAUCAAAAAUGAACCACGAUGGGGGAGUUUUAGUCCCAGUUGUUAAGCCCCCCUUUAGUCCCAGUUGUAACAGCUAGUAGGACUAGGGGAUGUUUUGUCUCGGUUGGAAACACCAACCGGGACAAAAUGCCCCUUCCCACGUGCUCCCUUCCCCCUCUCUCGACCAUAUCUCCUCCUCCUCUCCCUUUCUCCCUUAUCCUCUCCCGGCCCGCCCCCUCCCUUCCCUCCCGCCGCCGCCACCCCCUCUGCUGCCCCUCCCCUUCCCCCUCUACUCGCCCCACACUAGCAGUGAGGAGCAGCAGUGGAGCGAGGUGUAGGGUAGUGGCGCACGGGGGAGUGGCGAGGUGCAGGCGGGGACGCAGCGGCGCGCGGGGCACAGUUAUGCUUGCCCCCUCCCUCUCCCUCUCCCCCUCUCCAUUCCUUUCCCUCUCCCUCUUCGGCGGAGGAUGUAGAGGGCCGCGCGACUCAGUGGCGAUGGCAGCAGGGUAAGCCGCAGGCGGGCACGAGCGGGCGGCGCGCGGCCGGUGUGGGUGCGGGCGGCGGGUGGCCGGGCAGGCGGACGAGCGGCGGCCGGACGGUGCGGGUGGUUUUUUUUGAAACUUUUAAGUCCCGGUUGGUGUUACCAACCGGGACUAAAUGGGACCUUUAGUUCCGGGUGAAUGACCUGAGACUAAAAGAUCCCCUUUUGUCUCAAAUAGUUAGUUCCCGUUGGAUUUUCAUGAUAUAUGAUCCUUACCGACCGGGACUGAAGGUCCGUUUUCCAUUAGUGGUAGCUCCCUUUGCAAGUAAUUUUUCUUGUUGAAGAACCUUCGAGCCACCAUGAGGAUGUACAAUCCUAUCAUAAAUGGUUCGUCAGAUAUAAAAUUAACAAUUAUUUUGGUAUCCAUUAAUAUGUUGACGAGAAAACAAACAUCAUUCUGGAACUUUUUUUGGGGAUUUCAAAUUUUACAGUUGAAACAUAGUUGACAUAUAUAGAAUUAUCAGACAGUAGGCAGCAGCCAGAUUUAAUGCAAUAGAAAUUCACACACAUGUCCCACUGUAACCUACCAAAACACUGACUAGUUUAUCACACAAUGCUUGUACAGCUCCCCUGUAGCACGUAUAUAGCUGAUACCCUAACCAUCUUACUACUCCUAUAUGCCCUUUUUCUCGCCACCACCAAUACCAACACACUAUGGAGGAGGAACAAGAGUGAGCUGUACUGCGGUAGACAUGUAGUUGUGAAAAAGUUUGAAAAUGAUUUUUUUCUCUAUGGGAAUGGAAGGCAAUAGGAAACACCUUGUUGGAAACAUAAUAUCACUGUCGGGUUUUGUACCACCAGCACACGCUACUUCUUGGGUUGCAGUUAGUGUGGUACAUAUGGCCAUCAAAGAAUAAUAUGCAUACGCAAACGCUAUGGCUGGCUGGACGAGCAACCCCACUUUCUUGUGGCCGCUGCGAUCAUUCCGUCUUGCAAUCCGGGGCAUCACCCACCACCACGUGCUGGAACAGUAAAACUGGUCAAAACAUGGUCCAGCUCGGACAUGUGAGCAGAUGUCUGAGAAUGUACAGCAAACUAGACGACACAUAUAGAAGUAGACCAAACAAAUGCCAAUGAAAUGUUUCAUUGGAUACCACAAUUUGCCACUAUCCAGUCUUGUGAGUGACAAUUUAAGGAAUGUUGGUUUGCUCACACAGUUUGGCGAGAAGGAAAAUUUCUUAGCCACACAGCUAAAAUGUAUUCUUAUGCAGAACGCCAGAAUGUAUAUAUAGUCCAAUUUGGGCAGAACGGCUAUAUAGGUUGGGCAUGCUGCACUUACAUGGCAACCCUUGUCUUCUGCGAGUCCAACAACGUAACUCUGUUGCGUCCUCCUGUUUUUCAGUGCCUUCUUGAGAUCGUGAUGUAGAAGGUCACGGGCACAGUCUUGGUGCUCACAGUGAAGGGUUGCCAUUUCUGACAACGUUGCUGCAAACCAUUCUCUACGUCAGCGUAACCAUUUUCGUGAUCAGGAGAUCCUUAUCCAUAGCACCAUUGAUAUCGACCAUGACCCUUUUGUCACCGGACCACCUAUUAUUAGGCUGCUCCUUCAAGUAGCACAUCAUGGCUCGUGCGCGCAUCCGGUCAUCAAUCAAUAAAGACAUGGACAAAACUACACCCUCAACAGGGCAUCACCUUGACGUUAAUAAAGCUAGGUAACCUAUCGGAACCGAGAUGAACACUUGUAAGUUUGUACACAAAUUAUAUACAUCUUUGACUUGUGCUAUCUGUUAGAACUUAGAAAACUCAACCAAAGGGAAAAGCAUACUCUUAUUUUGUCUUAAAGAAGUUGGUACCAAGAUUUGAACCAGGGACGGCAACAGAAUUUUCAUUGGCCCCCAGAAUUUAGCGCCAUAAACAUUACGACGCGAGAAAUUGUGUAGUCUGUUAGAACUUAGAAAAUAUGUUACUUGGACAACCCAGUCUGAAUUGAAUUUGUAUCUUUCUGACUUAGUUCAGUCUGUUCAAAGUUAAUUGGAGCGCCCAUUCGGAAUUUGCAUGAGAAUGAAGUCAUGACUCAGGAAACUGCAUAUGCUGACGAUUUUCAUAUCUCUGUUCCAUGGUCGGCCGGCCGGUUUGUGACCGUCUCAGCGUCACGGAACAGUAAAUAAGCGGAGCUCCUUUUGUUUCGAUAACAACAAUAUCAUUUCCCACCACAAAAACUUGUGUCUUCUCAAAAAAAAAAAAACACAAACUCAUGGUGCGCCUCUUGUGACCACAAGGGGGAAAUGGUCUCUGCUUGCUGUUUCCCAUGUUAAGAGAAAGGAGCUUUGAUCUUUACCUUCUUCUAAGUUCAUGUGUUAUGAUGAUUGUUAAUGAAAUUGCAUUGACAACGUACAUGAAAUUGCAUUGACAACGUACGUCUUUUAAGUGUAGUAUGUUAGUAUGUUAUGGACGACCAUUGUCACGGCUGCCACAAGACAUGUUUGCCAACUUCGACGCCACAGUCAAUAAGACUCUACUGCAUACCAGUAAUAUUGGAGAAACAGCUAGUUCCGUUACAGGGAAGCACAACAUGCACUCUGUUCUAGAAGCACUUGUAAGACAAUCUGGAUAGCUCCCCAUCCCCGCACCUAUCCGCAAUUUCUGCUCUGCAGGGUCUUACCACUGUUGUCUUCUUCACUCCGCAAUGCUCAUAGAAGCUGCUUGCCGAGAGUUGCGUGAUGUUGGAGAACCACAUCACUUGUCACUUGCAGAAAACCACAAGCUGGUGGAAUUCACCAGGAUUGUCUACCGGAGUUUUUUGUAAUACAAAAUAUGGAGGUUCCCGGUACCUAACAUGCCUAAAACAAGAUGAAAGCCCAAAUGCCAAGUGGCAGGGCGUGUGACAAACUACAUAAAGAGGCAGACAGUAGGGGAGUCGUGAGCAACAAAAUAUUGUACAAUGCAUGUUUUAGGCUUCAGAUCAAAGAUCGCCAUACAAGCGGCCCAGCCCUAGCACGGUUUUGCACAGCACUGCAUGAUAGCCUAAUCGUGCCAUGCCGUGCCAAUAUGUAGGGGUGGAAAGUGGUACACGAAUAUACGAAUUAUCCAAAUUCAUAUCCGAUAAAAUAUGCUACAAGGAUAUUUGUAAGCAAAUUCGUUUCUAGUGUGGUACCUUAAACAGAUAAAUCCGAAUCCGAUUUUUCAUUAUCUGAAUUUGUAUCUGUAUUCGAAAUAAACGUGUAUUAUCUGCAUUCAUAUAACAUUAGCACCACUCUAAACUAUAGAAUAAAUAUAUUAUUUUAAUUUAUUUCGGAACUUAUAUAUUCGUUGUGUAAAUUAAUUUAAAUAAUAUACGUUGUUAUUGUAAAAAAAUUUUAUGCUUUAUUUAUAUAUUUAUAAUAAUAAAUGAUUAUUUAUUUAUUAUAAUAUUUUCUAAAAAAUUUCGACGAACAAUAUUGGACUAUGUGUGGUAUAUUUUACACAUACAUGUAAUUGCAUGUCUAACGGUGACUUUAUUAGUCCAAAAUCAUCUACAAAACGAAUGUACACUUACUAAUUGCUAUCACCCAAAUUAAACGGAUAUCCAAAUACAAAUCCGAAUUCGACUUGCAAUCAACUCGCAAUCAACGACAUCCGAAUUUGCAUUCGAGGGAAAAUAUGGUAAAAGGUGAUAUCCAAUCUGAUUCCGUGCGAAUCCGAUACGAUUCCAUGCUUACCAACACGUUGUGCCGAGGUAGCAGCUCAAGCAUGGCAUUAAGGGGUUUUUGCCGUGCCAGCACCGCACGAUGGCAUGGAAGACCCAACGUGCCAGUGCCGUGCCUGGCACUACAUGCCAGUCACACCUAAUUCUGCUAAGCAUGCGAGCAAUAGUUCAUAUAUUCCAUCAUAAAUUGUAAUGUUCAUCAUUAAUUUCAACAACUCAAUUUUUAUGUGAACGGACAUCUAGCCUAGUGGUUAGAGCACCUAAGUAUAGUAUUAAGGAGGCCUAACUUCGACUCCCCGUGGGAACAAAUUAAACAAACAUCAGUAGAGAACUCCUCUUCCAUCCACCCCUUUUGUCCCAGUUAAUAUUUGACCCGUGACAAAACUAGCUUUAGUCCCGGAUCAAAAAUGUGCCUCCAAAGGCCACCGCGAUGGGAGAGAUUUAGUCCCAGUUGUAAAUACCAACCGGGACUAAAGCCCCCCUUUAGUCCCAGUUGUAACGGCUCCAAAAUAUCCCAUCGAUGCUACCCCUUUUGUCCUGGUUGGGAAUUCCAACCGAGAAUAAAUCUUUUUUCCCGAUUGGAAUUCCCAACCGGGAAAAAAGGUGCUCGUCCUACUAGUGUCCUUUCCCUUCCACGCCACGAGUAGUUAGUAAAAGAUAGGAGUAGGUUAGCUGCACAAAAGAAUUCAUGAUCAGAUCAUCUAGACAAGUAAGGAAGGAGAAGCCACCAGGAGAGCACAAUGUUCACUACUCAGGAGAAGCCACUAGGAGAGCACAAGGCUCACUACACAAAAAUAAUGCACUAACAGAUCAAGCACAUGUACACAUCAAGGUGCAGCUUAUAUCACCUAGGUGAGAACUUGUGAUGAUAGGUAUGGGUCGCAGGACCAUGGGAGAGACACUUUGGUCACAAACUUAGAAGAAACAUAGGAGCCAGUUGCUCUAGUAUCAAACAAAAUUAAAGUUUUAGUGCCACAAACUACAAACUCACCGAUCACCAUGUUAGGGGCAUAUCGAGCUUCUUCCUCGGUAUGGUGGUUGAGUCUUCCGCGGCCAGCAGGCUGCCGACUGGCAGUCUGAGGAGGUCUCCCUCCUGGGGCUGGUGUCUUUGAGGGCGUUUGGUUGGUCUUCUUGUCGGGGCAAUCGUAGGACUUGUGGCUGGGCUUGCCACAGUUGAAGUAGGUGAUCAUGGCUGCUCUAGUGUUCACCCUCGGUGUGAGCUGUUGCAGGCGGUCGUAGCCUCCUCCUGUCUACUGGAAGCUGGGGUUCCUUCCUCCUAAGAAUUGGCUGAUGCCUCCACCGAAGCUGCGGCCAAAUUGGAUGGGUCUUAGAUGGAAGUUUUCCCUCAGCAGGUUGCUCUUCCCACUCCUUAGCCUUUGGGAUGACUGGCCACGAGAGUCGUGAUCUGCUCUCCUUUUUCUAGUCCUCAUGCGAUCUUCGUGUCCCAUUCUUUCAGUCUCCAGAGCGAUGGCUUUGUUCACCAGGUGGCGAAGCGACUUGAAGUCACUCCCCAUCAGGAUCUAGCGAAGGUCGUAGUGGAGGCCUCGAAGAAACCAGAACUGUUUCUUCUCGUCGGUGUUGGUGUCAUCUGGAGCGUAUCUCAUCAUCUUGGUGAAGUGGCGUUCGUACUCCUUCACCCUCAUGGUGCCUUGAGUCAUAGUACGGAACUCUUGGGCCUUCUGGACCAUCAGCUGCUUGGGGAUGUGCUGCUCACAGAAUGCCGUGCAGAACUCUAGUUAUGUGUUGUGCGCUGGAUCUAGGUGGCUAUCCAAGAAGCUGUCCCACCAAGCCUUGGCUGGUCCCUUGAGCUGGUGGAUGGCGAUCACGACGCCCUCCUCAUCGGUGUAGUUGGUGAGAUCGAGCUUGGUCUCAAUCACCCUCAGCCAGUCGUCAGCUUCGAUCAGAUCCUCCGAGUAGCUGAAGGUAGGGGCCUUCAGUCAGAUGAACCUCUCAAUCUUCCUUGGGAGGUCUUCCUCAUGCGGUCCUUGGAGGUUCCCACCAUUGUUCCGGUGCUCGAUGGCCUCAGCUAUCCUCUAUAGGAGCUGGGUUUGAGUCGCCAUCACCUCAUCUAGGUUGGGUGGUGGCGGCGGUGGCUGCUCCUAUCAAUGCAAGACCCUGUUGGGUGGGCUCAGGCUCAGCUUCCUCCUCUUCUUCUUCGCCUUCGGUGUCCUAGCCAAUUGGUGGCUGCGGGGCUGCUUUAGCGGCAUAGCCUCGGCUCUUCCACGGACUGGUGCGUGGGCAUGGGCGCGUCCGCGUCCAUGUCCAUGGACAGCGGCACAUCCACAGCCACGUGCCGGUGGAACUUCUUCCUCUUGGGUGGCUUCCUCAUGGGUGACUUCCUCAAAGCAUGCCAUUAGGCAUCUAGACCUUCUUGUCGACAUGUCACUAGUUCGACGGUUAUGGGGUUAGAUAGGGAUUGGUAAUCGUCACUCAAAAUCUAUCAAGAAAAUAAUACUAUAUAUAUAUAAUCCAACACUCAAUGGGAAAAAGUAAUAAAACUAGAUAACUCCAAGAAAAUCCAUAUCACACAAUCAGCAUUACAUGAUAGACACUUGCUACCCCGAGGCUGACUCCUAAGCCUUCGAGGUCUCACAGACACCAUCAAUCUAAGUACAUCGUGAAGAUUUCAAAAGGGGUAGUGCCUACUCAUGGUGAUUCAUGGUACUCAUGACUCAACAUGUGAUGGAACAUGCUCUCAACUAACAUGGACUAACUCCUAAAAACUACUAUAUUACAACUCUACUUUUAUUCUUGCUCGGUGGCAUUGCUCAAGCACACUCCUCAGUGCGAGCCUUCUUGUAAGAGAUAAGGCAGCAGUCCUCAGGGGUGUGCUCGGGGGUGAACAUCUUCUCAACCAUUGCCUGUGCAGCAUUCACCUCCUCGGUCUCCAUGGGGCUAGGCAUGUCCUCAGCCGGACACAAGUGGAGCUUAAGAGUGGUUGGGUACACGGUGAAGUCCUCCUUGCGUUCGGCACACUGAGACUCGAGUGGAAGCUCGCUUCUUGCCUCCAGGAGCUCGUCCACUCAAAUCGAAUCCGCAUCCUUCCAAGUCUUAAGUAGCAUCUUCGCCACGUUGUGCUUCUGGUUGGUUUCCAACUCCUUUAUCUUUAUUGCACGCAACCAAGCAAGUGUCCACGAACGGUCAAGAGGUCGUUCUUUCCCUCCAUCUGCUGCUUCAGUCGGUCCAGACUCACGUGAAGCUUCCUCUUAUCCUCCAUGGUGUGAAUUAGUACCUCGUUGAUGUCUGCUUGUUCCUUCUCCACACAGAUCAGGGUAGCAGUGGAAGUGUUGAGAGAACUCUCAAGUUGUUGGAGUUGGCAACAGAGAGUGUAGGUCUCUCUCUCGAGAGCCUGGCACUAAGGGUAGUACUUACAGGCCCUCGUGGUGGCCUGGUCGAAGAUGCGGUGGAAGUCCAGUGCCUCAGACUCGAGUUGGAGGACGUGGUUGUCGAGGUCGACCAGGUAAGACCCAAUGGUAGACAACGCCUCGUCCUCCUCUCAAAGUGGCGCAAUCCGCACCUCCUCCUUCAGGUCCUCAAGGUUAGGUGUGCCCCAGUACCAUUGGGGAAGAAUUCGGAAGCUUAUGAACUCAAACUAACCCUGGUACCGAACCAACACCUUUGCCAGUAGUAUUCAGCUUGCGAAGUCGAGUCCAGUCCUCACAGAUAAUCCCAUCCCAUGUGACACCUCUCCGGCAAAGUCGGGUCAGGACGGGUGCGCGGUCACCACAACCGUACCGUGCACGUAAGGGCGACUGCAGGGUACACCAAAACAGCACGGUAGUGGACGUGGGUUGACGAAAUCCCAAGCUUCAUUAGGCUUUCUACAUCCACCUCAGGAUCUCCCCAUAGUGCUCCAGCAACACUUCGAUUCCGUCUGCCAUUGCUUCCUAUGUCAUGAAAGAAAAAGUUGAGUCAAUGUAGGUAAGUAAGCAGUUUUCAAAUGAGGAAGAGUUUUUAUAAUAUAGUUCAAGGAGUAUAUAUAACAAAGGAGCAUAAGGAAAUACUUAUUGCUAAUGACCGUGUCUAGGGUCACGUGUUAUGGUCAAGAAUGGCUCUGAUAUCAACUGAAAUGAACCAGAUAAAUAUCACAUCCAUACCACGAUAAUAGUACAAUUUUAUUGAUUACAUCCCAGAAUAUGAGAGAGUAUGAUCUGAUACAUGCCCCUUGGGCUAAACGACAUGAAUAAAACCAAUGCAGCGGUAGCUAGCUUCUGGAAGCAUCUCUAUCUUCGCAAUCAUCUCCACAAACAUUCUUGAGUGUAGCACUACAACCCUCACUUGUACCAACUAUCAUUGUUGUUGUUGAAAUCGGACUUGUAACCUCCAAACUCACGAGCUAUUCCCAAGGAUUAGGACAGGUUCACAUCACCAUUCAUAUGCAAGCUUUAAGUGACCUAGUGCUAGUGGUAAAAAAUGUAGACAAGGAAUAGACUCGGAUUUCCUAUGCAACAACAAGCAUAAAGAUAAACUCCAUAACCAUCAUCUCAAUCUCUCAGCACAUCGGCUACACCUGCCUUAACAGGGUCCCGAUCACCAAGAUCCUAUCUCCAUACUAGAGUCGAGGCGAAGACUCCAUCUCUUCACCUCUCAACAACUGCAGCUGGAUCCAAAAGGGAAAGGGAGCAACUUCCCCACUUCUCAACUGCAGUUGUGGCUCACAACACACAAGUAGCUAUAAGGGGAGGUAGAGAUUUCCCAAAAAUAAUGAAGAGACGUCAUGACACAGUGUUGUCCAUGACCGAGGACACGACUAUACAUAUAGUUUGAACUCUGUAGAGUGUGUACACCUGGACCCAUCUCGGAGUGAGCCCAAAUGGUCUGUUGACCGAGAGAACGUCACCCUACCGAGUGAAGAACCUGGGAGUUACGAUACCAUCGUACAUCCGGGCUCAGAUGCGAUUCCUUGCAGAAGACCACAUCGGAACUGUAAAGCACUCCCACCUGGGCCAAUCGGGGGCAAAAGCAAAUCAAUGGGCAAAAGGUCAGCACCACUCCCUCUACACUAAUACUCUAUCCUACGGCAGGUAUGGUACUACACUUGCUAGUCUCAACCCGGGCCUAGACCCAUAAUUCACCGAGUGACAUGCAUGUUUAACAUAUUCCCGUGAAGCAUGGAGACCCACUCAAUUUCAGACUAGGGUCAGCUCCUAACUCCCAAAAGCGUAUCCACAAUAUGGUCCGCAAUGGCACCCAUAACAGCGAGUCAAUCUUCCCUUUGAGUAGUUGAUAAUGCUCCACAUGCAACACUCCUUGAGUAUUUCUAGAUGGUUGAAGUGGGACCAGGCGCCCAGAUGAUGCCCAUGGAUCAUUGUCUGCAACCUUCUUGAAUAACUUGAAAGCUUGAGUUAGGGUGACAUUAAUAAUCAUUGAUGAUAGUCCUUGAUGCAGGUGUCAUCCCUUGGUAGAACUUCUGGACUAGAUCCUCCCUUGAAAAUUUAUGAUGUGGAACUGCACGGACGUAGUCAUUGAAGCAUUGAUAGGCUUCAGCAAUAGUUUUAGAAGUAUACUAAGCAAAAGUAGCUAUCCUGCUCCUCAAAUUCUGAGUGUUGGCUGGCGAAUAAUAUUUUGUUAUAAAAGUCUUCAUCAACUCAUCCCAAUUCUAAAUUGUUGUUGUAGGUAGAUCAUAAAACCAUUGAAAUGCUCUUCCAAGAAGAGAGCAGGGAAACAGCCUUGCUCUUAGAUGAUUCAUGUUAACUCCAUCCAAGUCGAAGGUGUUGCAUAGCUGCGUAAAUGCUUGUAGAUAAAGAUUAGUGUCCUCCUUGCUAGUGAAAGGUGAACUCUGCACCAUCCUCAGUGUUGAAGUUUGGAUCGUGAAUGGUUGUCCAAUGCCACCCAACACAUGGAUAGGUAAAUCAGUGAUGUUUGGGAUGCACAGCUCCCCGAUAGUACGCUCUGGCUUAGGUUGAUCUCCCAUUGCAGGUGCUUUUGUUACAAUUAGCGCAACUGGCGUCCCUCCUGGACAUGCUGGUGGUGUCGACUUUGGAGUAGAUGAUGAUGUUCUCGACACUUUCAAUUCUUCCAUGACGGCUGAAGCUUCAAUCUCCAGCUUCCUUGCAUUUUCUAAUCGUAUCCUUUGCCUGUAAAGUUUUUCUGGAUCAUCCAUUGAUGAUUACACAUACCGGGUACCCUCAUGGAGAUCCCAACCGACCACUAAUGGGCCGGCUUGACUUGAUGAAGAAGGAAGAAGAUAGAGUCCGGCUAGGGCUCCCCAUGUGUUGUAAUCCGACUAGAUCUCAUCUAUAGUAACCAAUUAGGGAUCCUGCCAUGUAACCCUACCCCUCGGAGUAUAUAAGGGGAUGUAGGGGUACCCCUAGGAGGGGAACCGAUCUAAUACCAUAACACAACAACCAACACCCGAGCGCAGGGUGCAAUACAAUCAUCAAAACAGGAUAUAGGGUAUUACGCUAUACUAGCGGCCCGAACCUAUAUAAAUCUCUGUGUCUUGUGCCUUAUGUUACCAUCAUGUUCAUGGUCUUACGAUCCUCGUUGCCUACAAAUCAACCAUCUGGUAACCUGGGCUACUGAAUCCCACAUCCACAAAAAUUUUCGAUUUCUUGAAGAGGUAGCCAUCCAUCUCCUGUUAGUGUUAGAGAAAGCAAAACACAUAUAUACAAGAGCUAGAUUGAACUUUUGAUUGAGAUCAAACAAAAACAAAAAGAUUGAAAUCAAUGGAAAACAUCCAUUUUACUCCUUUAACCAAUUUACUUUGUUCGCUUAACCCUCUAAGCAUAAUUUAGGCUCACUUUACUCCCCUGAAGUAUUUCAUUUGGUCCAAUAUACUCCCUAAUUAGAUUUUUCUUUUUUAUUUCUUCUUGUACAAGUUGAGUUUUAAUUUCAGAAUUUGUCACUUGACUUAUAACUUGAUACUCUACGUUAGAAAAAUACUUUAGAGAUUUUUCAUGAUUAUUUUUCAUACAGUUUUGUAUAUCUAAGAUCAAUUCCAUAUUAAAUAUUCUUAACCUAUGAAAAUAAUCAUGAAAAAUUCUUAGUAUAACUUUUUUACAUAAGGCGUCAUGUUUUGUAUUUGCUCAUAAAAUUUGAACUCAAAAUUCAAUUCAUACAUGGAGGAAAAAAAAGAAAAAUCUAAUUAGGGGUAGAUUGGAUCAAAUCAAAUAGUUUUGGGGGAGUAAAGUGAGCCUAAAUUUUGUUCGGGGCGUUAAGCGGACAAAGUGAAUAUGUGGGGUGAGUAAAAUGGACUUUUUCAAAAAGAAAAGACUGAAAAAUUAUGAACAAAAAGUCAUAAUUACAGAUGCGUAGUUAAACUAAGAACUUGACUAUUAGUUCCCCAGCAACGGUGCCAGAAAACCUUGUUGAUGAUUGUUAGCACGCCAAGUUGUGAACCGUAAGCGCACGGAUCAGUUGUGGCUCUUACCUUGGAGUACUCCCCUAAGGUUUAUUAAUCCGUGGAACUUAUAGCACAAGAUCUAUUUUAACUAGCAUUGUUAGUAUGGACUAGGUGUUGAUGAGAGAUUCAGAUCUAAUCUACUAAACAUGUAUAGAAAGAUAAUAGAUAGAGUAGAGGUAACUAAUCUAGAACAACCUAGAUUAUGCAUAUGUUAUAAUUCUGAGCAUAGAUAGCAAAGCAGCACAGAUAUGAUCUUAGUAAAAAGCAUCUUUAUAUCUACACCUUUGAUCCGGCUACCAAAACCACUUUACACAAGGAAGAUCCCAUCAUGAUCCCCUCUAUCAGCAUAGGUAGACUAAGGGCACGAUCUAAAGAACAUGUUAUACUCAUUGGUAGAUCAGGUAUGCAAAUCUGAUCACCACGACUAUAAGAACACCCUAGGCAAUCUAUAAUCGAUUCAUAGAUUGAAAAGCAAGCAAACUUGAAAGGGCAUAAAACAAUAGAAGGAGAUACUUAGAUCGCUAAGAACAUGAACACAUCUAUACUUAACCAUAAAUGAUUGUACAUCACAAGAUCACCACCGAGGUCCUACCUUGAUCUUGAUGACUCCUAGCUCCAAAACUCUAGCGUGAUCUUGCUCGCAGGUGAUCACACCGGCAGAGGUUCAACUAUGCUAACCCCCAACAAUUGCAUGGCCCUCAGCUCUCCAAAGUGGUGUCCAUCAAGUUCCUUCUACUUUUCUACUUCUUCACGUCGAGUACGUCGUCUCCAAUUAUUCUCCUCGGUAGCUUUUGGGGGUAUUUAUACUUCAGGGAGGCCGUGGCAAAAAUUGAAAGGCGACGGGGUGAAGGGAACCCUAGUCCGAUCGACCUUCGGCCUAGGCCUUCCUUUUGCCCUCUCACGCUCAGCUUCAUCCCCAAGUCUUCCUGAAUGCUCUAGAGUCUUCUGUUCACACACAUGUGGGCCUAGCAUGUUGGUUGCUUCAAGAUGAGAUAGAUCUUCAUUGACUUUCCAAAUCUUGAUUUGAUCCUCUUUUAUUCCUCUUUGAUCCCAAGCUGGUCCUUGUCAUAUCUUCAUAAACUUAGCCCCUAAGUAACUUUGGAGGAUUACUUGCCAAAGAUGGGCACCAGGGGGCGUUAGAGGGCACCAGGCCAAUCGGCCUGGGCUCCUCCAGGCCAAUCGGCCUACCCCCUUCCUGGGCCCUUUGACCUUCAUUUUCGUCUGGUUCAAUGCUCGGUCAGUGCUUUAUCCAAAAAUAUGCUUUUAAGCCCAAUUUCCUUCAAACCUUCAAAAUACAUUGCAGAUGUGAAAAUGACUAGUUUAUUAGGUGUGAUCAAUAGUUUAGGUAUUAAAUUCAUAUCAUUAUUGAAGAUAAACAGGGUAAAAAGUAUGUCAAUAAUGAGCGUCAACAUCCACCAUGCACUUACUUCAAAUCAACUGCUUAUUCGUUAUGGAUAGGCAUGUCUGUGCUAUGGAUUUGAUGAUGGGAUUCCUUUAACACUCUAGCAUGAGUUUUGGGUGUGUGUGAUCCCUUGAUGUGUUAUGGCGGGAGCGAACCGCGGUCGAUACUAUGGAAGUUCCUAGCUUGGGGAGGGGUUUUGGUCUCACCCCGUUACAUCGUAGAUGUGGUGGGCACAUUUUUUGAGACUUCAUCUUGAGGAUUUUGGUGGCACACAUGUGAUGGGUGACCUGUAAUGGAUAUGCAGUCAUGCUUCGGCGCAAACUUGGAGUUUGAGUGCUCGCUCUCGAACCCUAAGGACUGAGUCGGAUUAACCAUGCUCCAUUGGACUAUUUACAUACAUACUAUUCUCCCAAAAUGGGCAUGGGUUCAGUACGAGACUAGUGUGUGGAUCCUACUACUCCACCUGUAGGAGGACAGGUAGAUCGGAAUACAGAGUUUGAGGUGGUGACCUACUCCUGACAUACAGACCCAUGACUAGCCCAUGGGUGGUCAACACAGCUUCAUGGUCUACAGCUAGUGAGGGCGUGCCGUGCACUUGAAGACGUUCCCAGACUCGAGAGACUCGAGAAAGCAGGAGAGUAUUAGCCACACAAUGGGGCUCCAUGUGUAGGUGGCAUCCAUGUUGGCCGUGCACCAAACAGAUGUACAACCUGCGGAGUUAUAAACUAUAGAUAUAACCAUGUCCACGGUACUAUACAGUCCUCUUAUCUUCUACUUUGACUAGACUCCACGCCUUCAUGGCCACUGGAUACAUGUCAGUCCCUUUAAGCCAGUAAGCGGCCCUAUCUGAUUACAUGAUCUCUACUCAAAGCUUGGUUUCAGUGGUCAAUUUUCAGGAUGCGUGAAUUUGGCAUAGUAGUCAACGAGGGUGAAUUAGUAAAUGCUAGGACCAUUCUACACUUUAUACUCUGCAAGUUAAUUUACAGACAAUCAUACUGACUCAAACUUGAUGCAAAAGAGCAUCCCCCAAACAGAAAAUUGUGUCACUUAAAAUUAAAGGCAACCUCUUGUAAUACUCUUUGAACAAAAGUGCAAAACACUUGUAACAUUCUAGGUUUCACAUUACAUACAAAUACAAUGACAAAAACCUUCACAAGUUAAUGUUGGAGACAUCCCCUUCCAUAUGCACCCCAUUCCAGAACACAAGGAUAUUCAUCAACGUCCUGCUAUGUUUACUUUUCAUUCAUAUGACUUAGGGUCUGUUUGGAACUGCUCUACUCCAAAAAAAAAUAGCUCCACUUCACGAACUUCACAUUCUUUUAGCUUCACUCCACCAAUUCCAGGAAAAUAGGGAGUUAUGUACCUGUUUGGCUACCGGAUGCAAAUACAGCUUCAAGAAUUGUAGGAACUAGUGGCAAUAGUCACCCUUACCCUUGGGUGCUUCUUUUCUAGUGAGCUACAAUCUCUGUUAUUAAACUAAGCAUCACUAUGUACGGUCCACAUGAACACUCUGAUGAUCUAUCAAUAUCUAGAUCAACAAAAGAAAGAAGAGCACAUGCUUUCUAAUAUCACCGAUCAAAAAACCAUCGCUCGAUCGAGCGCCGUAUCCUCAUGAGCUCUCGAUGCCGGUGGACAGCCGGAGUAGGUCAUAGUUGAUGAGGGAGCAGGAGCAGCGUGGUGGAGAGGUUGAAGUCGAUGAGCAUGAUGUGGCUCGAGUCUUGGAUGAGGACGUUCUCCGAUUUGAGGUCGCGGUACAUGACGCUGAGGUCGUGGAGGUGCUCGAGGACGAGCACCAGCUCUGCAGCGUAGAACCGGAUGACGGACUCUGGGAACAUCGUGUCGACGAGCCACUGGCAACCGAGCGACUUGAGGUCUCCGCUGAGGCAGCGGUCAAUAGCAAAGCCAACGAUAGCAACGGUGGCCAUGAUGCCGCAGAGGGAGGGGAGCAGCGGGUGCCGGAGCACGAGCAACAUGUCGCGCUCGAACCAGAUCCUCCGCUGCCCAUCGCCACCGCACGUGCCUCCUAGCCUGCGCCAAGCUGGUUCCACCAGUGGCCACCAAUGCGAUGCGGCCGUCGAACACUAGCAAGAACGGAUGUGUUAGGAGGAAGGGUAGGGGAGGGGGCGGAACAGUAGCGGUCUUUUUUUCCCGAAGAGGUAUGUGUAACCAAUGGUAUUUGUGGGUAAUUUCCACCCAACUCCAAGAGAAGGUAUGAAACCUAUUUUCGGAGCACCCUUUGAGGUGCUCCAAAAAACCUUAGAUUUGCCCUCUAGAUCCACCUUUUUUCUGGAUUUGAGAUUGUUGGAGCUGGAGGUGUUUGGCAAGAUGGUUUGGGAGCGGAGCUGGAACAACUGGAGCGGAGCAGUCCCAAACAUGCCCUAAUAGUUGGAUAACAACACAGGUUUCAAACAAUAGGUUUCAAAUUUGCAACUCUACAUAGUAUGACACUGUGAAGUUAUGUUUUCAAACAAAUCUACUUUUAUAUUCCCAAAUUUAUGGUACAUAUAUACAUUUUUUUAUGAUACUUGUCAAAACUUUGAACUUUUGAGUUGGAACUUUUCUGAAAACAUGAUGAAUUUGAAGGGAUAUCACCUAAUACCGCAGAGGUUCUAGCUUACUCUAGUUGGCUUAGUGAUCAGCUAAUGAUAAUCUCAUAAAAAAUAGUCAAAACAUAUUAGACAUAGAAACCAAUAUAAUCAACGCUCAUCGAUCCGACGAGGAAUGAAUAUGUUCAUGCACAGGCAACUAGGUAGGUGACCAACCUGUCGACUGGAAUUGGUGGCUCACACCAUUAAGUGGCAUCAACUAAUAAUAGCUAAAAUGAUUGAUAGGAUAGUCAUUUAAAUAUUUCCAUUGUUGUCAGUGACGGUUCCUUGCUUCCUGUCACGAUUACUAGCGCAGCUCACUUUCUGGGUUCCUUGUCUCUAAAUAAUGUUCUAGUUUCCCCUAAACUUAUUAAGAAUCUUAUUUUUGUUCACCAGUUUAUAUCUGACAACAAUUGUUCUAUUGAAUUUGAUCCCGUUGGCUGCUCUGUGAAGGAUCUAGCGUCUCGGAGGCUGAUCGUCAGGUGCAAUAGCUCCGAGCCACUCUACCCGUGCGGUUUCCUGCUGCCCACGCUCUCGCUGCCAUCUCCACCCCAUCUAUGUGCCAUCACUGUCUCGGGCAUCCCGACAAUGAAGUUCUAUCCAAAGUCGCUUCGGUCAUUCCUUUUUGUAAUAAGGACAUUCGCACCGUUUGUCAUGCGUGUCAAUUAGGGCGGCACACCUCCCUUUUUAGUCAUCUAGUUCUAGAGCGUCUAAUAAUUUCGAUCUCAUUCACUGUGAUUUAUGGACAUCUCCUAUUCCCAGUGUGUCUGGAUUUAAAUAUUAUUUGCUUAUUCUUGAUGACUGUUCUCAUUAUCUGUGGAUGUUUCCACUUCGACUUAAAUCUGACACUUUUGUGACUCUGACUAACUUCUUCUCAUUUGUGCGUACUCAGUUUGGCGCCAUUGUGAAGGCCAUCCAGUGUGACAACGGCUGCGAGUUUGAUAACUCUAGCUCACGCACCUUCUUCCUCACACAGGGGUUCAUCUUCGCAUGUCCUGCCCCUAUACAUCGCCCCAGAACGGUCGGGCCGAGCGCAUGAUUUGGAGCAUCAAUAACACGGUUCGCUCCCUUCUUUUUCAGGCUAGUAUGCUGCCCUCCUAUUGGGUUGAGUCUCUGCACACUGCCACACAUUUACUCAACAUUCUACCCACCAAAACUCUUAGUUCCUCCACACCGCACAUGGGUCUGUUUGGCAUUGCCCCGUCUUAUGAUCAUCUUCGAGUUUUCGGCUGCACUUGCUACCCGACUCUCUCUGCCACUACGCCUCCCAAACUCGCCCCUCGUUCCAUCCUAUGUGUUUUCCUCCCAAACUCGCCCCUCGUUCCACCCUAUGUGUUUUUCUCAGCUAUUUUGCUCAUCACAAGGGGUACCGCUGCCUUGAUCUCUCAUCCAACUGGGUUAUCAUCUCCCGCCAUGUCAUGUUUGACGAGGCUAACUUUCCCUUUUCUCAGCAGCAAUCCCCCCCAGCUAAUGAGGACUUUGAUUUUUUGUUGGAGCCUUCUGAUGAGGUGCCACCCCCUAUUGGUUCGGCACCAUCUCUGUUGCCUGCAAGAAUCUUACCUGGCGCACCUUCGGCUCCUGGCGGCUUGGCCGCACCCGCACAGCCACGUGCGGUUGUGCCCUCUGACGUCUUCACACUGCCUGGUGCAGAACCUGGCACCCCGGAGCCCCUCCUGGCGUCCCUAGCACACCCGGCGCCCCAUGUGUCCCUGGCGCACUUCCUGGCACCUCCACCGCACUGCCACCUGCGGCUCCCGGCGCCCACGGCGUCCCUGCCGCCUCCCCCGCACUGCCACCUGCGGCUCCCGGUGCCCUUGGUGACCCUGUGGCUUCUUUUGCGACCUCUCCUAUGGUUUCUCCGUCAUGACAGUCUGCUAAAGUCGCACCCUCACCGGCUCCUGCCGCAGUUCCUGCUGCCGGCGCCACCCCUGUCUUGCCAGGCAGCUGCCUCGGUGCAGGGCCACCCCUCCUGGUGUACUCUAAGCGUCCUCGACAGCCUCCCCAACCUCCUGCUCCGUCGGCUCUUCCUCGCGGUGCGGUUCCCGUGCGUCCCGUCGCCAACCAGCAUCCCAUGACGAUGCGCGGGAAGUUGGGUUUUCGUCUGCCAGCCCUGUUUCACUCCUACUCGCUGUCUCCCGUGCCUCAGAGUUACAGAGGUGCCCUCGCCGAUCCCAACUAGCACCAGGACAUGCAGGCGGAGUUCGACGUGCUAUUGGCUAAUCACACAUGGGAUCUCGUACCACGUCCUGCUCAGGCAAAUGUUGUCACUGGCAAGUGGGUUUUCAAGCACAAGUUUCAUGCAGACUGUUCUCUAGAGCGCUACAAAGUGCGGUGGGUGUUUCACGGGUUCACUCAGUGACCCGGGAUUGAUUUUUCGAAGACUUUCAGUCCUGUCAUCAAGCCAGACACCGUUCAUACAGUGUUGUCCCUAGCUCUUUCUCAUCAUUGGCCAAUCCAUAGUUGGAUGUGAAGAAUAUCUUUCUUCACGAGACGCUGUCCGAGAUAGUCUACUGCGCUCAACCUGCUAGUUUUGAGGAUUUCGUCUGUCCUAAUCGUGUUUUUCACUCCUCAUGCUUGGUACAGUCGCUUUGCUUCUCACCUGCUGCAGCUCGGCUUUGUGGAAGCCAAGACCGACACUUCCCUGUUUGUGUAUCACCGCGGUGACGACAUGGUCUAUCCUCUUCUUUAUGUGGAUGAUAUUGUCCUUAGGGCAUCUUCGACAGCUCUUCUUCAUCGCACUAUUGUUGCCUUGCAGCGGGAGUUUUCGAUGAAGGAUCUGGGUGAACUCCACCAUUUUCUGGGUAUGCAUGUCCAGCGGUCUGGUGAUGGUCUUCUUCUGUCUCUGCGCCAGUUUAUGUUGGAGAUACUGGAGCAUGCUGGUAUGACUGAUUGCAAGCCAUGUUCCACUCCGGUUGAUACAAAUCCGAAGCUAUCUGCUACUGAAUGUGCCCCGCUCAUCAACGGGACUAAUUUUUAGAGCCUCGCCUGUGCUCUAUAGUAUCUCACCUUCACUCGCCCAGACAUCACUUAUGCGGUUCAGCAGGUUUGUCUACCUAUGCAUGAUCCUCAUGAGCCCCACCUUGCUGCUUUGAAGCGCAUUCUACGGUAUAUUCGGGGCACUCUUCACUUGGGUUUGCAUCUACGGCCCUCAACUCAAUCGGAUUUGCUAGUUUACUCCGAUGCUAAUUGGGUUGGUUGCCUGGACACACGCAAACUUCUGGAUAUGCAGUGUUUUUGGGCGACAACUUGGUCUCCUGGUCCUCCAAGCGACAAACUGCAGUUUCUCGCUCGAGUGCCGAGGCUGAGUACCGGGCGGUCGCCAACGUCGUUGCCAAGGUCUCCUGGUUGCGCCAACUCCUAGUUGAGCUGCAUGUUCCUCUGCGCCGCGUCGCCCUGGUCUAUUGUGAUAACAUCAGCACAGUCUACAUGUCUUCGAACCUCGUUCAGCAUCAGCGCACCAAACAUGUUGAGAUUGAUCUACACUUUGUUCAUGAGCACGUUGCUACUGGUGAUGUCUGCGUUCUUCAUGUUCCAACGACCUCUCAGUACGCCAACAUCUUCACCAAAGGUCUGCCUUCUUCAGUAUUCACGGAGUUCGGGUCGAGUCUGCACAUUCGGCCCCCCGACGAUCAGACUGCGGGGGCGUGUUAGCGACAUGUAUAUGUAUUGUUUGUGCUGUGUGCAUGUACAUGGGCCUGGCUGUGCGCCAGGCCUAGGUGGGCCCCCUGCCGUGCCCUAGAUGAUUAGGUUAGGCGCCUAGGGCUGCCUAUAUAAUCUACUAUCCCAUGCAAUUUCUAUUGCUCUCGAUCUGUCUAAAGGGUUUAGGAUGAGGAGUAAGUGGUAUUAAUAUAAUCCUUGUUUGCUCUUGGGCUGCACCCUGUCGAUUUACGAUGUUUGACUAACUGAAGCAUAACCUAAAAAAAAGAAGAAGCACAACCCAAAAUGGGAGAGCGUUUUUUUUUCCCUGCUGAAGAACCCAAAUAAUAAGACAACUCUCUACAAGCCUAUUUCUUCUCCUCCCGGCCUGCUUUCACAAUCCCCGACGCUGCGCAGCCCAGCUCGGCCCGCCACUCGCUGCCGUCGCGCGUCGUCGCUGCGGGCCGGGGACGUCGUCAUGCAGUGCCAGCCUGCUAGCCCAGUAGGAAGCGAAUGCUGAGUGCAUUCCUUUCAGGAUAGGGCCAAUCGAAGACUAUUUCCAAUGAGCUCUGAGAUUUUUCAUUUUGUUUCACGAUAGGGCCAUGCAAGGAUUAGUCCAUAUGAUGGAGAUGAUAUUGUGCCAAAAAGAUUGAUAGGGAAGUAGAGCUUAACUAAAUCAAUCAAUUCACAGUUGUGUGUUUUGUGAUUAGAUUGAAUGACAUAUUCCCCAGCAGCAAAAUGCAUGAAACUGAACAAGCUAGAAUUUUAACUACAACAUUCGAGAGGGAACCAAAAUAAACCCAAUCAAAAGCUAGAAUUUUAUUACGGAAAUUUUUGUAUAUGACUUUAAUAUAUGGACUAGUAGGCCUGUUUCUAGAAUGUCGUUGUCCAUGCUCCUAUAUUAGCCGUUUUUCACUUGGCAUUACAUCUUGAUUCUGCCCCUGAGGCUGAUUGGCAUUCUGCAGGGCACAACGCGCGUAUAGGCAAAGAGCGCAGAGCCCACUGCAGUAGUGCGGCACCUAAAUCCGUAUUAGACAUUUAGACCCAAUGGCAAAAGCAUGCAUGUUCUUUAGACAAGGCUGGGGGACACGCAAUGCCAAAUCAACUUCUUUAGACAAGGAUCUGAGACGUGAGUAGAAAUUUGGUAACUUUAGCCAGCAGUUGACAGGUCAAGACCACAUGAAAAGAACAUAAAGCAAACUGCUUUGAUAGCUUUAGGCAAACACCUGCUUCCCAUUACUCGAUUCCUUGCCUGCUUGAUGAUACUACUACCUAUCUCUUUCCCGGUUUCCCCGCUCCAUUUCUGCAUAGAACUUGCUUUCGCGUACACCGCCUGCUCAUCGCCUCCAUUUGUGUCUUGCUUGACAGAUGGAGGAGUCUUCGAUCUGUCUUGCAAUAACACGGGACACUUCAAGUUCUGCGAUCAAAUUCUAGUCUCGUUCAAGUUUAGCGUCUCCCUUGGGUGAGCACAAUUUUACUAGUAUGAUGCCCUUUAAUGUUCUCCUCUGGCAAUCUUAGAAUCUUUACUGCGAUUGUGUGACAUCUCUGAAUUCAUGGUUUCCUCAUCCUGCGCGCAGCAACCUCGUACUUGAAGCACACAUCGGUCUGAGGUUCGUUGAGGUUGUGACGAUGGAGGCCGCCGUCAGUGCCGCGCGGUGGGUGCUGGGCAAGGCCCUGGCGCCCGUCACUGACGGCUUGCUGGAGGCGUGGGCGGCCAGCGCCGGGCUUGGCGACAACAUCGACGCCCUCAAGAUGGAGCUCCUCUUCGCGCAGGCCAUGCUGGACAAUGCCCGCGGCAGGGAGCUUCACAGCCCCGCGCUAGCGCAGAUGCUGCACAAGUUGCGGCAGCUGGCCCAUGAUGCCGAUGACGUGCUCGACGAGCUCGACUACUUCCGCAUCCAGGACGCGCUCGACGGCACCUACCACGCCGCUGACACGCCUGCAGACGGGUGCGCAAAGAGUCUUGCUCUCAACACUCUCUACACUGCCAGAGCUCUUGCCGGUAAACUCAAGCUCACCUCCGGCUCGAGAGAUGCUGCUAACCGUGGUGAUCCUGACGACCAAGAAGAUGAUGAUGCCAAAAGAGGACGCCUAUCUGGGGUUCCCUGCUCAUGUGGCGGCCGUGAGGUCACCUCUUGUCCACCAUCUCCCACCAACAAUGGUGACCAGAAGGCUAGUGGCAAAUGCUUGCCAAAGUUCGCCUACGGGGCUCGCAAUGCUGCAUGCGCUGUCGGUAAACACCUCCCAUGCUACUCCUCUCCAUGUGCCCAUGAUGAUGCUCACUCCGACGAGCCGGGAAAUGGAUGGAGAAGCAUAUUUUCUGCUUGUCCGUCCAGGCCACAAAAAAUAAAUGAUGCUGCGAAGUUGCCAAAACUGAAGUUUGAUAGGGUGGAAAUCUCUAUAAAGAUGAGGACUAUCAUAGAGCAGCUCAAGCCCAUAUGCGCGAAGGUCUCCACCAUUCUGAAUCUAGAGCCAUUAGGCUCCAGCUGCACCACUGCCAAAGACAUCGCUAUGAACAGACCCAUAACCAGUUCAGAAAUCAUAGAGCCUAAAUUGUAUGGGAGGGACAGCCAGAAAAAGAGAAUUGUGGAUGCCAUUGCCUAUGGUGAAUAUGCUGCCAACAAAUUUACUGUACUUCCAAUUGUUGGGCCGGGAGGUAUAGGGAAGACAACUUUCACACAGCAUGUGUAUCAAGAAGUGAACAACCAUUUCCAGGUCUCAGUUUGGACAUGUGUCUCUCUUAAUUUCAAUGCAAAUAAGUUGUUGCAAGAUAUUGCGAACAAGAUUCCAGAAGUUAAUGGUGAAAGCACAACUGCCAGCGUCGAAGAGCAAAUUGGGCAAAGAAUAAAAUCUAAGCGGUUCUUGCUUGUCUUGGAUGAUAUGUGGACAUAUCAUGAGGAUGAGUGGAAAAAACUGUUAGCUCCAUUUAGAAAAGGGGAGGAGAAAGGCAAUAUGGUUAUGGUCACAACUAGAAUCCCAGAGGUAGCAAAAAUGGUUAAGACAGUCGAUAGUUGGUUGGAACUGGAGCGUUUGGAAGCAGAAGAUUUCCUGCGUUUCUUUGAAGCAUGUGUUUUUGGUGAAGAACAGUCAUUUAAAGAUCAUGAUGCAUUGCUUGGCGUUGGAGAACAAAUACUGGACAAGUUGAAGGGUUUCCCGUUGGCAGCAAAAACUGUUGGGAGGUUAUUAAGAAACCGACUUAAUUUGGACCAUUGGAGAAGAGUACUGGAUAGUAAAGAAUGGGAACUUCAAACCAGUGAUAAUGACAUUAUGCCAGCACUAAAGCUGAGUUAUGACUAUCUCCCUUUCCACCUCCAGCAGUGUUUUUCUUAUUGUGGAUUGUUUCCCGAAGAUUAUGAAUUUGAUAGCAAAGAGUUAAUUCACUUGUGGAUAGGACUAGAUAUUCUGCACUCACUUGAGAAAAACAAAAAAGUUGGAGAAGUUGGAGAGAGCUACCUACAUGAAUUGGUUAGUUAUGGAUUUUUUAAGGAAAGCGAAACAGAAUAUGGCUCACCAUGUUAUGUUAUCCAUGAUCUACUACACGACUUAGCAGUGAAGGUUUCAUCAGAUGAAUGUCUUAGCAUAUAUAGUUCAAACAUGGGGUCCAUCCAAAUCCCCCCUUCCGUACGUCACAUAUCUAUUGUUAUUGAGGACACAAUUUUGGAGGAUAGAAUCCGUUUUGAAGAAUGUAAAACAGGCCUGAGUGCACUGGAUAAAAGAUUGAAUGCUGAGAACCUACAUACAUUGAUGUUAUUUGGAGAUUACCAUGGAAGCUUUGUCAAGGAAUUUCGUGAUUUGUUUAGGGAAGCAAGAGGCCUUCGUGUUGUAUGUUUGUCGGAAGCAAGCUAUGAUGUCGAUAAUUUGCUAUGCAACUUCUCUAAGCUUGUCCAUCUUCGCUAUAUACGGAUUGAGGAAAAUGUUUGUUUUGAAGUAAGACUACCUAGUAGUACUGCAAGAUUAUAUCACUUGAGGAUCCUUGAUGUACCAGGAUGCAAUAUUGACUCGAGAUUCCUGAGGGAGAUGAGAAACCUUACAAAAUUACAACACUUUCUUACUCUUGAUGAUAGCCUUCUCUCUGGAAUUUUUGAGGUAGGGAAACUAAAACUUCUACAGGAGUUAACAAGAUUUGAAGUCAAGGAAAAUUCUGGUUUCGAACUAAAGGAGUUAGGGCAACUGCAAGAGCUCCAUGGAUCACUUAGCAUUUAUAACCUUGAAAAGGUUCAAGCAAAGGAAGAAGCAGAGCAAGCAAAACUAAUACAAAAAUUCCAUUUAAAACAGUUGACAUUAAGUUGGGAUAGUGAGCGGUCUGAUGACAGUAAGAAUCCUAAGAGGGAAGAGCUUGUCCUUGAAAGUCUGAAACCACAUAGCAAUCUUAAGGAGCUAUGCAUUAGAGGACAUGGAGGAGCUAAAUGUCCUACAUGGCUAGGCACCAACCUUGAUGUUCAGAAUUUAGAAUCUCUCUGUCUUUAUGAUAUAGGUUGGAAAAACCUUCCACCUAUAGGAGGGUUGUGGAUGGUCAGUGGUGCUGAAAACUGCCACGGCCAAAGUUUCAAAUAUUUAAAGAGGCUAGAAUUAGUCAAGAUACCAACGCUGGAAAAAUGGGUUCGAAAUGACCCUUGUAAAGUCUUCUCUCACUUGGAAGAGCUGGUCAUAAGAGAUUGCUCUGUACUCAUGGAGUUGCCAUUUUCACGUUCUACUUGUGAACACCGAGAUAAAGAGGUGAACCUGAAUUGGUUUCCCAUGCUAAGGAAGCUUGAAAUUUUUGACUGCCCAAACUUAUUGUCCUUGCCUCCUUUACCUUGGACUCGUGCUCCAUGCUCCCUCAAAAUAGGAGGACUGGGUCUAUGGUUUGAGAGUCUAUUUUACACAAAAGAUGAAUCUGAAUGCAGCUUGGAAGUCGUUGGCUUGGAUCAGUUGGAUGGUGCAUGGCUGAAGGUGUUGGACUUUGACAACCUAACGGAACUAGAAUAUUUGGAGGCCGAGAGAUGCCCUCCUCUGCCUCCGGAUCACCUCCAAAUGCUUUCAUCCCUGGAGACCCUCGAGAUCAGGCAUCCGAAGAGUGGCCUUUGGCCAGUUGAAGGUGAAAGCCAUGCCGGACAUCAGUUUCCAGUGGAAAAUCUAGAGAUCACAUAUUGUGGUGCUAGUGGAAAGGAAUUUACACAGCUGCUCUCUCAUUUUCCAAAGCUUUCUAAUUUGGAUAUAAGCGGUUGCCGGAAGAUAACAAGGGCGGGUGUCAUGGGGAAGCAAGCAACGAUAAAAUCCGGGCCAUCGCCAUCAGCUUCAGCUAAAAUGGAGGGCGUGCAUAUUGGACGGAACCAGCUAAUACAUGCAAGAGGAGACAGGGAAAUAGCAGUGGAAACAGAGGAUGAAGAAGUACUGCUCUUGCCUCCCAACCUACAGAGCCUGCGAAUGGACGAGUGCCCAAAUCUGAUUCUCAUCAAUCUUCCCUCCGAUUUGCACUCCCUCCAAUCUUUGGAUAUUCAGGUGUGCCCCAAGUUCCUCUCCUCCUAUUCAUCGUCGUCCACUUCGUGUUUCCCCUUCCC